UGAACUCGAUAUGUUUUAUUACACAGGAACGUUCUGAAGGCAACAAUAGAAGUGCCCCAUAUUGGGGAAGUGAACUUCCAGUGCACACACCUGGAUCAUCUCGACGAGAACUGGCGGAUGAAGCAAGUCGGCGCCAUCAUCCAGUCGAGCGACUCUCCCCACAUCCUGGCUGGUGGCCUCAACUCUCUCGACGAGACCGAUUACUCGCAAGAGCGGUGGACCGACAUCGUCAAGGUAUGUACAUUUCUGUCAUGUUUAAUGUGAUAUUCGUUAGCACGUCAAACUCGAUUACUAAAUAGCUUAAGCUACGGCGAUUUUGUAAUCAUGGGCACCUGUGUUUGUUACAGUACUAUGAGGAGAUGGGAAAACCGACCCCAAAGGUAGAAGUCAUGAGGUUUCUGAAGAGCAAGCAGUACACAGAUGCUAAGGACUUUGCCGGAGAAUGCGAGUCCGUGGUCGUCAUUGCCAAAGGACAAAGUAAGAACUCACUUGUUUGCUUUCCCAUCUUUCGGUUUUUCUUUUUCGCUUUGUCAAAUGGCUAAUCUAAGGUGCUUUUCAAGCACGAUGCUCCUUUCGCUUGAUGAUCAUAUGAUUGACUUGAAUGGACGGAAAUUCAUAACAAUUGAAGCAUGAUGAUCAUGUUGAAUAUAUACAUCCGUUGUUGUCGUCACUUUGUCGAUAUCAACUUUUGAUGUGAAAAUCCGUAGUAUAAAAAUUGAAGUCCAAAGUCUUUUUUUCGAGUGAUUAUUGUCUGAAUAUGUAAUUUGAAACUGUUUAUUCUAUUGCAGGUGUGCAAGGGACGUGCAAAUAUGGAACGAGGGUAGACUACAUACUGGCGUCACCAGAUUGCCCAUACAAAUUCAUUCCGGGGUCGUAUUCGGUCCUGUCAUCAAAAGGGACAUCAGAUCACCAUAUCGUAAAGGUCGACGUAACGAAAUGCGAAAACAACCCUCCCCAUGAAAGCAAUGGCAACAACAAUAAAAUUACCAAGAAAAGGCGACGACAGUGCAAGCACCAGGCCAUUGUAAAGAUCUCAGGCACAGCUCCUCCUUCAAAGGGUAUAUGGACAACGAACACAUUAAGCAAAGUCGAAUGACAUUACAUUUAUAUCUCCCUUUUCUUUCCACUCUUUUCUCAGCUGCUGCUCCUGUUGCUGCUGUUGAGUGAACUUGGGCAUGCUGGCUUCGUCAAUCUCUGUGUAAAUCUUCGAUUGUUUUGUGCAUCUUGUCUUCUCAGUUUUUUUGUUUGUUUUGUUUUGUUUUGUUUUGUUUUUUUGUUUUCUUUCUUUUUUUCUUUUCAAUUUAGAGUUGAAGAGGGGAGGAUUCUGGUGUAAUGGCUUCCUCACAUCUGUAUAGAUUUCGACACGACAGAAGUGAAUUCUUACGUUUCAACUAGGCAUUGGAGUUGAGCGGUUCUGGCAAGUUCUUUUUCAGUAUUUUAUACCUUUUCUUUUCGCUUGUAAUCGUAACUGCAAGAUUCAGAUUAGUUUUGUCGAGGGCGACAUCUCAAGUUGACUUUGCUGAGGUUGAGGUUAGAGAAUAUGAUCUUGUAUCUUUAGAUUUAACUGAAAGUUGAAACAUUUUAGAUUAAAAGUCCUUGGAAUAAAAUUGCAAAUUUCGAAAAUUGAAUUUUUUUUGUUAAGUUGGACAUCAAGUGAUUGAUAAAAGACCCAAAGAUUUCAAAUGAAAUACCUUUAAAAAGCAAAUAAGGAAAGAAAAAAAAAGCUGCGAAGUCUGGUAAUUAUGAAUUCUAAACAUUUCUGACGGUAGUCAAUGUCUUUAUUCUUUUUUCUCCGGUUUUGAAAUUAGCAUUGGAAAGAAGAAAAAUGGUAAGUUAGGGUAAUCUACUUCGACAUCUUAACAAAUACCUUCUGUGAUCUCUAAAUGGAGCCUUAAUGAGCAUUAUAAGUAAAAGUGUAAUGAAAAGAGAAAGACAUAGAUUUUCUAUAUAAUAGACAUUGAUGGCUGAUGUAUCAUGCUAAUUAGCUUAUGAAUAAAAAACCGCGUCCCCCUUAUAAUGGUUGGCAGACUGCGCCCCUUGCAUCAGCAUAGUAGAGGACGCAAGUAACUCUCAGUUGGCGUAUACUCUUCAAUUGAUCCUCCUUGAUGUAAUUUAUAUUGAUUGAAUUAUUUAUUUCGAUUUUGCUUGGGAUCCCAAUUUAGAAAAUCAUGGGAUCUAAAGCUUAGAUAACAACAAGUGGAAUUAAAAAAAAAAGAAGAAACGGUUAAGAUACCGGUACUUGCGACCUUGCAGCUUUGCUACUCGGGAAAUCACUAACACAUGACAUUAAAAAUAAAAAUAAAUAUUUUUUUUUAAUGAGACAGAAAGACAAAUUAUCAUUAAUACUUGAUACUUCUACCGUUUGUUUAAGGGCUAUGCUAGUAGGUCACAUGACACAUCCAAUGACGUUUUCACUGCACAUGUUCAUUUUUUUUUUUCUAUAGUGAUGUAGUCACUUAUUAAAAAGUUGUAUUUUUUCCCUUUUUGUUGUGAAUUUCCCCUUCUAUAAAUCAUGAACACAAACAUGAGCACAAAUUUUUUUUUUGUCGAAAUAAUUGAUCUAUUCAGCACGUGCUGAUACCUUUAAUUGCUUUCUAUAUCGUGAAUAAAAUAUUAAGUGAUGAUUGGAUAAAUCAUUAAACAGAAAAAUCUCUUGACGAAAAGUAUCCUAGAUUAUCUCGCGCGUGAAUGCCGAAGAUCUAGACAUACAUUAUUGUAUUUUAGGGUACAAGAUUGGCUCUCUCUUUGUCACUGAUUUUGUAAGCGUCCUAUUGCCUUUGGAUGGUAAUUCUUUUUUGUAACUGUUCGACUUUAAAAUCGGCAAUGACCAGGAGUAACCAUCAUCGAUCAAGCCCUCUUAAGUGAACACUUAAAAAGAAUUAGUCUCUUAAUCGCUGGAAUUGUGUUAAAUCAGAGGUAUUGUUUGUAGAUAUCAUGAAUAAUGGGAAAAUUUCCAAAAAAGUCCUAAAUCUAUUGCACUUUAGCCAAUUAAGUCAUAAAUCUUUUAAUUACGUUAAUUGAAUCCUAAACCUUUUCACAUUUUGCCAACUGAGUUUAUUGAGUCAAUUUUAAGAAAAAUCACUGAUGUGAAUGCCAACUGUUUUACGUAGGAUGGUUGAUGCUAAUGUUGGCAAAUUCUUAUAUAUAUUAAAAAAUAGAAUUUUUUAAUUUUUUAAUUUUUUUAAUUUUACCGUGGCUUGUAAGAGUCGUCGGGUCCUUGCAGCUACUAGCGAAGACUCAGUGAUCCUUGCCGGACACGGCGAAAAAAAAGUAAAGGAGGAAAAGAGAAGAAAAGAAAAGAUAGAAAAAGAAGAGAAAAAGAAGAGAAAAAGAAGAGAAAAAGGUUCAUAAAAAUUCAAAAAAAAUGUUUAAAAUAUUUUAAAAAUUCUUCACAUUAGUGCCGGUUGUGCCACGUAAGAUAACCGGUGUCCACAUUAGCGAUUUUCUAAUAAAAUUGGCCAUAUGAACUCAAUUAGCAAAAUAUGAAAAUGUUUAAAAUUCAAUUGGCAUGACUGAAAGAUUAAUGACCGAAUUGGCAAAAGUGCAAUCUCUCUUCCAUCCUGAUUCUAAUCAUAGUUUAAACAGGGCAAAGUCCCAAACUUAUGUAAAGAACUUAAAUAUCCAAAAGUGAUGCAAUAUCUAGUAUAAAGUUCACACUUUAUGACUUUGUCCAAUCACAUAGCGUUGCUGCAACAGAUAGUUUGAAGACAUGUUUCGGCUGGUCUUCUUAUAUGCUAAACGUGAUAUCAUAAACAAACCACUAAGAAGGUUAGUUAGUAACCUUUUUUUUUUAUCGUUUGCCAAGCUUGUCGUUCCAUCAUCUAAUAAAUUCUCAAGUGGCAUUUGUAGAGAAAAGUUUUCAUCUCGGCUCACUGGCAAACUGAAAAUUGUAAUGGUCAAGAGUAAACGGUCAGGAUGAGCAACGAUAUUUAAAAGCACUCGUGUAGUUCUUCGCCUGUUAGUAUGCUAGACAUGGAAAAUGUCGAAUCAACAUCAAUUUAACAGUCUUUACUCGAAUAGCUACAGAACUAUGUAACAAAACACAAGGAAUAAGAAGAGAAUCCUGAAGCUCUAGACACGGCAUGACCAUGAAAAAUCCACCGAGAGCUGGUUUUUGUCCUCGGAGUAGAUGUGAAAAAUGUGGCAGAAUUAAAGAAUAAGCAGAGAUUCUUCGUAUCUAGCACUGUAAGCUUGCUCGAUGUAGAGUGAAACAAAGGGACAUUGCAUAGAAUUUGUACCUAUAUGAAGUUCACGAUGGCCGGGAGCAAUCCGCGCCCCAUGACCUCAACUUAAGUGCAUCACCGUAUCAAUAAUCAGUUCUUCCACAAGUGGAAUUGAUACGCAAUUUAUGCCCGAAUUGUCCUCUAUUCACCUUUCACUUGGGGACGGUUUUCCAUGAAUCUCUUCUAGCUCCUCGAGCCUGUUAUCGAGGGCUCUUCUAAGUGAGGCCAUAUGUAUAUGAUCGUUUGCUUCUGGAAGUCGGUUUAUGGAGACCUUGAAGUUCAGCCUAUGAAUUUUGCUGUACACUAGACGGGUCCUGUAGUCGUACUUCGAACACUUAUGUGAGGUUUCAAUUGUUCUCGCCUUCCUUUCAUGGUGCAGCAGAGCAACAAAUGCCAAAGGAAUUGGAAGGGACAGUUCCACAGCCUCCUGUCACAAUGAAUGGUCUUUCUCAUCAGGAUGAUUCUCCAAUGAGCGUGAUGAACUGCAGGAAUAAGUAAGAAACUCGAUUCUUGAGAUGUUUCUGUCUCAUAUCGUUUACUUUUUCUCAUUGCGUCGAACAUAGUACCUACUCUAGUGAUUAGCUUAACUUUUCAUUUCAAUCUGAAAGCUACUCACCUACAUUUAUAGGAUUCUUAAUAUAAAUUACCUGCUUGUGCACACUAUCUUAAUACAUGCAUCAUCCGAGAGCGCAAGUGCCUUUGAUGGCCUUGUGGCCUGAGGCCACGGCGUAAUUGUUUUUUUGCCUCGUCAAAAGUGUUGCUUCAGUGGACCUGAAUAUUCUUUUGAAAGUGAUGCUUCAGAGGACCUGAAUAUUCUUUUGAUAGGAAUCGUCUGUUUAGAUGAUCAUAAUUGCUACCAUUGGUAGAACACACUACCAAUAACAACAUGAUAGUCACGGUGUGCAUUCUAGUCGAACAACGUAGUUUCAACUUCGAGUUGUGAUGAUAACUGUGCUCGCACUUGUGGUUCUAAAAUGUUGAUGAACAGAGCUGAAUCUGACAAGCUGCUGGCCAUUCCUGUCGGUUUUGUUGGAUCAGAAGAGGCGGUAAGGUCUGCUCCACAUCUUGUACCUGGCGGUACUCUUGCUUGUCCUUCAUUGGAAGAACAAGGCAUGAGAAUAAAUGCUGCAUUAGACGCUGCACAUGCACCAAUUUCUCAUCUCUCGAACCUCAUUGCCGACGGCCACCAGGCUGCAAACUUCAGGGGACCUUUCCAACCAUCAGACUUUUAAUGGCUCGAAGCUUGAGCCACUUGGAUUCAUACCCUAUUCCUUACUUUCUCUGAAGGUAUUUAUGAUAUUUAACGCUUAGCUCGACAUUCAGCGUCGUCGAUCUUACUUGGUUUGGACUACCUACUGGCGAAUCUCUUCAUGUAAAGGUUUGGCUUGGAAUAUUACUUGUCAGCAUAGUUGCAUAGACAUGGCGGUUCUGUUCUUUUACCCAUCAGUGCAUUCGACUCGUGGUGCAACAAAUCUGAAAAAAGCUUUUAAUAUGCUAUUUGAGAGUCAGCUUUCAGCAGUGAUCUCGAACAAUUUCGUGUUCUCCAAACCGAGCCUUGUUCAGAGUCAUUGAAAGCCUUCAAUUUCUGACCUUGUACUAGGAAGGUCCUUCCUGCUUUAUCUGUUUCUAGAUACUUUAAAAACCAUCUACAGUAAUUGGAAAGGCCAUGCAGAAAAAGUUAAUUGCUGUUGUACUUGGCGAGGCGACCCAAGUUUAAGUAGCAGCAUGCGCUUUUGCCACUUCUCUAUGUAUUCUUACUCCUGAUGAAUGGCGUUGUUUGUAGCUUCCAUUCAGGAGUACCUUGCUAAUUCGGCAUCAGGUCAGGGUUCUCUGUCUGCAAUAUCUGAGUGAAGUGGAUAUCGCGAGUUCCUUAUCAACAUCGGUGUCUGGAGGAAUGUUUGCUAAGCAAGAAAACUCGUGCAGGGGAUAACAGUGAGGAAUAUAGUACUUGUUCGGAAGAAUGUAAGGCACCAUCUCAUGAUUUAUCAUUGAGUGAAUGCACAAAUUCUUACUGCAUUGAGAUAUUGUGCUUUUGUAAUACAUCACAUCCUCUAACAUGACAUCACGUGUUCAAUUUUUAUUCAUCGUAAAGGCAAAAACUGAUAGCCACUCUGUCUAUCCUCUUUGACGUGCGCCAAUCGUUCAUCGGUUAGGCUAGGACCCAUCUAGAAACAAGAGGUCGAAGUCAGAGAUUGCUUGAGCAGGUAGCUGACGUCGAGCUGGUUGAUCGAGUGGGGGUUGAAGGGUGGCGGUGAGAGCUUUUGAUGGAAAUGAGAGAGAUUCGUUGCUCAAAAUGCAUACAUUAACAUGAAGAAAAAAUUACAUUGUUAUGCCAAGAGGAUUCAGGACAUAAUGAAUCUAAAUGAAAACACCAAUGCUAUAUGAAAAACAUGUAAAAGCUUCACAGAUUACGUUAUCAAUGAUGGUACAUGCUGAUAGUGUUAAUUAUAUUUUGCAUCUCAUUUCUAGAGGAGAACAAUCACACAAUACAUGAUUUCAUGAACUCAUUGUCGUGGUCAAAUUGGUAACUGCCAGAAAUUAUUGGAGCACUUGACGAAGAUGAGACCAUUUCAAGUUCUAUCUCAUUGUUGUCAUCAUUAGUCAGUGCCUCUAUUGGAUACAAAAGCAAUUUUGGAGGUAGUUGCAGUUUAUUGAUAUCUCCUUCAAGCAUAUCUAGAACUUUCCUCAUUGACGGCCGAUCAUUAGGACUCAGCUAUAUGCACCAUAGCGCAACGAUUAUCAUCUUCCUCGUUUCUCUUUCCUCUUCUAUGACUUCUACCCUUUCAAUCUCCUUUUCUUUGUUGAGUUGAUCAUAAACCCACAAAGGAAAGUAAAUUUGACUUGAAUGCCCUGCAUGGUGCAUUUAUAUUUCUCCUUCUACCGGCCAUUUCCAUCAACAUCAUCCCAAAACUAUAAACAUCGGCUUUAUAAGAAAUGCCACCAAUGUCUUUGUAGAAUAGCUCAGGCGCCAUAUAACCCAAGGUUCCUCUUGCUGUAGUCAACGAUACUAUGCUAUGACCGAUGGGAUAAAGUCUUGCUAGUCCAAAGUCAGAAAUUUUUGGAGUGAAACUUUGGUCUAGGAGAAUGUUGUGAGGCUUGAUAUCAAAGUGUAGAAUUUGCAUAUCACAUCCCCGAUGUAGAUACUCUAUCCCUCUAGCUAUGCCAAGAGAGAUCUCAUGCAUUUUCUUAUAAUCAAGAGGAUCAUCACCAUCCUUAUUCGAAAUGUGUUUAUCCAGGGAGCCAUUUGGCAUGAAAUCGUAGACCAGAGCUUGUUUGGAGUAAUCGAAGCAAAAACCAACAAGUUGCACUACAUUGAUGUGGUGGAUCAUUCCAAUUGUGGCCACUUCACUAAUAAAAUCUUGGCCAUUAGAUUCUGGUUUGUUCAAAAUCUUAACCGCAACUUCAUUGCCACUUCUAAGGAUUCCUCUGUACACAAAACCAUACCCCCCCUCACCUAAUUUGCAUUUGAAAUUUUUUGUAAUCUUCUUAAUAUCCGAAUAGGAGUACCUUAUGGGCAGAAAGUUAUUGUGAGCUUGUAGGAAUACUUCAAUGUUUGUGUCGAUCGCUUGGUGCCUUCUUAUCCACUUAUAGAUUAGAAGUAUCAGCACACAUAGAGCUCCGAGUAUGAAUCUUGCUGCGACGUAAUUGGCUGCGUAGAAAUUUUCCAUAGAUUAGCGUAGUGCAACGAAAGAAUUUUAAACGUAAUUUUUUUUUUUAUCAGAGUGGUGCUUGAGAUCUUCAUAGUUGUGAGGAGAAAAGGGCUAGGAAGUCAUACCCAAGACAAAGGCGAGGCUCCGGCCCACAUAUGGCGCAAAAUAAGGGCUGAACUCCAUUGCAUAAUCUAAGGUGACCGAAAAUGACUGAUUAGAAUCGAUGAUCAAACAAUGAAGAAUUAAAUCUAUCAUUUUAGCAUUUAAACAUAAAAAAUAAUUCACUCUCCCAGAUAAGUGCUCAGAUCGCAGUUUAUUCUAUUCACUUGGGGAAUCCAUGUUAUCGUAACAUGACCAUUUCUCUAAAGAAAACACGAUUUCGCUUUUGUCUUCUCAAGGAGUACCAAAUGAUUCAUAAGUUCACAUCUCACUGCGCCAUAAUUCUAAUUUACAAACAUCAUCCAGGACGCGUGCAAUUUAUUCACCCGCAUAAGAAUAACAGCCAUGCAAGGGACACGAGCAACUAUAAAUCAACCAUUUCCCCCCAAACAAAUAUAAAGUAAUAGUGUCAAAUCCAGAAAAAAAAAGGUCCAUAAAUUGUAAAAUUAAAAAGAUCAAUGCAUGCCAAAUCUACUAAGAAAUCUUAUCCAACUUUUCAACUUAGGUGAUGUGGCAUUUUUUUUUUCUGUUGUGUUUUUAGAGAAAGUAGUGUCUUAAUGUGUGGAUUGUAUUAAAAACACCCAACUAAAACUUGCCACAUCACUUGGUAACUAAAUUUGGUAAGAUCUCGUAGUAAAGCUAGGAUUUAAGAAAAGGAAGAAGAAGAAGAAAGAAAGAACACCUUUAAGGGGAACUCCCUUGCGGAACAGAAAACCACCGCAACCCUCCAUUCGGUAUCCGAAACUUAAGUAGCGACACCAAAAAAUUCUUCCUGACAUGGUCAAGGGUUCUCCCCAAUAGUAGAGAUUGAAUCCCUCGGCCAUCUUGUUGUGGAGGUCCUUGUAUGUUAAGCUCCCAUUCUGAUCCCCUUCCCGCCCCGAGAUUUGAUACAAUGCGAAUGCCGUCAUGGUUACGAUGCAGGAGUCCUUGAUAUCCCCUGCUUUUAAGUUCUCUACAGCGUAUGUGUUGACACCUCAAUUUUAAUUAGGUUAAUUUUAUUAAUUAAGUUUUUAAUUAAUUUUGUCUUUUCGGAUAAACAGAUAAUAAAAAGAUAAAAAAAAAAAAAACAGGAAAAAGAACCAAAGCAAAGCAAAAGCCCAGCCCAUUUUUCUUUUUUCCUUUCUCUUCCCCCUCCGCGUGGCCCCUAUGGCCCAUUUUCCUUCACCCCUGGCUCGGCCCCUUUUCUCUCUUCUUCUUCUUCCUUCCCUCUCCUUCGCCGCUGCAACUCACACGCGCGAGGGAAUCCGACGCGCGAAGGACAGCCUACGGCCGAGGAGAGUAGGCCGACGUCGGCCGGAGAGGAUAAGAUCAGGCGCCAUUAAUGUUGAGCGAGCUUCGCUGGAAAGCUCGAUGGGACACCGGUUUAGCCGAGCGGAACCGGUGGGCAAGUCGGAGGCCAGUGACCGAGCCCCUCCGUCGACCGGAUUUCCUUUGCCUAUAAAUAGGUGGCCGCAAGCAUCGUCGGAGGGUGUGGCGAACUCGGAGAUCCUUCACUGAGAGACAUCGGGAAGGAUCGAAGGGCGAGCGCAGGAGAGAACUCGAGUCGCAAGCUCAGCCCACCCUCCACCGAGAGACUUCGGGGAAGGCCGGCGGCGAGCGACUUCGAGAAAGUCAGAUCCGGCCGGUGGAGGCUCGGAUCUGGCCUGAGUGAGAGAAGAUCGAGACCGAGGAAGGUCCGGCCGAGAUCUACGCCUCAGAUCUGGUUUUUUUGGCUGCUGUUGUUGCCGCCGAACGCCGUGCCGCCGCCGUUCGCCCCGACCGAGAUCCCGACGCCGUUGCUGCGACCGAUUCGCCCAAAGCCGCACCAGAUCUGAGAGCUGAGGGGCGUCGUCUCUGCCCUGUCGUCCCGACCACCACCGUUUGUCGCCACGUCCCGCCGUUGCUACAGCCAGGUAAACGCCGACGCUUGCCAUUCGUCCUUGCCGCCUCAGUCACCACGAGAUCCAGUCCCUGGUCGCGCUCUAUCCAUCGUUCCCCUCUGCAUCUCCACGUAGUCAUCGCCGCCAUGCCGCCACGACGCAUCCUCCUACUGCGGCUGUCCUCUGUAUCGCCACCGUCAUCGACGCCGAUCCGCCGUCUCAGCCCCUCCGUCAGUGCCGCGUCUAAGCGAAAAAAGAGGCGGCGUCGCGUCGGGUCAGGCUUGGGGCAGAAGUGGGUCGCGGCCGGGUAGGGUUCCACGAAUCGGGUCGCGGCUGCGAACCGGGUCAAGCAUGGGUUGCGGAUCGGGUAGGGUUUCGCCUGGGUCGGGUCAUGCGCGUGGGCUAGGCGAUUGUUGGGCUGAAGUUCUUUUGACGAAAAUGGGCUAAAUCGCAUGGGCUUGUGUUUUUUUUAAAGAAAAACCAAAAAAGGGCCUGAGUCGGGCCCGCGUUGUGGGCCUGUCCAGACGACUCGGGUCGGUCCCAACCCGGGAACCCGACCCGGGUCGUUUUUUUAAAUAUAUUAAUAUAAAAUGUUUUAUUUUCUAAAAAAUCGAGAAAAAUAAAAAAUAAUUUAUUUUCCAAAAAUAUUUUCGAAAAAAUAUUAAAAAAUAUUUUAUUUUCCAAAAUAGCCAAAAAUUCAGAAAAAGCCAAAUAGACUUGUAUUUUUCCAAAAAAUACCGAAAAAAUCCCUUUUAUGUCCAAAAAAUGAGAAAAAUACUCAAAAAAUGUUUUUCCUCCCAAAAAUGCAUGGAAAAUCUCUCAAAAAUCCAAAAAGCCUUAGGGUUUAAACAAGAUUAGGUACCGAAAGGGCAUUAGUGAUUAACUAGUGUAAUCAAGUCCCCGAUCCUAAUUUCUCUGGUUGCGCAGGAGCAAGUAUUUCUCCCGAUACUUCGCUUGGGUUUCUAAUCGACCCACCCCAAACCGAUUAGUGGCGACUCCGUUUUAAAAUUAGUUUACAGGUUAAAAAAAAUUAGAUUAUUAAAGUCGUGAAUUGGUGGACUUGGGAGAGUCCGGGCUUAAUAAUUUCAGCCGAGCCAUUAGCCUCCUUAGGCGCUCGUACCCGAUCGCGGGCGUCGCCAAAAAAAAAAGAGGUCGCGACAGCUUGGCGACUCCGCUGGGGAAAAUUUUGAAGACUUAGGCUGUUUUUAUCUUUGUUUAAAUGCUUUGCUGACUUGGAUUUUUUUCUUUUGUGCAGGGUAAUAGCUUAAAGUUUUUUAUUUUUAUUUUGUGAAAAUAAAAUGUUUUGUGAUGAUAAACUGCUGUGCAUCCUUAAAUGUUUUAGCACUACACAUGGCACACACAACCCGGCCGCCAUAGGAUUUCUAGGAUGGUGUUAAGAAAGAUACGACCUCGAACGCGAGACUGCGAUGUAGAGGUUGCCUUUCUUUUCCCCGAAUUUCUUAGCCGAGGUUAGGAGGGUAUGCUGCUAACGCGAGACUGCGACGGGCGGAUAUCCUUUUAAUCUCACCAAUCCUUCUAAGUUAGAAAUUGAGCCGCACGUCCCAUGCGCAUGUCUUUGUGCUUGCCAUUUUUUUAAAAGCAAAGUGAUUUCUUUACUGUUACUCAGUCUUUUUAUUUGGCCCAUGGCAAUUUAGGAUAAGCUUUUCAAGUCUCAGUUUAUAUGCGAUGGGGAAAGACGAUAUCCAGUUCAUUCCUGCUCCUAAGGCGGAACUCUUCAGAUGGUGGGGUCAAUUGGAUCAGCUUGCCCAAGAGCGCGUGAAAGCCAAAAUUGGUCAUCUCCUAUCGUUGAUUCAAAUCACUGUUCGUCCCGAAGUCAUACAGGCCAUGGCACAGUUCUGGUGCUUGAAAACGACUACUUUUAUGUUUGGUGGGUUUGAGCUAACCCCAACUUUGGAAGAAUACAACAUCAUCACUGGAAUGCCUCUCGAGAAAAAGCUUGUUAGGCCAUCGACAAGCUUCCUCCCGUGGCAAGGGUUAGCGCGACUUUUAGGAACUGAAAUCCAUGUCAUGAGACAAAUUCUUGAAGGCAACCAUAAUACCUGCCCACUAGAAUUCAUGAAUGCCUGUUUUCAAAAUCAGCCUAUGACCCAAAAAAGCGAGAUUUUCCUCCUGGGUUUGGGUUUUUUUGGGUUCAUCAUUUUCCCCCAUCAAAGAAAUGUCAUAAGUCCUAAGAUGGCAUGGAUAGUUGAUCAAAUCUUGAGGGGGCAAAAUUAUGUCAAUAUGAUUUUAACUGAAACAUUCUUGUCCUUUAAUCGUUUUAAAGACAACACAGAGAAAAUCAUGCGAGCCUCUCCUGAAAUUUUACAAGUCUGGUUCUUUUCUCACCUAAGCGAAUUCCAAGGCUUCAUGCGAUCAUCUGGAAUGAAUGACUUCGAAAAUCCAUUACAAAAAUUUAUGGUUUUAGGACCAUACAUUCCCAAUCAAAGCUAUUUAAAUUGGAUAAAUUUCCUAAUGGACCCGGCUCCUGAGGCAUUCCAAUGGUGUGCUGGUUGGUUCUAUGAAAAGAGAGCUCGCUUUGCUUUCAAGUGCCGCCAUCCAAUUUCCCUACUCGGCCUCACCGGUGCUUUUUCCUAUUUCCCACAACAGGUGGCACGACAGUAUGGAGCCCUUCAGGAGAUCCCGCCAUCUUUCAAGAAGAGGACCCCUCCACUUCUCUUCACUCAUCAAAAUUUUGAAUACAUGGUUGACAUUUAUGAAGAAGCAUGGAACAAGUGCCAUCGUAAAAGGAUCGUGCUACCUGAAGGGCUUGAGGGAGAAGAAAAAGCCCACCACGCCUCCAUGUAUUACAUCCACAACCAUUGUAUCCCGACAAGAUGGAAGCCAUCGGUCCCUCACUCAAUCAGCGAGAGCAGCCAGCACGAGCAAGCAGAGCUCAUGGAGAGGGAUUUGGGAAUGGACUGGAUGCAUACCUCAGAGCCAGUUCAAGAAAGCAAGCAUCCGUGCAAGCGUAGGACUCCCCGUCGCAUAUAAAUUGGCAAACAUGUGCCCCUUAGUGUUAAUAGUGUGAAAGUUUUGUCCCAUUGUUUAGGGACUUUUGUCUAAUAUCUAGUAUUUCAUCCCGUCAUUUCAAUUUCAAGUCAGGAGUUUGCAGUCUAUAAAUCCUCUUUUGAUAAAUAAAAAAAGCAGUUAGAUCAUUGCCAUGGGUCAAUCUUUGUUUACUUUCGUGCUCAUUCAUUGUUUUCGCAACGAAUAGGUAAUUAUGAAUCGCCGGCCACCAAUUGCUCGUGAAUGGCCUCAUGCAAUAGGACCCGAUCAGAAUGAUGUACAAAAUCGCCUUAUUAACAUUGAAGAUGGCGUAGGACAUAUGUCCAUUGUCCUUCAAGAACUCUCAAGACAAAUGAAAUCCACUCAAGCUAAGCCCAACUCUAUAGUUGCCUCAAACACCGUCAUGAUACUUGCAAAUUUGCCAGAAAAUAGCCAGUACCAUAGACAGUUUGAAAAGAUCAUGAAAAAGUUAAGCCAGCUGCAGGAGCAUAAUCCCAUGGACAUGUCUAAUUACGUCGGCAUUGAGAUUCCUGAAAAACUCAAAGCACCUGAAUGCGAAAGGUAUGCUGAUACUUUCCGCCCAGAGACCUACUUGCAGGCCUACUUGGUCCGAAGGAUGAUUCAAUCGUACCAAUCGAGCUUGACUGGCCCUGCCUUGCGAUGGUACAUUAUCAGGAAGAUUAGUCCCCUUAAAGCCUGGAGGGAACUAAUUCAUGUUUUUCACCAAGAAUAUGAUAUUGACAUCAGCCCUGACAUAGCCUUGCCCUACGAAGAACUGAUGAUCGCGAAGCACGAGGAGCCGUUAGUCACUGGGAUAAGAGAAGAGCAUGUCAAUGAAGCCUUGCAUGAUAAAUGGGCAACUGAGCAACAUCUCGUUACUGGAAAAUUUCUCACUAGGAAAGGCAAGGAGCUUUUGUACGAGAUCAAAAACACAGAGCCUGUUCAAGACCGGGGCACGACUGGACAACUCCCCAAGCUUACUCCAAGAGCUAGGGUCCAAAGAAUACCAACCCCUAUCAACUUGGAAAGCGAAUCAAACAGUGAAACUCUAAUGUCUCUCACUUCCCUUGACAGAAUCAAGCUGGCAAAACGAAGGGCCUUACUCAAAAGGUUUGAACCAGAAGCCAAGAAAAGAAAGCCUAAGCAGAUCAAUGCAGCAUCUGCCGACGAGCCACCGCACCAAAGCUUCGAACAUUCCCAAGAAUACAGCUUUGAAGGCUACCAUCCCCUGGAGGACAACCCUGAAGACUUCCCGGCUCCAGAAUACAAUCCCAAGGACUUCUAGCGUUAUUUCGACAAUGAAACUGACGAUUCAUCGUAUAACUGUUUCCUACUCUCAUCCGGGGAUGAAGGCCCGUAAGAAGAAGAAGAAGCACGCGUCUUUAUCCAUUACGAUCCUAACGAAGUACUAAGCUCGUCCUCUAACCAUGAGGAUAGCUUCAAUACUUUAUUCUCGUUCGGAAAUUUUGACCCAGAAGAAAGCAAUGGGAUAAUCUCGGUAGAAUCCAACUCCCCUGAAACAGAAAAAUUCACCACUACAACGGAUAUGCAGUGGAAAAACCAGUGGCCUAACCAAGAUACAUCAAGCCCGUCUUGCGCUCAUAGGAUCAUGACCCCUGGAGAGAUGUGGAUACCUAAUCUCCGCAAGUAUAAUGGCACGACUUGCCCCGUGGCCCACUUGCAGUACUUCCAUGCUGAAAUGAGUCGAUACUAUGGCCCGAUAUCAUUCACAACUUAGGCCUUCCAAGAGAGUCUUACGGGAUCUGCAUUACAAUGGUUCAUCACAGCAGAUAUAUACCUCAUGAGAGAUUGGGAAUGAGCUGUCUUCUGCAUUCCUGAUUCAGUAUCAAAGCCAGAUUGGAAUUUGAAGUGCCUUGUCAGAACUUGGUUCACUUCAGAGAAGACCAAUGGAGGAUUUCCGAGCAUAUGCAAGGAGGUGGGAGGCUUUUAUGAUGCAAACUUACCCUCGGCUGGCCGAAGAAGAGAUGAUAAAGCUAUUCAUACGGGCUUUACCUCGCAAACAUCGUUGUUGGUUGUAUGGGUUGCAUUUCCAUAGCUUCAAUGAAGUGGUCCUCUCAUGUGAAUACUUCGAGUCUACUGGAGGCGAGGAACUCAAAGGCGCUUGAUUUCAGAACCAACACUAUCAAAGCACUCCUUUACACAGGAGUUUUCAUGGGUUUUACUUGUUUUUAUAAUUUCAUGUUUCUUAUCUUAUCUAGUGUACUACGGUUGUAUUUUCCAUUCCAAGUACUCUAUUGUACAGUUAUAAUAUUUUGUUUUAAGAGCAUGAGGCGGUACUCCAAACCAGCCCGGUGAUGCUAUCCAACCAUGAAAAAAUAUAUCAUCCAAGGAGAAUACUGAGGGCUGGGCUUCCUCAUGCUUUUUCUUCCCCCAAAGACGUAUUUUGAAAAUAAAAAAAUAUAUAUUUCAUCACCCAAAAAGCUUUUGUUAAAACAAGAUGAUAAAUUUAAUCAUGUUUGUCUUUCUGACUCACUCACUUCAUGUCUAAGAAGAUAAUUCCCGUCCCCUUUGACUUAGUGUGACAGGGGGCAUUUGAAGCAAGCGCAUAAGGUGAACUCGCCAAAUUCAAAGACACCAUGCCAAGAAAACAGGGGCAAAUAGAAAGAAUCAUCCUACACCAAAAGAAGGACGUAAUAGGUACAUGCAUACGGUUGGAAUCAAGCCGUUCCCAAGAGCUCUGUACACUCCACCUUGCUCCUGCUCAACUCCUUCACAAGCUAGAGCAAUAUCCUUUCCCCACAAUGUGCCUGAGCAACCAGAUGCUGUGGUUUCAUCAACGGGACUUCCAGCUUUGACAAGCCUAGAAGCACAAGGAGGGGAUCUUUUCUCUUUCUUUGAAUUGGCUACUGUCAACAGGGAAGAAAUCCAGACAGUUGAAUCAGUCUCUAGCCCCUAUUCAAAAUGAAGACCUAGAAACCCGACUUCCUAUUCAGACGCAUGCUCUCGCAAGAAAUAAUUGCCAUCAGAGAAUUUGAGGUUUUGAUUGUCCAUCUCAGAUUCCAUAGAAGCUUGAGGUACAUGACUUUUGCCCAAUGAUGCUAUAGUUAAAGACAGAAAGAGAAAUUCCACAGAAGGAAGGCGUUGAAGAUGAAUCAACGACCAGCAAUCAUGCAUACAUGGUCACAAGUGAGGAAGGCCAAUCGAAAGAAAUGUCAAACUAUGCCAAGACGAAAAGGCUGUCAUCGACAUUCAAACAUCAUCAGGAGUCAGCAAAUACAAACUUUGGAGAAGAGUAAUUUGGUAUCGUUUCUAAUACUCCCCCUUCUUUGAAUUCACUUUUGACAUAUUCCCCCUAUUGACAGGGAGCAUCACAACUCAAGAACCAAACUCAAUGGUUAGGCAAAUCAAUAUUGGCCAAGCUAGUACGUGGAAAUGACCCACAUCAAAUUCACCGGGCUUCGUGUAAAAAGACAUGUCAUCUAGGAGCUAAUUCAGAGAAUAAUUGACCUAAUGAAGCAAGGGACAUAGGACUUCGUGUCCCCCUCUCACUUCAGGUUCACCCAAUCAUCUGCAAACCAGUGAAGGGUAAAAUUGUAUCGAUUCCAGUUAUUCGACUCUUGAGAGAGUUCAUGACUAACACAUUCCCUCUUGUUUGUUGCAGGAUCACCUGACUGUCAAAAGCAAGGAUAAUGAAUCAAUGAGAAGCAUGUCUUGUUUGUUGCAGGAUUAACUGACUAUCAAAAACAAAGAUAAUAAAUCAAUGAGAGGCAUGACAAACUCUCCUAAGCGAAAUGGCGUCCUAAGUAAUCGCCAAAGCAAAUGACAGAAAAUCUUUAGGCCUCAACCCACAUUUGAUUUUGGCCAGACUAAUUGAUCUACUUGUACAUCUUCUCUUCUGCAGGGGCAAAAGCAGAGAGGCCCGAUCAGAUUCCCAACCCCGGCUGAUCCUUCAUGUGUCAUAUCCCUAACCAAUAGGGACAACUAUCGACACCCAUUUGCGAAUAACCCUUUUGAUGUUCAAAAUCUAACAUAUUUGGAAAUACCAUUAUGUUAGCCCAUAAAGUUGUCAAUAGGGUCUUUUUUGAGUCAAAACCAUUCACUUGUUUUGAAGAGUUCAAACUCCAUCAUAUUCGAAAUGUUGCAUGUCGUUUCCAGAUGAAUUCUGCAUGAUGAUUUCGUCUGUCUAAGUCACUGAUUCCACUGAGGAUUAUUAGAAUAGACAGCUAAGUGAAGAAUACAAGAUUAAUUGAGCAUGCUAGAUGAGGCGUGUCAGAAUGAUGACAGGCAAGCCAUAUCCUACACACAGUCCCCCCAUCUAUACACUUGUGAGAUGAGUGCAGAAGAUUCCAUGGCUGCAGGGUAAAGAGUUCUCUCGCGAAUGGUACGAUAACCAAAAUAGUGAGAGGCAUUCCAUCGCUCACCCCAUUGAGCCCUAUACAUUGGUGAAGCUUCUCUCAUUACCCCGUCAAGAACAACCCCUACACCGGNNNNNNNNNNNNNNNNNNNNNNNNNNNNNNNNNNNNNNNNNNNNNNNNNNNNNNNNNNNNNNNNNNNNNNNNNNNNNNNNNNNNNNNNNNNNNNNNNNNNCACUUGCAUCAAUCUUUGGGUGUCUUUAUUGCAUAUGAACACUCACAUUAAUUUAAGUGCCUAGAGUCAUGAAGAGCAAUUCUUUCUUUACGCACUUGUAUCUAUUGUACAACUCAAUUGAGUCUGUAAAUUCACCCUCACAUGGAGGCAAAACAAAAGUUACUACCAUUUAAGCAGCAUGGCCCAGAGCGCGCCUACUGAAGAUGAAGACUCAAGAGUCUAAUAACGGUGCUUCAGUUGAGCUUGCAUAGGCCAGUUCCUCUAACGACAAUAAUGAAAAAACAUGGGCAUAAAAAAAAGCAGUGUACCUGGUAAAAGCAAGGUCAAUGCCCAUAAAAGAAGAACUGGAAUAAAAAUAUGGGCAUGAAAAAAGCAGUGUGCCUGGUAAAAGCAAGGCCAAUGCCCCCUAGUAAAAAAUGCAGCCAAGAAAAUGUUGCUGUUGUGGUCCAUAGAUACUCCAUUUGACAGUGAGAAGAAAGACUGGUGACAAAUGCCAAGGCAAUCACCAGCUCUACCUUUUUACACAUGAAUCAAGCCUACUUUGCAUCCCAUUGUAAAAGUCUCUUCAGACUAGGGGCACUUCAAUUAACGUAGGAUUUCAUAUGUCCAUAAGCAUUGCUCGAAGAAGUACGAGGAAGAUUACUCUAUCACUUUUCGCAGGGUUCUUGACUUGUAAACCCGGAGAUGAUCGUGCAACAUUUUCGUCCAUCAGCUUCAACCUUGAUGGUCCCCUUCGAUGAGCCACUAACCAAGACUUCAUCACAGUUUCAACAAAGACCUCUCACAUUGGUAAAGUCGUACCGUUUGCGAGAAUACUCAGACCCCUGCUGACAUGAUGACAGUGAGAUAGUGUGGUCCUUAUGAAUCCUGCAUCAAUGGUCAGGAUAGCCUUUUCCAUGAGAGUGAGCGAAAAGUCCUUUCAGACUGAAAGUCCCUCAUCUGGCAUGCUCAAGACAUCUACAUUCUAAAUGAAGGUUGUCUUUCAAAAAUCUUCCCCAGUGGAAAUCAAAAGAUGCAGAACUGACAAAAUUAUCAUGCAUGAAUCUCAUUUGAACUCAUGAAUUUAUAGCAUAUACAAUCAUGUGUGCAUAUUGUGCAAAUAGCAGACAUACUCUCAGAGAGCAGAGAUAUUACCAGGUAAGCAUAUCCCUAUCCACAUUUGUCUUAAGGUACCUACCACUGUCUAGGUACUCUCUUCUUGACACUCAACCUAUUCAAGUUGUCCCUUGAGUUUUGAUGCUUACUGCUGUCUUAGCAUCCCAUUGUCUUUGAGUACCGGUCACCGUUCGGAUACUCCCUUUUCUUGACACUCGACCUAUUCGAGUUGUCCCAAGAGUAUUAAUACUUGUGACUGACCAAGUAUCCCUUUAUCGUUGAAUACCUACUGCUGUCUAGGUAUCCCUAUUAUCUUUGAGUACCGGUCACCGUUCGGAUACUCCCUUUUCCUGACACUCGACCUGUUCGAGUUGUCCCCAGAGUAUUGAUACUUGUGACUGACCAAGUAUCUCUUGGAAUACCUACUGCUGUCUAGGUAUUCCCAUAUCGUCAAGUACCCACCGUUGUCUAGGUACUUACUUUUCAUGACACUCAACUUGCCGAAGUUGUCCCCAAAUAAUAGCAGUUGUUCAAGCAUUCCACUGCUUUGUGUGCCUGCGCCUACCCAGGUAUGCUUUCUUACACUUGGACCAACUGAGUGGUCCCAGGUUGUAUCAUUAAAUACUUGUGUUCAUCCAAGUAUCCCAAUACUUUGUACACCUGUGGCUAUCCAAGUGUUCCACCCCUUUUAAGUGCCUGCGGCAAUCCAGGUAAGCCUCGUGCUACAUUCAAAUUCUCUUUACCAGGAGGUGAGAAACCUUCACGAAUAUCUAAGGUACGUCCUCGAUAUUCCAACUACCAGGAGGUGAGAGACCUUCACGAAUAUCCCAGGUACGUCCUCGAUAUUCCCCUUUACCAGGAGGUGAGAGACCUUCACGAAUAUCCCAGGUACGUCCUCGAUAUUCCCCUUUACCAGGAGGUGAGAGACCUUCACGAAUAUCCCAGGUACGUCCUCGAUUUCCCCUUUUCCAGGAGGUGAGAGACCUUCACGAAUAUCUCAGGUACGCCCUCGAUAUUCCAAAUUACCAGGAGGUGAGAAACCUUCACGAAUAUCCCAGGUACAUCCUUGAUAUUCCCCUUUUCCAGGAGGUAAGAGACCUUCACGAAUAUCCCAGGUACAUCCUUGAUAUUCCCAAUUACCAGGAGGUGAGAGACCUUCACAAAUAUCUCAGGUACGCCAUCGAUAUUCCCAACUACCAGGAGGUGAGAGACCUUCAUGAAUAUCCAAGGUACAUCCUUGAUAUUCCCAAUUACCAGGAGGUGAGAGACCUUCACGAAUAUCUCAGGUACGCCCUCGAUAUUCCAAAUACCAGCAGGUGAGAGACCUUCACGUAUAUGUAAGACCCAUCCUCGAUAUUUCCACAUGAAUAUCUCAGGUACGUCCUCGAUAUUCUAUGCACCAAGAGUUUGUACCUGUGAUCGUCCAGGUACCCCUCCGAUGCUUGUGAUCAUUCAGGUAUCCCCAAAUAGUUUGUACCUGUGAUCAUCCAAGUACCCCUUCGAUACUUGCAAACGUCCAGGUAUCCUCCAAGAGUUCGCACUUGUGAUCAUCCAAGUACCCGUCCAUUGCCUAUGAUAAGCCAAAUGCCCCUUUUUGAUGCUGGCAAAGGCCCAAAUAUCCUUCAGGUUAGUACUUGUGAAUAUCCAGGUACUCAUUGAUAUGCCUAUGAAUGUCCAGGUAUCUUCCAACUGGUGUCUUCGACAGAAGUCAGACACCCCACAAAUCGAUGCCCUGAGAAAGGUCGGCGCAUCCUCCCGAGAAAGGUCGGGUUCCAACUGGUGUCUUCGACAGAAGUCAGACACCCCACAAAUCGAUGCCCUGAGAAAGGUCGGCGCAUCCUCCCGAGAAAGGUCGGGUUCCAACUGGUGUCUUCGACAGAAGUCAAACACCCCACAAAUCGAUGCCCUGAAAAAGGUCGGCGCAUCCUCCCAAGAAAGGUCGGGUUCCAACUGGUGCCUUCAACAUAAGUCAGACACCCCAGCAAAACAGAUGCUCCGAGAAAGGUCGGUGCAUCUCCCGAGAAAGGUCGGGUACCAACUGGUGUCCACGAUACAAAUCAGGCACCCACAAAUGAGAUGCCCUGAGAAAGGUCAGUGCAUCUCCUGUCAAGGCGACCGAAGAAAGGUUCGGGUCCUAGACAAAUCAUGGAUUGUUUUAACAGGCGACCGAAGAAUGGUUCGGGUCCUGGAGAAGCAACUCCCGUCACGGCGACCGAAGAAUGGUUCGGGUCCGAGACAAACCACUGAUUACUCCAACAGGCGACCGAAGAAUGGUUCGGGUCCUGGAGAAGCAACUUCCCGUCACGGCGACCGAAGAAUGGUUUGGGUCCGAGACAAACCACUGAUUACUCCAACAGGCGACCGAAGAAUGGUUGGGGUCCUGAAGGAGUAAUCUCCCGUCAAGGCGACCGAAGAAAGGUUCGGGUCCUAGACAAAUCAUGGAUUGUUUUAACAGGCGACCGAAGAAUGGUUCGGGUCCUGGAAGAGCAGUUUCCCGUCACGGCGACCGAAGAAUGGUUCGGGUCCGAGACAAACCACUGAUUACUCCAACAGGCGACCGAAGAAUGGUUGGGGUCCUGGAAGAGCAAUCUCCCGUCAAGGCGACCGAAGAAAGGUUCGGGUCCUAGACAAACCAUUGAUUGUUUUAACAGGCGACCGAAGAAUGGUUCGAGCCCUGGAAAAGCAACCUCAUAUCACCAGGUAAGAUGAUGCCUUGAUACUUGCCAAAACUCGGGGUUCACACCCUAUCUCACUCACUCUCGGUAAGUAACUACAUGUAUCUUCUUAUCUGUCUUAGUAUACGUAAAGUUAUAUUGCUCUUUUUCUGCAUAGAACAAUAGGUUCCAAAUAAAAUAUAAUCUACUACGCAUGCAUGGGUAAAAUUGAGGCAUCAGUCUGUCUUUGAAUGCAACCUUUGCGAGCUCACCUUCAAAGAGGGGCAGCUGUUGACACCUCAAUUUUAAUUAGGUUAAUUUUAUUAAUUAAGUUUUUAAUUAAUUUUGUCUUUUCGGAUAAACAGAUAAUAAAAAGAUAAAACAACAAAAAUAAUAAUAAAAACAGGAAAAAGAACCAAAGCAAAGCAAAAGCCCAGCCCAUUUUUCUUUUUCCCUUUCUCUUCCCCCUCCGCGUGGCCCCUAUGGCCCAUUUUCCUUCACCCCUGGCCCGGCCCCUUUUCUCUCUUCUUCUUCUUCCUUCCCUCUCCUUCGCCGCUGCAACUCACACGCGCGAGGGAAGCCGACGCGCGAAGGACAGCCUACGGCCGAGGAGAGUAGGCCGACGUCGGCCGGAGAGGAUAAGAUCAGGCGCCAUUAAUGUUGAGCGAGCUUCGCUGGAAAGCUCGAUGGGACACCGGUGGGCAAGCCGGAGGCUGGCGACCGAGCCCCUCCGUCGACCGGAUUUCCUUUGCCUAUAAAUAGGUGGCCGCAAGCAUCGUCGGAGGGUGUGGCGAACUCGGAGAUCCUUCACUGAGAGACAUCGGGAAGGAUCGAAGGGCGAGCGCAGGAGAGAACUCGAGUCGCAAGCUCAGCCCACCCUCCACCGAGAGACUUCGGGGAAUGCCGGCAGCGAGCGACUUUGAGAAGGUCAGAUCCGGCCGGUGGAGGCUCGGAUCUGGCCUGAGUGAGAGAAGAUCGAGGCCGAGGAAGGUCCGGCCGAGAUCUACGCCUCAGAUCUGGUUUUUUUGGCUGCUGUUGUUGCCGCCGAACGCCGUGCCGCCGUCGUUCGCCCCGACCGAGAUCCCGACGCCGUUGCUGCGACCGAUUCGCCCAAAGCCGCACCAGAUCUGAGAGCUGAGGGGCGUCGUCUCUGCCCUGUCGUCCCGACCACCACCGUUUGUCGCCACGUCCCGCCGUUGCUACAGCCAGGUAAACGCCGACGCUUGCCAUUCGUCCUUGCCGCCUCAGUCACCACGAGAUCCAGUCCCUGGUCGCGCUCUAUCCAUUGUUCCCCUCUGCAUCUCCACGUCGUCAUCGCCGCCGUGCCGCCACGACGCAUCCUCCUACCGCGGCUGUCCUCUGUAUCGCCACCGUCAUCGACGCUGAUCCGCCGUCCCGGCCCCUCCGUCAGUGCCGCGUCCAAGCGAAAAAAGAGGCGGCGUCGCGUCGGGUCAGGCUUGGGGCAGAAGUGGGUCGCGGCCGGGUAGGGUUCCACGAACCAGGUCGCGGCUGCGAACUGGGUCAAGCAUGGGUUGCGGAUCGGGUAGGGUUUCCCCUGGGUCGGGUCAUGCGAGUGGGCUGGGCGAUUGUUGGGCUGAAGUUCUUUUGACGAAAAUGGGCUAAAUCGCAUGGGCUUGUGUUUUUUUUAAAGAAAAACCAAAAAAGGGCCCGAGUCGGGCCCGCACGACUCGGGUCGGUCCCAACCCGGGAACCUGACCCGGUUCGUUUUUUUAAAUAUAUUAAUAUAAAAUGUUUUAUUUUCUAAAAAAUCAAGAAAAAUAAAAAAUAAUUUAUUUUCCAAAAAUAUUUUCGAAAAAAUAUUAAAAAAAUAUUUUAUUUUCCAAAAAAGCCAAAAAUUCAGAAAAAGCCAAAAAGACUUGUAUUUUUCCAAAAAAUACCGAAAAAAUCCCUUUUAUGUCCAAAAAAUGAGAAAAAUACUCAAAAAAUGUUUUUCCUCCCAAAAAUGCAUGGAAAAUCUCUCAAAAAUCCAAAAAGCCUUAGGGUUUAAACAAGAUUAGGUACCGAAAGGGCAUUAGUGAUUGACUAGUGUAAUCAAGUCCCCGAUCCUAAUUUCUCUGGUUGCGCAGGAGCAAGUAUUUCUCCCGAUACUUCGCUUGGGUUUCUAAUUGACCCACCCCAAACCGAUUAGUGGCGACUCCAUUUUAAAAUUAGUUUACAGGUUAAAAAAAUUUAGAUUAUUAAAGUCGUGAAUUGGUGGACUUGGGAGAGUCCGGGCUUAAUAAUUUCAGCCGAGCCAUUAGCCUCCUUAGGCGCUCGUACCCGAUCGCGGGCGUCGCUAAAAAAAAAGGAGGUCGCGACAGUAUGAGUACACCUUCAUCUAGGAAAAAUAAGGAGGCGUGUCGGCAGAGUAUCGCUCAAUACAUGGUUUGGUAUCGACAUAUGAAGUAGAAGCAAUGGGUUGGGAACACUUCAUGAAGGCCACCGCAGCGUAUCCGCCAAAGUAUCCAUCACCAUAACUGAAGUUGGAGUACGUCAAUGGGUAACGAGGGAGGGACGAGCAAUUACCCUUUUGCAGUCCAUCGUCAACCACCAUGAUAUUACCAUCGAAGUCAUAUUGGUCAUAAUACGAACCGUAAUGGAUCGACUUCACAUAAUAUCAGCCAUCAUAUAGAUAUAGAAUAGUGCAGUUAUUUUCACAAGUUAGCUCAAACCGAGAGUUCUGCAAUGUUUUGGAUCGCCUUUCAAUCGAAAAGGAUAACUUAUGUUAUAGAUCUAACCGCAAGAUGAAGGGGCGCACAAAUGAUUGUUCUUCACACCGCAACUCAUCCCUAAUAGAAGCAGAACAUGCGAUAUGAGAAGUAAAACACGGAGUGUAAAUAUGGAGCUGAGAGAAAUAAUCAUCUCUUUAUCGUUUGGUCUGGUGCGAUGGAGGUUUGAGCUCAUUUGGAAAUGCGAGAGAGGCUUAAUAAAGGGUUGGGAGUCGUCGGUCAUCGAAAUGUCCAAGUCAACCCUAAAACAAAGUCUAGCGAAGAAAGUCUUAAAAAGUAUGGCCCAGCUAAAACACGGUCUCGGAAUUAGUGAUGGAUAGCUUUCACAUUCAUUACGGAGGAAACCUCUCUGCAUUUUCCAAAUUUGAUUUUUCUUGGCAAAUUAAUUCUCUCUUUAUUUUAGUAUCGUAAAAAAGAAUCGGUUUUAAUGUUUUGUACCCUAAACUCAAUCAAAAUCCUUUCAAAUACGGCAUCGGCGUUUUAUUUUAUUUUCAAGGCCAAUAUUUUGUAAGUGUCGUUUCGUUAAAUUUUGAAGACGGAAAGAAAAAAGAUGAUGUAUUUCAUCGCAUAAGGUUUUUCAUAUUUGAGAAAAAAAAAUUAGUAACCAAGAAAGAUGAUCAUGUUAAUUAAUGGGUACAUAGAUUUUAACUCAUAUAAUGUGGCUUUCCACAAAUAUAGAAAGAAAAUAAGGAGCGGGCGCUUCUUGCUCAUGGAUGUUGUGAAACUUUAUGAAAGAAAGAAAGCAAUAUGGUAAAGUCUCAACUAGCAAUGGGACUGACGCAUCUCGAUUAGAAACUCACUUGCGUUGUCAUGGAUUGACACACGCAAGGACUAUAGACGCGACAUUUGAAAUCACAAAAAUAAUGCGAUGUUUAGUUAUUCACUAUGCUUAAAUUUUAAAAUCACUCUUUUGUAAUUGUGCUAUAAUUAUGAAUAUGACUGCCAUCUCUUUUCCAUAAUUGAACCACUUAAUGAAUGAACAAAUUGAUGUCAACGGAAAAGGCAAUACAAUAAUUUCUCAACCAACGAUCAAUCGAUGUAGGUCUCAAUUAGAAAUUCACUUCCUUUGUCAUUCUUGACACGCGCAAAGACUAUAGGUGUAAUAUUCACAUGCACAAAAAUAAACUAAUAUGUACUUAUUCACUGUUAAUUGAAAUAUUAUUCUUGUGGAUCAGUCAAUCACUCGCCUAUAAAAUAAUCUCAUCUUUUUCUCACAAUAAAUCCAACCGACCUAUUACAAUAUCCAAUUGAAACGAGCCACAUCACUCAGUAAGUAAAUUUUUAUACGAUCCCUCAGUAGAGCUAACAUUUAAGAAAAGGAUGAGGAUGAAGAAAGAAACAAAGAAAGAACUGGGAAAGUCAGCUUUCGGAAAAGUCAACUUGUUGGUGGCGAGAGUUUAUAAUAGGAGAUAGUGAAUCCCUCGACCGUCGUGUUGUGGAGGUCCUUAUACGGUGAGCUCGCACGAUUAUACCGAUCCUUUUUCCACCCUGGGAUGUAAUGCAGUAUUAAAGCCUUUAUGGUCAUGGUGUAAGUAUCCUUGAUGUCCCCGACUCGGAGAUCAAACCCAUGUACAGCGUAUGAGUACACCAUCAUUUGGGAAAAAAUAGGGGGCAUAUCAGAAGGAUAUGCUCCCUCAAUACAUGGUUCAGUAUUGACUUACGAAGUAGAAGCAAGGGGCUGUGAGCACUUCAUGAAGACCACCAGCACAGCUAACGAACCGUAUGGAUCAUUAUCACUAAAGUUGGAGAGCGCCAAUAAGUAAUGAGGGAGGGAUGAACAAUUACUUUUUUGCAGUCCAUUGUCAACCACCGCGAUUUCGCCGUCAAAUAAACAUUUGCUGAGAUUGGAAUGGUACUAAAUUGAUUUCACAUAAUAUUGGCCAGCAUAUAGAUAUAGAACAAUGCGAUUAUUUUCACAAACUAGCUUAUGUUCAUAGUGGUCACAUCCUUUUCGGUUGCCUUUCAAUCGAAAGUGAUAUGUCACAAACCUCGCCGCAAGAUGAAGCGGCAGAUAAGUGAUUCUUCUAUGUACCGCUACUCGUCCCAAGUAGCAGCAAAACAUACAAUAUGAAAAGCAAAACACUGAACAUGCUUAUGGAGCUCAGAGACUUAAUCGUCUCUCUAUUGUUUGAUCCGAUGCAAUGAAAGUUUUUGCUAAUUGGUAAUGCGAUAGGGCCCAGUAAUAUGAAUGAAAAGAGCCUGGACUCCUCGGUCAUUCAAAUGUCUAAGUCAACCAAUAAAGCAAAGUCUAGUGAAGAAAAAGUGGAUAUCGCGUGGAAAUUGCAGUCCUUGCGGUCAAUGUGUCAAAACACGGUGGUGGAAUUAACACAAGUCCUCGUCGUCACGCAAACACUAUAGAUGCAAAUUUCCAAGUCCACCAUCAACACAAAGUCUAGCGAAGAAAAAGUGGGUCUCAUGUGGAAAUUGCAGCCCUUGCGGUCUAGGCGACAAAAACACGGUGUUGGAAUUAUUUAUGGCGUGGCUUUCACGUUGAUUAGAAAAGAAUUUUCUCUGUAGUUUUCAGAUUUAACUUUUCUUGGCAAAUUGAAUCUUUAGGAAUCAAUUUUAGUUCAGUAAAAAAAGAAUCGAUUGGAAUGUUAUUUACUCAAAAUUGUAUCAAAAUCCUUUCAAUUGAGGCAUUGGCAUUCAAUUUUAUUUUCAAGGCCAAUAUUCCAAGUGUCGGUUUGAUAAGUUGUGAAGACGGAAUGGAAAAAAAAUGUCGUAUUUCACUGAAUAAGCUUUUUCAUUAUUGACAAAAAAAAAAAAAAAAACAGAAUUGGUAACAAAGAUAGACUAUUAAAGGGAAUAUUAGCUUGUAUAACAAAAAUAAAAGGAAAAACAGGAGUUAGUGCUUCUUGGAUGGUGUAAUAGAUUAUGAAAGAAAAAUAGCAAUUCGAUAAUUUCUAGUGAAGGGACCGACGCGCAUUGACUAGAACCUCACUAACUUUGUUGUUGCACAAAGACUAUACAUGCAAUAUUCAAGUUCACAAAAAAAAUAAAAAUAAAAGUGAUGUUUACUUAUUCACUAUCAACUUCAAUAUUACAAUCACUCUCCCAUAAUUGUGUUAGAUCUAUGAACAAUAUUGUCAUCUCUUUGGGAACUCCCUUGCUUGGUUUGAUUUAAAACGGUACCGAAAUGAUAGCUAGGUGUCGUUUUCCCUAGUCCACGAGCAUGCUUGGUUUGAAUGAGCCGUCCUUUUGUCGAGUUUGAGCGUCACUUGCUGUUCUUUUCUGAGUUUGGACACAAGCUAUGUAACAUCCAGAUUUUCGGGUUCUAAUUUCGACUGGAUAAAUAUGGCCGUUUUCGUUCAGUUGAAGCCGAGGAUUGUGAAAUUGAGGAGUAUGAAGGAUUCUUGGAUGAGAAAAAUAAUCAAUUUGAUAAGUAAGACAUCAAUUGAUUUUUUAGAGUCAUUUGAGAGAAAUUCAAGAGGGAAAUUGGAUGCAAUUGCAAGUGGGGAUCAAGAACUCUAAGUUGGAAAAUCUUUUUGAGAAUCUAUGAGCUUAUGGAGCACUGCGGGAAGAACUGGACAGUUAUAGGAGUGGUUCUGACAUUUGUGGAGAAAGUAUCUCCGGACGCAGAGUUGAAGUAUCGGGUGUAGGGAGUCCAGAAUUCUUCAGGGAGAAUUUUGGUGUCUAGAAUAGAACAACUUGCUCCUGUGUCAAUGAGAGCAAUGACAGUGAUUGGUUUGGCAAACUUUGAGGUGAGGAUUUUGACUGGGAAGUGUGGACAAUGGGUUUGACUUGAAAAUAUAUCAGAGUUUGGUUCUGAGGAUGAUGGUGAUAUAUGGAAAAUAUCUUCAGACUCUGAGUCUGACCCAGUUUCACUGGAAGUUUGGUAGGAGGGAAUGGCACAAAGAGUUUGUUCAGAUGGUUCUUCAUCAACAGAGAACAAGGAUUCAAUAUCAUCAUUUUCAAGAGAAAUACCUAUUUCGCUUUCAAUAUGAUGGAUGAGAUGAUUCUGACCUUUUCUCGCUUGAGGACAACUUUUGGCAAAAUGUCCUUUCUGAUUGCAAAUGUAGCAACGAUUUGAUUUUUUGUGGCUUGUGCGAUCCUUUCUUUUGCGUAGGUAUCACCAUUUCUUCUUUUCCCGGAAAUGCUUGGAGCUAUGUUUGGAUUUCUUUAUCCAAAACUUCUUGUAGUGCUUCUUCUUGCGGGAGUACUUGCCACAUGUUCCAUCACAAUCUUUUUUGGAGCAUUUAAUUUUCAACUCUUGUCGGGAGAAGGCUGAUUCUAAGCGUUUGUCAUCUGUGAUGUAUGUUUGCACCAUCUUGCGCUUUAAGCAUAAUUCUUCUAGGCAUAGAUGGAUCUCUUGCUGUAUUUCUCCCAAGGGAAUAUCUUGUACCUGCCUUUGUUUCCAAAUCUGUUCAGAAUCCCAUGCAGAAUUGCUCAAAAGUGCUCUCAUCCUCGGACAAUACAGACAAGCCUCAUCGUCCCAAGAGCCUGAAAUGACAAGCGAAGAUGACAUUGUCACAAUCCACCCAAGACCCCUAUGCACGCUUUGGAGGACCUCUGUCCCAGGAUCCCUACGAACAAUUCCAAAGCAUGGACACAUCUUUUUAUGCAGAACCAUCCAACUGGCCUCAAAGAAAUUAGGAUAAGAAUUUCUAUUUGAGGAAAUUCUUUCUUUUAAUUUCUUCUCAUUUUUUUAUUUGACCAAACACUUUUUCUUUCCUACAAGCUCUCUCUCUUUCAUUUCUUUCUUUCUUUUUCUUCUUCUUUUUCUCUCUCUCUCUCCCCUUUUCCCCCUCGUGCAAGAUGCCCCCCUCUCCACCGACUGCCCCUACUUCCGGUUCCAACUUUGCUUCCUCCACUUUUCCUUUUACUUUUGACUUUUUCAAACUUAUCUUCUCUCUCUUGUCUUCUUCUCUCUCUCCCUCGGUACUUGCACGACACUCUGUCUCUUCCUCUCCCUCUUGGACGUUCGAACCAGCAGAAGCAGGAACGAAGGCAGUAGCUUGCCGUCGAACCAGUAGCCGAACCAGAGCUGCCGUCGCUGCACCGUCACCACCCGCGAGCUCCGCCGCACACCGCUCGCCCUUCGCCUUCCUCACCCCCUCGCGUCCUCGCCGCCCAGCAGCUCCGCCCAGCUCCCAACCGCCUAUGUUCAGCUCCGUUUUAGCCAGCACGGGCCACGGUUCGGCCACCUCUGGCCACCGUGCGCCGCCACUUCGACCCGUCGGAGCUCCGCCUGGUCCUAGCCGCCCUUGCCUCGCCAUCUCAGCCUCGGAUCCGCCCUCCUUCGCCCCCAACCAGCAGCGAGCAGAAGGUUGCAGAAAUGGGUAUCACAGUGGAUUCUUGGCCCGUUUUGGCCGCCUUCCCGAGCCCGGAUGCUCGGCCCGCUUUGAGGAAAGUCGAUCCUCGCGUCGAGCUCGUCAUUUUGAGUGAGUUUUACUCACUAAUACCCUCUUAGUGUGCUAAUUAGACUUAAAUUUUGAUUAGUGUUAAUUAAGUGUAAUUAGAUGGUUAGAUUAUAAUUGAUUAGUGAUUAUUAGUUAAUUACAUUGUAUGUUAGUUGUUUGGUUAGUGUAAUUAGAUAGAGAAUUGCCUAUAGUAUUUAUUGGAUGCUUCUUGGGAUUUUUUCCGUCCCUUAUUGGGUGUUAAUUAAGCAAAUCGGGCCUAGGUGGAAUUUUUAGGAAUUAAAUAUUAAUUUUCAAAAUUAAUUAUUAAUUAAUUAUUUAUUUAUUUAUUUCUCGGAAAUUCAACUGGGAUGGCCAGUGACCGGGAUUUUAUGCUGAUGAUCGUGGUGCAGACCGUUUAUUUAAUUGAGCUUUAUAUUUUGCUAAAUUGAAUUUAUUGUAUUUAUUUAUUUAAUUUUCGAAAUUAAUUAUUUAAUUAAUUAUUUUCCGGAAAUUCAACCGAGAUGGCUAGUGACCAGAAAAUUACACUGAUGACCAUGGUGAAGUCCGUUUAUUUAAUUGGGCUUUAUUUUGAGUUAAAUUGAAUUUUUAAUAUUAAUUAAUUAAUUUUCGAAAUUAAUUAAUUAAUUAAUUAUUUUUCAGAAAUUAAGAUGGAGAUGGCCGACGACCGAAAUAUCGUGUUGAUUUUCGUGGCGCAGUCCGUUUAUUUAUUUGAGCUUUGAAUUGUGCCACAUUGAAUAUCGAAAGUGGUCGAGUGGGACCGUAAAGCCAUUGAAUAUCGAAAGUGGUCGAGUGGGACCGUAAAAAGUCAUUGAAUAUCGAAAGUGGUCGAGUGGGACCGUAAAGCUAUUGAAUAAUUGAAAGUGGUCGAGUCUGAUCGUAAAACCAUUGAAUAUUUGAAGGUUGCUUGGUGGAGCCGUGAUUACCACCCAUAGCAAGUUAUGUCCUAAGGACCGUGAUUCAUAUUUGUGAAUUGAGUUGGAAUAGUUGAAAUGACCGGAAGUGGUCUUGUGAUUAUGUAAUCGACUAAGUCGAUUGACCUUUGCUUUGAUUAGAUUGUUGUGAAUUGACUGAUUGAGUGGAAAUGACUGUGAGUGGUCUUGUUGGCGUGUAAUCGACUAGGUCGAUUUGAUCGAUGCUUUGAUCUGUGAUGUGAUUGCUUGGGUGCCUAUUUGAUAUGUGCUAACAUGCAGGAUGAAUCUAAGGCCAAGGUAAGUCCUCUAUCUCAUGUUGUGCAUAGGCAGCCUUAAGGUGUAUUAGUUUACUAAUCGGGUCUUAGGGAGUAGAACUUGCUGAGACAUAGUCUCAUUCCGGUUUGGGGAAAUCAUUUCAGGACCCUGAUGAAGAACCUGAGGAGAAAGAACUCGAAGAUGAGUAUUUGAAGGAGAACGCCGAGGAUGAUCCAGAGUAGAAUCCUAGUGACUGUUGCUGUAGAAUCUAUUGAGUAGAAACCAACCUUUUUAGCAUGGUUUGUAUAUGUACAUGUAUGACUGAGUCAUUAUAGAUGUACAUAAGGGUGUUGGUUUUCAGGUUCAAUUUUCUAGUCUUACUUAUAUAUCCCAUUGCUUUAUCGUCUGGGGAUUUUUAUAAUUGCUUCCGCAUGUGCUAUUAAAAAGGAAAGGGUCGGCGAUAUGUAGUCUUGGGAUAUCGCAUAAGAAAAUCGACCAAAGGUAAGGGAUGUGCGCGUGCCUGAGGAUCGGGGCGUGACAAGCUAGAGUCUAGAAUGGAGGACCAUUCUCAUGUGGAAUUUUACGACCACUAAAGAGAUUAAGUUUGUUAAUUUUUUUUUUCCAUUUUCUACUUUUUUAGCAUAAUUUUUUAUGCUGCUUUAUUUUGAUGAUAAUAAAACUUAAAAUUUAUACUUCUCUGUCUGCGAUCUCUCAACGAAAUGCGUUCCUUAUGAACAUCGGUGUCUUGAGGAUUGUUUGCUUAGUAGGAAAACUCAUGUAUAGGGGACAACAGUGAGGAAUAUGAUGCUUGUUCUGAAGAAUGCAAGGCACCAUCUCAUGUCUUAUCAUCGAGUGAAUGCACAAGUUCUUACUACAUUUAGAGAUUGAGCUUUUGUAAUACAUAAUAUGCUCUAACAUAACAUCACAUGUUCAAUUUCCAUUCAUCAUAAAGGCAAAAUUGUCAGCCUACUCUGUCUUUACUCUUUGACAUGUGCCUGUCAUUCAUCGAUUAGGCUUGGACCCAUCCCGUGACAUGAGGACCAAGUUGGAGAUAGCUUGAGCAAGUAGCUGUCUUUGACGUGGGUGAUCAAACACAGGUCGAAGGGUGGGGAUGAGAGGUUUUGAUGGAAAUGAGAGAGAUUCAUUGCUCAAAAUGCAAACAUUGACACGAAGAAAAAAUUACCUUGUUAUACCAAGACGAUUCACAUGAAACAAAAAUUGAAUGAAUGCCAUACAACAUUCAUCGUCAUUUAUAAAAUAUGGACAUAACGAGUCUACCAGAAAACACUAGUGCCAUAUGAAAAACAUGUAAAAGCUUCACAGAUUACAUUUUGAAUGAUGAUAGAUGUUGAUAGUAAUAUUUAUAAUUUUUGCAUCUCAUUAUAGGGAAACAAUCACACAAUACAUAAUUUCAUAAACUCAUGGUCAUGGUAAAAUUGGGAACCGCUAGAAACUAUCGGAGUACUGAGAUUGUUUCAAGUUCUAUCUCAGCGUCAACAUCAUCAACGGGUGCCUCUCUCGGAUACAAAAGUGGUUUUGGAGGCAGUUGCAGUUUAUCCAUAUCUCCUUCAAGCAUAUCUAGGACUUUCCUCAUCGACGGCCGAUCAUUAGGGCUCAAUUGUAUACACCAUAGUGCAACGAUUAUCAUCUUUUUCGUUGUUUCUCUUUCCUCUUCUAUGACAUCUACCCUUUCAAGUUCCUUUUCUUUGCUGAGUUGAUCAUAAACCCACAAAGGAAAGUAAAUUUGACUUGAACGCUCUGCAUGUGCAUUUAGAUUUCUCCUUCUACCGGCCAUUUCCAUUAAUAACAUCCCAAAACUAUAAACAUCGGCUUUGUAAGAAAUGCCACCAAUGUCUUUAUAGAUUAGCUCAGGAGCCAUAUAACCUAAGGUUCCUCUUGCUACAGUCAACGAUACUAUAUUGCGAUCGGUGGGAUAACGUCUUGCAAGUCCAAAGUCAGAAACUUUCGGAGUGAAACUUCGGUCUAGGAGAAUGUUGUGAGGCUUGAUGUCAAAAUGUAGAAUUUGCAUAUCACAUCCCUGAUGUAGAUACUCUAUCCCUCUAGCUAUGCCAAGGGAGAUCUCAUACAUUUUCUUAUAAUCAAGAGGAUCAUCACCGUCUUUAUAGGAAAUGUGUUUAUCCAAAGAUCCAUUUGGCAUGAAAUCAUAGACAAGAGCUUGUUUGGAGUAUUCGAAGCAAAAACCAACAAGUUGCACCACAUUAAUGUGGUGGAUCCUUCCAAUUGUGGCCACUUCACUUGUAAAAUCCUGGACAUUAGAUUUUGAUUUGUUCAAAAUCUUAACCGCAACUUCAUUGCCACUUCUAAGUAUUCCUCUAUAUACGGAACCAUAUCCCCCCUCACCUAACUUGCAUUUGAAAUUUUUUGUGAUUUUCUUGAUAUCUGAGUAAGAGUAUCUUAUGGGCAAAAAGUUGUUGUGAGCCAGUAGGAAUUCUUCGAUGUUUGUGUCGGCCGCCUCAUGCCUUCUCAUCCACUUCAAGAUUAGAAGUAUCAACACACACGGAGCUCCAAGUAUGAAUUUUGCUGCUAUGAAGUGGACUACAGAGAAAUUUGGCCAUCGAUUAGCAUAAUGUCAAAAAAAUUUUACACAUACAAUUUUUGUUUGUCAGAGUGCUGAAUGAGAGCUUCAUAGGUGUGAAGAGAAAAAGGACUAAUCAUACCCAAGACAAAGAAGAGAUUCCAUACGGCAAUUCGACCAAAAUCGUUCAUGAUAUACCGCGUAGAAUCAUCUGUAGAUAGUAAGAGAAUUCGUGAGAGAUUACUAGAUAUGGUUAAUUAGAAUUAAUGACCAAUCAAUAAAGAACUAGAUCCAUUGUUUUAGCAGUUAAAUAAUAAAAGCAAUUCACGUUAAGAUAUACCCCAAGUGAAGGAUAACUUCAUACAGUCAUUGCAAAGUGCAAAGAUACACUUUUGUUAAUUGAAAUUUGCAAAUGGAGAAGUCUAGAAUAAAAAAAAGAGUGAACGAGUUUCACUUUUCUAGAUAACGCUUAGAUCCAACUUUAUUCUAUUCACUCAUGAAAUCCAUGUUAUCGUUGCAUGAUCUUUUCUUUUGAAGAAGCACGUUUUCGCUUUUAUUCUCCUAAAUAUACCAAAUGUUCAUAAGUUCCCCAUAACAAUAACAUCGAUUCAAGGGACACAAGCUAUGAUCAAAUCAAACAAUUUUCCCCCAAAAAAGGGCUAAUUCCCUAAAAAAACCCUCAAGUUCUAGUCCAAUUUUGGCCGGAACCUUUUUUGUCUAAAAAAAAACCCCAAACUUUAGGUACAAUCCCAAAUUUGUCUCGAAUUUUGUUUUGUUUAAAAAAAUCACCAACUUUUAAUAUAUUCCAAAAUUUACCCCCAUAAUCUGGUCCCAAUUUGACAUGACAUUUCUACAUCGAUAACAACUCCACUUCUGUAAGGUGACAUGGAAAAUUAUUUCCAAAAUGAAACCGUUCUAAGAUAUGAAAAUUAGGGACGACUAACGGCAAUUUUCGGUCAAAAGGCUGAUGGGGUAGAUUUGCAAUUAGAGUAAAAAUUGGUGUUUUUUUCUUUUAGACAAAAAAAAAAAAGUUAGAGAUAGAUUUAGUUAUGGCCUAAAGUUUGAGGUUUUUUUUAGAUAAAGAAAAUUUCGAGGCAAAUUUGGAUUGGACCUAAAGUUUAGGGUUUUUUUUAGAUAAAAAAAGUUCGGAGCAGAAUUGGGACUAAACUUAAUUUUGUGGUUUUUUUUUAGUGAAUAAGGCGCAUAAAAGAAAGAAAGAAAGAAAGAGUGUCAAGUUCAAAAAAGCUCCACAAAUGUAAAAUAAAAGAGCAAUGCCCGCCAAAUCUACUAAAAAAUCUUACUGAACUUUUUCACUAAACGGAUGUGGCAAUUUUUUUAUUGGGUAUUAAAGAAAGUAAUGACUCAAUAAAUCGAACCAACGUAUUACGAUAUCCAAUAGAAACAUGCCUCAUUACUCAGUAAGUAAAUUUUGAUAAGAUCCCUCAGUAGAGCUAACAUUUGAGAAAAGGAUGAGGAUGAAGUAGAAGAAGAAAAAGAAAGAAAGUAAGAGAGUAAAGGAAGAAAAGCUUCAGAGAAAGCUUACAGGAGUAAUAUGGUUCGCACCACACCUAUAGGUACAUAAUCACGCAAAGCUAGAAAAUUACCAGCGAAGACGGCGGAGACGGCGAGGACGGUGAGGACGGCGGAGACGGCGAGGACGGCGGGGAUGGCGGGGACUGCGGAGAUGGCGCAGAUGAGGCAGACGGCGAAGACAGCAUGGACGGUGAAGACGAAGAAGAUACCUAAGAUGGUGAAGAAGACGAAAGACGUCGAAGAUGUCGAAGACGGCCAAGACGGCGAAGACCGCGAAGACAGCAAAGACGGCCAAGACGGCCAAGACAGCCAAGACAGCCAAGACGGCGAAGACGGCCAAGACAGCCAAGACAACCAAGACGGCAAAGACAGCAAAGACGGUGAAGGCCGCCAAGAAGGAGGUCCAUGAUAAGAGAGAUUGAAUCCUUCAGCCAUCAUAUUGUGGAGGUCCUUAUACGGUGUGCUCACACGAUUAUACCAAUCCAUUUCCCUUGUCUGGUUAUAACCCAAGAAGAAAGUCGUCAUGUUUAUGUUGCAAGAAUCCUCGAUGCCCCCUACUUCUACAUCAGAAUCCCCAUACAUAGCGUAUGAGUACACCUUCAUUUGGGAAUUAUUAGGGGGCGUAUCAGAAGGGUAUGCUCCCUCAAUACAUGGUUCAAUAUUGAUAUACUGAGCAGAAGCAACGGACUGUGAGCACUGCAUGAAGACCACCGUCACACAAUCUCGAAGAUGGUAUGGAUCAUAAUCACCAAAGUUGGAUCUCGCCAAUGAGUAGCGAGGGAGGGAUGAGCAAUUACUUUUUUGCAGUCCAUCGUCAACCACCGUGAUUACACCAGAGAAUCUAUCUUUGGUAUACUCGCCAUAGGAAAUCGACUUCACAUAAUAUCGACCGGCAUACAAAUAUAGAACGGUGCGAUUAUUUUCACAAGCUAGCUCAUACUCAGAGCGGCCGCAGUCUUUGGGGUCGUCUUUCAAUCGAAAAGGAUAGUGUAUGGCAGGAACAUCGCCACAAGAUGAAGGGGCGCACGAGUGAUUAUUCUUUGCACCGCAACUUGUCCCCAGUAGAAGCAGAACAUGCAAUAUGAAAAGCAAAACACAGAACAUGCUCAUGGAGCUCAGAGACUUAAUCGUCUCUCUAUCGUUUGAUCUGAUGCAAUGAAAUUUUUUGCUAAUUGAUAAUACGAUGGAGGCUUAGUUAUAUGAAUGAAAAGCGUCAGGAGUCGUGGUUAUACAAAUGUCCAAGUCAACCAAUAAAGGCAAGUCUAGUGAAGAAAAAGUGUGUAUCGCGUGGAAAUUGCAACCCUUGCAUCUAGGUGACAAAACACGGUGUCGGAAUAAUUUAUGCAUAGCUUUCACAUUUAUUAGAAAGAAAGUUCUCUGCAGUUUCCAAAUUGACUCUUCUUAGUACCAUAAAAAAAGAAUCGAUUUGAAUGUUUUAUACUCUAAAAUGAAUCAAAAAUCCUUUCGAGUGAGGCAUUGGCAUUCUAUUUUCUUUUCAAGGUUAACAUUCCAUAAAUGUCGCUUAUUAAAUUGUGAAGACAAAAAGGAAAUACAUAUUGUAUUUUAUUGUAUGAGCUUUUUCAUUUUUAACAAAAAAAAAUUGGUAACAAAAAUAGCUUAUUGACGUGAAUAUUAACUUGUAUAAUGUCGCUUUUGGCAAAAGUAAAAGGAAAAUAAGGAAUAAUUGCUUCUUGGAUGGUGUAACACGUUAUGAAAGAAAGAAAGCAAUACAACAAUUGCUAUCAAGGGACUGACGCGCCUUGACGAGAACCUCACUAACUUCGUUAUCACUCAAAGACUAUAGAUGCAAAUUUCCAAGUCAACCAUCAACACAAAGUCUAGUGAAGAAAAAGUGGGUCUCAUGUGGAAAUUGCAGCCCUUGCAGUCAAGGCGACAAAAACACAAUGUUGGAAUUAUUUAUGGUGUGGCUUUCACAUUGAUUAGAAAAGAAACUUCUCUGUAGUUUUCAGAUUUAACUUUUCUUGGCAAAUUGAUUCUUUAGGAAUCAAUUCUAGUUUAGUAAAAGAAGAAUCGAUUUGAAUGUUAUGUACUCUAAAUUGAAUCAAAAUCUUUUCAAGUGGGGCAUUGGCAUUCAAUUUUAUUUUCAAGGCCAAUACUCCACGAGUGUCGGUUCGAUAAAUUGUGAAGAUGAAAAGGGGAAAAAAAUGUCGUAUAUCACCGUAUAAGCUUUUUCAUUACUAACAAAAAAACAGAAUUGGUAACAAAGAUAGACUAUUAAAGGGAAUAUUAACUUGUAUGACAAAAAUAAAAGGAAUAACAGGAGUUAGUGCUUCUUGGAUGGUGUAACACAUCAUGAAAGAAAGAAAAUAAUUCAAUAAUUUCUAGCGAUGGGACCGAUGCAUAUUGACUAGAACCUCACUAACUUCGUCGUGCGCAAAGACUAUACAAAAAAGAAAGAAAGCGAUAUUUACUUAUUCAUUAUCAACUUCAAUAUUACAAUCACUCUCCCGUAAUUGUGUUAUAUCUAUGAACAAUAUUGUCAUCUCUUUCCUAUAAUAGAACCACUUAAUAAAUGAACCAAUCGAUUACUAUCCUUCUAUCAAAUGAAAAAAAAUGCUUAUGUCUGUUUUUGACAUCUAAAUUUUGCCUUUUUUUAUUUAGGACUUAGUCGUAUAGAAAAUUAGGGAUUAGUCUCUAAAAAAAUAGUAAAAAGUAAAGUAAACAAUUUUCAAUAAAUGCGUCGCAUUUUCGUUAAAAAAUUAAAUAAUUUUCAUUAAAAUGCAUUGCGUCUUUGUUAAUUGCAUCGCAUAUGUUAGGAACAUUUGCAUUACUAGUUUUAAAAAUUUUAAAAAUAAUUUUUUAAAUUAAUAUUAGAAAAAAAAUUAACAAAAAAUAAAAACGCAGCCGGGCCAGGCUAGGGGCCAGCCUUAACUUGUAUAAUGUCACAAAGAUAGACUAUUAAAGGGAAUAUUAACUUGUAUAACGUCUCUUUUGACAAAAAUAAAAGGAAAAAUAGGAGUUCGUGCUUCUUGGAUGGUGUAACACAUUAUGAAAGAAAGAAAGCAAUCCGAUAAUUUCUAGCUAUGGGACCGACAUGCAUUGACUAGAACCUCACUAACUUUGUCGUUGCGCAAGACUGUGCAUUCAAUAUUUGAUAUCAUUAUAUAAAAAAAGAAGAAGCAAUUUUUACUUAUUUACUAUCAACUUCAAUAUUACAAUCACUAUCCCGUAAUUAUGUUAGAUCCGUGAACAAUAUUGUUAUCUCUUUCCCAUAGUAGAACAUCAGGGAUUAGUUUUUAAAAAAAAAGUAAAAAGUAGGGAUUAGUUUUUUUUUUUAAAAGUAAAAGGUAAAGUGAAUAUUUUCAUUAAAAUGCAUCGUGAUUUCCUUAAAUUGCAUUGCAUAUAGACAUUAGAAACAUUUGAAUUACUAGUAUUAAAACUUAAAAAAAUAAUUUUAUUAACAAAAAAUAAAAACGCAGCCGGGCUGGGCUAGGGGCCAGCCUCUCCUUUUCUCUUUCUUUUUUUCCCCUUGUGGCCUAGCCCGCUUCUGUUCCUUCUAUUUCCACCGCGCGGCCCACCUUUCUUCUUCCGCGGCCCAGUUCGCUCUUCUUCCUCCUUCCUCCUUUCUCCUCCUUCCCUCGCUUGGACGUCAGCUUCGGGACAAAACAAAGAGUGGGUCGCUGGCCGAAGGUCGCAAGGACGCGAGGCUGGUCUCGUCCUUGAAGAAAGGGACAGAAACGAGAUAAAUGGGAGAGAAAGGCGGCAAAGGGAAGGGGGGGUCCCUCUGGUCUUUUUGGGUUUGUUCCGCCGAGGUAGAGCACCCGAGAGAGAGAGAGAGAGAGAGAGAGAGAGAGAGAGAGAGAGAGAGAGAGAGUGAGAAGUUGAGCUCGAGAGAGAGAAAAGGAGCGAGCCAGAGAAGAGAGGGAGCUCGAGGGUGGAUGCUUCUGGAAGGGUGCGGCUGAAAACCAAGGAGAGUCUACAGCCGCUCGAGAGGGGAGACCAAGAAGGUAGAUAGCGAGGGAGGGCGGGAGAGAGAGGUGACUGUGUUCUCGAGUUCUUCGGGGGAGGCUGGAGACAGCGAGAGCAACAGAGAGAGUGAGAUCCGAGAGAGUGAGCAAAGGGUGAAGCGGAGAGAGAACCGAGAGUGAGCGGAGGGAUGGACUAAGAGAAAGCGAGACCCAGGAGCCGAACUUCGUUCUCGGACAAGCGUUACCCGGCCAUCCCUGACAUAAACCGGCGAUCUCCAGCCAAUACCGUCGAGCACGUGGUGAGUUUUCUUUGGGUUCGAUCCACUUUUAUCUCAAUGAUCCUGGCUCGGUGCAACGUCGAGGCGGCCGACCAUAGCUCGUUUCGCUUCAGGCUCACCUUCUGGCCGUCGUCGCCGAGCCGGGUAGGGAUAUUCGUGGUCAAACACUUCUCUCUGGGAACUCCGUUGCUUGGUUUUAUUUAAGACGGAACCGGAACGAUAGCUGGGUCUCGUUUUCCCUAGUCCACCAGCAUGCUCGAUUUGAACGAGCCGUCCCUUUUGUCGAGUUUGAGCGUUACUUGCUGUUCUCUUUUGAGUAAAUAACUUGGAGUGCUGCCAUUUUCGUUCUCUAUUGAUGGCUGCUUGAAUAUUCUCAAGACUCCUCCCUUUCGUUUCAAGAACACAACCUUUAAAUUCCCCCCUAGAGUUUCUGCAUGAAAAUUGAUUAUUCACUGGUUUAAUAGCAUGCAAGCAAUGACUGGAGUUUAUCUAUUUAGAUAUGGUGGCAGACUUUUGACUAGUUAUUGUUGGAUUUUUGAUGUCUUAGUGCUGCUGUUUUUAGACUAAAGCUUCUCUGUUCCGUUUUAUAUUGUUUUAGUUUAUUUUCUUACUUAGUCAAUUAUGUUAUGCAGUUGUUGUUGUGUUAUUUAGGAAGUUAAGUACCUGUUCGGGUGCAGUUACAAGCAGAACGUGUGUGUGCAGUUAUUUUUUUUGGUUUAAGUCGUGUUUUGUACUUGACUUUUUUACUAAAGAACUGUAGAAGGCAGUUUUUAUGCUCUGUUUUCUCUGUUUCCUCUGUUUUUCUUCUUUCUUCCUCGAUAUCUAUAGUUCUGGCAUUUAUGCUUCUUUGCUGCUUUGAUCAGCAUCAACAGUGGUAUCAGAGCAUCGAAUGAUCUUGAGGGACUGUGAAGUGAAGCAAGUAUUGUAGUGCAAAGAGGUUAGAGGGUGAUGGAUACAAGUUCAAGUGGUUUUUCUACGAUGGCUUCUCCAGUAUUUACUGGAGAGAAUUAUCAAGCAUGGGCUGUUAAAAUGAAAGCAUUUCUGGAGGGUCAUGAUCUGUGGGAAGCUGUGGAGGAUGAUUAUGAAGUUGCUCCACUUCCAAAUAAUCCGACCAUGAAUCAAAUCAAGCUUCAUAAAGAGAGAACCACAAGGAAAGCCAAGGCAAAAUCUUGCAUGUAUGCUGCUGUCUCGCCUACCAUCUUCACUAGAAUUAUGAAGUGUGACUCUGCGAAGGUCAUAUGGGAUUUCUUGAGGGAAGAAUAUGAAGGAGAUGAGAAGAUAAGAGGUAUGAAGGUGCUGAAUCUCUUGAGAGAAUUUGAGAGACAGCAGAUGAAGGAAUCUGAGUCAAUGAAGGAAUACUCAGAUAGGCUAGUGGGAAUAGCUGAUAAAAUCAGAGUUUUGGGAACUGACUUGAGGGAUGAUAGGCUUGUUCAGAAGAUCCUAGUGUCUCUUCCAGAAAAAUUUGAAGCUACUAUAGCUUCUCUGGAAAACACAAGGGACUUGGCUGAUAUAAAACUUGCAGAGUUGCUGAAUGCUUUGCAGGCACAGGAGCAAAGAAGACUAAUGAGGAGAGAAAAUCAUGUUGAGGGGGCAUUGCAAGCCAAAGUAAAGCAAAAUGAUGGAGGCAAAGGGAAGAAAUGGAUUCAGUUUAAGGGAAAUGUUGCUGAUUCGAAAUUUUUACCAAAAGAAGGAAAUGCUGGUGGAUCUAGCAAAUGGAAAAAUAAUAAAAGGCCAUGUCAGUACUGUGGUGGAACCAACCAUCAGUCCUUUAGAUGCUGGAAAAGGCCAGAUGCGAGGUGCAGAAGAUGCCACAAGUUGGGUCAUAUGGAAGCUAUUUGCAAAGGGAAAGCUUAUCAGCAAACAGGAGAAGCACAAGUGGCAGUGAGUGAAGUUGAUGAAGAGCACUUAUUUUUUGCUUCAGCUGGUGAAUAUUCAGUCGAAAAUAGUACAUGGCUGAUAGAUAGUGGUUGUACUAAUCACAUGACUGGCAACUUAGAGCUAUUCAAGAGCAUAAACAAAACAGUAAAGUCCAAAGUCAGAAUUGGCAAUGGACAGCAUAUUGAAGUUCAGGGUAAAGGUGUAGUUGCUGUUAAAGGAAACCAGGGGGUGAAGUUAAUCAGGGAUGUCCUCUUUGUGCCAAACAUUGACCAGAAUCUGUUAAGUGUUGGUCAGUUAGUGGAGAAGGGCUAUAUAGUGAAGUUCGAAGGAAGGGAAUGUCUCAUUAAAGAUACUGACAGCAAUGAAGUCUUGAGAGUUCAAAUGAGGGAUAAAAGUUUUGUGUUCAAGCCAAAUGAGAUGCAGCAGAUGGCUUUGAAGUGUACAGAAGAGAAUAUAGAGCUGUGGCACAAAAGAUUGGGGCAUGUUCAUAGGAGGAGUAUGCUGGUUAUGCAGAGAAAUGGCCUGGUAGAUGAUUUACCAAACUUGAAGGAAGAGCUUCCACAAUGCAGAACCUGCCUUCUUGGAAAACAAACUAGAUUUCCCUUCAAAGGAGGAGUCUCGAAGACAUAUCAAAAGCUGGAAUUAGUUCACACUGAUGUGUGUGGACCUAUGUCUGAACCUUCUUUAAAUGGAAGCAGAUAUUUUAUUACUUUUACUGAUGAUCUGACUAGAAUGAGCUGGAUCUAUUUUCUGCAAGCUAAGACUGAAGUAGCUGAUGUAUUUAUGAAGUUUAAAGCAUUAGUUGAAAAUCAAAGUGGGAAGAGAAUCAAAGCUCUCAGGUCAGACAAUGGAUCUGAGUAUACAGCUAACAAAUUCAAACUGAUUUGUGAGCAAGCUGGAAUUGUACAGCAAUUUAUAGCCCCUUACUCACCUCAACAGAAUGGGGUUAGUGAGAGGAAAAAUAGAAGCAUUAUGGAGAUGGCCAGAUGUUUGAUGCAGGAAAAGAAUUUGCCUAAAAGUUUUUGGGCUGAGGCAGCCAACACUGCUGUAUUUCUUUUAAAUAGAUUACCUACAAAAGCUUUAGAGAAACUGACACCUCUCGAGGGCUGGCAAGACACUAAACCUUCUGUGAAAAAUUUGAAGGUUUUGAAGUUGUGUAUACUCAUAUUCCUGAUGUCAANNNNNNNNNNNNNNNNNNNNNNNNNNNNNNNNNNNNNNNNNNNNNNNNNNNNNNNNNNNNNNNNNNNNNNNNNNNNNNNNNNNNNNNNNNNNNNNNNNNNAGGCUGAGAUUGGAAUUUUUGUUGGAUAUAGCUCUCAAUCAAAGGCUUACAGAAUUUUCUAUCCAAAGACAAGGAAGAUUACUGUGAGCAGAGAUGUUAUGUUCUUAGAGGAAGAUGAAUGGAAUUGGUUAAAUGGAAGGAACACUGAAUUGAAGCACUUUGAAAGACAACCUGAAACUGAUGUGGAGACUAAUGAAAUUACAUGGGAAAUGGAAGAAAAUAUAGAUGAUGAACCUGUAAGAGGCACAAGGUCACUUGCUGAGAUCUAUGAAAGGAGUAAUGUGGCAGUGCUCGAACCAUCAAAUUUUGCUGAAGCCAAGGAAGAUCAGAAGUGGUUUGCAGCAAUGCAGGAGGAGAUGACAAUGAUUCAAAAAAAUCAGACUUGGGAAUUGGUAGAUAGGCCAUUAAAUAAGAAUGUAAUUGGGGUUAAGUGGGUCUUUAGGACAAAACUCAAUCCUGAUGGCUCUGUUAACAAGUAUAAAGCAAGGCUGGUUGUGAAAGGCUAUGCUCAGGUAUGGGGAGUAGACUAUUCUGAAACUUUUGCUCCAGUUGCAAGGCUAGACACAGUAAGACUCCUGUUAGCUGUUGCAGCCGAGAAGGGUCGGACUAUUUUUCAGCUUGAUGUCAAGUCUGCAUUUCUAAAUGGUGAGCUUGAAGAGGAAAUUUUUAUUGAACAACCUGAAGGGUUCUGUGUUAAAGGGCAAGAAGAGAGUGUAUACAAAUUGCACAAAGCUUUAUAUGGACUGAAGCAAGCUCCAAGAACUUGGUAUGGAAAAAUUGAUCGAUAUCUACUGGAUUUAGGUUUUAAAAGGAGCUUGAGUGAGUUCACUCUUUAUAUUAAGAAAGUGAAUCAUAGUGUGGUAGUUCUGUCUCUAUAUGUGGAUGAUCUUUUGGUAACAGGAAAUGAUGUUCAGCUGAUAGAAAAUGUUAAGCAAGGCUUAUUUGCUGGUUUUGAGAUGACAGACUUAGGAAAAAUGGCUUACUUCUUAGGUCUGGAAAUCAAGCAAAGUCCUUAUGAAAUCUUCAUUUGUCAGAGGAAGUACUUAAAGGAAAUUUUGAAGAAGUUUCAGAUGGAAGAAUGUCGAAGUGUCAGUACACCUAUGGCAGCAAAAGAGAAGUUGCAGAAGAGUGAUGGAACUGAAGCUGUGGAUGUCUCGAUGUACAGAAGUCUAAUAGGUUGUCUCAUGUACCUCACAGCAACCAGACCAGACAUUCUAUUUGUUGUAAGUGUUCUGUCCAGAUUUAUGAGUGAUCCAAGUCAGCUUCAUUUGAUUGCAGCUAAAAGGAUUUUAAGGUAUUUGAAAGGAACCAUGUUUUUUGGAGUGAAGUUUCGAAGGAGUCAAGAAUUCAAUCUACAAGGUUAUUCUGAUAGUGAUUGGGCUGGCUCGAUGGAUGAUAUGAAGAGUACAUCUGGGUACUGUUUCAGUUUAGGAUCAGCUUGUUUCACUUGGUGUUCUAAAAAGCAAGAAAUUGUAGCUCAAUCUACUGCAGAAGCAGAGUUUAUAGCUGCUACUGCAGCUGCAAAUCAAGCCUUAUGGCUGAAGAAGAUAAUGAAAGAUCUUUGGCUGAACUCCAAUGAAUGUAUCAAGAUCAAUGUGGAUAACCAAGCUGCAAUUGCAAUAUCUCAGAACCCAGUUUUUCAUGGCAAAACUAAGCAUUUCAAGGUCAAGUUCUUCUUUCUACGUGAGGUGCAACAAAAUGGUGAGGUCAUGCUGGUUUAUUGCAGAUCUGAAGAUCAACUUGCUGAUAUUUUUACUAAACCACUUCAAGCUAGAAGAUUUGAAGCAUUGAGAAAGAAAAUUGGAGUAUGCAGCAGCUACUGAUCCAAGGAGGAGUUUGUUGGAUUUUUGAUGUCUUAGUGCUGCUGUUUUUAGACUAAAGCUUCUCUGUUCUGUUUUAUAUUGUUUUAGUUUAUUUUCUUACUUAGUCAAUUAUGUUAUGCAGUUGUUGUUGUGUUAUUUAGGAAGUUAAGUACCUGUUCGGGUGCAGUUACAAGCAGAACCUGUGUGUGCAGUUAUUUUUUUUGGUUUAAGUCGUGUUUUGUACUUGACUUUUUUACUAAAGAACUGUAGAAGGCAGUUUUUAUGCUCUGUUCUCUCUGUUUCCUCUGUUUUUCUUCUUUCUUCCUCGAUAUCUAUAGUUCUGGCAUUUAUGCUUCUUUGCUGCUUUGAUCAGCAUCAACAGUUAUGCACUGUUCAGAAUCCCAGAUUCAUUUGUAAAGGUUUCUAGAGGAAGGAUUUUGUUUACUGUUUUUCUAAAUUAUACAACAGGUAUUUAUAAUUUAGAUUUCUAAAAUGUAAUUUCCUUUCAAUUUCCAGAGAGAAGGAUCGCAUUGUUUCUUGGUGCAACUGGGCAGAAGUUUCUAUCUGUGUAUUGCUCGUGUGGCACGUAUAUUGAUUUUUUUGACAAUCCUCCUAACAGUUUACUUGGUGACACCCAAUAACAUAUCGUUUGGCUAUAUUUUGCUCCUCCUAUGUUGGAUCAUGGGAAGACAACUCGUUGAAAGGACGAGAAGACAUUUUUAGUUUCCAUUAAAAGUAUAUGCAAUCACUGUGUUUAUCUUCUUAUACAGCUUGAGCAAUUUCUCCACCCUUGAGAUGUGGUUGUCGGGGUUGAUUGAUCUUCAGUUUUACUUGGCCUACAACUCAGAAGCUUUGCUAUUGCAGAAUAUUUGGCAGUCUAUUGCAAUACUGAUUGUGAUGCAGCUUUACAGCUACGAGAGGAGACAGAGCAAGUAUAUCCAAUUUGGUGACUCCAAACUUAUGGAAUUUGGAGUACUUGGAUUUAUUAAGAGUUUCCUCAUUUGGCACAGUGACAAGAUAGUGUCUAUAUCAAAGUUCUAUGCAUCAUUGUCACCAAUUAGUCUCUUUGGUUUCCUUUAUCUGCUCGGUCUUGUCAUUUGUUACCUUUUACCUAAAGCUUCUCGAAUCCCAUCAAAUUUUAUUACUUCUUUAUACAGGACUUCUGGUGAUGACAGAAUAUCUCUUUCAGAUGUGGGGUGCCCAGGCAGGAAUGUUUCCUGGACAGAAUGACUUUAGUUUGGCCAAGUUCUUGGGUUUUGAGUUAUUUCAGUCAGGCUUUUGGGGUCUAGAAUUGGGUUUAAGGGGGAAAAGUGCUGGUGUUAUCUGCUUGUAUCCUUCAAUACAAUGUCUUCCGUUGGUUGCAAAAAGUACCAACUCACAUUUUGAGCAAAUAUUACACCAAAGAACCUUGCCCUCUGUUUGUAUCAACAGAAGAAGUGUUUAGGGAUUUUUCUAAUUCAAACGGGGAAAGCAACCGCCUGCAGAUUCUCCUGCAAUUCCUUGUGAAGCAUAAGGCGUGAGAAACAAUUUGUCUUCCUCAGCCUCUGGUUUUUCUCAAGCAUCAAAUAAUGUACCCAAAACUGGAGGCUCUGGGGGUGGCAGUGCUAGAAAAUAUUCCUUUGGAUAUAUUUGGGUAAGCACCAACGAAAGCCACAAAUGGAACAAGAAAAGAAUUAUCACCAUGAGAAGGGAGAGAUUUGAAACGCAGAAGACAAUCUUCAUAGGCUAUAUAAAUUUUUGGAUGGAGAACAUGUUUAAUCUCUUGGGCCUCGAAAUAAACAUGGUGGCCUUGCUCCUUGCCUCCUUUGCUUUGUUAAAUGCCAUUCCAAUGCUAUAUAUUGCACUUCUCGCUGCUUGCAUACUUCUGAAUCGCAAUGUCAUUCGGAAAUUAUGGCCAGCACUUGUCUUUUUGCUUGCUUCCAUUCUCGUCCUACAAUACUUUGUCAUUUGGAAGAGCACACCAUCUGCCAAUUCACAAACAUCAAGUAAGGCUGAGUCUGUAUUUCCUUUCGAAUUUUAUGAUUCUCCUGCCAGUAUGAAUGCUGAAAGUCUUCAUGUGAUGAAUUCAGCUGAUCAUUCAUUUGACUUUUCCGAUUGCGAGAUCAAUGAGGCUGAGAAGGAUGGUGGAGGUUCUUUAUAUGAUUCAGAUAAGAGAGCCAGAGGUCAAGCUGAGGAUAACUCUGUAGUUUCUGCUGUGCAGCUUUUAGGAGAUGGCGGUUAGUUCUCUUGUAACCUUCCCCGAACAUCAAGCCAGAAGACAUGGAUGCCAGGGGCAUACUCAAGCAGUCUCCCCUGCACCCGAUCAACGGCCAGGAUCACUUGACGAAGCAGCAGAAGUUCGCCAGAUCGAAGCUCCGGGUCUCCAUCAACCUGCCGGACAACGAAAUCUCCCUCCUCCGCAGCCGGCGGAACCUGAGCUUCAGCGAAUCGUCCGCCGGCGCCGGCGCCAGCGCCGAACCUCCGACUUCUCCUUCUUCAUCUCCCCACUCCUCGUCCUUGGCCUCAGCGUCGAUCGGUCGGAUCUUCAAAGGGAAGGCUCCGGCGACGGCGAGGGGGAGCCUCGAGAACGGCGGUAGCGGCGGUGACCCCGCGGGGGGCGGCAGGCGUAUAGGAGCACGAGGACGGUGGUGGAGGUGCUGCGGGAGCUGGACGCGGACAUAGUGGCGCUGCAGGACGUGAAGGCGGAGGAGGAGAGGGAGAUGAAGCCGCUGUUGGAGCUGGCAGCGGCGCUGGGGAUGAGCUACGCGUUCGCCGAGAGCUGGGCGCCGGAGUACGGCAACGCCGUCCUCUCCCGGAAGGUCCAAAAGAUAUUCGACGACACCGAUUUCAGGUCCGUCAUUUCGUUUUAUUUUAUUUUAUUUAUUAAUUUAUUAAUUUCCAUAUAAUUUUUACCUGUUAUUCUUGCUAUCAUUUUCGUAAUUAUGGUGACGAUGAUAUGCUCUCUUUCUCAUUGAGCAAGUGGUCUUCCUAGGCGAUUUCGAAAUUUAAAAGAUAUUUUCAUUUAUUUAUUGAGGCGUCCACCGUUGAAAGCGAAGUUUGAUAAUAUAUCAUAAAUUAAUAUUCCCUCUUGACAUAUUAUAUAAUUUUUUCUUACAUUUUUCCAAGUGAAAAGAUUAAUUGCGCAGACCCAUCUACAACGGUGCAAAUCCACUUUGGACAGUUGAAAUUUUCGUUAAAAUUAAGGUAAGGUGGAUGUAAUAAAAAUUCACAAGACCAAAAAAUAAAAGCAAAAACAUAAGCUUUUGCCUAGCCAUCAGAAUUUGUGGAUGAAAAUCUUGCUGUCACUUGGUUUAUAUUUUGUCUUUUUUUUUUUCCCUCCCCUUUUUUAACUGUUCUAUUUGGAAUUAUCUGAAUGGAGUUGUCCAGGAACUGAUCUGGGAAGAAUUUGGAAUAUUAUUCACGAGAACCCUACCACCAAAAAUUCAAGAAUUCCCCAAGGCUUUUCUCCCACAGCCUGUUUGCCUUUGUUCAACUUACGGAAAGCUAUCUGCAACAACUAUGGUGGGCCUUUCCAAGGAUCCCAGCACCAGCUGGAGCAAUGCCAGUCAGAAUUAAAAUAUAAAUUAAAUUAAAAAAAACCCAUUAUUUGCUUUCUAUGAUCUUAGAUAUGGGUUCUCCCAAAGAAUUGUCAUUUAUCAAUAAUAAUAAUAAUAAUAAUAAUAAUAAUAAUAAUAAUAAUAAUAUCUUCGGUUAUAACUAUUCGAAAUUCGUGCGAGUGUGUGUGAUGAAAGACUGUCUUGGACUUCUUUCAUUCCUCCUUUUUUCAUUUCUGGUUGCAUUUAGUGGGUUGAUGAGAGUCACCGUUGAAGAUCAUUUUGUACUAAUUGCUGAUAUAGUCAAGAGAAUGCUUAGGAACUGCUAAAUUACAUAUAUAUUUUUUGCUCUUUAGUAUUUAAAUAAGGAGUUGGGAAGAUAAACGAAGGAUAAGAUCUAUGACGUACAUUAAAUGAGGGCAGGGUAAGGUGUAUGUAGGUGGGACAGUAACGUGGGGAGGAUUUUGCUUUUGCUUUAUUUUAUGUAUUUGCCAAAUCAGAUGCUUGACCUGAAGACUGUGCAAGGACUACUCAUCUUCAAGGAAAACUACAUUUCUCUCAAGCGAGACAGACCAGAUAGAAUUAACUUGUUUGAGACAGCAAGCAAUUGCUCGUCAUGGAGUCAAUUUCCGAGACUUUUGCGUUCGAUUAAUUGAGCCACGCCUUAGAUAGUGAAGGGAUUAUGUGCUUUCGUUGCGCGAAAAUUCAGAAAAAGAAGAAAAGGGUGAAUUGAAAUAUAAUCGAUCGACGUAUUAAAUUGACUAGGAAUCAAAGUGGCUGUGAAGUUGAUAUGUUUUAUUAGGGAAAAGUACCAAAAAAGUCUUAAACCUAUUGCAUUAGUACCAAUUCAGACAUAAACUUUUCAAUUGAACCAAUUCAGUUCUAAACCUUUUACUAUUGGUACUAAUUCAGUCCAUUCGGCCAAUUUUGGCUAGCCGACGCUGACAUGGACGUCGGCCGGUGGCCGGACGCUGAAGUGGAAAUUUUUAUGAUUUUUUUUAAUUAUUUUUUCGAAUUUUAUUAUUAUUAUUUUUCUUUUUUCUUUUCUUUUUCCUUUUUUUUUUUUUGUCUUCUUCCUUGCGUUGGCCGGCGAGGGCUUCGCAGCCCUCGCCUGCCGCCGGCGAGAGUCGCGGCCCUUGCCCGGCCUCUCCCAGGGCCGUUGGUGAGGAGGCUUUGCCCGGAUCUAGGCAAGGCUAGCCUCGGCCGCGGCCCUGGGCGAGGCCGGGCGUGGGNNNNNNNNNNNNNNNNNNNNNNNNNNNNNNNNNNNNNNNNNNNNNNNNNNNNNNNNNNNNNNNNNNNNNNNNNNNNNNNNNNNNNNNNNNNNNNNNNNNNAAUUAAAAUCAAGCAACGGGUCACUAAAGCUGACCUUCACCAAUUAGUGCACCAUCAUUACCCUUUGACUAAUAUCGGUUCGUUUUGAUUUGUACGUGCGGUAGAAAUUUCCUAGAAGGAGAGACCCCUCUUAAUGACAUCCUAUGUAUUGAAUACGGCCAUGGAAGUUUAUGCAACUAUACGACUAUAUUAUUUUUACAAAAAUCUAAUUGCAUCCCUUUGGUAGCUGAACCCUCUACACAUUUUUCAAGGGAGAAUUACAAAAAAAAAAAAAAUCUUAAAAUUUAUUGCAAUUGUACCAAGUUAGUCAUAAACUUUUUUAUAAUUGUAAUAAUUCAGUCCAUCUGGCCGGCCAACGCAAGGAAGAAGAUAGAAAAAAAAAAGGAAAAGAUAAAAAAUUAAUAAAAAAUUCGAAAAAAUAAUUAAAAAAUCAUAAAAAUUGUCACGUCAGCGUCUGGCCACCAGCCGGCGUCCACGUUAGUGUCAGCCGGCCAAAAUUGGCCGGAUGGACUGAAUUGGUACCGAUAGUAAAAUGUUUAGGACUAAAUCGGUUCAAUUGAAAAGUUUAGGACUGAAUUGGUACCGAUGCAAUAUGUUUUGGACUUUUUUGGUACUUUUCCCUAUUUUAUUACAUAUGAAUGUUCUGAAGGCAACAAUAGAAGUGCCCCAUGUUGGGGAAGUGAACUUCCAGUGCACCCACCUGGAUCAUCUCGACGAGAACUGGCGGAUGAAGCAAGUCGGCGCCAUCAUCCAGUUGAGCGACUCUCCCCACAUCUUGGCCGGUGGCCUCAACUCUCUCGACGAGACCAAUUACUCGCAAGAUUGGUGGACCGACAUCGUCAAGGUAUGUACAUUUCUAUCAUGUUUGAUGUGAUAUUCGUUAGCACGUCAAACUCGAUUACUAAAUAGCUUAAGCUACGGCGAUUUUGUAAUCAUGGGCACCUGUGUUUGUUACAAAACUAUGAAGAGAUGGGAAAACCGACCCCAAAGGUUGAAGUCAUGAGGUUUCUGAAGAGCAAGCAAUUCACGGAUGCUAAGGACUUUGCCGGAGAAUGCGAGUCCGUGGUCGUCAUUGCCAAAGGACAAAGUAAGAACUCACUUGUUUGCUUUCCCAUGUUUCGAUUUUUCUUUUUCGCUUUGUCAAAUGGCUAAUCUAAGGUGCUUUUCGAGCACAAUGCUCCUUUCCUUUCGCUCUAAGAUAAGAUGAUUGGCUUGAAUGGACAUAAAUUCAUAACAUUUGAAGCAUGAUGAUCAUGUUGAAUAUGUACAUCCGUUGUUGUCAUCACUUUGUCGAUAUCAACCUCUGAUGUGAAAAUCCGUGGUAUAAAAAUUGAAGUCCAAAAUAUUUUUUUCGGGUGAUUACUGUCUGAACAUGUAAUUUGAAACUGUCUAUUCUAUUGUAGGUGUGCAAGGGACAUGCAAAUAUGAAACGAGGGUGGACUACAUACUAGCGUCAUCAGAUUGCCCAUACAAGUUCGUUCCAAGGUCAUAUUUGGUCCUGUCAUCGAAAGGGACAUCAGAUCACCACAUCAUAAAGGUCGACGUAACGAAAUGCAAAAACAACCCUCCCCAUGAAAGUAAUGGCAACGACAAUAAAAUUACCAAGAAAAGGCGACGACAGCGUAAGCACCAAGCCGUUGUAAAGAUCUCCGGCAUAGCUCCUCCUUCAAAGGGUAUAUGGACAGCGAACACAUUAAGCAAAGUCGAAUGACAUUAUGUCACGCCCCGAACCUCGAGCGUGCCAACAUCCCGCCAUGGUCAUUCAAAUGCGACGUUCCCAGGUUAAGUCGCCGACCCAAUCAAUUCUUUAAUGCACAUGCGGAAGCAUAUUAUAAAACCCCUGACAAUAAAAUAUGGGAUAGAAAAACAGGAAGCAAUUUCACAACAAUACACUUUCAUAAAUCAACGGAGUUACAAACGAAGGCCUAUAGCCAAAAGUCUCCAAAAGAUCGGCUCUUAAAAAGGAACUGUCCUAUAACCUACAAGUCGGACACGUUCUCUAAUCCUCCUUACUUCACCUCUGCAACUCCUCAAGGCCGGCCAACCAAAGCGAUCUGGUCGCUCCAUCCACAAGGGACCUGAAAAUGUUGGCCCACAAUGGGAUGAGACAUUGUCUUAGCAAGUUCAACCCCCUAAACCCCUAUUAGAAAAAAAAUACGCCCAAGAAUGGCCUAGCCACACCACAUAGAGGAUUUACUUCGCCUCAGUUCAUUCCUGUAGGUUAACACAAUUCAUAUCACUCAAUCACAUGUUCAUAUCACCAACCACAUGCAUGAAUACGAACUUAAACAACCAGAACGCCUUCGCUUUCAUAUAACUGACAACCACAGGGUCCUGAUUAUAAGACUAAAUCGUUAUGACACGUCCCAUUCCAUGCCACACAAUUCCGUCCCAUAAUCCGACACAUCAACAACACUCAACAUGCAUUCCAAUUGUUAUUCACUACCACACAAGGGCAUAGCCUACUCGCAGUUCAGCUAUCUACUGGCAUAUAGCUAGGCAUCACCUCCCCACCUUGGAGCGUAGCUUCGUCAGUAUGUCGAUGGCGUUCCCGAAGGAGCAUGGGCCCAGAAUCAACUGCGACCCGCAACCACUACGUGGGCAUCCCAUAUAGGGGCAAGUCUGGCUCAACAGCCUAGGAUGAUCUCCUCUUAAUUAUUACACAACAAUUCAUAUUCUGCCCGGGACACUUUGCAUUUCAUUCAAUGCUUUCACUUAAAAUAGUGAUCCCGGCCAUUUUUUUAAUAUUAAAAAUACUCCAGAAAUUAACCAUGUGUGUGGGGCAUGUUAAUUUCGAUCCAGAAAACCAAUAUCUCACUUUUUCAAACCCCACUAUUUAAUAUAAUAUUGAAAAUUCAAUUUUUGCAUUAAAAUCCGACACUUGGGUUUUUAUGAAUAAAAUCCCUAUUUAUCACAAUCAACACUCAAUUUGCCACAUCCAUUCAUCAAAUUCAAAUUCUAAAUGCACAGCAGCGAUUCGCACGAAAUUCUGACAAAAUAAGGUCUCGAAAUAAUUUUUGGAAUUUAUUAAAUAAUUAAAUUUAUUCCGAAAAUUAAUUAAAUAAUAAAUCCAUAUUUUUUACGAUCCACACUCAAUUUAUAAUAUCCAAUCAUCAAUUUCAAGAUCUGACUACAUAGUAGCGACCGGCGCGAAAUUCUGAGAAUUUAGGGUCUUGACAAAAUUUUCGGAAUUUAAUAAAUAAUUAAAUUUUAUUCCGAAAAUAAUUAAAUAAUAAUAUUUUAAUAAUUUCGAAUAAUAAUAUAUUAUUAAAUUAUUUAAUAAUUUCGAAAUAUUUAAAUAAAUCAAAAGUAAAUUCCUUUAUGUCAAAUCACCAUUAUACUAAUAUAAACUUCAAUUUAACCUUAAUUAAACAUACUUUAAAUUAAACUAACCUCUUAAUCUAAUUCACAAUUAAAUAAACUAAACUAACCACAUAAGCUUACUUAACUUAGACUAAGCAUAUUUAGGGCAUCAUUAACCCUCUAAUCAAGAUUUAGUGAGUUAAACUCACUCAAAUGACGAGCCAAGCGGACCAAAACGAUGGGGACGCCGAGGGGAACAACUUCCUUCAAAGCGGGCCAAGCAUCCGGGGUUGGGAAGCCAGCCAAAACGGGCCAAAAUCGGGCUGAGAAACCCACUAAAACUAGCUGCUAUCCAAGCUCGGGGGAGGACUGUCCGGCGGCGAUUCGGGCGCGGGGGUGGCAGAGAGAGGCGGCGGCAACUCGGGCGGUGGCUCACGGCGGCCUAGCAGGAUCUCCGGUGACGGCUAGCAGCUCGGGACAACGGAUGAUGGUUGUUGGCUCGCAGACGAAGCAGGGACGGGAGGGCAGAGCAACUCGCGCACGGGACGGCAGCGAGCGGGCGCGGUGCGCGGGCGACGACGACAGCACCGUCGACGGCGGCAACGAACAAGCGGACGGAGGGGUGGACGAAGGGGGCGUCAGGCUGCUGGUUCCGGUCGAAGUUCCCCCCUCUCUCUCCUCCAAAGUCCAAAGGAAGAAGAUGAUGUUGAUGGGUACUUUUUUAGGGCCAAUCUACACCAUCCACUUGUCCAAAUCUCCUUCAAUUUGGCCCAACCACCAUGACAUCACAUGAUGUCAUACUCCACUAUCCAAAUUCUUCCACAACCUUUCUCCAAUAGGUCCAAUUUCCUUUUCCGCCGAGGCAUGAAACCUUGUAUAUUAAUUUCUUUAAUUCCAUUCAAUUCUCUUCCAAUUGAGUCAAAUUGAAGUCCAUAAAUUAAUCCAAUGUCACCACACUUUAAUUCACACCCUCACUUGUCCAUAGAACCCUCUUAAGUCCCAAAAGCACGAUCAAGGGUGGGCCUACUAAUUUCUCGAGCCAAAAUAGCCAUUCUCUGAUUUAAUUGUUGAAAAAAUUCUGAUUACAUGAAAAAUCUUCCGAAGAUGAGUCAAUGAUCCUAAAAUGAUUUGUGACACACUAGGACUUCCAAUUUCUAAAUUCGAUAUUAAUUUCACGAUUAAUUUCACUUUGGCAUGAUACUAGCGCAUCCUGAUCUACCGGGUAGCCUUUAGAAAUUUUCAUGCAUUUAACCUGUGGUUGAUCAAUUCAAGCCACAAUGUACAUCUUUGAAACAUUUGCGACUUUCGGUUGUCGGGGUAAAAUCAAGGUUUCAAAUACGGACACAGGGUACCCAAUCGACAGAAAAGUCAGUCCAGUGCCGAUCAACAAGAAUUGUGCGAUCUGGUGGAAUCACCCACACCUGAUCACAUGCCUCUGUCGAGUCAACCUAUCUCCGGUCUCUAAUCGAUUUUUAAUUGUGCCGUAAUGACCCUUGCAGAUUAGCUCGGUCGAAAGGUCGCUUCCUGAUCAAAUUCUCGAGUCUGAUGCAUUAGAAUCUCUUAACGGCUUCACCUAAUAGACUAGUUUUCACAUGAGUGGCCGACCCAAGGAAAAUAACUAUAUGCGUACCAACGACAUGCCCAUCUCAAUUUAUUGAAAAUAGAAUUGGAAAAUCGGGAUGUCACACAUUACAUGUUGUUGCGAUGGGGCAAGCGAUCGAACAAAAUAUACACGGAAGAAGAAAAAUAAAUCGGACACCAGAUUUACGUGGUUCAGACGUAAAGACCUACGUCCACGGGGAGAGCAUCAGUGAAUUUCACUAUAGAUCAAGCGAUACAAGGAGAUUACACACUCGAGUCACUCAAACACUCUCUCGGUGUUUCCCAAGCCCCAAUUACACCCAAUAACGCACCCAGUGUUUAGCCCCGAAAUUCCUCGAAAAUAAUCUCUCAAUCUCACGAAGGAAUUACAUGCAAAUCUUACCUCAAGAUUUAAUCGACUACAAACACUAAACUUCUUGGAUGUAAUUGCACAAACGAAAAACAAUAAGCCCACUUUCAAGCACUCGAUAUUUGGUGCUUCAAGUUUGCUUGCAUCAACAACGGCGGAACAAGCACUCACGCGGCGCUUCAAGAUGUGGCUUCGCUGAAGAGAGUCCUAUGAGCAAAAGUUAUAUAUAUAUGACCGCCAGAGAAUUGCAUGCAUGGAAGAAAACCGAAUAAUCCAAGAUUCGGUCAACAAAGAAGAAAGAUUGACUUUCCUCUUUGGUUCCAAGCGGCAGAGUUGGAUGCUGCUUUCUUCGUAGCCUUAUUUUUUUCUCAUUUUUUUUUAAUUAUUUCAAAAUUCAACUUUUCGCUUGGGGCUUAAACUCGAGUCAUAAAUUUAACAAUCUCCACCUUGGCUCGACGUUUGAGCCAAAUUACAAUCGCUUCGUAAAAAUUCAAAUUCUGCCGCUACUUUCCCAUAGCCCUCGACGGGCUCAACUGCCACAGAUAUUAUCCAAGUCCAAGCCUCGCUUGAACUUUGCUAUAAUCGAGGACCUCAUCAUAAUACCAACUCCACAUGCACCUUUAACUGCUCGACAAGGAUUUUUCGACACAACCUCCUCAAUCACAGAUAAAGUAAAACCAUUAUUGCAUCUAUAUUUGUCAGGAGAUCAAAUACAUACCUUGUUAAUUUCAGCAGUUACAGCAACUGUUGGCUCUAUAGGCUCCACCUCACUAUGAGCACCAUCUGUGUUGAUUACUUUGCUAGUACUCGUACUCGCUACCUCAGGAGUUUUUGGUUGCAACUCCACCUCAAGCUGAACACCGUUCAGAUCUGUAUUAACACUGCCAUAAACACUCCUAGCUAGAACUAUCGAAGACUUCUCAAUAGUAAGUUCUCUACUAUCAACAGGUGAAUUUAUAUCCGGGCACCACAACUGAUCGCCCCACUCACCUUGUGCAUAGCCAUGGAAUAUGCACCUUGCCCUCCUAUCGAGCUUACCAUCACUCACUCGAAAAUAACACGGGCAACCAAAUAUUCUAAGAACAGAAUAAUCGGCAACAUUACUUGAUCACACUUCUUCAGGAGUCUGCCAUUCAAUAGUAGUUGAUGGGGAUCUAUUCACUAGGUAGCUUACCAUACUUAGCACAUCAGCUAGGAUUCUCCUAGCUAUACCAGCACUAGAGAUAAUUUUUCGGGCCAUCUCUAGUAAUGUUCUGCUCAUCAAUUCUGCAAAUUGUUGUGAUUUACUAGCACUAGUGUAGUGUUUCACUAUGCUCUCUUUCAUGCAGUCAGCUCCGAGCAAAACUCCAUGUUAUUGUCAGUCCGCACAUGCUUGAUCGACUUACCAGUCUCUGUCUCGAUCAAAGCUCUUGACUGCGAGAUCCUGACACCAGCAUCAAACUUGUGCCUUGGCACAAACACCCAAGUCUUCCUCGAGCAGUCAAAAGACUCUCGAACAGAUGCAUCCGACGUCUCCGCAGCGAAAUUUAUCACUGUCUCACCUCGAAGUUUAUACAGGCCAUCGUGCUUGAUUUCUUUCAUUAUCACCAGGGCACCUCGAACAACCUUCAGAAUUCCACCUUUUGAAGAAUAUUUGCAACUAGCUGAAUCUAGGGCACCCAAGGAAAUUAAAUUAUUUUUCAAUUCUGGAACAUGCCUCACUCCAGUCAAUGUCCUCACGAUACCAUCAUGCAUUCUGAUUUUAACAUCACCAACACCCACAACGUCGUACUCAGCAUUAUUCCCUAACUGGACUUUACCACUACCCGCGCACUGAUAAGUGAUAAACCAGUUUCUAUUUGGUGUGACAUGAAAAGAACAACCAGAAUCCAUAACCCAUCCAUCAAGUGAUGAAUCACUAGUGACAGACAAGACAUAAUCGGCAUUAUCUGCUACAGCUGCAACAUUAUCUGCAGAAUCAACUAUAAUUUCCUUACCAUUAUCAUUCUUCAGCUUAAGGCAAUCCCUUCUAAGAUGCCCUCUCUUGCCACAGCUCCAACAGACAACAUUAGCAGUCCUAGAUUGACUACGUCUGUUCAUAUUAGUACUACCAUUACCCAUGCGUGUUACAGAUCUUCCUCUAUUUCCACCUACUAGAGCAGUAGAUACAGAUUCGCCAGAUUCUUUUCUACGAAUAUCCUCGCUCAGAAUUAAAUCUUGAACCCCAUCAAACGUCAAACUUGUUGACCCAAAGGAAUUACUAACAACAGUAACGGUAGUAUUCCAACUAUCAGGCAAUGAAGAUAAUAGAAUCAAAGCACGUACCUCAUCUUCAAAAUCAAUCUCAACUGAACUCAAUUGACUAACAAUCACAUUGAAUUCAUUGGUAUGAUCUGCAACUAACGCACCUUCUUUCAUCUUCAAGUUAAACAGACGUCGCAUCAAACAGACCUUGUUGAUCGCAGAGGGCUUCUCGUACAUAUCCGACAAGGCUUGCAUCAAAUCAGCAGUGGUCUUCUCCUUCAGGAUAUUAAACGCGACGUUACGAGCCAACGUCAGCCGAAUAACACCCAUAGCUCGUCUAUCCAGCAAAUCCCAAUCAGCUUGCUUCAUCGUCUCUGGUUUCUCCUCAAAUAAAGGCAAGUGCAGAUUCAUCUGGUAAAGAUAAUCUUCAAUCUGCAUCUUCCAGAAACUAAAAUCAUUCCCAUCAAAUCUGUUGAUUCUCACUUUUACUUAUUCUGUCGCCAUCGAUUCGCUUCAACUUAGCCAAGCUUGGCUCUGAUACCACUUGUUGCAAUGGGGCAAGCGAUCGAACAAAAUAUACACGGAAGAAGAAAAAUAAAUCGGACACCAGAUUUACGUGGUUCAGUCGUAAAGACCUACGUCCACGGGAAGAACAGCGGUGAAUUUCACUAUAGAUCAAGCGAUACAAGGAGAUUACACACUCGAGUCACUCAAACACUCUCUCGGUGUUUCCCAAGCCCCAAUUACACCCAAUAACGCACCCAGUGUUUAGCCCCGAAAUUCCUCGAAAAUAAUCUCUCAAUCUCACGAAUGAAUUACAUGCAAAUCUUACCUCAAGAUUUAAUCGACUACAAACACUAAACUUCUUGGAUGUAAUUGCACGAAUGAAAAACAAUAAGCCCACUUUCAAGCACUCGAUAUUUGGUGCUUCAAGUUUGCUUGCAUCAACAACGGCGGAACAAGCACUCACGCGGCGCUUCAAGAUGUGGCUUCGCUAAAGAGAGUCCUAUGAGAUAUAUAUAUAUAUAUAUAUAUAUAUAUAUAUAUAUAUAUAUAUAUAUGAGACCGCCAGAGAAUUGCAUGCAUGGAAGAAAACCGAAUAAUCCAAGAUUCGGUCAACAAAGAAGAAAGAUUAACUUUCCUCUUUGGUUCCAAGCGGCAGAGUUGGAUGCUGCUUUCUUCGUAGCCUUUUUUUUUCUUAUUUUUUUUUAAUUAUUUCAAAAUUCAACUUUUCACUUGGGGCUUAAACUUGAGUCAUAAAUUUAACACAUGUAUAUCGCCCUUUUCUUUCCACUCUUUUCUUAGUUGCUUCUCCUAUUUUUGCCGUUGAGUGAUCUUAGGCAUGCUGGCUUCGUCAAUCUCUGUGUAAAUCUACGAUUGUUUUGUGCAUCUUGUCUUCUGUUUUUGUUUGUUUGUUUGUUUUGUUAUUUUUUUCUUUUCAGUUUAGAGUUGAAGAGGGGAGGGUUCUGGUGUGAUGGCUUCCUCACAUCUGUAUAGAUUUCGACAUGACAGAAGCGAAUUCUUACGUUUCAACUGGGCAUUGGAGCUGAGCGGUUCUGGCAAGUUCUUUUUCAGUAUUUUAUGCCUUUUCUUUUCGCUUGUAAUCUUAAUUGCAAGAUUCAGAUUAGUUUUGCCGGGGUGACAUCUCAAGUUGACUUUGCUGAGAUUGAGUUUAGAGAAUGCGAUCAUGUAUCUUUAAAUUUAACCGAAAAUUGAAAAGUUUUAGAUUAAAGUCCUUGGAAUAAAAUUGCAAAUUUCGAAAAUUGAAUUUUUUUUGUUAAGUUCGACAUUUGAGGGAUUUGAUAAAAGACCCAAAAGAUUUCAAAUGAAAUACCUUUAAAAAGCAAAUAAGGAAAAAAAAAAAAAGCUGUGAAAUCUGGUAAUUAUGAAUUCUAAACAUCCGUGACAGUAUUGCUCAAAAAAAAAAAAAAAAACAUCGGUGACAGUAGUCAAUGUUUUAAUUUUUUUUUCUCCGGUCUUGAAAUUAGCAUUGGAGAGAAGAAAAGUGGUAAGUUAGUGCAAUCUACUUCGACAUCUUAACAAAUACCUUCUGUGAUCUCUAAAUGGAGCCUUAAUGAGCAUUAUAAGUAAAAGUGUAAUGAAAAGAGAAAGAAAUAGAUUUUCUAUAUAAUAGACAUUGUUGGCUGAUGUAUCAUGCUAAUUAGCUUAUGAAUAAAAAACUGCCGCUCCCUUAUAAUGGUUAGCAAACUGCGCCCCUUGCAUUAGCAUAGUAGAGGAAGCAAGUAUCUCUCAGUUGGCGUAUACUCUUCAAUUGAUCCUCCUUGAUGUAAUUUAUAUGGAUUGAAUUAUUUAUUUCGAUUUUGCUUGGGAUCUCAAUUUAGAAAAUCAUGGGAUCUAAAGCUCAGAUAACAACAAGAGGAAUUAAAAAAAAAAAACAGUUAAGACAUUGCGUCAAUAUCGUUGACCGGUAAGAAUCCCAGUACUUGCGACCUUGCAGGUCUGCUACUCGGGACCUCACUAAUAUAUGACAUAAAAAUAAAAAUAAAUUUAAAAAUUUUUUUUAAAUUAAUCAUUAAUAUUUGAUAAUUCUGCCGUUUGUUUAAGGGCUAUGCUAGUAGGUCACAUGACACAUCCAAUGACGUUUUCACUGCACAUGUUCAUGUUUUUUUUUUUCUAUAGUGAUAUGGUCAGUUAUUAAAAUGUUGUAUUUUUUUCCCUUUUUGUUGCGAAUUUCCCUUCUAUAAAUCAUGAACACGAACACGAGCACAAAAUUUUUUCGUCGAAAUAAUUGGUCUAUUCAACACCUGCUGAUACAUUUAAUUGUUUUCUAUAUCAUGAAUAAAUUAUUAAGUGAUGAUUGGACAAAUCAUUAAAUAGAAAAAUCUCUUGACAAAAAGUAUCCUAGAUUAUCUCAAGCGAAGAUCUAGACAUACAUUAUUGUAUUUUAGGGUACAAGAUUGGCUGUCUCUUUGUCACUGAUUUUGUAAGUGUCCUAUUGCCUUUGGAUGGUAAUUCUUUUUGUAACUGUUCGACUUUAAAGUCGGCAAUGACCAGGAGUAACCAUCUUUGAUCAAGCCCUCUUAAGUGAACACUUAAAAAGAAUUAGUCUCUUAAUCACUGGAAUUGUGUUAAAUCAAAGGUAUUGUUUGUAGAUAUCAUGAAUAAUGGAAAAUUUUCCAAAAAUGUCCUAAAUCUAUUGCACUUUAGCCAAUUAAGUCAUAAAAUUUUUAAUUACGUCAAUUGAAUCCUAAACCUUUUCACAUUUUGCCAACUAAGUUUAUUGGGCCAAUUUUAAGAAAAAACCACUGAUGUGAACACCGGCCAUCUUAUGUAGGAUGAUAGAUACUAAUGUUGGCAAAUUCUUAUAAUUUUUUUAAAAAAUGGAUUUUUUUUUUUAUUUUUUUUUAUUUUACCAUGGCUUGUGAGAGUCGUCAGGUCCUAGCAGCUACUAGCGAAGACUCAGUGACCCUCGCCGGACAUGGCAAAAAAAAGUAAAGGAGGAAAAGAGAAGAAAAUAAAUAAGGUUCGUAAUGGUCAUGAGUAAACGGUCAGGAUGAGCAACGAUAUUAAAAAGCACUCGUGUAGUUCUUCGCCCGUUAGUAUGCUAAACAUGGAAAAUGUCGAAUCAACAUCAAUUUAACACUGUCUUUACUCGAAUAGCUACAGAACUAUGUAAGAAAACACAAGGAACAAGAAGAGAAUCCUGAAGCUCUAGACACGGCAUGACCAUGAAAAAUCCACCGAGAGCUGGUUUUUGUCCUCGGAGUAGAUGUGAAAAAUGUGGCAGAAUUAAAGAAUAAGCAGAGAUUCUUCGUAUCUAGCACUGUAAGCUUGCUCGAUGUAGAGUGAAACAAAGGGACAUUGCAUAGAAUUUGUACCUAUAUGAAGUUCACGAUGGCCGGGAGCAAUCCGCGCCCCAUGACCUCAACUUAAGUGCAUCACCGUAUCAAUAAUCAGUUCUUCCACAAGUGGAAUUGAUACGCAAUUUAUGCCCGAAUUGUCCUCUAUUCACCUUUCACUUGGGGACGGUUUUCCAUGAAUCUCUUCCAGCUCCUCGAGCCUGUUAUUGAGGGCUCUUCUAAGUGAGGCCAUCUGUAUAUGAUCGUUUGCUUCUGGAAAUCGGUUUAUGGAGACCUUGAAGUUCAGCCUAUGAAUUUUGCUGUACACUAGACGGGUCCUGUUGCCGUACUGCGAACACUUAUGUGAGGUUUCAAAUGUUCUCGCCUUCCUCUCAUGGUGCAGCAGAGCAACAAAUGUCAAAGGAAUUGGAAGAGACAGUUCCACAGCCUCCUGUCACAAUGAAUGGUCUUUCUCAUCAGGAUGAUUCUCCAAUGAGCGUGAUGAACUGCAGGAAUAAGUAAGAAACUCGAUUCUUGAGAUGUUUCUGUCUCAUAUCGUUUACUUUUUCUCCAUUGCGUCGAACAUAGUACCUACUCUAGUGAUUAGCUUAACUUUUCAUUUCAAUCUGAAAGCUACUUACCUACAUUUAUAGGAUUCUUAAUAUAAAUUACCGGCUUGUGCACACUAUCUUACUUGGCGAAUUCUGUCAUCUGCACUAGUUUAAAUACAUGCAUCAUUCGAGAGCGCAAGUGCCUUUGAUGGCUUAUGGCCUGAGGCAUGGCGUAAUUGUUUUUUUGCCUCGUCAAAGUGUUGCUUCAGAGGACCUGAAUAUUCUUUUGAAAGUGAUGCUUCAGAGGACCGGAAUAUUCUUUUGAUAGGAAUCGUCUGUUUAGAUGAUCAUAAUUGCUAUCAUUGGUAGAACACACUACCAAUAACAACAUGAUAGUCGCUGUGUGCAUUCUAGUCGAACAACGUAGUUUCAACUUUGGGUUGCGAUGCUAACUGUGCUCGCACUUGUGGUUCUAAAAUGUUGAUGAACAGAGCUGAAUCUGACAAGCUACUAGCCAUUCCUGUCGGUUUUGUUGGAUCAGAAGAGGUGGUAAGGUCUGCUCCACAUCUUGUACCUGGCGGUAAGCUUGCUUGUCCUUCAGUGGAAGAACAAGGAAUGAGAAUAAAUGCUGCAUUAGACACUGCACAUGCACCAAUUUCUCAUCUCUCGAACCUCAUUGCCAACGGUCACCGGGCUGCAAACUUCAGGGGACCUUUCCAACCAUCAGACUUUUAAGGCUCGAAGUUUGAGCCACUUGGAUUCAUACCCUAUCCCUUACUUUCUCUGAAGGUAUUUAUGAUAUUUAACACUUAGCUCGACAUUCUGCGUUGUCGAUUGUACUUGGUUUGGACUACCUACUGGUGAAUCUCUUCAUGUAAAGGUUUGGGUUGGAAUAUUACUUGUCAGCAUAGUUUCAUAGACACGGUAAUUCUGUUCUUUUACCCAUCAGUGCAUUCGACUCGUGGUGCAACAAAUCUGAAAAAAGCUUUUAAUAUGCUAUUCGAGAGUCAGCUUUCAGCAGUGAUCUUGAACAAUUUCGUGUUCUCCAAACCGAGACUUGUUUAGAGUCAUUGAAAGCCUUCAAUUUAUGACGUUGUACUAGGAAGGUCCUUUCUGCUUUAUAUGUUUCUAGAUACUUUAAAAACCAUCUAAAGUAAUUGAAAAGACCAUGCGCAAAAAGUUAAUUGCUGUUGUACUUGGCGAGGUGACCCAACUUCUCUAUGUAUUCUUACUCCUGAAGAAUGGCGUUGUUUGUAGCUUCCAUUCAGGAGUACCUUGCUAAUUCGGCAUCAGGUCAAGUGUCACGCCCCGAACCCCGAGAUACGUGAACAACCCGCCAUGGCAAUGUAAAUGCGACAUUCCCAGAUAGUGUCGCCGACCCCAUUCAAUUAUUAUGCGCAUGCUGAACGUACUAAGAAACCUCUGACAAAACUUACGGGAUAGGACAGCAGGAAAAAUCAAUUCAAAAACAAACCAACAUACUUUCAUAUAUCAUCUUUCCAGAGUUUACAUACACCAACAGGAUCAGAGACUAUAUGCACCAAAAAUGGGUCAAAGUUCAUGUGCAUCAAAAAGGGUCAAUCUGCACAACAGGGAUCGGUCCACCAAAAAGAGGGACGGCCCUAUGACUACUAGUCGGACUCGUUCGUCGAUCCCACAUCUUCCACAUCUGACUGCACUGGGUCCAGGGACGAUGGUUGUCCACCCUACAUUAGAAAGGUCAGCUACACCUUCACCCAAAUAGCAUCCACCACAACAAGUGGAAUAUCAAAAAUUAACACGAAGAAAAAAGUACAGCGUUAAGCCAAGAGGAUUCACACGAAACUCCAAUUAUCAUGAAUGCCAAACGACAUCCAUUGUCAUUUAUAGCAUAUGGACCUAAGAAUUUUAAACGAAAACACCANNNNNNNNNNNNNNNNNNNNNNNNNNNNNNNNNNNNNNNNNNNNNNNNNNNNNNNNNNNNNNNNNNNNNNNNNNNNNNNNNNNNNNNNNNNNNNNNNNNNNNNNNNNNNNNNNNNNNNNNNNNNNNNNNNNNNNNNNNNNNNNNNNNNNNNNNNNNNNNNNNNNNNNNNNNNNNNNNNNNNNNNNNNNNNNNNNNNNNNNNNNNNNNNNNNNNNNNNNNNNNNNNNNNNNNNNNNNNNNNNNNNNNNNNNNNNNNNNNNNNNNNNNNNNNNNNNNNNNNNNNNNNNNNNNNNNNNNUACGGACCUGUAAUAUUUUCCCCACAACGGGGGGGAGACCAUUAUCUCAGUAAGUUCACCCUCUGAAACCCCUAUUAGAAAGAAAAAUACGCCCAAGAGUGGGUCUACCCACACAUCAUAAAAGACUUAUCUCGUCUUAUUUCCUUCCAUGCAGGUUAGUACAGUUCAUAUCACUUAAUCACAGCUAGUAAUAAGAACUUAAAUCAUUGAAAUGCAAUCAAUUUCACAUAAUGCACAAUCACAGCAAGAGUUCCAAAUCAUUAUUCACCGCCACACAAGGGCAUAGCCAACUUGCAGUUUAACUAUCUACUGACAUUAAUGCCCAGGCAUCGCCUCCCCCCUUGGACCGCGGCUUCAUCACCACAUUGACGGCAUUCCCGAAGGAGCAUGGGUCCCAGUUGGCCUAGCCUCUACUGCGACCCGAGCCACGUCACUCUGUUAACGGCGUUUCUAGAAGAAUAAAGGUCCAGUUGGCCUAGUCACUACUACGACCGAGUCUUUUAACCAGCACACGACAAUUCAAUACUAAUCCCUGGAUACUUCACAUUUCACUCACAUACUCCAAUUACAAUAUUAACCCUUAAAAAUCCAAUUUCGGUGCCAAACCUGACACUUGAGAUUUUCUGAAUAAAAUCCCUAUUUUUUUUCACAAUCAACACUCAAUUUGUGUUAUCCGCUCAUUAAAUUCAAAUUCUAAAUACACAACAGCGAUCAGCACGAAAUUCUGAGCAAUUGAUGUCAAAAAUAAUUUUUCGAAUUUUUUUAAAUAAUAAUAUUUUAAUAAUUUUCAGAAUAUAAUAUAUUAUUAAAUAAUCCAAUAAUUUUGAAGCAUUUAUUUAAAUCAGAAAUAAAUUCCUUUAAGUCACAUCAAGGCUUAUAUUAAAAUAAACAUACUUAACUUUAAACUAAACACACUUUAACUUAAUUAAACACUUUAAUCUAAUCCACAACUAAAUAAACUAAUCUAACCACCUAAUCUCAAUCAACAUAAGCUAAACACGCUUAAGGCAUCAUUAACCCUUUAAUCAAGAUUUAGUGAGCUAAACUCACAGAAAUCGCUUUCCGACGAGUCCCCGGCGAAGAGCACGAUGAUGUUGACGACAAAUCUACACGGAGCAACACUAAAUGAGGACCGGAAGGCACCCAAAACGGCCCUCAAAGAUCCGGACUCGAGCUGGAACUCCGGUUGCUGUUUGGGGUCGGAUGGAGGCGGCUUGGCGGUCGGUUAGGCGCGAAACCGGCGGAGAGGGGCUGCGGCAGCUCGGGCAACGACCGGCGGUGGCUCGGGCGGUCUUGGCUAGCUCCGACAGUGGUUGGCGAACGGUGAGCAGCGGCUGGUGGCUUCGGACGACAACGCUGGACGGAGGACGAAGGCGGAACAGCUUGCACGCGGGACAGCGCGCGCGCGGUCGUGCGCGGAUGAGUGGCGACGGUGAACUCCGGCAACGAAUGGCUAGCGGUAACGAGCGAGAGGGCGAAGGGCAGUCGGCUAGCCUGGUCCGGUCGCUCUCUCUCCCCCCCCCCCCCAACUCGUUGAUUUCUGGAGUUUUAAUUAGCCUUGAUACGGUGAUGGGGAGAUGUAUGCGAGGAGACGUGAGAAAGAUGUUCAGUACCAGUUUCUAAAUAUGAAAAAUGGAUUCUUGCUAAGGUGGAAGCUCCACUACCUGUGAUGAANNNNNNNNNNNNNNNNNNNNNNNNNNNNNNNNNNNNNNNNNNNNNNNNNNNNNNNNNNNNNNNNNNNNNNNNNNNNNNNNNNNNNNNNNNNNNNNNNNNNCACAUUUGCACCCUCCAUAUGUCACCACCCUAGCCAAUCUUGCCCCACGCCAUGACAUCACUUGUGAUGUCACAAUCCACUAACUCCAACCUCCCACAACCUUAGUCCAAUAGAUUCAAUUUCAUUUUCCGCCAGGGCAUAGAAUCUUGUAUAACAACUUCUUCAAUUCCGCUUGAUUCUCUUCCAAUUUAAUCAAAUUGAAGUCCAUAAAAUUAAUCCAAUGUUCCUAAUAAGAUUUGUGACACACCAUGACUUCCAAUUUCAGAAUUCGAUCUCACUUUCACGGUUAAUUUCAUUUUGGCACGAUACUAGCGCGUCUUAGUCUAUUGGGCAGCUUUUAGAAAUUUUAAUGCAUUUGACCUGUAGUUGAUCAAUUCAAGCCGCAAUGUACAUCUUUGACACAUUGAUGACUUUCAGUUGUCGGGGUAAUCUCAAGGUUUCAAAUAUGGGCACAGAGUACCAAAUCGACAGAAAAGUCGGUCUAAUGCCGAUUGACAAGAAUUGUGUGAUCUGGUGGAAUCACCCACACUUGAUCACAUGCCUCUGUCGAGUCAACCUAUCUCCAGUCUCUAAUCGAUUUUUAUUUGUGCCGUAAUGACCCUUGCAGAUUAGCUCGGUCGAAAGGUCGCUUCUUGGUCAAAUUCUCGAGUUUGAUGCAUUAGAAUCUCUUAACGGCUUCACCUGAUAAAUUAGUUUUCACAUGAGUGGCCAACUCAAGGAAAAGAACUAUUUGCGUGCCAACGAAAUGCCUGUCUCAAUUAUUGAAAAUAGGAUUGAAAAAUCAGGAUGGCACAACUCUUCUCCUCUUAUAAAAAUUUCGUUCUCGAAAUUUAAACCAUUACACUUCUUAAGCAAAAAGGUGGGGGUACAAUUGUCUCAUCGAAUCUUCGAUUUCCCAAGUUGCUCCUUCAGUAUCGUGGUGUUGCUAGACCACUUGACCAACGGGAUGGUCUUGGUGCGCAGAACCUGCUCCUUGCGAUCGACGAUCUGAAUCGGGCUUUCAACGUACGACACCUUGUCGUUCACAUCUAAUUCCUCAAAAUUUAGAACGUGUGUCGGAUCAGGUUCAUACUUCCUUAACAUCGACACGUGAAAGACAUCAUGCACUUGUGCUAACCUCGGCGGUAGUGCAAGACGAUACGCUAGAGUCCCUAUUCUUUCCAAAAUCUCAAAGGGACCUACGUACCUCAGACUCAGUUUCCCCUUUUUGCCAAAGCGGGAAGUACCUCUCAUUGGUGACACCUUCAAAAAGACAUGCUCACCAACUUAGAACUCCAAUGGCCUUCGACGCUUAUCUGCAUAACUCUUUUGGCGGCUCUGAGCAGUCUUUAAUCUGUUUCUGAUAACUGCAACUGCCUCCACUGAAUGCUGAACCAACUCUGGACCGGUGAUCUUUCUUUCCCCGACUUCAUCCAAACAUACUGGCGUUCUGCACGCUCUGCCAUACAACGCUUCAAAAAGGGUCAUUUGAAUACUCUGCUGAUAACUGUUGUUGUAGGCAAACUCGACUAGAUGAAGCUGUUCCUCCCAGCUUCCUUUGAAGUCCAAGACGCAAGCUCGCAGCAUGUCUUCGAGAGUCUGAAUUGUCCUCUCAGAUUGGCCAUCAGUCUGCGGAUGAUAGGCCGUACUAUACUGUAGCUUCGUUCCUAAAGCGGAUGGCAAGCUCUUCCAAAAAACGGCGGUGAACCUCGGGUCCCUAUCUGACGUAAUCGUGACCGAGACCCCAUGCAUAUGAACCACCUAACGUAGAUACAGAUCUGCGAGUCUAUCCAAACUCAAGUCCUUUCGCACUGCCAUGAAGUGAACCGACUUUGUCAGUCUGUCAACUACUACCCAAAUCGAAUCAUUUCCUCUCUGGCUCCUUGGUAGUCCCGUCACGAAGUCCAUCGUGAUAUGCUCCCAUUUCCAUUAUAGGAUCUCAAGGGGUUGCAGAAGUCCUCCCGGUUUGCAUUGCUGAGCCUUCACCUGCUGACACGUCAAACACUUGGUGACAUGCUUGGCGAUGUCCGCCUUCAUGCCACACCACCAGUAAUGUUGACGUAGAUUUUGAUACAUCUUGGUACUACCAGGAUGAAUGCUGUAACUGCUACGAUGUGCUUCUGAUAAAAUCUCCUCUCUAAGCUUCACAUCGUUAGGUACAACCAAUCGUCCUUGGAACCUCAAUGUUCCAUCCUUAGAAAUCUGAAAGUCAGCUUUCUUUUUCUCUGCAUCCUCUUGCAGGAUUUUCUGAACAUUUGAAUCUAUCUGCUGAAGUGUUCUGAUUCUAACCUGCACUUCCGACUCAAUUCUAAGGGUGGCCAUAAGACUCGAAAUGUGGCCUACCUCACAUUUGAAAUCUGAAUCUCGUGCUCUCUCAAUUAGACCCCAUUCUUUGAGUACCAUUUGAGCAACUGAAGACUUCCUACUCAGUGCAUCAGCGACCUUGUUCGCCUUUCCGAGGUGAUACAAAAUCUCACAGUCAUAGUCCUUUAAGAGCUCUAUCCAUUGACGUUGUCUCAUAUUCAACUCCUUCUGAGAGAAUAAGUACUUGAGGCUCUGAUGGUCAGUGAAAAUCUGGAAUCUUUCUCCGCACAAAUAAUGCCUUAAAAUCUUCAGGGCAAAGAUGAUCGCUGCAAGCUCUAAGUCAUGCGUCGGAUAAUUCAACUCGUGAGGUCUCAACUAACGGGACGCAUAUGCAACUACCCUACCAUGCUGCAUCAAUACGCAACCCAAUCCUUUAAACGACGCAUCACUGUAGAUCUCAAACCCUCCUGGACCCGAUGGAAUAGGAAGCACAGGUGCGGUAGUUACUUGAAACUACUCUCGCACUUAUCUGACCACACAAACUUUUUUUCCUUCUUCAGUAGUCUCGUCAUCGGCGAUGCUAACACUGAAAACCCUUCUACAAACCGUCUGUAAUACCCUGCUAAACCCAGAAAACUUCUGAUCUCUGUUACUGUCGACGGUCUCGGCCAGUUGAUCACUACUUCAAUCUUGGCUGGGUCCACUGAGAUUCUUUCUCCAGAGAUGACAUGACCUAGGAAAGCCACACGAGUUAGCCAAAACUUGCACUUACUGAACUUGGCGUAUAGCUCGUGAUCUCUCAAAGUCUGAAGCACUAUCCUUGAAUGCCUUUCAUGAUCCUCAGUACUCCUUGAAUACACCAGGAUGUCGUCAAUGAAAACAAUUACGAACUGAUCCAAGUACUCUCUGAAUACGCAGUUCAUCAGAUCCAUGAAAGCAGCUGGGGCGUUCGUCAACCCAAAUGGCAUCACAGUAAACUCAUAAUGGCUCGAGUGCGAAACGCCGACUUCGAUAUGUCUUCCUUCUUGAUUCUUAGCUGAUGGUACCUUGUCCUCAAGUCGAUCUUAGAAAAUAUCGACGCUCCCUGAAGCUGAUCAAACAAGUCAUCGAUCCUCGACAAUGGAUACUUGUUUUUGAUCGCCACCUAAUUGAAUUGACGAUAGUCGAUGCACAAGCGCAAUGAGCCAUCCUUCUUCUUCACGAACAGAAUUGGUGCUCCCCAAUGUGAUGCACUAGGACGAAUAAAUCAUUUAUCCAACAACUCUUGCAUCUGUACCUUCAGUUCCUUAAGUUCUGACAAGGCCAUCCAGUAAAGAGCUUUAGAGAUUGGCUUGGUCCCGGGGGCUAACUCAAUCACGAACUCUAUCUCUCUCUCUGGCGGCAAACCUGGUAAUUCUUUCGGGAACACGUAUGGGAACUCUUGCACCAUUGCAAUAUCUUCAAUCUUCAACUCCUCCACUAUCGUGUCCACGACAGUCGCCAAGUAACCUUGGCAACCCUUGCCUAGCAAGCGAGUUGCUUCGAGUGAUGAGAUUAAGGAAACCGAGGGUCCUCCUUGACUCCUAAUAAAUUCGAAACUCUCACCCCCUAAUGGGUUAAACUGAAUCGCUUGGUGAGCCAGUCCAUGCCAAUUAUCACAUCAAAAUCAAACAUGGCUAGGACUAUCAAGUCUAUCCUCCCUUCUCGCUCACUAAUCAGUAACUUGCAACUAAGACAACCCACUGUAGCUAACACCUUAUGCUUCAACGGAGUAGAUAUGCUAAUCACAGACUCCAACAACUCAGGAAUUAAUUCUACCAACUUAACAUAUCUUUCAUCUAUAAAUGAAUGAGAAGCUCCAGGAUCAAAUAAAGCAUAAGCAGGUUGGUCGUUCAGUAAGACCAUACCUGUGAUCACAUUAGGCGCAUCCUCCGCCUGUCCUCUGGUGAUCGCAUAAGUCCUUCCUUGAGUUGGAGGUUGGUUCAAUCCACCAUGCGGCAUGAUCUGCGGCGCGAUUCCUCUAUUCUGACCCAACGAUGGCGGCGGCGGCAAUUGACGCUAUCCCAUCUGUUUCCUGAGGCAAUUCCUGGCUAUAUGACCCUGCUGGCCACACUCAUAACAGGCGCCCGUCCUAGGAGGACACGGGGCUGAACCAUGUCGUCUUCCAUAUAGACGACACACACCAUUUGGUCUCGGCGCUGGCUUUCCUGUCUCACCCUUCCUGUUGAGUGGAACAUGAUAUCUUCCUCCAGACAUCGAUCUCUUCCCAAACCGGUUACCUUCUCUAUUCGAAUUAAACUGCGACCCAGAUGUGGCAGCUCUCUAAUUCUAGUCUUUCUCAAUCAGCUGGGCCCGAUUAUAAAGGUCCUUGUACUCCUUUAGCUCUAAUGGUACCAACAAGCUCCUCACAUCAGGUCAGAACCCAUCUCUAAACCUUCGAGCUCGGUUUGACGGUCUUUGAACUAACUCGGGGGCAUACCGUGAUAGUUCAACGAACUUCACUUCAUACUGAUCGACUGUCAUUGUACCUUGACGAAGGCACUGAAACUCCACCAUCUUCACCUCUCUAGCACAAUCAGAAAAGUACUUCUCAUUGAAGACCUCAAGAAAAGCAUUCCACUCCGGAACUACACUUUCAGGGAACACUAUCCCUUUAUUAGUCUUCUGCCAUGUAGCUACGAUCCCCCUCAACUGAUAGGCUGCCAAAACGACAUUCUCUGCUUCAGUGCACAUUAGUAACUCAAAGGCAUUCUCUAACUCCUGAAUCCAUAGUGCUGUAGCUUCGGGAUCUCCUGCUCCCGUGAACGUCGGUGGAUUCAACCUCAUAAAAUAUUCUACCAACUUAUGCUUAGGCCUCCCAGCGGCCACAUUCUCAGGUGGAAUUUCAACAGGUUCCACUUAAGGUUCGACGAUCAGUACGGUGGCAGCAGGUGCGGCGGCAGGGGCGGCGGUAACUGCAACGGUAGCAGCAUUGGCGGCAUUAGCAGCAUUGGUGGUAGUGGCGGUAGCGACUGAAGCGGCGGCUUGCUGGUCCAAUCUGUCACCCAUCAACUCAAGCAUUUGCAUGAUUCCAACAAACCUCGGAUCCUCGGGGGCUACUGCAUCGUCUAUAGGCGAUCCUGCACCACUCGCACUGGCCUUAGCCUGUGCUUUUCCUAGGGCACCUCGGGCACCGACCCUCAUCGGUGACCCACCCCGACUGCUCUCUUCCUAACAGCUCUCGGCACUCGGUCACUCAAGCUACAUGCUCAAUAUAGAUGCCUAAUUGCAAAUUCCAAUACCACAUUAGAAUCUGAGUGACCUCACAAACAAGUUAACAAAUAGCUAACAAUCACUUGCAUCAGUAUAAUAAAAGCCUUUCCUACCAACUAUCCCAUGACUCCCACACACCUUAUUACUCUAUACAUGAACCAUGCUUUGAUACCACUUAAACGGGGUUGUCACGCCCCGAACCCUGAGACACAUGAACAACCCGCCAUGGUCAUGUAAAUGCAACAUUCCCAGGUAGUGUCGCCGACCCCAUUCAAUUAUUAUGCGCAUGCGGAACGUACUAAGAAACCCCUGACAAAACUUACAGGAUAAGACAGCAGGAAAAAUCAAUUCAAAAACAAACCAACAUACUUUCAUAUAUCAUCAUUCUAGAGUUUACAUACAACAACAGGAUCAGAGACUAUAUGCACCAAAAAUGGGUCAGAGUUCAUGUGCAUCAAAAAGGGUCAAUCUGCACAAUAGAGAUCAGUCCACCAAAAAGAGGAACGCCCUAUGACUACUAGUCGGACUCGUUCGUCGAUCCCACAUCUUCCACAUCUGAUUGCACUGGGUCCGGGGACGAUGGGUUGUCCACCCUACCAUCAGAAAUGUUAGCUACACCUUCACCUAAAAUAGUAUCCACCACAGCAAGUGGAAUUUCAAAACUAUAGAGUGGACCAAUCCUAAAGCCAUUAGCCCCAAAACGGAACCAUGCCUUAAACCUAUGCGGUACCUUGACAUCCUCAGUCUCCUGAAUUCAGACGGUGGUCCUGAUCAGCUCGUAAACCCAAUGGCUCCCAGGGUCAGGAAAACUGUGCACCUCCUCGACAAUAUGCACUAGGAUGCCAUUCUUCUCCGGAGGUCCUGCCAUCUACGGCCCUGUAAUAUUUUUCCCACAACGGGGUGAGACAUUGUCUCAACAAGUUCACCCCUCCUAAACCCCUAUUAAAAAGAAAAUACGCCCAAGAGUGGUCUAGCCACACAGCAAUAAAGACUUACCUCAACUUAUUUCCUUCCUGCAGGUUAGUACAAUUCAUAUCACUCAAUCACAUGUAGUAAUAAGAACUUAAAUCAUUGAAACACAAUCAAUUUCACAUAAUGCACAAUCACAGCAAGCGUUCCAAAUCAUUAUUCACUGCCACACAAUGGCAUAGCCAACUUGCAAUUCGACUAUCUACUGACAUUAAUGCUAGGCAUCGCCUCCCCCCUUGGAGCGCGGCUUCGUCACCACGUCAACGGCAUUCUCGAAGGAGCAUGGGUCUAGUUGGCCUAGCCUCUACUGCGACCCGAGCCACGUCACUCUGUUGACGGCGUUUCUAGAAGAAUAAAAGUCCAAUUGGCUUAGCCAUUACUGCGACCGAGUCUUUCAACCAGCACACGACAAUUCAAUACUAAUCUCUGGAUACUUUACAUUUCACUCACAUACUCCAAUUACAAUAUUAACCCUUAAAAAUCCAAUUUCGGUGCCAAACCUGACACUUGAGAUUUUCUGAAUAAAAUCCCUAUUUUUUUCACAAUCAACACUCAAUUUGCGUUAUCCGCUCAUUAAAUUCAAAUUCUAAAUACACAACAGCGAUCAGCACGAAAUUCUGAGCAAUUGAUGUCAAAAAUAAUUUUUCGAAUUUUUUAAAUAAUAAUAUUUUAAUAAUUUUCAGAAUAUAAUAUAUUAUUAAAUAAUCCAAUAAUUUCGAAGCAUUUAUUUAAAUCAGAAAUAAAUUCCUUUAAGUCACAUCAAGGCUUAUAUUAAAAUAAACCUACUUAACUUUAAACUAAACAUACUUUAACUUAAUUAAACACCUUAAUUUAAUCCACAACUAAAUAAACUAAUCUAACCACCUAAUCUCAAUCAACCUAAGCUAAACACACUUAAGGCAUCAUUAACCCUCUAAUCAAGAUUUAGUGAGCUAAACUCACCGGAAUCGCUUUCCGACGAGUCCUUGGCAAAGAGCACGACGAUGCCAACGACAAAUCUACACAGAGCAACACCAAAUGAGGACCGGAAGGCACCCAAAACGGCCCUCAAAGAUCCGGACUCAAGCUAGAACUCUGGCUACUGUUUGGGGUCGGAUGAAGGCGGCUUGGUGGUUGGUUGGGCGCGAAACCAGCGGAGAGGGGCUACGGCAGCUCGGGCAACGACCGGUGGUGGCUCGGGCGGUCUUGGCUAGCUCCGACGGUGGCUGGCAAAUGGCGAGAAGUAGCUGGUGGCUUCGGACGACAACGCUGGACGGAGGACGAAGGCGGAGCAGCUUGCACGCGGGACAGCGCGCUCGCGGUUGUGCGCGAAUGAGCAGCGAUGGUGAACUCCGGUGGCGAACGGCAAGCGGCAACGAGCGAGCGAGCGAAGGGCGAUCGGCUAGCCUAGUCCGGUCGCUCUCUCUCUCUCUCCUCCCCCCCCCCCCCCCAAAUUUCAAAUUCCAAGGCCCCUUGAAGAAAAUGAUGGAGACAAGGGGGAAGUGACAUCCCACCUUUUUGUGAUUCAAUCUCCACCCACCACGUGUCACCACCCUAGCCAAUGUUGCCCCACCCCAUGACAUCACUUGUGAUGUUACAAUCCACUAACUCCAACGUUCCACAACCUUAGUCCAAUAGGUUCAAUUUCAUUUUCUGUCGGGGCAUAGAAUCUUGUACAACAACUUCUUCAAUUCCACUUGAUUCUUUUCCAAUUGAAUCAAAUUGAAGUCCAUAAAAUUAAUCCAAUGUUCCUAAUAAGAUUUGUGACACACCAUGACCUCCAAUUUUAGAAUUCGAUCUCAAUUUCAUGGUUAAUUUCACUUUAGCACGGUACUAGCGCGUCCUGGUCUACCGAGCAGCUUUUAGAAAUUUGCAUGCAUUUGACCUGUGGUUGAUCAAUUCAAGCCACAAUGUACAUCUUUGACACAUUGGCAACUUUCGGUUAUCGGGGUAAUCUCAAGGUUUCAAAUACGGGCACAGGAUACCCAAUCGACAGAAAAGUCGGUCCAAUGCCGAUCGACAAGAAUUGUGCGAUCUGGUGGAAUCACCCACACCUGAUCACAUGUCUCUGUUGAGUUGACCUAUCUCCGGUCUCUAAUUGAUUUUUAUUUGUGUUGUAAUAACCCUUGCAGAUUAGCUCGGUCGAAAGGUCGUUUCCUGGUCAAAUUCUCGAGUCUGAUGCAUUAGAAUCUUUUAACGGCUUCACCUGAUAGACUAGUUUUCACAUGAGUGGCCGACUCGAGGAAAAGAAUUAUAUGCGUGCCAACAAAAUGCUUGUCUCAAUUAUUGAAAAUAGAAUUGGAAAAUCGGGAUGUCACAUCAAGGUUCACUGUCUGCAAUAUCUUAGUGAAGUGGAUAUCAGGCGUUCCAUAUCACAUCGGUGUCUGGAGGAAUGUUUGCUAAGCAAGAAAACUCAUGUGCAGGGGACAACGGUGAGGAAUAUAGUACUUGUUUGGAAGAAUGUAAGGCACCAUCUCAUGACUUAUCAUCCAGUGAAUGCACAAAUUCUUACUCAUUGAGAUAUUGUGCUCUUGUAAUACAUCACAUCCUCUAACAUGACAUCACGUGUUCAAUUUCUAUUCAUCGUAAAGGCAAAAAUUGAUAGCCACUCUGUCUAUCCUCUUUGACGUGCGCCAAUCGUUCAUCGGGUAGAUUAGGACCCAUCUAGAAACAAGAGGUCGAAGUCAGAGAUUGCUUGAGCAAGUAGCUGAUGUCAAGCUGGGGUUGAAGGGUGGGGGUGAGAGCUUUUGAUGGAAACGAGAGAGAUUCGUUGCUCAAAAUGCAAACAUUAACAUGAAGAAAAAAUUACAUUGUUAUGCCAAGAGGAUUCACACAAAACAAAAAUUAUAAUGAAUGCCAUACGACAUUCAUUGUCAUUUAUAAAACAUGGACAUAAUGAGUCUAAUAGAAAACACCGAUGCUAUAUGAAAAACAUAUAAAAGCUUCACAGAUUACAUUAUCAAUGAUGGUACAUGCUGAUAGUGUUAAUUAUAUUUCACAUCUCAUUUCUACAAGAGGAAAACAAUCACACAAUACAUGAUUUUGUAAACUCAUUGUCGUGGUCAAAUUGGUAACUGCUAGAAAUUAUCGGAGCACUUGACAAAGAUGAGACCAUUUCAAGUUCUAUCUCAUUGUUGUCAUCAUCAAUUGGUGCCUCUAUCGGAUAUAAAAUUGGUUUUGGAGGUAGUUGCAGUUUAUCGAUAUCUCCUUCAAGCAUAUCUAGAACUUUCCUCAUUGACGGCCGAUCCUUAGGGUUCAGCUGUACGCACCAUAGCGCAACGAUUAUCAUCUUCCUUGUUUCUCUUUCCUCUUCUAUGACUUCUACCCUCUCAACCUCCUUUUCUUUGCUGAAAUGAUCAUAAACCCACAAAGGAAAGUAAAUUUGACUUGAAUGCUCUGCAUGUGCAUUUAUAUUUCUCCUUCUACCGGCCAUUUCCAUUAACAUCAUCCCAAAACUGUAAACAUCGGCUUUAUAAGAAAUUCCACCAAUGUCUUUGUAGAAUAGCUCAGGCGCCAUAUAACCCAAGGUUCCUCUUGCUGCAGUCAACGGUACUAUGCUAUGACCGAUGGGAUAACGUCUUGCAAGUCCAAAGUCAGAAAUUUUCGGAGUGAAACUUUGGUCUAGGAGAAUGUUGUGAGGCUUGAUGUCAAAGUGAAGAAUUUGCAUAUCACAUCCCCGAUGUAGAUACUCUAUCCCUCUAGCUAUGCCAAGAGAGAUCUCAUGCAUUUUCUUAUAAUCAAGAGGAUCAUCACCAUCCUUAUUCAAAAUGUGUUUAUCCAAAGAGCCAUUCGGCAUGAAAUCAUAGACCAGAGCUUGUUUGGAGUAAUCGAAGCAAAAACCAACAAGUUGCACUACAUUGAUGUGGUGGAUCCUUCCAAUUGUGGCCACUUCACUAAUAAAAUCCUGGCCGUUAGAUUCUGGUUUGUUCAAAAUCUUAACCGCAACUUCAUUGCCACUUCUAAGGAUUCCUCUAUACACAGAGCCAUAUGCCCCCUCACCUAAUUUGCAUUUGAAUUUUUUUGUAAUCUUCUUGAUAUCCGAGUAAGAGUACCUUAUGGGCGAAAAGUUGUUGUGAACUUGUAGGAAUUCUUCGAUGUUUGCGUCGAUCGCCCGGUGCCUUCUCAUCCACUUAUAGAUUAGAAGUAUCAACACACAUGGAGCUCCAAGUAUGAAUUUUGCUGGGACGUAGUUGGCUACAUAGAAAUUGUCCAUAGAUUAGCGCCGUGCAAUAAUUUUUUUGUAAACAUAAUUGUUUUUAAUCAGAGUGCUUCUUGAGAUCAUCAUAGUUGUGAGGAGAAAAGGCCCAGCAGUCAUACCCAAGAAAAAGGCGAGGUGCCGACCUACAGGUGCCGCGUACCAAUGCUUGGUCCACGCAGAAUGAGGGGUGCCUGCAACAGAUUAAUUAGAGUCGGUGAUCAAUCAAUGAAGAAUUAAAUUUAUCAUUUUAGCAGUUAAACAUAAAUAUAAUUUACUCUCCUUGACAGCGCUCAGAUCACAGUUAAUUCAAUUCACCUAGGGAAUCCAUGCCAUCGUAGCAUGAUUCAUAAGUUCACGUCUCGCUCCGCGUAAUUCUAAUUUACAAACGUCAUUCAAUACGCGUGCAGUUUAUUCAACCGCAUAACAAUAACAGUCAUGCAAGGGACACGAGCAACAAUUAAAUCAACCAUUUUUCCCCAAACAAAAAUGAAGUAACAAUGUCAAAUCCAGAAAAGCUCCAAGAUUCGUAAAAUAAACGAGAGCAGUGCAUGCCGACCCUACUAAGAAAUCUAUUUAAACUUUUCUACUUAAGUGAUGUGGCAAUUUUUUCUAUUAUGUUUUUAAUGAAACUAGUGUCUUAAUGUGUGGAUUUCAUUAAAAAUACCCAAUUAAAACCUGCCACGUCACUUGGUAAGUAAAUUUUGAUCAGGUCUCUUAGUGAAGCUAGCAUUUAAGGAAAGGAGGAGGAGGAAGAAGAGAAAGAGAAAAAACAGCUUAGGGGAACGUCGCUUACUGAAAUAAUAGCCGCACUUCUCCCUUCGGUUAAUAAAACUUAAGAAGUGACAUGGAAAGAACAUUUUCGCAGAAAUGUAGAGCGGAUAGGUGAGAGUGAAUCCCUCGACCAUCUUGCUGUGGAGGUCCUUGUAUGGUAAGCUCCCAUACUGAUCCCCUUUCCGCCAUGAGAUUUGAUCCGAUGUGAAUGCCAUCAUGGUUACGGUGCAAGAGUCCUUGAUAUCCCCUACUUGUAAUUUCCGUAGUACAGCGUAUGAGUACACCUUCAUUUGGGAAAAAUGAGUUGUGUCGGCAGAGUAUGCGUCCUCAAUACAUGGUUUGGCAUCAAUAUAAGAAGUAGAAGUAACAGGUUGUGAGCACUUCAUGAAGGCCACAGUGACAUUGCCAUAUGGAAAUCCAUAUAAAUCAGCAAAUGGAUUAGUGAUAUUGAAGUACGUCAAUGGGUAACGAGGAAGGGAUGAACAAUUACCCUUCUGCAGUCCAUCAUCAACCACUGUGAUGUUACCAGAGAAGUCAUUUUGGAGAAUAGAGAAAUAAUUAAUCGACUUCACAUAAUAUCGGCCAGCAUUUAAAUAUAGAACAGUGUGGUUAUUUUCACAAACUAGCUCAUACCAAGAGUGACCGCAGUCUUUUGGAUCGCUUUUCAAUCGAAAAGGAUAACUUAUGUUACGGAUCUCACCGCAAGAUGAAGAGGCACACAAGUGAUUCUUCUUCGCAUCGCAGCUCGUUCCUAACAAUAGCAGAACAUGCAAUAUGAGAAGUAAAACACGGAGCAUAAAUAUCGAGCUGAGAGAAAUAAUCAUCUCUUUAUCGUUUGAUCCGAUGCAAUGGAAGUUUUAGCUCACUUAGUGAUGCGAGGGAUGCUUAAUAAAGGGUUGGGAGUCAUCGGUCAUCGAAAUGUCCAAGUCAACCCUAAAACAAAGUCUAGCGAAGAAAAACUUAAAAAGUACGGCCCCGCAAAAACACGAUCUCGAGUGAUAGAUAGCUUUCACAUUCAUUAGGGAGGAAAUUUCUCUGCAUUUUCCAGAUAGGAUUUUUCUUGGCAAAUUAAUUCUCUCUAGAAAUUUAUUUUAGUAUCUUAAAAAAGAAUCGGUUUUAAUGUUUUGUACCCUAAACUCAAUCAAAAUCUAUUCAAACGAGGCAUCUAGCGUUCUAUUUUAUUUUCAAGGCCAAUAUUUCAUAAGUGUCGCUUCGUUAAAUUUUGAAGACGAAAAGGAAAAGGAUGAUGUAAUUCAUUGUAUAAGGUUUUUCAUUUUUGAGAAAAAAAAUUAGUAACCAAGAAAGAGGAUAAUGUUAAAUAAUGGGUACAUAGAUUUUAACUUUUAUAAUGUCGCUUUCCGCAAAAAUAGAAAGAAAAUAAGGAACGGGUGCUUCUUGCUUAUGGAUGAUGUGAAAGAUAGCAAUAUGGUAAAUUCUCAACUAGUGAUGGGACCGACACACCUUGAUUAGAAAUUCACUUGCGUUGUCGUGGAUCGACACACGCAAGGACUAUAGACGCAACAUUUGAAUUCACAAAAAUAAUGUGAUGUUUACUUAUUCACUAUGCUUAAAUUUUAAAAUCACUCUCUUGUAAUUGUGCUAUAAUUAUGAAUAUGACCGUCGUCUCUUUUCCAUAAUUGAAUCACUUAAUGAAUGUACAUACUGAUCUCAACGAAAAAGGCAAUACGAUCAUUUCUCAGCCAACGAUCAAUUGAUGUGGGUCUCGAUUAGAAAUUCACUUCCUUCGUCAUUCUUGACACGCGCAAAGACUAUAGGUGUAAUAUUUGCAUACACAAAAAUAAACUAAUAUGUACUUAUUCACUGUCAAUUGAAAUAUUAUUCUUGUGGAUCAGUCAAUCACUCGCCUAUAAAAUAAUCUCAUCUUUUUCUCCCAAUAAAUCGAACUGACCUAUUACAAUAUCCAAUUGGAACGUGCCACAUCACUCAGUAAGUAAAUUUUUAUACGAUCCCUCAGUAGAGCUAACAUUUAAGAAAAGGGUGAGGAUGAAGAAACAAACAAAGAAAGAACUGGGAAAGUGAGCUUUCGGGAAUCCUGGUGUCUGCACCUCUCCCUUUGGUAUUCAAAACCUAAGUAGCAAAACUCGAAACUUGUUGGUGGCAAGAGUUUAUAAUAGGAGAUAGUGAAUCCCUCGACCAUCAUGUCGUGGAGGUCCUUAUACAGUGAGCUUGCACGAUUAUACCGGUCCUUUUUCCACUCCGGAAUACAAUGCGGUAUUAAAGCCUUUAUGGUUAUGGUGUAAGUAUCCUUGAUGUCCCCUACUCGGAGAUUAAACUCAUGUACAGCGUAUGAGUACACCUUUAUCGGAAGGAUAUGCUCCCUCAAUACAUGGUUCAGUAUUGACUUACGAAGUAGAAGCAAGGGGCUGUGAGCACUUCAUGAAGACCACCGGCACAGCUAACGAAUCGUAUGGAUCAUUAUCACUAAGUUGGAGAGCGCCAAUGAGUAAUGAGGGAGGGAUGAACAAUUACUUUUUUUGCAGUCGAUCAUCAACCACCGCUAUUUCGCCAUUGAAAAAACAUUUGCUGAGAUUGGAAUGGUACUAAAUUGAUUUCACAUAAUAUUGGCCGACAUAUAGAUAUAGAACAAUGCGAUUAUUUUCACAAGCUAGCUUAUGUUCAUAGCGUCCGCAUCCUUUUGGGUUGCCUUUCAAUCGAAAGUGAUAUGUCACGAACCUCGCCACAAGAUAAAGUGGCAGACAAGUAAUUUUUCUAUGCACCACAACUCGUCCCAAUAGCAGCAGAAGGGAAAAGUACCAAAAAAGUCCUAAACCUAUUGCAUUGGUACAAAUUCAGUUCUAAAAUUUUCAAUUUGACCAAUUUAGUCAUAAACCUUUUGAUAUUGGUACCAAUUCAAUCCUUCCGGCCAAUUUUGGCCAGCCGGCACUGAUGUGGACGUCGGCCGGUGGCCGGACACUGACAUGGAAUUUUUUUUAUAUUUUAGUUUUUUCGAAUUUUUUUAUUUUUUUAUUUUUUUAUUUUUUCCUUUUUCCUUUUUCCUUUUUCCUUUUUCCUUUUCUUUUCCGGUAGUGGUUGGCGAGCCUCCGGUGAGGCUCGCCGCCACUAGGCGAGGGCCGCGAAGCCCUCGCCUGGACUCUCCGUGGGCCGGCGGCAAGGCCAUGGCGGCUAUCGUCAUGGUAGAGGCGAGGGCACGUCGGUGAGGGUCGCGGCCCUCGCUCGGCCUUGCCUAGGGCCACGGGUGAGGUCGAGUGAGGACUGCGACCCUCGCCGGUGGCUGGCGAGGGCUUUGCGGCCCUCACCUCCGCCUAGCGAUGGCCCCCAUGGCCUCGCCGGCAGCCCUGGGAGAGGCUGGGCGAGGGCCGCAACCCUUGUCGGCUGCAGGCGAGGGCUUCGCGGCCCUCGCCCAGUGGCCGGUGAGCCUCACUGGAGGCUCGCUAGCCACUGUUGGAAAAGAAAAGGAAAAAGGCAAAAAAACUUUAAAAAAAUAAAAAAAAAUCGAAAAAAAAAAAUCAUAAAAAUUGCCACAUCAACGUCCAGCCACCAGCCGACGUCCACGUCAGUGCCGGCCGGCCAAAAUUGGCCAGAAGGACUGAAUUGGUACCAAUAUCAAAAGGUUUAGGAUUAAAUUGGUCCAAUUGAAAAGUUGAGGAUUGAAUUGGUACCAAUGCAAUAUGUUUAUAACUUUUUUGGUACUUUUCCCGCAACAGAACAUACAAUAUGAAAAGCAAAACAUUGAACAUGCUUAUGGAGCUUAGAGACUUGAUCAUCUCUCUAUUGUUUGAUCUGAUGCAAUGAAAGUUUUUGCUAAUCGGUAAUGUGAUGGAGGCCUAGUAAUAUGAAUGGAAAGAGCCUGGAGUCCUUGGUCAUACAAAUGUCUAAGUCAACAAAUAAAGCAAAGUCUAGUGAAGAAAAAGUGGAUAUCGCAUGNNNNNNNNNNNNNNNNNNNNNNNNNNNNNNNNNNNNNNNNNNNNNNNNNNNNNNNNNNNNNNNNNNNNNNNNNNNNNNNNNNNNNNNNNNNNNNNNNNNNNNNNNNNNNNNNNNNNNNNNNNNNNNNNNNNNNNNNNNNNNNNNNNNNNNNNNNNNNNNNNNNNNNNNNNNNNNNNNNNNNNNNNNNNNNNNNNNNNNNNNNNNNNNNNNNNNNNNNNNNNNNNNNNNNNNNNNNNNNNNNNNNNNNNNNNNNNNNNNNNNNNNNNNNNNNNNNNNNNNNNNNNNNNNNNNNNNNNNNNNNNNNNNNNNNNNNNNNNNNNNNNNNNNNNNNNNNNNNNNNNNNNNNNNNNNNNNNNNNNNNNNNNNNNNNNNNNNNNNNNNNNNNNNNNNNNNNNNNNNNNNNNNNNNNNNNNNNNNNNNNNNNNNNNNNNNNNNNNNNNNNNNNNNNNNNNNNNNNNNNNNNNNNNNNNNNNNNNNNNNNNNNNNNNNNNNNNNNNNNNNNNNNNNNNNNNNNNNNNNNNNNNNNNNNNNNNNNNNNNNNNNNNNNNNNNNNNNNNNNNNNNNNGACGAAAAGGAAAAGAUCUCAUAUUCAUCAUUUAAGCUUUUAUUUUGACAAAAAACAGAAAUUGAUAACAAAAAUAGACUAUGAACAAGAAUAUUAACUUGUAUAAUGUUGCCUUUGGCAAAAGUAAAAGGAAAAUAAGAAAUAAGUGUUUCUUGGAUGGUGUAACACGUUAUGAAAGAGAGAAAGUAAUACGACAAUUUUUAGUGGUGAACUGACGCGUCUUAACUAGAACCUCACUAACUUCGUUGUCACGCAAAGACUAGAGAUGCAAAUUUCCAAGUCAACCAUCAACACAAAGUCUAGUGAAGAAAAAGUGGGUCUCAUGUGGAAAUUGCAGCCCUAGCAGUCAAGGCGACAAAAACACGGUAUUGGAAUUAUUUAUGCAUGGCUUUCACAUUGAUUAGAAAAGAAACUUCUCUGCAGUUUCCAUAUUGACUUUUCUUAGUACCAUAAAUAAGAAUCGAUUUGAAUGUUUUGUAUUCUAAAAUGAAUCAAAAAUCCUUUCGAGUGAGGCAUUGGCAUUGUAUUUUCUUUUCAAGGCUAAUAUUCCAUGAAUGUCGCUUAUUAAAUUGUGAAGACAAAAAGGAAAUACAUAUCGUAUUUUAUUGUAUGAGCUUUUUCAUUUUUAACAAAAAACAAAAAUUGGUAACAAAAAUGGCUUAUUGAUGGGAAUAUUAACUUGUAUAAUGUUGCUUUUGACAAAAGUAAAAGGAAAAUAUGGAGUAAGUGCUUCUUGGAUGGUGGAAUAGGUUAUGAGAGAAAGAAAGCAAUGCAAUAAUUGCUAUCGAGGGACCGACGCACCUAGAAAGCAAUACAAUAAUUGCUAUUGAGGGACCGACCCACCUAGAAAGCAAUACAAUAAGUGCUAUCAAGGGACCGACGCGCCUUGACUAGAACCUCGCUAACUUCGUCGUCACGCAAAGACUAUAGAUGCAAAAUUUGAUUUUAGAAAUAUAAAGCGAUGUUUAUUUAUUUACUGUCAACUUUAAUAUUUCAAUCACUCUCCCACCAUUGUGCUAGAUCUAUGAACAAUAUUAUUAUCUCUUUCCUAUAACAGAACCACUUAAUGAUUGAACUGAUCAAUUUCAAUAAUACUGUCAUUUUGUCAAAUGAAAGAAAUGUUGUUGCCCUUCAUCAUCAUCUUCUAUAUCUGAAUGUGUGAUAUUGAAGGUGUCAUGUAAGCUCAAAUGAGACUAUCGGUCAAUUUACUAUUGUGAACAUAAUAUCAAAGAGUUUCACAUAGAAAUUCUUCUCAGCGAAACAGACACGCCUUCAAAUAGUUGUAAUUAGCACUUACCAUAUAUUUUUCAAGCUAAUGCGUACACCUAAGUAUAAUUGAAGAGACUGAAAUGGAUUUUCCAUAUAAUACAGAAAACUUUAUUUUAACUGACGCAUCCAAUGACGUUUUAACUGCACAUGUUCUCGACCAAUAACAAAAAAAAAAAAAAAAUGCACAUGUUCUAUUUUUUGUAGUAAUAUUAUUACUGAUUACGUUUUUAGUUUUCUUUUUAUUGCAUAUUACCCUUUCUGGAAAUUGAUUUGUUCCGCGAGCAGUUCCACACGCAAUGAUACCUUAGUUGCUUUCUAUAUCAUCAUUAAAUAUUCAGCAAUGAUUAGUCAAUUUUUUAAGUAGAAAAUCUCUUGGUGAAAGUAUCCUAUAUUAUCUCUUGCACGUACACCAAAAGAUUUGGACAUAAAUUAUGCAAAUUGAUGUAUCAACUAUCAAUUCAUUCAGUGCCAUAAAAUACUAUAGAAAAAUAAUAAUCUGUUUCGAAGUGUAAAAUCUUUCAUUUUUGACAAAACUGAAAUUUGUAACUGAAAAGAUUAAUAACGGCACUAAAGACUAUCGUUGCACGUUACAAGAAAAGAAUAAAGGCCAUACAAUAAUUUCUCAACCAGCAAUAGAUGGACGCGAGCCUCAAUUUGAAAGUCACUUGCUUCAUAAUUGUCCGACACGCACGAAGACUAUAGGUGCAAUAUUCGCAUUCAUAAAAAUAAAGCAAUACGCGCUUUUUCACUAGCAAUUGAGAGUAUUAUUCUUGUAAAUCAAUCACUCACUCUCCUGUAAAAUAACCCCAUCUCUUUCCCGCAAUAAAACUGAAUGAACUGACAGAUCUCAACAAUAACGUCGUUUUAUCAAACAAAAGAUGCAGUUACCUGCUUCAUAAUCAUUUUCCAUCUCCGAAUGUGUGGUAUUGCAAGUGUCAUGUAAGCUCAAAUGGGACUACAGGGAAGAGUGCUGCCAUUUUCAUUCUCUGUUGAUAGCUACUUGAAUCUGCUCAAGACUCCUCCCUUUCGUUUCAAGGACCACCGUGAUCACGAACACCAUCCCUGUGGCGUUAAUCACCGCAUAAAGAAGGAAGGUACCUGUGAAGCAAGCGAGCAGAGUUAUUUGCUUUUGACAAGUUUUGCGGAAGCAUAUUCUGACAUUUUUCUCAUGGGAAGAAUGCUUUAGUAUGUACUACCUGUCUAUUAAUCAUUCUGCAGAAAGACCCGCUUAGCUUUUUUCUUUUUUAAAUGAAACGUCGGCUCAAUUUUGGUGAUAUUCAAAUCUAGGUAGAAGUUGCUGUAAAUGCGUUGAUUGAAAUAAAUGGUCUGAAUAUGCAUUCAAGAGCAUGAAGAACGGAGUGACACACCUCCAGCUCCAAAUAGGAUUGAAAUGUUCAGGAAAAGCUAAGUCUCAAGUCUGUAGUUUGGUCGAAUUCGCGCAACAGUUCAAAGAGUGUUUUCAGCAGAGUCGUACCGUAGGAGCUCCAGCUCAUUAAGUAGUUGAAAGUGUAGGAAACUGCCCAAGCGCCGAACCAGUUCACUAGUGUUGCGAAACCUCCAGCUACUCCUUUGAUAUUAAUGGGGAAAAUCUGAACUCCAGCACACAUUACAUGAUUGGCAAAAGAAUUUUGAAACUCUUGUACUAAUAACACUAGUUAUUAUUUUGAAAACAACCCUUUAAUUUGAUAAGCAUGAAACUUCGGGGGAUGCUUAGGAUUACCUCGGACAUCACGACCCAAGGAACCGCGCCCAUUCCAGCCGAAAAUGCUGCUAUGUAUAGCUGAGCAUUGGAAAAAACAGAACAGAAAAAUUUGUAGUAGGGAGUUGUUGCGGUGGCCAACUGGAUAGAGCCAGAAAGAGAUCAAGGCAGUUGAGAUUAUUACCAGAAUGCCGGUGACGGCAAGUAUCGGGACAGCAUCAGCUGCCAGAUCAUGAACCUGGCUCGGAAGAUCCUCAAAAAAUUACUGGUUGACAAGCAUUGCAAAGCAGAAGGAAGAUACUAGGACUGAUAGUAAUUACCUUUAGAAAGAAUGAAAGGGCAGUUACUAUGCAUCCCAGGACCAAUCCUGUCCCCAAGAUCUGCGAUUGAGAGAGAGAGAGAGAAGGUUAUGGGUCAAGUUGCAGAACUUGCGAAAGGGCAGAACCAGAAAAGCUUUGUUACUAUAGACAUGAUUUCUUAGCUUUCAUCUAUUUUACCAAGAGAAGGGGCUUUCUUCCAGCUCUAUCGACCAGUGCAGCGCCAAUAGCCGUGACAAUAACCUGCAAAAAUUUACUCUUUAAGCGUGACGAGUAUAAAACUAGAUCGNNNNNNNNNNNNNNNNNNNNNNNNNNNNNNNNNNNNNNNNNNNNNNNNNNNNNNNNNNNNNNNNNNNNNNNNNNNNNNNNNNNNNNNNNNNNNNNNNNNNNNNNNNNNNNNNNNNNNNNNNNNNNNNNNNNNNNNNNNNNNNNNNNNNNNNNNNNNNAAUUGCAUAAGUUAUGGUUCCAACGCUGGAGGAGAAACCUGAGGAGAUUGUACAAAUGCGAUUAUAAAGGCGAGACUAAUACCUUGCUUGUGAGAUUCAACACUAAAUUAUGUGAACAGCUCAUUCAGUGAUAAUUAAGUAGACCAAAAGCAUUCGACAUUGCGAAUUUUACUAACCCAUUUGAAUAUUAACUGGAUUAUAUAAAUUGGAACCCCUGCUUUGCUUUUUAUUUAGCUUUUCGUUCUGGAAUCUUAAAAUGCAAAGCAUACUUUAAUUUUUGUGGUGCCCAAGAGCUUCUUGCUAUGAACUGCAUACCUGCUUCCUCAAAAAUAUUGCUUGUAUAGAAACAGAUGCCAUUUAUCCCUCCGAACUGCUGGAUGACCAUCAAUCCAACACCAAUCUGGCCAAAAUUUAACAAAUUUGUCAGCAAAAAGAACAACAAUGGGAAAUAUCACUAAAAGUACAACUACCGCAUAUUCCCAAUCCACAGGGCAUUCCAAGAAAGCAACGAAGGAGGGACUUUAUUGGAUACAUAGCAGUAAAUACAGAGAGAAGAUUACGAUGACAGAGCUCAGAUAUCUUCUCUGAAAUAAAUCGAGAAUGCUGGCUUUCGGGAGCGGUUGAAGAGUUUCGAUGUACCUGUCAAGAAAAACAAAUUCGAUCAUUCUGUCAGUUAUUCGCACUUAUAAAGUUGAGGCACUACGAUGAAACGAGUAUAGACUUAAAACCUUUUACUUGUAUUUCAGCAGCCUCUUCAGAAAUGUCCGCAUCCUUUCCACGGAGUUUCUGCAGCGCAGCUUCAAACUCCUUUUCACGGCCCGUUUUCGCCUGCAUUUGGCAGAAUCCUAAAAUUCAUUCCAACAAUACAAAUCCCUCUCUUCCAACAAUUCAGAUAAGAAGAAUCUGGUGUUCAUCUUGAUUUGUUACCAGCCAUCUAGGAGACUCUGGAAUGAAAAACAGGCCGAACAGUAGGACUGCACAGGGGAUUAGACCUGCAUAAACUGCAGAUGUUCAAGAUGGUUUCAGACUUGGACUUUUCUAUACAACAUUGGCACUAAACUUGAAUUAGGCUACUUUUUCUGUUUUACCAAUUAAUGCCAAAACCCUCCAAGCUUAUACUGUCCCGAUUAUGAAGGAAACGGACACUCCAGCAACGAUCAUAAGCUGUGGAGAGAAGAGAACAUGUUAGGCCCAGUAGGUUCUGUAGGAUGUUCGUAUAUACACCAUCUUGCACUUGCAAGAGGGCAAAAUUUGCUACAAGCUAAGGCCUUUUGCCAAUAGCUCCAUGCUUGCAAUUCUAACCAAGAAUGUUCAUACAAAAUCUUUGCCUGUUUGACAGCAGUCAAAGCUCCACGGAGAUUUUUGGGUGUAAUUUCAGCUAUAAAUAUUGGUACCUGGACAUAAAUUAGAAAAAUAUUAACCAAUCUAAACCGAAGAGAGAGCCUCAUGUUGUCACGGUGAAUCGAGUCCAGCAUGUUGUCGUAGAACAGCUUGCUACAUCAAAUUUAUGUGGUACGAAGUGAGGAAUUACCACAUAGGAAAAGACUCCCAUUCCAUAUCCCGUGGCCAAUCUUCCGAUAUCCAGAGCCAGUGCUCCCUAGUUUACUCAAAAUUAAACAGAACAGAGAGUUGAUGAGACUUGAAGUUCUUAUGCAACUAAUCGAUCUUCAUGUAUGAUUAGGCUUGUAAAUAGGAUAUGGACACACCUCAGCAAAGUAAAUAGCAAGCCAUCCUGCUACACAAAGAGCGCUCGCUAUUCUCAUUGUCUGCAUUUUGAGGCAAAUGUUUUUACUGUCACGUCCUCCGUCCAUGAUAUGACUAAAUCCCAAAGCUAAAACUCUCAGAGUCUUGAACAACACUGUUCUGUUUUACAUUGUGAAAGACGCACUCAUUUGCUGCUUACCCACUUACGGCCAACAAAAUCAGCGAUUGGUCCUCCGGUAAUUGCACCAAUCAUUACACCGAAUGUCAGUAUGGAUCCAAAGACUGAAUACUGUUGAAAGACACAAAGUGUAACUGCAAAUCAGCUUGAGUUCAGUGAGAGCAAGAACUUCAGUUACCAUCUAGCUAACAACGCUAUAAGUCACCGAAUGUCCGAGAAUCUCAGUGGAAAGCUAUUCUGAACAAACCUAUCACUUCGAUCAGAAACCUGAAUGAUAUGCAGUCGCAAUUUUCAGCUGACGAUACCCAAUCUAAAUCUCCCCAUUUUUUGGUUUUCUUGUCCUUAGGUGUCCAACAAUGGAACUCGAUGUGAAAACUUGGUAUACAUUUCACUCGUUACAAUGCAGAAAGAAUAAGAUGUCUAGAGAAAGAAGUAUCUCUACCUCAAAGCCAACACCCUUAUUUUUGAGAGAGUCUCGUUUAUAAAGUUUUUGAUCAUAUAACUCGUCCAUAUUAUGGACCCGGAAUAUGAGCAGAUCUUUACUUUGAUUUUCUUGUAUACAGGCCCCUUCAGUGACAAGUCCAAUAUUGAAUCGAAGCAACGAACAAAGACAACGCGACAUGUGCUUCUCAACACUCGUAGGUAAAUUCGACAUACCUCAGCUGUAGAGAGACCAAGUUCCUCCACUAUAGCAUCCUGAGUUGGUGAUGAAUAACCUGCCUGAAAAAUCCAAUGAGAACAAUUUCUCUUUAGAUUCAAUUAAUCACAUCCUUUUCAUUUUAACCAUUACUAUUGGACCUGGACUUUUCAAAAAGAAAUUGCAUUUCCUACUUACGCAGGUCCCGAAUUCAUGGGAACCACAAACCGCAACGAAUGUGGUGAAAUAGACCAUCCACGGACGACCCUUAUCGGUUCCUUCAUCUUUGCCAGCUCAGUCCUUCUCUUGCGGCACGAGGAGACGCUCUCUUACUCCUUCUCUGUCCCCGGUUUCUUCAUUUUCAAUGUCCUCGUUAAUCGCCAUGCUUGCUCGCCUUACAAAAAUGCUCCUUCGUUCUCUAUCUGACUACGUACGAGGAACUAGCAAAUCUAUAAGCUCCAGAGAAGAUAAGUUCUCUUUCCAACGUGGCUACUCUGCUUGCUUUAUAUGGAUGACUCGAAAUGAGAAACCCCAAGUGCUAAUACGGAAACCCCAUCACCGAUCGGUUUAUACUCGCGGUUUCUAGGAGUCCUCACGGACCUCAGUCUUGCAAACUGGCAAGCAACUCCUUGCUUUUCUGACUCGCCCCCGUUAAUGGUAUUGGAAUCACCAAUGGAACAGAGUCUCCGAAUACAGCAGGAUCACAGGUGUAAGGGGCUGCAUCGCUCUUUAUGGGCAAGGAGUAAAACAUGGAACUGGACUUUCUCAAUGACACGGCUCUGGAUAAAGACAAAGUAACAACCACGGACAAAGUUCUAUCUUUUUGAGCCAGCCACCGGCUAGGAAAACCAGAGUGUUUUUCUAACCUGGAAAGUAAUUAAGUUCUGUCCACUUUUGCAUGGAGGCAUUGUUAUCUUCACCUUUAACCCACGUUUAUUGUGUAAGAAAGAUAAGAUCUCAAUUAAUAGUUUCUUAUCUCUUUGGUGCAAUAAGAAACUAUCAAGAAAAAGAACUGUUCUGCUAGAACAUUAUUUUUCCUUUGGGAAUUUUCUUGACCAAAACCCUUUUUUUCCCAAUUGGACGAUGGGCACAAGAUAAUUUCGGCCGGACCUUCUUCUGGGGACAAAUUAUCUUCCUUUUCUAUUUUUUAAAAGAACCACUGCAUAUGCCAACAAAAAGCAUGCAUAUAGCCUCCUUUGUGGUCAGUGACGCUUUUGAUGUCUGCUCAAAUGGUAAGACUAGAUAGCAAGAAUUUCAAAAAGGGAUGUUUUUCAUCUUUCCAUAGUGGCCAAUUUUGCGGAAAAUGGCAAUUGAUAGUGGCAAGAGGUGUACAGAAUUACUUUCUACCAAGGACGUCAUGUACUGCCGAGGCCCAUGAAUCUAAAGAAUUCAGCCACCAUGAAGCCAGCCGACGGGAAAGAGUUCACAGGCACAACGGAAUGGACCAUAAAGUUGCAGAGCACAUUGGCCAAAAAUAUCCAACCACCAUUCUCCAACUACUUUAUUCGUCCACAUUUGCUGCAUCUCCGUCUUCUUUCACUUCACGAUUCAGAGUAGGCCAACAAAAUCCAGCAAGAAUAUAUAGCUGCGGCCUGCUCGAGAAAAAGAAAAUGUCAAAAAUAUAUCUUACUCUUGAUCUAAUAGCCACUCACAUAUUUUCGUUUUGAUAAAUAUCAUUCACAUACUUCCAAGAAAAAUCCCACAUUGAGAACAUUAAUUUGCCCCUCCAUGUAAACUCAUUUUAGCAUCUUCCUUACGGUUUGAGUAGACUGCAAAAGUGAUUUUUGAAUGGUAGAAUUCAUGUAGAUAUUUUUCAUGUUCAAAAGAAGAGGUGAGUGAUCACAGGAUGAGAAAUAAGGUGUAUUUCGUUAUAUUUUUCUCAAAAAACUUAGACAAAACAAAUAUGCUAAUCUUAUAAGUACAUAGUGAGAUUUGAAUUUCAAAUGUAUUAGAAGAAAAAAGGCAGUAUAAAUGUCAUAACUUUUGUACAACAACCACUUAAAUACCAUAACUUUUUAUUCAAUCAUUUAAAUGUCAUAGACGAUGACUUAAGCGUUGUAAUUUUUCAUUAAUAAGGAAAUCCGACAUGACAUGGCACUUAUGGUAAACAUUAUUUAAAAAUUACAACACUCAAAUGAUCAAUUGAAAGUUAUGGCACUCAAGUAAAUAUAUAUAUAUAUAUAUUUUUUUUAAAGUCAUGACACUCAAGUAAUCGAAAAACAAUGUUAUGGCACUUAGGUGAGCACCGCACGAUAGUUAUGAUACUUGUGAUGUCCUUAUCUCAAUAUCUUAGUAUCUUCUUCCAUUCAUGACACCAAAUCCCAUAAAAUAUAAUAAAAAGCACACGGGAAAAAAAAAAAUUUAGCUAAUGUUACGUAAUUGUAAGUGUCUAAUUAAGUAGAGAUUAAUCAGGCUGAUUCAGGUUUUAGAGGCUGCCGGUCAUUUUUGCUUAACCCUUACUAAACAAAGCUAUGAACAACGAGCGAUUGUUUUAAGCUAGUGGCUCCGUUUAAGCAUCCAAUAAAAAUCAGCAAGAUUAUUUAGCACAACCCUUCUAAUAUAAGAAGUUUUAGGAACUCUUAUCAUCACCUUGAAGAAGGGUAGCUAGGCAAGCGUGAUUAAAACACCCAGUUCAAAGACAAAGCAGCCUUCCCUAAUUUAAAGGGAAGAUAGGUGGACGCAAUACAACUUGCCUCAUAUAUAUAUGACCCCAAAGGCAUGGACUAAAAUAAGCCAUUUGCGGGUCCCUCUUCUGAUAAGGUCAAUCCACUUGUUGGAAUGGAAUGAAUUUGAUUGAUAGAGAAGGUCUAGAUUGCCUGAGGGAGCGGAUAUAUCCUAAUUGCAGAAAUAAUAUAUUAAUUGUAAUAGAGCAUAUGCCACUUUCAUUGUGCAUGAUUGCAUCUAAUCUAAGAGAUCUGGACUCUGUUCUUUCUUUCUUUGUUUUUUUAUUUCCCCUCCAAUCUUCCAAUUUGUAUAGAAAAAUAUGAUCCUAUCAGCAAGAGGAACUUGAAAAAUCGUUCUGCCGGCCUUGCACUGACGAAACAAAAAUAAUAAAGAGUGAAAAGUGACGGAUUAUUACCAAAAUGAAAUUGACAAAAAGCUGAGAGGUUAGGUGAGGUGAGCUGGGAAAGAAAUUUAUGUAUGAAUUAGAUUGUAAAAUAACCUUAGUCUAAAUUCUCGAUAUUUCUUUUGCCAUAUGUUAUGAAAUGAAAAAUCUCUAUUUGGACAAGAAAUUUUUCUUUUCUUGAUGACUGUGGAUUAUAAUAAUACAAUUAUGCAUUACUAUAAGUUUUCACCAACCUGUUCAAUGAACAUGGCUUCAUCCAUAAGGAUACAUCCAAGGAUGCACAAGAAUCAGAUUUCAACCAAGUCCAGAGAACUAAACAAGGCCUGGUUUUCCUCUCUUUAGGUAGACAUCCUGAUUGUGUUGACAAUCUUAUCCACCAGGACAUGUAAUUCCCUAUUUUCAAGAGUACGAUGCCUAAGGAAACGAACAUUUGGUACUCUUCUUUCAUCCUGCUCUUAUAUUUUUACUAAACAAGACAGAUUGCCAUACGUAUAAAGAUGUAUAACUAGAGAAGAUCCAAGAGAAUAUACUAUUAAAGGAUCGACUUAUUAAGACAUGACAAAUGCAACUUGAGUUCAUUAUUGGAUCUACACCUUAUAAAUAAAAAUACAAAUAUAUAUUUCGUUACUUAUAAAUUCCUAUGUAGGCUUGAUAUGAAAAAAAAAAUUGUCCAGGCCAUUACUAUUUUAAUACCAUACACUUUUUAUGCGCAACAAAAGAAACAAAGAAAGAUUUGCAUAUAUUUCGAGAAAGAAAAUCUAAAGAUUUCGAUUUUGCCUGUACGGAUGAAACAACAUCUUUUAUUUAAUUUGAGAGAUUUUUGUUCUUAUCUUAUUAAUCAACAUCUUUGCUAGUGAAUACAACAUAUUAUUACAAUUUUCUUUUUUCUUGGACAGAAAAAAGAGCUUAGGCUCGAAACCAAAGAUAGUAUUACUUUUUAUGUAAUAUAGAUUAUAAAUUCUUUAUUUUAAGGAAGGGCAGGGGUGAAUCACCUAUAAUUAAUUUUUUUACCCUAGAUAUCAACAUAGAGUACAUAAAACAACUACUUGCCCCCUCUGGACUUUUGUGGUUCUGCACAUCGUAUAUAAAUCAAUUCAAUUUGUUUAUGGCAACAUGGAAUAUUCUCUGAGCCACGAACUGUUGCUGUGACCUCACUUCCUCCUUCCUCUUCCUUCCCUCGCUUGGACGUUAGCUCCAGGACAAAACAGAGAGAUGGGUCGCUGGCCGAAGGACGCAAGGACGCGAGGCUGUGCCCGACGUUCGCCCAGGAAUGUCGUGCGGUACGAAGCAAGCUGGUCUCGUCCUUGAAGAAAGGGACAGAAACGAGAUAAAUGGGGGAGAAAGGCGGCAAAGGGAGGGGGGGUCUCUCUGGUCUUUUUGGGUUUGUUCGGCCGAGAUAGAGCAACCAAGAGAGAGAGAGAGAGAGAGAGAGAGAGAGAGCUCGUGAGAGUGAGAAGGCGAGCUCGAGAGAGAGAGAAGGAGCGAGCCAGAGAAGAGAGGGAGCUCGAGGGUGGCUGCUUCUAGAAGGGUGUGGCUGAAAACCAAGGAGAGGCUAGAGCCGCUCGAGAGGGGAGACCGAGAAGGUGGAUAGCGAGGGAGAGCAGGAGAGAGAGGCGACUGUGUUCUCGAGUUCUUCGGGGGAGGCUGGAGACAGCGAGAGCAACAGAGAGAGUGAGAUAUGAGAGAGUGAGCAAAGGGUGAAGUGGAGAGAGAACCGAGAGUGAGCGGAGGGAUGGACUGAGAGAAAGCAGAGACCCAGGAGUCGAACUUCGUUCUCGGACAAGCGUUACCCGGCCAUCCCCAUCAUAAACUGGCGAUCUCCAGCCAACACCCUCGAGCAUGUGAUGAGUUUUCUUUGGGUUCGAUCCACUUUUAUCUCGAUGAUCCUGGCUCGGUGCAACGUCGAGGCGUCCGACCAUAGCUCGUUUCCUUUCAGGCUCACCUUCUGGCCGUCGUCGCCGAGCCGGGUAGGGAUAUUCGUGGUCAAACACUUCUCUCUGGGAACUCCGUUGCUUGGUUUUAUUUAAGACGGAACCGAAACGAUAGCUGGGUCUCGUUUUCCCUAGUCCACCAGCAUGCUCGAUUUGAACGAGCCGUCCCUUUUGUUGAGUUUGAGUUGUCACUUGCUGCUUUCUUUUGAGUAAAUGACUUGGAGUGCUGCCAUUUUCAUUCUCUGUUGAUGGCUGCUUGAAUAUGCUCAAGACUCCUCCCUUUCGUUUCAGGAACACAUCCUUUAAAUUCCCCCCUGGAGUUUCUGCAUGAAAAUUGAUUAUUCACUGGUUUAGUAGCAUGCGAGUAAUGACUGGACUUUAUCUAUUUAGAUAUGGUGGCGGACUUUUGACUAGUUAUGCACCGUUCAGAAUGCCAGAUUCAUUUGCAGAGGUUUCUAGAGGAAGAUUUUGUUCACUGUUUUUCUAAAUUAUACAACAGGUAUUUAUAAUUUGCACUUCUAAAAUGUAAUUUCCUUUCAAUUUCGGCAGAGGAGGAUCGCAUUGUUUCUUGGUGCAACUGGGCAGAAGUUUCUAUCUAUGUAUUGCUCGUGUGGCACGUACAUUGAUUUUUUGACAGUCCUCCUAACAGUUUACCUGGCGACACCCAAUCACAUAUCGUUUGGCUACAUUUUGUUCCUCCUAUGUUGGAUCAUGGGAAGACAACUCGUUGAAAGGACGAGAAGACAUUUUUAGUUUCCAUUAAAAGUAUAUGCAAUCACUGUGCCUGUCUUCGUAUACAGUUUGAGCAAUUUCUCCACCCUUGAGAUGUGGUUGUCGCAGUUGAUUGAUCUUCAGUUUUACUUGGCCUACAACUCAGAAGCUUUGCUAUUGCAGAAUAUUUGGCAGUCUAUUGCAAUACUGAUUGUGAUGCAGCUUUACAGCUACGAGAGGAGACAGAGCAAGUAUAUCCAAGCUGAUGACUCCAAACUUAUGGAAUUUGGAGUACUUUGAUUUAUUAAGAGUUUCCUCAUUUGGCUCAGAGACAAGAUAGUGUGUAUAUCAAAGUUCUAUGCAUCGUUGUCACCAAUUAGUCUCUUUGGUUUCCUUUAUCUGCUCGGUCUUGUCAUUUGUUCUCUUUUGCCUAAAGCAUUUCGAAUCCCAUCAAAAUUAUUCCUUCUUUAUACAGGAAUUCUGGUGAUGACAGAAUAUCUCUUUCAGAUGUGGGGUGCCCAGGCAGGAAUGUUUCCUGGACAAAAUGACUUUAGUUUGGCCAAGUUCUUGGGUUUUGAGUUAUUUCAGUCAGGCUUUUGGGGUCUAAAAUCGGGUUUAAGGGGGAAAAGUGCUGGUGAUAUCUGCUUGUAUCCUUCAAUACAAUGUCUUCCGUUGGUUGCAAAAAGUGCCAACACACAUUUUGAGCAAAUAUUACACCAAAGAACCUUGCCCUCUGUUUGUAUCGGCAGAAGAAGUGUUUAGGGAUUUUUCUAAUUCAAACGGGGAAAGCAAGCCGCCUGCAGAUUCGCCUGCAAUUCCUUGUGAAGCAGAAGGCAUGAGAAACAAUUUGUCUUCCUCAGCCUCUGGUUUUUCUCAAGCAUCAAAUAAUGUACCCAAAGCUGGAGGCUCUGGGGGUGGCAAUGCUAGAAAAUAUUCUUUUGGAUAUAUUUGGGGAAGCACCAACGAAAGCCACAAAUGGAACAAGAAAAGGAUUAUCACCAUGAGAAGGGAGAGAUUUGAAAUGCAGAAGACAAUCUUCAUAGUCUAUAUAAAUUAUUGGAUGGAGAACAUGUUUAAUCUCUUUGGCCUCGAAAUAAACAUGAUGGCCUUGCUCCUUGCCUCCUUUGCUUUGUUAAAUGCCAUUUCUAUGCUAUAUAUUGCACUUCUCGCUGCCUGCAUACUUCUAAAUCGCAAUGUCAUUCGGAAAUUAUGGCCAGCACUUGUCUUUUUGCUUGCUUCCAUUCUUGUCCUACAAUACUUUGUCAUUUGGAAGAGCACACCAUCUCCCAAUUCACAAACAUCAAGCAAGGCUGAGUCUGUAUUUCCUUUCGAAUUUUAUGAUCUCCUGCCAGUANNNNNNNNNNNNNNNNNNNNNNNNNNNNNNNNNNNNNNNNNNNNNNNNNNNNNNNNNNNNNNNNNNNNNNNNNNNNNNNNNNNNNNNNNNNNNNNNNNNNNNNNNNNNNNNNNNNNNNNNNNNNNNNNNNNNNNNNNNNNNNNNNNNNNNNNNNNNNNNNNNNNNNNNNNNNNNNNNNNNNNNNNNNNNNNNNNNNNNNNNNNNNNNNNNNNNNNNNNNNNNNNNNNNNNNNNNNNNNNNNNNNNNNNNNNNNNNNNNNNNNNNNNNNNNNNNNNNNNNNNNNNNNNNNNNNNNNNNNNNNNNNNNNNNNNNNNNNNNNNNNNNNNNNNNNNNNNNNNNNNNNNNNNNNNNNNNNNNNNNNNNNNNNNNNNNNNNNNNNNNNNNNNNNNNNNNNNNNNNNNNNNNNNNNNNNNNNNNNNNNNNNNNNNNNNNNNNNNNNNNNNNNNNNNNNNNNNNNNNNNNNNNNNNNNNNNNNNNNNNNNNNNNNNNNNNNNNNNNNNNNNNNNNNNNNNNNNNNNNNNNNNNNNNNNNNNNNNNNNNNNNNNNNNNNNNNNNNNNNNNNNNNNNNNNNNNNNNNNNNNNNNNNNNNNNNNNNNNNNNNNNNNNNNNNNNNNNNNNNNNNNNNNNNNNNNNNNNNNNNNNNNNNNNNNNNNNNNNNNNNNNNNNNNNNNNNNNNNNNNNNNNNNNNNNNNNNNNNNNNNNNNNNNNNNNNNNNNNNNNNNNNNNNNNNNNNNNNNNNNNNNNNNNNNNNNNNNNNNNNNNNNNNNNNNNNNNNNNNNNNNNNNNNNNNNNNNNNNNNNNNNNNNNNNNNNNNNNNNNNNNNNNNNNNNNNNNNNNNNNNNNNNNNNNNNNNNNNNNNNNNNNNNNNNNNNNNNNNNNNNNNNNNNNNNNNNNNNNNNNNNNNNNNNNNNNNNNNNNNNNNNNNNNNNNNNNNNNNNNNNNNNNNNNNNNNNNNNNNNNNNNNNNNNNNNNNNNNNNNNNNNNNNNNNNNNNNNNNNNNNNNNNNNNNNNNNNNNNNNNNNNNNNNNNNNNNNNNNNNNNNNNNNNNNNNNNNNNNNNNNNNNNNNNNNNNNNNNNNNNNNNNNNNNNNNNNNNNNNNNNNNNNNNNNNNNNNNNNNNNNNNNNNNNNNNNNNNNNNNNNNNNNNNNNNNNNNNNNNNNNNNNNNNNNNNNNNNNNNNNNNNNNNNNNNNNNNNNNNNNNNNNNNNNNNNNNNNNNNNNNNNNNNNNNNNNNNNNNNNNNNNNNNNNNNNNNNNNNNNNNNNNNNNNNNNNNNNNNNNNNNNNNNNNNNNNNNNNNNNNNNNNNNNNNNNNNNNNNNNNNNNNNNNNNNNNNNNNNNNNNNNNNNNNNNNNNNNNNNNNNNNNNNNNNNNNNNNNNNNNNNNNNNNNNNNNNNNNNNNNNNNNNNNNNNNNNNNNNNNNNNNNNNNNNNNNNNNNNNNNNNNNNNNNNNNNNNNNNNNNNNNNNNNNNNNNNNNNNNNNNNNNNNNNNNNNNNNNNNNNNNNNNNNNNNNNNNNNNNNNNNNNNNNNNNNNNNNNNNNNNNNNNNNNNNNNNNNNNNNNNNNNNNNNNNNNNNNNNNNNNNNNNNNNNNNNNNNNNNNNNNNNNNNNNNNNNNNNNNNNNNNNNNNNNNNNNNNNNNNNNNNNNNNNNNNNNNNNNNNNNNNNNNNNNNNNNNNNNNNNNNNNNNNNNNNNNNNNNNNNNNNNNNNNNNNNNNNNNNNNNNNNNNNNNNNNNNNNNNNNNNNNNNNNNNNNNNNNNNNNNNNNNNNNNNNNNNNNNNNNNNNNNNNNNNNNNNNNNNNNNNNNNNNNNNNNNNNNNNNNNNNNNNNNNNNNNNNNNNNNNNNNNNNNNNNNNNNNNNNNNNNNNNNNNNNNNNNNNNNNNNNNNNNNNNNNNNNNNNNNNNNNNNNNNNNNNNNNNNNNNNNNNNNNNNNNNNNNNNNNNNNNNNNNNNNNNNNNNNNNNNNNNNNNNNNNNNNNNNNNNNNNNNNNNNNNNNNNNNNNNNNNNNNNNNNNNNNNNNNNNNNNNNNNNNNNNNNNNNNNNNNNNNNNNNNNNNNNNNNNNNNNNNNNNNNNNNNNNNNNNNNNNNNNNNNNNNNNNNNNNNNNNNNNNNNNNNNNNNNNNNNNNNNNNNNNNNNNNNNNNNNNNNNNNNNNNNNNNNNNNNNNNNNNNNNNNNNNNNNNNNNNNNNNNNNNNNNNNNNNNNNNNNNNNNNNNNNNNNNNNNNNNNNNNNNNNNNNNNNNNNNNNNNNNNNNNNNNNNNNNNNNNNNNNNNNNNNNNNNNNNNNNNNNNNNNNNNNNNNNNNNNNNNNNNNNNNNNNNNNNNNNNNNNNNNNNNNNNNNNNNNNNNNNNNNNNNNNNNNNNNNNNNNNNNNNNNNNNNNNNNNNNNNNNNNNNNNNNNNNNNNNNNNNNNNNNNNNNNNNNNNNNNNNNNUUGCUAAAACUAUGAGAAGUAUUGAUUUAUACUUGCAUACUUUUCUGCUUUGAACUUCUCAGGAUGUGAUCCCACAUAUGGCUCAUGAGUAUGGUUUUGAUUAUGCAUUAAUCACCUACAAGUGGCCUACAUGGCUACAUAAGCAGAAGGAAAAGCAAAGGAUUAUAUGGGCAUAUAAAAUUUUGUUCCUAGAUGUUAUCUUUCCCGUUUCUCUAGAGAAGGUAAGCAUGUGAUAUCUAUGACUUUGCCUUUGACUGUCUACUCAUGCUAUUUUCAGUUCUCUGUGACAUCUAAAUUCUAUUGACCCCUCUUUGCAACAGGUUAUAUUUGCUGAUGCAGAUCAGGUGGUGCGAGCAGACAUGGGAGAACUUUAUGACAUGGAUCUGAAAGGAAGACCGCUUGCAUAUACUCCUUUUUGUGACAACAACAAGGAGGUGGAUGGAUAUCGCUUUUGGAGACAAGUACAUAUUGAAUCGAUUUAUUCUUGUGUUCUAUUUCAAGCAAUAGAAUGCCUUUGCCUUUUCCGAUCAAUCUAUUUAUGUUUUAUUACAAGCAAUAGAAGGCUCUUGCCCUUUCAGAUCAUUGCUGUCUACAUCCCUAAGUAAUUUAUUCUCACAAAAACAGGGUUUCUGGAAGGAGCUCUUUCGCAGAAGACCAUAUCAUAUAAGAUAGAUUUUUUAGGCGGUUCCAUUCUGUCCACGUGAUCCUUUUGGCUCCACUGGUAUCAUAUAUGGGUUUUAAUUAUGAUAUCAUUCUGCAGUGCACUGUACGUUGUUGAUUUGGAGAAAUUUCGAGAGAUUGUGGCAGGAGAUAACCUGAGAGUGUUCUAUGAAUCUGUCAGCAAGGAUCCAAACAGUCUGUCCAAUCUUGAUCAGGUCAGUUGUUGGAUAAUAAACUGCAAAUUCUUCAGGAUGAGAUAUUCUUUGCGAGCUUAUAGCUGUAACUUUCUAAAAAGAUUCUCGCAAGGUGUUAAUUUGUAAAAGCACUGCUUAAAUAUCCGUGAGCAUAAACAUAUCAGUUGUUUGUCUAAGCGCCCUCUCUCAUGCUUCAGGACCUCCCGAAUUAUGCUCAGCACACCGAGCCUAUCUUCUCAUUACCCCAAGAAUGGUUGUGGUGUGAGUCGUGGUGUGGUACAGCCACUAAAUCCAAGGCAAAGACCAUUGAUCUUUGCAACAAUCCUAUGACGAAGGAACCAAAGCUUCAGGUAAGUUCAUUAGGUUGGGUUCUUUUCCACUGCCAAAAUGAUUCGUGUAGUUGUGAUGUAAUUUUGUUUUUGUUGUCCUCUCAGGGUGCGAAGAGAAUAGUUUCUGAAUGGCCUGAUCUUGACUUAGAGGCAAGAACGUUUACUGCGAAAAUUCUCAGAGAUGAAUCUGAGCUUCAAGAAGCAGUGGCUUCAGAUAAGUCGCAGGGUUCACAGGGUGAUGAGUCAUCGGUAGAGGAACUUGACCUUGAAUCCAAGUCAGAGCUGUAAGGCAUGGUUUCAUUCAGCCAUGACAUGAUUGAUCCCAAGUGUAAUCCUGAUCGAGGAUGGAAGGGUAACUAUCAGCAAAGAACGUUUUGGAAUUGCAUCAACUAAGGAAAACCAAGUGGUUAUGGUGUGCGUAUGCUGUCGAGAUUGGGGAUGGAGAUGCACACCAUCAAGAAAAUGAGGUCAUGGGGAGGCUGUGAGAAAGGCAAGGUAGCGCCGGUAGAGAUUUAAAAUUUUCUCAAGAAUUUUAGAGAGAAGCGAGCUAUUCAUUUUGCUUAGUUUUUAUUAAUCGACCGGGUAAUCUUUAUUUUAACUGGGCUAUUUGCAAAUGCGUGAAAUGACGCGCUUGAUUGUGGAAUUUCUUCCUCAAUGAUAAAAUCACAGGUGAAAAGCCAACAUUCCGAUUUUGUUAGAAUGCCCUAAUACACACACUUGGUUAUGUAGUCAAACAGGGAAAAGCUGUAAAUUUUUUUGAUGGAUGAACUUUUUUUUGUGAUGCUUUCGGAGACUACGGAAAAUUACGUACUAGCCAUAAGUGCUAUGUUCGAUUAUUUUAAUGGAGGCAUGGAGUGGGCCUGUGUGUUUUGCUUAAACCUGAUCUCGGGUCUCGGCCCGGCCUAGUUUAAUGACCUCAACCGGUCAUUGCCCCUCGUCCCUUAAAAUGUCCACACCAUGCAGCGCUGGACGUUUGGGCCUUCCUCUACCCACUUCUUAGGCGUUUGUCGUAUGGCCCGGCCCAUUAUUGGGCUUAACUUGGGUCCUCUUAGCCUUUGCAGCCGAACUGACAUCUCCGAAAACUCGGCGCGAAUCCGAGAGGGUCCGGAGGAGGUAGAGAUCGAGAGAGAACGAAUCGAUCCCCCCUCGCGAUUCCCAACCGCCGCGCUCAUCUCCAAUCGCCCGCCAAUGGAGGAAAACCCUUGCGGCGAGAUCAGCUCCAGCGNNNNNNNNNNNNNNNNNNNNNNNNNNNNNNNNNNNNNNNNNNNNNNNNNNNNNNNNNNNNNNNNNNNNNNNNNNNNNNNNNNNNNNNNNNNNNNNNNNNNAGUACGGCACGCCGUCCUCUCCCGGUGGCCGAUCAAGCACUGGAAGGUCCAGAAGAUAUUCGACGACACCGAUUUCAGGUCCGUCAUUUUGUUUUAUUUUAUUUAUUUAUUUAUUAAUUUAUUUAUUUCCAUAUAUUUUUUUACCUGUUAUUCUUGCUAUCAUUUUCGUAAUUAUGGUGACGAUGAUAUGCUCUCUUUCUCGUUGAGCAAGUGGUCUUCCCGGGCGAUUUCGAAUUUUAAAUAUAUUUUCAUUUAUUUAAGGCGUCCAUCGUUGAGAGUGAAGUUUGAUAAUAUGUCAUAAUUAAUAUUCCCUUUGGGCAUAUUAUAUCAUUUUGUUCUUACAUUUUUCUAAGUGAAAAAGAUUAAUUUCGGUAGACCCAUCUAUAACAGUGCAAAUCCAUUUCGGACAAUCAAAAUUUUCGUUGAUAUUAAGGUAAGUUGGAUAUAAUAAAAAUUCGCAAGACCAAAAUUAAAAAUAUAAACGUCUUUACCAAAAAAAGAAUUAAAAAUAAAAACGUAAGUUUUUCCUAGCCAUCCAUCAGAAUUUGUGGAUGAAAAUUUUGCCGUCACUUGGUUUAUAUUUUGCCUUUUUUUAUCCUCCCCUUUUCUAGCUUCUCUGUGUGGAAUUAUCUGAAUGGAGUUGUCCAAGAAUUGAUCUGGAAAGAAUUUAGAAUAUUAUUCACGAGAACCCCACCACCAAAUUCAAGAACUGCCCAAGGCUGUAAGGCUUUUGCCUUCGGACAGCUUACGGAGAGCUCUCUGCAACACCGAUGGUGGGCCUGUCCAAAGAUCCCAGCACCAGCUGUGAGCAAUGCCAGUCAGAAUUAAAAAUAAAAUAAAAUUAAAUUAAGAAAAAAACCCAAUUUUCUUUCUAUGAUUUUGGAUGUGGGUUCUCUAUACAAUUGUCAUCUAUCGUUCCUCUUUUUUCAUUUCCGGUUGCAUUUAGUGGGUGGUAGAGAGUCGGCUUUAAAGAUCAUUCUCCAUUAAUUGCUGACUUAGUCAAGAGAAUGCUUAGGAAGCUGCUAAAUCAUAUAUAUAUAUUUGCUCUUUGGUAUUUAAAUAAGGAGUUGGGAAGAUAAAUGAAGGAUGAGAGCUGUGCGUCCGUUAGAUGAGGGCAGGGUAAGGUGUAUGUAGGCAGGACAGUAACGUGGGGAGGAUUUUGCCUUUGCUUUAUUUUAUGUAUUUGCCAAAUCAGAUGUUUGACCUGAAGACUGUACAAGGACUACUCAUCUUCAAGGAAAGGUACAUUUCUCUCAAGCGAGACAGACCAGAUAGAAUCAACUUGCUUGAGACAGCAAGCAAUUGCUCGUCAUGGAUCAAUUUCUGAGAGUUUUGCGUUCGAUUAAUUAAGCCGCAUCUUAAACAAUGGAGGGAUUAUGCAUUUCUGUUGCGUGAAAAUUAAAAAAAAAGAUAUAAAAAGUUGAUAGUAAUAUAGUCAAUCAACAUAUUAAAUUGACUGGAAUCGAAGUGGCUGUGAACUCGAUGUGUUUGGUUACACAGGAAUGUGCUGAAGGUGACAAUAGAAGUGCCUCAUGUUGGGGAAGUGAAUUUCCAGUGCACCCACCUGGAUCAUCUCGACGAGAAUUGGCGGAUGAAGCAGGUCAGCGCCAUCAUCCAGUCGAGUGACUCCCCCCACAUCUUGGCCGGCGGCCUCAACUCUCUUGACGAGACUGAUUACUCACAAGAGCAGUGGACUGACAUCGUCAAGGUAUGCACAUGCCCUUUUUAAUCAUUAGCAUGCGAAACUCGAUUACUUGAUAGCUUAAGCUAGGGCGUUUGUGUAAUCACUGACACUUUUUGUUAUAGUUCUAUGAGGAGAUAGGAAAACCAACCCCAAAGGUUGAAGUCAUGAGGUUUCUGAAGAGCAAGCAGUACACAGAUGCUAAGGACUUCUCUGGAGAAUGCGAGUCCAUGGUCGUCAUUGCCAAAGGACAAAGUAAGAACUCACUCGUUCGCUUUCCCAUCUUUCAGUUUUUCUUUUUCACUUUGUCAAAUGGCUAAUCUAAGGCGAUUUUCGAGCAUGAUGCUCCUUUAGCUCGAUGAUCACAUGAUCGGCUUGAAUGGACAGUAAUUCAUAACAUUUGAAGCAUGAUGCUUGCGUUGAAGGUAUACACGUACAUGCCUGUUAUUGUCAUUAUUGUGUCGAUAUCAACCUUUGAUGUGAAAAUCCGUGGAAUAAAAAUUGAAGUCCAAAGUCAUUAUUCGAGAGACUACUGUCCGAAUGUGUAAUCCAAAACCAUUUAUUCUAUUUCAGGCAUGCAAGGGACAUGCAAAUACGGUACGAGGGUGGACUACAUACUAGCAUCACCAGAUUGCCCAUAUAAGUUCGUUCCUGGGUUGUAUUCGGUCCUGUCAUCGAAAGGGACAUUGGAUCACCACGUCGUAAAGGUUGACGUAACGAAAUGUGCAAACAACCCUUCCCACGAAAGCGACAGCAACAACAAUAAAAUUACCAAGAAAAGGCGACGACAGCGCAAGCACCAGACAGUCGUAAAGAUCACAGGCACUGCUCCACCUUCAAAGGGUAUCUGGACAACGAAUACAUUAUUAAGCAAAGUCGAAUGACAUCACAUGUAUAUCUUCCUUUUCUGUCCGCUCUUUUCUUGGCUGCUGCUGCUGCUAUUGUUGCUGUUGAGUGAUCUUGGGCAUACUGUCUUCGUCAAUCUCUCUGUAAAUCUUCGAUUUUUUUCAGUUUAGAGUUGAAGAGGGGAGUGUUCUGGGGUGAUGGCUUCCUCACAUCCGUAUAGAUUUCAACACGACAGAAGUGAAUUCUUACCUUUCAGCUGGGGAUUGGAGCUGAACCGUCCUGGCAAGUUCUUUUUGAGUACUGUAUAUAUAUAUAUAUAUAUAUAUUUUUUUUUUUCGCUUGUAAUAUUAACUGCAAGAUUCAGAUCAGUUUUUGUUGAGGGCGACAUCUUGACUUGACUUUGCUGAGGUCAAGGUUAGAGAAAGCGAUGUUGUAUCUUAGAUAUAACUGAAAGUCCUUGGAAUAAAAUUGCAAAUUUCGAAAAUUGAAAUGAUUUUUGUUAACCUGGACAUCCGGCGAUUGAUAAAAGACCCAAAGAUUUCAAAUGAAAUACCUUUAAAAAGCAAAUAUGGAAGAAAAAGAAGCUGUAAAGUCCGGUGAUUAUGAAUUCUAAACAUUUGUGAAAGAAUUCAAUGUCUUCUUUCUUUUUCCUCCGAUUUCGAAAUUAGUAUUGAAAAGAAGUGAAGUGGUAAGUACAAUAUAUUUCGAUAUCUUUAAAAAUAUCUUAUGCGCUCUCCAAUGGUAAAAUAUAGUUUUAAGGGGGAAAUCAAGUAUAGGAAGUAAUUAUUUUAUAAUAAAGUAGAGGAUUACUAAUUGAUCCAUGAAAAAUAGAGAAAAUCAAUUAUGGAAGCAAGCAAGGAUGAGAGAGAGAGAAAGAGAGAGAGAGAUUUUUAUUGAAGCUCUAAGCAUGGUCAAAGUCCAUUGAUGUCCCAAUGACAUGGAAUAGAGUGAUACAGCUAACGAAAAUGUUUUCUUCUUAUUCAAAAUGAGAAUCAUUUUUCUGAUUUCGAGUGGUGAGCACUUUUCUAUCAAAGAUAUUUGACGGUUGACUUUAGCAUUUUUAACAUCAAAAAGAGUUUUAAAAAUAUUUUCAUCGAAAUUCUUUUUCAGCAAAACAAACGGAGGCCUAAUGAGCAUCAUAAGUGAAAGUGUAAUUAAAAGAGAAAGAAAUAGAUUUUCUAUGUAAUAGGCAUUGUUGACUGAUGUAUAAUGCUAAUUAGCUUAUGAAUAAAAAAACUGCUUGUCCCUUAUAAUGGUUGUCAAAUUAAUCAGCAUAGUAGAGGACACAAGUAUCUCUCAGUUGGUGUAUGCUCUUCAAUCCUCCUUGAUGUAAUGUGUAUAUAUAUAUAUAUAUAUAUAUAUAUAUAUUUAUAAUUGUUAACUGAUGGAUAAUGCUAAUUAGCUUAUGAAUAAAAAACUGCUUUUCCCUCAUAAUGGUUGUCAAAUUGCACACCUUACAUCAGCAUAGUAGAGGACGCGAGUAUCUCUCAAUCGGUGUAUACUCUUCAAUCCUUCUACAUAUAUAUGUAUGUAUAUAUGUAUGUAUGUAUGUCAAUUGAAUUAUUUAUUUUGAUUUUGCCCGGGAUCAAUUUAGAAAAUCAUGGGAUCUAAAGCACAAAUAACAAGAAGAGCAAUAAAAAAAACAGUUAAGACAUAGCGUCGAUAUCAUUGACCGGUAAGAAUCCCCGGUGCUAGCGAUCUUGAAGGUUUGCUACUCGGGGCCUCACUAACAUAUGACAUGAAAAAUAAAAAUAAAUGAUUUUGUUAAUGAGUGAGAAAGAUAAAUAAUCAUUAAUAUUUCAUACUUCUGCCGUUUGUUAAAGGGCUACGCUAGUAGUCACACAAGCAUCUAAUGACGUUUUAACUGCACAUGUUCUUCUUCUUCUUUUUUUUCCUAUAGUAAUAUAGUCACUUAUUAAAAUGUUGUAUCUUUUCCCUUUUUGUUGUGAAUUUCCCCUUCUAGAAAUCACGAACAUGAGCACAAAUUUUUUUUGUCCAAAUAAUUGGUCCAUUCAGGCUGAUACCUCUAAUUUCUUUCUAUAUCAUGAAUAAAGCUUUGUAAGCUUGCUCAAUAUGGAGAUAGAGUUUGUACCUGUAUGAAGUUCAAGAUGGCCGGGAGCAAUCCGUGCCACCUGACCUCAACUUAAGUGCAUCGCCUUGUCAACAAUCAGUUCCUCCACAAGCGGAAUUGAUACACAAUUUACGCCUGAAUUGUCCUCUGCUCACCUUUCACUUGGGGACGUUUUUCCAUGAAUCUCUUCAGCUCCUCGAGCCACUUACCGAGGGCUCUUCCAAGUGAGGCCAUCUGUUUAUUAUUGUUUGCUUCUGGAAGUCGGUUUAUGGAGACCUUGAUGUUCAGCCUUUGAAUUUUGCCGUCCAUUAUGAGUCUUGUUGUCAUACUUUUUUUUUUAUCAGUCAUAAUCUACUCGUAUUCUAAUACUCACUCUUAGACUUUUGCCAUGUCUCUUUGCAGGACGUGAGAAUCAAAAUCCAUACUUGAAACUAAUUCGUCCCCACCCCAACCCCCUGAAAAUGUGGGGAUUCGAACCCCCCACCUCCUCUUUCCACGUUGGAAGGGUAGCUACUGGGUUGUUGUCGUAUUCUGAACACUUCAUUAUGUGAGGUUUUGACUGUUCUUGCCUUCCAUUCAUGGUGUAGCCGAGCAACAAAUGUCAAAUGAACAGGAAGAGACAGCUCCACAGUCUCCUGUCACAACGGUCUUUCUCAUUAGGAUGAUUCUCCAGUGAGCGUGACGAAUUAUGGGAACCUUUAGUUUCUCAAACUCGAUUCUUGAGAUGUUUCCGUGUCAUAUCGUUUACUUUUUCUCCAUCGUGUCGAACAUAGUACCUACUCUGGCGAUGAGCUUAACUAUUCAUCUCAAUCUGAAAGCUACAUACCAACUUGAUAAGAUUCUUAAUAUAAAUUACCUGCUUGUGCACACUAUUUUACUUGGUGAAUUCUGUCAUCUGCACUAGUUUAAAUACAUUCAUCGUUUGAUAGCACAGGUACCUUUGUCGGCUUACGGCACGAGGCAUGGCAAAACUUUAUUUGCCUCGUCAAGUCUUGUUUCAGAGGACAUGAAUAUUCUUUUGAUAGUAAUUGUAUGUUUAGAUGAUCAUAAUUGCUACCAUUGGUAGAACACGCUGCCGAUGACAACAUGAUAGUCGCAGUGUGCAUUCUAGUCGAGCAACGUAGUUUCAACUUCGAGUUGUGAUGAAAACUGUGCUUGCGCCUGUGGUUUAAGAUGAUGAUGAGUAGAGCUGAAUCUGACAAGCCACCUGCUAUUCCUAUCGGCUUUGUCGAAUCAGGAGAGGUGGCAGGGUUCGCUCCACAUCUCGUAACCGACGGUAAUCUUGCUGUCCUUCAAUGAAGGCAUAGAGAAUGAGAAUAAAUGCUCCAUUAGACGCUGCACAUAUGCCAAUUUCGCUAGUUCUGAACCUCAUUGCAGGUGGUCCCCAGGCUGCAAACUUCAGGGGACCUUUCCAACUGUCGACUUUUGAUGGCUCGAAGCUUGAGCUACUUGGAUUCAAACCCUGUCUUUACUUUCUCUGAAGGCAUUCAUGAUAUUUAACGCUAUUUAGCUCUGUUGGGAAUAGCGGAUCCCCGAAAACCGGAUUCGACACCGAAUCGAACCCCUAAAUCAAUGCGGAAGACGAAGCCCGGGAAAACACGUAUUACCGAUCGUAAAGCACACCACGGAUUCGAGCGUACCUUGUUAGCCACAAAUUAAGCACCGACGCCAACAAGAGGAAGAAAAUCUGGCCCCGUUCAAUCUAAUGACGCCUUGAAGGAAAGAAGAAAAGUGCCGUUUGCUUACUGUUUCUUUUUGGAAGGGAGAGAGCGCGCGGGAGAAGAGAAGACGUACGUUCGUCUGUUUUUCCAACCGGUACCAUCUCUCUCUCUCUCUCCUCCCUUUUAUACCUUCCCCCAUCCACGGGCCCUAUUCCCGUGGGCCGGGCUUUUUGGGCCCAGCAUGGGCGGACGGGCCUUAAGCCCAUCUCAUAAAUCUAUCAUCUCCCACUCGCACAUGGUGGGCCGAACGGAAUUCUCUUUACCUCUCUUCAACAUUCAUACUGGUGAAUAAUCCGUGCGACCAACAUACUUUGAGAGCUCGUUGCUAUACAUCUGUUAGGAAUAUAUAGCAGCUCAUAAUGGUCGUCACACUCCGAGUAGAUUUAGUAUGCAGUACCCUAGAUCGAUCGAUCACAUUUAUAUCUCUCUUGAUCUCUUUUAAACAAUGAUAUAUAUAUUGUAUUCACAAUUAUGAUUAUCCCAAAGACAGUCAUAAUUGGUUAACCGGUGAAUACAAAACUACAAUGUGAUUCUCCAAAAUCGAUCUUCCUCUUUCCUUCAAACUUUCAAUUUCAGUUCAGCUUGCUUUUCUAGAAAUGCCCCAUUAGAUCGAAUCAAACUCAUGACCAUUGGCAACAUCCUAAGAUAGCAAAUACUAAAUAGAAAUCUUGAGAAUAAGUAAGAGUCAUGAGGGGACUAAAAAUUGAGGAACUCUUUUCCUCAAGAGUCUCACACGACAUAAAAGUUGAGAUCAAACUUUUGCCACUCUUAUUGGUCGUUACGUAUUACGGUAUUAACUCAUUUCCCAUGGAGCGUAUGUCUACACCUUUCAAUACCGUACAGAUGAUAGUUCAGACAUAUCUAAUGUCUAACUUGAGUUCACGUAUCUACUCAUUCACAAAAUUCAUCAGAACUCACAUCUGGCAUCUUAGACAGAUAAAGUAAAAUAUGUGGGGUAUUUUACUUUCGGACAUAGUAAUUAUUAUAUUCUCAUCUUAACACCUAGUUAAGGCGACAUACGUGUUUUAAGCUUGAGCUCUCGAUUAUCACCUAGAUAAUAAGCUUAAAAACAGUCUCAUCUCUAUUUAUCACACAGUAAAUAGAGGCGAUUACCCGUGUGAGUGGGCUAAUCUUAUAUCUGUCCGACAUACUUCUCAACUUAAAGUGAUGCACUAAGUAUUAAGAUGCAUAAAGAUCAAACAAAGAUUCAUAGGCAUUAAUGAUGAAAACACAAAUUCAUCAAAUUGUGAACACUUAGGGAAAUUACAAUAUUUAGUACAUCAGUCUCUACGCAAUCCUAGAGACUUCAUAUGACCACAAAACACAUCUCUAGGUAUUGGUUUUAUCAUAAGAUCUGCUACCAUUCUAUGCGUAGUAUGUACUCUAAGUUCACAUCUUUUCGUGCAAUCAUAUCAUUGACAAAAGUUAUACUUGGUAUCUAUAGGUUUGGUCUUGCCAUGAUAUUUGGAUCUUUGGUGUACACUUUUGCUGCUCGGCUAUUAUAGUUAACCAACAAUGCAGCAUUUCCAAUAACACCUAAAUGAUCCAAAAAAUCUCUUAAGCCAAAUACCUUCUUACACUGCUGCUGAUAAUGCCACGAACUCAACUUACAUCGUGGACAAGGCUAUACACUUUUGUUUUUUACUGCUCCAACAUAUGGUGCCAUUAUUCGGUAAGAAAACAAAUCCAUAGGUAGAUUUCCUUUCAUUUAAAUCUCCUCCCCAAACAGCAUCAAAAUAGCCUUAGAGUCGCAGAUCCAUUCCUUAAUAACUCAACGUAUUAUCAGCAGUCCCUUUUAGUUACCUCAGUAUUCUCUUAACGGCUUUCCAUUGUGCUGGACCUGGAUUGGAUUGGUAUCUACUUACCAUUCCAACUGCAAAACAUAUGACAGGUCUUGUACACAUCAUAGAGUACAUCAAGCUUCCAACAGCACUAGCACAAGGAACAUGUCUCAUUUGUUCAUUCUUUUGUGAAGUCCUUGGACACAGUUUAUGGCUCAAUCCUUCACCUUUUGCAAUAGGAGUGUCUAUGGGUUUACAAUCUUGAAAUCUUAACUCUAAGAAUGUAUAUAACAUCACCCAUGUCUUUCAUCUCAAAGUUGGAAGACAACCAACUCUUGAUAGUAUUGACAAGCUCCAUAUUGUUUCUGGUAAUUAGUAUAUCAUCAACAUAUAAUGAUAUGAUCACCAAUUGAUCUUUGGAUCUUUUGAUAUAUACACAAUGAUCCUCAUCAAUCAUUAUAAAAUCAUAUGCCAUUUUGGCAUUAUGAAAACGUAUAUACCAUUGUCUCGAUGACUGCUUAUGGCCAUUUAUCGACCUCAAAAAUCGAUAUACAUUUUCUUCUUGGCUUUUCAUUAUGAAACCAGCAGGUUGUUCCAUAUAUUUCUUUCUCUAAUUCUCCAUUGAGGAAAGCAGUCUUUACAUCCAUUUGAUGUAACUCAAGAUCCAUACUUGCCAUUAUUGCCAGAAUAAUGCGAAUCAAGGUAAAUCUCACUACAGGAGAAAAUGUAUCUUCAUAAUCAAUUUCUUCCUGUUGAUUAUACCCCUUCGCCACAAGGCGAGCCUUAUGCCUUUUUAUCGAGCCAUCAGCCUUUCGAUUUAUUUUGAAAACCCACUUGUUCCCAAUAGCUUUGUGUCCUUUUGGAAGAUCAACCAGUUCCCAGACUUGGUUUGAUUUCAUUGACUCCAUUUCCUCUUUCAUUGCAUGAAUCCAUUUUUCCUUAUUAGGGCAAUUCAGAGCCUCAUUAAUAUUUCUUGACUCAUCCUCAUCUUGUGGAGCAAUAAUAAAAGUUUCCCUUUCAAUGUCAAAACAUCGACGGGGAAUACUUUGGCGACUUGUUCACCGUAUGGGAGAUUGUACACUUAGCACAUCAUUCCCCAUUAUGCUCCCACUUGGAUUAGGUAAUGAUGAUGUCGUCACAUCAGGUGAUUGCAAUUGAGAAUGAGUUGAAUUCAAUUCAUCACAUCUCAUAUUACUCCCACUUGGACGAACUCCACUAACAUCAUUAUCUUGAUCCAAGGUUUCAAAUAUGGAGUAAUUUUCCCUAUUUCGCCCCUCUUAGGAAAUUCAUCCACUAAGGAUGUGACAUCCCGUGAUUCAAAUUCAGUUAUACUCUCACUUUCCUGCUCACCUAUGAACACAUACCAUUUUGAGUAUUCGCAGUAUCUCAUGAAAAUACUCUUAUUUUUUUUGGGACCCAAUUUCCCAAACUUGUGAGAGGACUCAUGAAUAUAGGCAGCAUAACCCCAUGGCUUAAGAAAACUUAAGUCCGGUUUUCUAACUGUCCAUAACUCAUAUGAAGUGGAAAUAACUGAUUAGGAAGGCAUCCGAUUAAGUAUAUUGGCAGCAGUUAACUACGCAUCACUCCAAAAAGUGAUAGGUAAGUUAGCAUGCACCAUCUUGGACCUAACCAUUCCAGUAGGGUUCUGUUUCUUCUCUCUGCAACACCAUUUUGUUGAGGAGUAUAUGGAAUAGACAACUAUCUUUCUAUUCCUUUUUCAUCACAUAAUUUUCUGAACUUAUCAGAUAAAUAUUCUCAACAUCGAUCGGAUCUAAAUACCUUUAUUUUAUUGUUUAAUUGAUUUUCUGCCAGGUUCAUAAACCUUCUAAAACAACUUAUGCUUCAGAUUUAUGAGAAAUCAAAUAGACAUAUCCGACUCGAGUAUAAUCAUCUAUAAAAAAAAGUGAUGAAAUAAACAGCCCAUUGCCUUCCUCUCACAUUCAUUGAACCACAGACGUCCAAAUGGAUUAAAUGUAGAGGAAAUUCAGCUCUUUUACCUUUUCCAAAUGGUUUUCUUGUCAUUUUCCCUACUAGGCAAUGCUCACAUAUGGACAAAUCGACUUUUUCAAUAUUGCCCAACAAGCCCUCUUUGGCUAGUCUAUUAAUAUGUUGUUGGCCCAUAUGACCAAGUCUAGCAUGCCACCAUAUUCACAUCAUUAUCAUAUAAGGUAGAAGACGUGAAACAAGGGAAUAACAUAUUGACAUCACCAUAGUCAACAUUUAGUACAAUAAAACCAUCCAGAAAAUGACCACAACCAUAGUAGUUUGUAUCCAAAUACAAAUCUAUACAUUUAUUAUGGAAGUUCAUAUAAAAACCAAGCUUGACCAACACGAAAACAGACACUAAAUUUCGACGAAUCUCCGGAGCAUAUAGAACAUCAUGUAGGAACAAGGUGCGUCCACCACGCAUGUUUAAUUGGCAAGUCCUAAUCCCUUUAACUUCAUCUCUAAAGUUAUAUCCCACAUAGAUCCACUUAGUUCCAGUUGGUAUCGUCGGAAUUCCAUGAAGGAUCCUUUAUCCUUCGCUACACGAUCUGUCAUUUCUGAAUCUACAGUCCACAAAGGAUUGGAUUUAGCCAACAAUACAGAACUUGACACAUAGGCAAAGUUCUCAAAUGUACAAGAGGUGUUUACCUUUUUCGGCUCACAACAGUUGCGAGCAUAGUGACCUCUCUUGUCACAAUUGUAACAUCUCACCCUUGACAUUUUUCUUCACUUGAGGACGUUUUCCUCUCUUGUGUUGGUUAACUCUUGAUUUCUUGCAACAAGGACUUGAUCUUUUGCCAUCCCACAUAUUGAACAAAUCAAUACGCUUGCACUUAGAGCUCAAAGCCCUUUCUGAGCUAGAACCAGCAUUGCAAGUGUCCGUUUUCGGCUCACAUGCCGUCAAGCGAUCCUCUACCAGCUCAAGGUGGCGCACAGCAUCAUCAAGAUCUUCCAUAACAUGGUCAAGAGCUUCUAGUGCUUCUAACUUUUCCAGCACAUAUUGAAUCUUAGUACUCAAUAUUCCACAAUUGUUGCCGUUCAUAUCAGCAAUUACGUUCUUAGUUGCUGAAACUAUCGAUCUGAACACAUCAGACUUAUAUGCACAAAUAAUUAAUGCCUAUCAUUAUGCAUCCCUAUUUGCAUAGACCCAUCAUANNNNNNNNNNNNNNNNNNNNNNNNNNNNNNNNNNNNNNNNNNNNNNNNNNNNNNNNNNNNNNNNNNNNNNNNNNNNNNNNNNNNNNNNNNNNNNNNNNNNNNNNNNNNNNNNNNNNNNNNNNNNNNNNNNNNNNNNNNNNNNNNNNNNNNNNNNNNNNNNNNNNNNNNNNNNNNNNNNNNNNNNNNNNNNNNNNNNNNNNNACAUCCAAUAAAAUAACAAUGCUUUCACAUGAUACAACUAAUAUAUCGAUUGCUACAUCAACAACAAUCAAGUAGUAAACAUUACAUAAUUAAUCAAAGAAAUAAAUAAGGAAUGUCCCUUAUAAUCUAUCAGCCAUAAUAUCUGAGAAAUUUGAAGGCACAUUUGCCAACCAUGGAAAAACUUUUGGAGAGCUUUCAUGUCGCCACCAAGGCGCAUUCACUCUACGGCCAUGUGGCGCUCAACCUAAGGGUUGAAGUUUUGGUUAACUCAAUCCUAUAGUGCUCUCUUACAAAAGCUUCCAACCAGCCUCCUAUAACUCAGGACCACGUUGAACCUCCCAUAGCCGAUCUAACACUGCUUACCAUUCAGGUGGAAGAGUGUUCAUCAAAGCCGGUACAUUCUCAAAAUCCGGCAUAAGAUAACCAUUAUUGAUGAUUUCUUGUAUCAUCUGAUUGACCCUGACCGCAUGUGAUACUAAAUCACCAUCAUGCCACCGAUAAUUAGCUAAUUCUGACAAUCUCCUUUUAAGUCUUGCAUUUCCCUCGUCCGUUCUCGGGAUUGCAGGUAUCCUUGCAUAACGCAUCAUAGUUCCUGCAACAAAUGCAGAACUAAAAAUGGAUCACUUAUAAUCCAUAAUAAAUAUAAGGGAAAAUACAUAAUUUUCCAAAAUUCAUGCAAAAAAUGAAGCAUUAAAAAUAGAUUACUUAUAACCCACAUAGGCAUGACUGAAAAAGAAACAAAAUUUUUUUUUUUUUUUUCGGGUCAACGGUCAACGGUCAGUCAACGGUCAACAGUCAAGGUCAAUGGCCAGUCAACGGUCAACGGUGGUCGGUCGUCGGAUCGGUCGAACCGGACAGACCGGUCGGACCAAUCGCGCCGGUCGGGCCGGUUCGGGCGAAACGACCGCACGUGCCGCCCGCGUGCGCGAGCUGACGUCAUGCAGACGUCAGCCGGCACGAGCCGCGCGCGUGCCGAGGGUCGCGGUUCGGGUCGGGUCGCCGGCCGGCCAACGGUCGUCGGCGAUGACGUCACCGAUGACGUCAUCCCGGCGGUUACCGUGACGUCAGCACGCGUCUGUUCGCCGACCGGCGCGUGCCCGUUCGCCACCGGCGCGUGUGUCGCAUGCGCUGGCGAAGCCAGCACUUCCAGGCGCUUCGCGCCCACGCGCAGCGGCUUCUGGCCGUGCGUGUGGGCGCGUGCGGCGUCUCCCGGCGGCGCUCGACGUGUCGCCGGACUCGUCUCGACGUCGCCUUUCUCCCCAUGUGUUCAGAAAACGAUUUCGACUUACGAAAACUCAGAAAAAUGGCCGAACAACGCUCGGGUGUCGGGAUUUCUCGCCCCGAUCCGUACGGCCGAAAAUUUUUCGUGAAAAAUCAAUCAAAAAACAUCAAAUUAAUCGGGAAAACGUGAACUAGGGCUCUGAUACCAAUGUUGGGAAUAGCGGAUCCCUGAAACCGGAUUCGACACCGAAUCGAACACCUAAAUCAAUGCGGAAGACGAAGCCCGGGAAAACACGUAUCACCGAUCGUAAAGCACACCACGGAUUCGAGCGUACCUUGUUAGCCACAGAUUAAGCACCGACGCCGACAAGAGGAAGAAAAUCUGGCCCCGUUCAAUCCGAUGACGCCUUGAAGGAAAGAAGAAAAGUGCCGUUUGCUUACUGUUUCUUUUUGGAAGGGAGAGAGCACGCGGGAGAAGAGAAGACGUACGUUUGUCUGUUUUUCCAACUGGUGCCAUCUCUCUCUCUCUCUCUCCUCCCUUUUAUACCUUCCCCCAUCCAUGGGCCCUAUUCCCGUGGGCCGGGCUUUUUGGGCCUAGCAUGGGCGGACGGGCCUUAAGCCCAUCUCAUAAAUCUAUCAAGCUCGAUAUUCAGCAUCGUCGCCCUUACUUGUUUUGGACUUUCUACUGGCGAAUCUCUUCAUGUAAAGGUUUGGCUUGGCAUUAUACUAGUCAGCAUACUUGCAUAGACAUGGUGGUUCUGUUCGUUUCCUCAUCAGUGCAUUCGACUUGUGGUGCAUCAAAUCUGAAAAUGAAAUAUUCCAGUAUCUAUAUUUAAUUAUUCGGAAGUUUGUUUUAAUAAGCUAGUACUAUGCUAUCAAUCAAUUAUCACUCAGUACAUCUCUUUAUACAUAUAGACACGGUUUGCCAUUUCCAGAGUUGUUAUCUUUCGGGAGUGGUCUCGAACGAUUUCGUAUUCUCCAAACCGAGACUCAUUCAGUCAUUGAAAGCCUUCAAUUUUUGACCUUGUACUAGGAUGGUCCUUUCUGCUGAUUAUUGUAGAUCCUUUGAAAACCAUUGAAGCAAUCGAAAAGACCUCGCAGAAAAUGUUAAUUGCUUUGUACUGGCGAGACGACCCAAGUUUUAAGCAGCAGCAUGCGCUUUCGCUGCUUUCUAUGUUUUCUUAGUCUGAUGAAUGACAUUAUUUGAAUCUCAGUGGGGGAGUACCUCGCUAAUUUUGGCAUCAAAUCAGGGCUCUCUGUCUGCGAUCUCUAAGUGAAGUGGAUAUCGCGGGUUCCUUAUCAACAUCAAUGUCUGGAGGAAUAUGAUACUUGUUUGCAAGCACGUGAGGUACCAUCUCAUGUCUUAUCAUCGAGUGAACGCAUAAAUUCUCACUGCAUUUAGGGAUUGAGCUUUUGUAAUACAUCACAUGCUCUAAAACGACACUACCUGCUCAAUUUCCAUUCAUCGUAAAGGCAAAUUUGUCGGCCUACUCUAUCUUUCGUCUUUGACAUGUGCCAGUCAUUCAUCGGUUAGGCCCUAACCCAUCCCGUGACAUGAGGUCAAAGUCGGAGAUUGCUUGAGCAUGUAGCAGUUGUAGAGGUGGGUGAUCGAGCGGGGUCGAAGGGUGGGGGUGAGAGGUUUUGAUGGAAACGAGAGAGAUUCACAUGAAACAAAAAUUAAAUGAAUGCCAUAGAACAUUCAUUGUCAUUUAUAAAAUAUGAACAUAAUGAGUCUAUCGGAAACACUAGUGCUAUAUGAAAAACAUGUAAAAGCUUCACGGAUUACAUUGCGAAUAAUGAUACAUGUUGAUAGUACUAUUUAAAUUUUGCACCUCAUUUCUAUGAUAGGGGAACAAUCACACAAUACAUGAUUUCGUAAACUCAUUGUCAUGGUAAAAUUGGUAACCGCCCGAAAUUAUCGAAGCACUUGACGAAGCUGAGACCGUUUCAAGUUCUAUAUCAGUGUUGACAUCAUCAAUUGGCGCCUCUCUUGGAUACAAAAGUGGUUUUGGAGGCAGCUGUAGUUUAGCCAUAUCUCCCUCAAGCAUAUCUAGGACUUUCCUCAUCGACGGCCGAUCAUUAGGACUCAAUUGUAUACACCAUGAUGCAACGAUUAUCAUCUUCCUCGUUGUUUCUCUUUCCUCUUCUAUGACAUCUACCAUUUCAACCUCCUUUUCUUUGCCAAGUUGAUCAUAAACCCACAAAGGAAAGUAAAUUUGACUUGAACGCUCUGCACGUGCAUUUAGAUUUCUCCUUCUACCAGCCAUUUCCAUCAACAUCAUCCCAAAACUAUAAACAUCGGCUUUAUAAGAAAUGCCACCAAUGUCUUUAUAGAAUAGCUCAGGUGCCAUAUAACCCAAGGUUCCUCUUGCUGCAGUCAAUGAUACUAUGCUGUGACUGGUGGGAUAAAGUCUUGCAAGUCCAAAGUCAGAAAUUUUCGGAGUGAAACUUUGGUCUAGGAGAAUGUUGUGUGGCUUGAUAUCAAAGUGCAGAAUUUGCAUAUCACAUCCCUAAUGUAGAUAUUCUAUCCCUCUAGCUAUGCCAAGAGAGUUCUCAUACAUUUUCUUAUGAUCAAGAGGAUCAUCACCAUCCUUAUUCGAAAUGUGUUUAUCCAGGGAGCCAUUUGGCAUGAAAUCAUAGACUAGAGCUUGUUUGGAGUAAUCGAAGCAAAAACCAACAAGUUGCACCACAUUGACAUGGUGAAUCCUUCCAAUUGUGGCCACUUCGCUAAUAAAAUCUUGGCUGUUAGAUUCUGAUUUGUUCAAAAUCUUAACCGCAACUUCAUUGCCACUUCGAAGGAUUCCUCUGCAGACAGAACCAUAUCCCCCCUCACCUAACUUGUAUUUGAAAUUUUUUGUAAUCUUCUUAAUAUCGGAGUAAGAGUACCUUAUGGGUAAAAAGUUAUUGUGAGCUUGUAGGAAUUCUUCGAUGAUUGCGUCAAUCGCUUGGCGCCUUCUCAUCCACUUAUAGAUUAGAAGUAUCAACACACAUAGAACUCCGAGUACGAAUUUUGCUGCAACAUAGUUGGCUGGAUAGAAAUUGUCCAUAGAUUAGCACGGUGCAAUAAAAAAAAAUUAAACGUAAUUUUUUUUUUAUCAGAGUGCUGCUUGAGAUCUUCAUAGUUGUGAGGAGAAAAGGGCUAGGAAGUCAUACCCAAGACGAGGGCAAGGCUCCGACCCACAUAUGGCGCAUAAUAAUGCCUAGCCCACGUAGCAUAAUCUAAGGUGACCGAAAAUGACUAAUUAGAAUCGACAAUCAAUCAAUGAAGAAUUAAAUCUAUCAUUUUAGCAUUUAAACAUAAAAAUAAUUUACUAUCCUAAAUAGGUGCUCAUAUCGCAGCUUAUUCUAUUCACAUGGGAAAUCCAUGUUACGGUAGCAUGAUAUUUUCUCUAAAAAAAUAAAAUAAAGAACACGAUCUCGCUUUUGUUCCCUCAAGACGUACCAAACAAUUAAUAAGUUCACAUCUCACUGCAGCAUAAUUCUAAUUUACAAACAUCAUUCAGGACGCGUGCAAUUUAUUCAUCUACAUAGGAGUAACAGCCACGCAAUGGACACGAGCAACUAUUAAAUCAACCAUUUUCCCCAAACAAAUAUAAAGUAAUAGUGUCAAAUCCAGAAAAAAAGGUUCAUAAAUUGUAAAAUUAAAAAGAGCAAUGCAUGCCUAAUCUACUAAGAAAUCUUAUUAGACUUUUCAAAUUAAGUGAUGUGGCAAUUUUUUUUUUUUCUGUUGUGUUUUUAGAGAAAAUAGUGUCUUAAUUUGUGGAUUGUAUUAAAAAUCCCCAACUAAAACUUGCCACAUCUCUUGGUAAGUAAAUUUUGGUAAGAUCUCUUAGUAAAGCUAGGAUUUAAGAAAAGGAAGAAGAAGAAGAAGAAGAAAAAAGAAAGAAAGAAAGAAAGAAAGAACACCUUUAAGGGGAAGUCCCUUGAGGAAAUAAAGGUCCCCGCAACUCUCCAUUCGGUAUCCGAAACUUAAGUAGCGACACCGAAAAGCUCUUCCUGACAUGGUCCAGGGUUCUCCAGAAUAGUAGAGAUUGAAUCCCUCGGCCAUCUUGUUGUGGAGGUCCUUGUAUGUUAAGCUCCCAUUCUGAUCCCCUUCCCGCCCCGAGAUUUGAUCUGAUGCGUAUGCCGUCAUGGUUACGGUGCAGGAGUCCUUGAAAUCCCCUGCUUUUAAGUUCUGUACAGCGUAUGAGUACACCUUCAUCUAGGAAAAAUAAGGAGGCGUGUCGGCAGAGUAUCCCUCAAUACAUGGUCUGGUAUCGACAUAUAAACUAGAAGCAAUGGGUUGGGAACACUUCAUGAAGGCCACCACCGUAGCUUAUCGAUCAGCGUAUCUAUCAUCAUGACUGAAGUUGGAGUAUGUCAAUGGGUAACGAGGGAGGGACUAGCAAUUACCCUUUUGCAGUCCAUUGUCAACCACCGUGAUAUUACCAUCAAAGUCAUGUUGGUUGUAAUAGAAACUAUAAUGGAUCAACUUCGCAUUAUAUUGGCCAGCAUAUAGAUAUAGAAUAGUGUCGCGACCAAUUUUUCAGGGUGUGAAUCACCUAGGAUUUAGCUAAUAGAUUGCUAAGCCUAGACCUAGCUCGGGCUCUCCCAAGCCCAUACCAAUUCGCGACUUAAGUUCAAAUUUCUUAACAUGCAGAUGGAUUUUAUGUAGGAGUCGCCACUAAUCUAUUUUUUGGUGGGUCAAUUAGAAACCCAAGUAAAAUAACGGGAGUUUUACUUUACUCCUAUGAACCAGAUAUUCUAGGUACGGGGACUUAUUACACUAGAUUUUUCUAAUGCCCUUUCGAUACCAUUCUUUUAUUUUCAAAAAUGCUUUUGCAAGCAGCUUAAAUUGAUUUUAAAUCUAAUUUCCUAACAUGUGAGGUGAUCAUGCGAGUGCGCAAACCAUCAAUUUAACAUCCAAAUAAAGCAGUAAAUAAAUUGCAGGACUUACCUCAUAGCAACGAAAGCAUCUGCGUUGUUAGAUCAAAAUUCACAUCAACAGUCAUAGAUAUGAUUUCUAAUUAACACGAAAUUUUUGUUUUUCUUUUUCACUUGAUUAGUGAGAAUCGAACCCGUAUGCAAUGCGAUGCUUCUAAUCUAACAUGAAAUGAUAUAACAUGGCAGAAUAACCUAAAUUAUAUGACAUGAAUAAAAAAAUGCAAUGAUUAAAUAUGUAAUCUAAACUAAUCUAAUGACUUAACUCUAAUGACAAUCAAUUUCUAGCCAAAUGGACCUAACCAUAAUCACUAAGUAAUAUGCAUUUCAUGAACCUAAUUCUAUAUGACAUGCACAUGACAUUUUUUAUUUUCUUAAAAAGUAUGCAAUCUAUCCUAGAGAUUGAAACUAAUUUAUCCUAAGAUAUUUUUUGUAUUUUUUAAUAAAAAAAUCGAAAUUAAGACUAUCAAAUAAUUAACAUGCAAUUUAAAUCAGUGAAACGAAAAUCUAACAUCCUAAAUUUAUGUUUUUUGUAUUUUUUAUUUAAGAAAUUCGAAAGAAAUAAAUUUCCUGUUCUAGACAUGCAAAAUAACCUAAAACAAGUAAUAUCCUAACAUGCAUCUAAUCUAACUCAAAAAAAAAUUUCCUUUUACGGGAGCAAACAAAUAAAGGCAUCAAGAACAGCACGGCAACAAAUCAAACAAGAUAUCAUCCAUGUCCAUUUAAUUUUGGGAAAUAAAUUGACGAAUCGUAUCUCGCGCAUGAGAUCAGAUUGGCCAAUAUUUUAAGUAAAAUCACGAAUCGUAUCUCAAGCGUGAGAUCGGAUUGGUGAUUUUUUCGUACAAUUGCGGGUCAUAUUUUGGGCGUGAAAUCAGACCGUCAACCGUGUGAAAUUAAGAAUUAAUCUCUAAUUUCAAAUGCUAUCUGAACUUCGAUCAUGUGCAACGAGAUAUUUUAAAUAAGGAAACGGAAUAUUCGGAAAUUAAAUUAGACAAAAAUAUUACCUAAUCCAAAUAUUGACUUCCAAAAUUUGGACUUUGCGCAGUUAACGGAGAUUGCAGUGCUCAACAAUUUCGCAGCCAGUUGUCGAGGACAGCAGCUUAGUCACGAAAGAGCAACGGCAACGUCACGGCAGCAGGCCUGAACCGCUACAAAAUUGUCGCAGGGGACUCCACCGAUGUUGGACCACGAUUGGCUUUGAAUGUGGACCCAAGUUCGCUGGACUGUGGCAAGAUUUUUUUGAAAAAAAAACCUGCAAGAUUUGGUCAAAGAAAACUGGUUUGGGCUGCCUUCAACAGAUCAUGCACGAGAGAGACAAAUUCGAGAGAGACAAAUUCUUGUGCUUUUUAUCAUAAACUUGUGUUCAGACUAUAAGGGUUCUCUUUUGUGCACGUCCACUCCUCUCCCUCCAGGUGGAAGUGCUUGACUUUGUGGACAAAAAUUGCGGAGAUUGAGAGAAAUUUCCCCUUUUAAUCUAUGACCGUCUCCUGGCUUAACAGCGAAGCUCCGUGGCUUUGGAUGAAACUCGCCACAAAAAUUUCGGUCUUCUCGAGCAGUGGUUGGAUCGGCCAGUGCGAGCAGCAAAACAAACCAGGCUCGAGCAACAAGUCGCUGUGGAGUAUAUUACCAAUGCCUGACAGCGGAUAGGCAAAGAGUGGGUUAGGCUCACGUCAGGGAUAGCGACCUGCAAAUGCGUUUCGUCACAUCGAGGCAGCAAGCACUGGCGUUGCGAGUUCACGAAUGGUGCAGCAGCAAGUAGCGUUGGGGAUCAGCAGCACUGUCGUCAGCUCGGGAUGACGACACGAAUCGCUACAGAGGGUGGUGCUUUGCUGAAACCAAGCUUGCUAAAUUUUAUUGGUCAACGAGACAAGGUGGAGCGUGAGUGACCUGCAAAGAAGAAGAGAGAAAUCCUUCUAUAUAUAUUUAUUUUUUUGGCUCCCAUGUGGCCCCCUCCCUCUUCGCUGGUGGACUUCAGGAGGAUAGAGAUUUGCUGCAAAAUUCAACCGGGAUCUUGAAGGCUUGCGAUUGAUUAUCAGGAAAGGCCGCUGAGUCGGCGGGGUUGGAGAUGACGCCGGUGCUGGACUGGAAUGCGCCGGGAUUGCUGAGUUCUUCGAUGGGCUGAGAAAUUGUGGCAAGUGGCGCACAAGCAGGAGCAGCCGCUGGGGACAGAUGUGAAGCGUCGAAGUGCCGCCAGGACUGCUUAACGUUGCUCGCUGGAUGUCGGCAUUACUGAGCAUUCGCUGAGCAAGUUCUCGUGAAUCAGCGUCGAGAAAAAACACACAAUGGACAGUGAUGUUGCUGGUACGGGAAUUUGGGCACGACUGUUGAAAGUGACCAGCCUUGACCAUUAAAAAAUGAAAUCUCUCCUCUCUCUUGUGGUCCUUUCCAUUCUGGCCGUAUAUUCAAUAUGUGGCCUCCCCUCGAAACCCUACGCGAAAAACCUUUUUAUAGGCCGAAGAUUAGGGUUUUAAUUUCCUUUUCAAAUCAGCAUCCGCGAAGAUUUCUUUUUCGCACACAAUAUCACUUUUUUUUUUUUUUAUUUUCCACAUCUCCUGAUUUUAUUGCCUAAAGAUAAGAUUGUAACCCGAUUUUCUUAAAUUCCAAAAAUCCACCGUAAUAUUAUUUCAAAACUCCAUUUAGGUAAUUUUUGUAAUUAAAAGAAAACGGGCUCGAGCCAAUUUACUUGCUUCGUGGGCUUUAGUCCGGUCUAUCAAUUUAAAGCUUAGAACCACUAAUUCAAACACAUCCGCCACCGGUCCAAUAAAUGCAAAAAAAAAUGUAAAUGCACAUAAAUCUAUAUGCUAUGUAAUUAAUUAAUUAACUAAUAUUUUUUUAGGGGUUAAAAUUAAUCCCUAAUUUUUUAAUGAAUAAACGGGUCACCAAAAUUUAGGUGUCAACAAAUAGUGCCGUUAUUUUCACAAGCUAGCUCAUACCGAGAGCUGCCGCAAUGUUUUGGAUCGCCUUUCAAUUGAAAAGGAUAACUUAUGUUAUGGAUCUCAUCGCAAGAUGAGGGGUCACACAAAUGAUUGUUCUUCGCAUUGUAACUUAUCCUUGAUAGUAGCAGUGUCACGCCCCAAACCUUGAGUGCGCCAAUAUCCCAUCAUGGUCAUGCAAAUGCGACAUUCCCAGGUAGUGUCGCCGACCCCAUUCAUUUAUUAUUGCGUAAGCGGAACGUAUUGUAAAACCCUUGACAAUGAACUAUGGGAUAGAAAAACCAGGAAGCAGAACCAUAACAUAACACUUUCAUAAUUCAACAGAAUUACAAACAGAGGUCUACGGCCAAAAGUCUACAAAAGACCGGCUCUCAAAAAUGAACUAUCCUACGACCUACAAGUCGGACAUGCUCUCCAAUCUUAUGACUUCACCUAUGCAACUCCUCAAGGCCAACUAAAGCUAUCUGGCCACUCCGUCCACCAGGGACUUGAAAUUUUAAUCACACAAUCGGGAUGAGACUUUGUCUUAGCAAGUUCAACCCCCUAAACCCCUAUUAGAAAGAAAAUACGCUCAAGGGUGGCCUAGCCACAACAUCAAAAAGACUUACCUCGCAUUAGUCUUCAUCUGCAGGUUAGCACAGUUUAUAUAAUUCAACCACGUGCAAUUAUGAUAACCAAACAACUGUGGGACAAUCACAUCAUCAGAACAAUUUAACCACUUGGAUCGUUUCAGCGAUCAAUCGACUCGGCCGAUUACAUGUCAUUCUAGCAAAUCAAUCAUUGCCUCCAAUCACGACCCUAUAGGAAGGUUUAACAACCAACGGCAAUCACGGCCCCACUCGGCAAAAUUAGUAUUAGUGGCAUCACGGCCCCACUCGACACAACCUUUAAAAGGUGGUAGAUCCCGGCCCGAUGGGCAUGACCUCUAAUAGGUGGUUAAUCACGGCCCGGUUGGGCGCGACCUUGAUCAGGUAGCGAAUCACGGCCCCAUUGGGCACGACCUCUAAUAGGUGGUUAAUCACGGCCCGAUUGGGUGCGACCUUUAUCAGGUGGCGAAUCACGGCCCCAUUGGGCACGACCUCUAAUAGGUGGUUAAUCACGGCCCGGUUGGACACGACCUUUAUCAGGUGGCAAAUCAUGGCCCCACUGGGCAUGACCUAUAAUAGGUGGUUAACCACGGCCAAUCUCUCAUCAAUUUCAACACUUGGGAUUUUAUAAGAAGAAUCCCUAUUUAUCGCUAUCACACUCAAUUUGCCACAAUCGAUUAUCAAAUUCAAAUUCUAAAGACACAGACUUCCAAAGAUAAUUUUCGAAAUUUAUUAAAUAAUUAAUUUUAUUCCAAAAUUGAUUUAAUAAUAAUAUUUUAAUAAUUUCGAAUAGAUAUAUAUUAUUAAAUAAUUUAAAAUUUUCGGAAUACUUAAAUAAAUCAAAAAAAAAUUCUUUAAGUCACAUCAAAGCUUAUAUUAAUAUAAACAUUCACUUAGCCUUAAAUUAAACACACUUUAAGUAAAUCAAGCACCUUAAUAUAAUCUACACUUAAAUAAAUUAAACUAACCACCUCAUAACACUUAACAUAAACUAAACCUCCCUAAGUAUAAUUAACCCUCUAAGCGAGGUUUAGUGAGUUAAACUCAUCGGAUUAGCGAGCUGAGCGGACCAAAACGACGGGGACGCCGAGGGGAACAACUUCCUUUAAAGCAGACCAAGCAUCCGAGGUCAGGAAGCCGACAAAACGGGCCAAAACCAAGCUGCCAUACCCAUUUUUGAUUGAUGUUGUCCGCUGCAGUUUGAGGCCAAGGAAGGGUAGAGCUGGAGCUUGGAUGAGAUGGAGAAGGACCGGGGAAGGUUGAGGGGUCGAAUCGAACCUAGGCAGGGCUCGAACGGUGGCCGGAGGUGGUUGAUCCGAGGCUGGUGCUGGCCGAACAGCCUCCUAGAUGCACAAGUAGAGGCCAACAGAGACGGCCGGGCGUCGGCCAAGCGCGGACAAGCGCGGGCAGCAGCGAAGCGCAAGACGGCGAGUGGCAACGACGGUCCUAGCUCUGGCAGCUUACUGGUUGAUCUUCGCUGCUGCUGGCGCUCUCAGAUUUGCUAGAGACGUCGAGCACGAGCAGGAGAUGGAGUAGAGAGGGAGGCGAUGGCGCAGGUGGGCGGCAAGCGGCCUAGCGGUGCAAAUGGCAACGGUAACUGGCGAUGAAAGGAGCUGAGGGUUGCUGCAUCCGCUUUCUUCGGUUGCUGGGCGAGCGAAGAAGGAGAAGAAGAUGGAGAGGGGGGUGCCGACGGGAGAGAGAGAGAGAGGGAGGAGAGAGAAGGAAGGGGCCACCCCUUUUCUUUUCUUUUUUUCUUUUUCUUUAAUCCAACACAAAUGGUCCACCAUGACCUAAGAUGACAUCACCUUCCACUAAAUUCAAAUCUCCCACAACAAUCUUCAAUAGGUCCAAUUUCUUUUUCCGCUGAGGCAUGAAAUCUUGAACGCUAACUUCUUCAAUUCCAAUCAAUUCUCUUCCAAAUGAGUAUAAUUAAAGUCCAUAAAUUAAUCCAAUGAUCCUAAUAAGAUUUGUGACACACUAUGACUUCCAAUUUCAGAAUUCGAUCUCAAUUUCACGGUUAAUUUCACUUUGGCACGAUACUAGCGCGUCCUAAUCUAUCGGGUAGCUUUUAGAAAUUUUCGUGCAUUUGACCUAUGGUUGAUCGAUUCAAGCCACAAUGUGCAUCUUUGACACAUUGGCGACUCUCGGUUGUCGGGAUAAUUUCAAGGUUUCAAACACGAACACGGGGUACCCAAACGACAGAAAAGCCAGUCCAGUGCCGAUCAACAAGAAUUGUGCGAUCUGGUGGAAUCACCCACAUCCGAUCACAUGCCUCUGUCGAGUUGACCUAUCUUCGAUUUCUAAUCGAUUUUUAACUGUGUCGUAAUGACCCUUGCAGAUUAACUCGGUCGAAAGGUCGUUUCCUGGUCAAAUUCUCGAGUCCGAUGCAUUAGAAUUUCUUAACGGCUUCACCUGAUAGAUUAGUUAUCCCAUGAGUGAUCAGUCCAAGGAAAAGAACUAUAUGCGUGCCAACGAAAUGCCCAUCUUAAUUUAUUGAAAAUAGUAUUGGAAAAUCGAGAUGUCACAAUGCGAACGUGCGAUACGAGAAGUAAAACACGGAGUGUAAAUAUGGAGCUGAGAGAAAUAAUCAUCUCUUUAUCGUUAGUAUGGUGCAAUGAAGGUUUUAGCUCAUUUGGUAAUGCGAGAGAGGCUUUAUAAAGGGUUAUGAGUCGUCGGUCAUCGAAAUGUCCAAGUCAACCCUAAAACAAAGUCUAGCGAAGAAAGUCUUAAAAAGUAUGGCCCAGCUAAAACCUAUGUAGCAUCGACACGAACAUGUGACAUGCGACACGACACAACACGACACGCCCACACGUCAUUUAUUAAAAAUAGAGAAUUUCGACACAUUCCGACACAUUAUAUAUUAAAUAUAUUUUAAUAAUAAUAAUAAAAAUAGCCUAGAAUUAAUUUACGCGAAAAAUAUUAAAUAAUAUCAUUCAAUAUUUUAAUUUGUUACAAUAAUACACAAAACUUAGAGGAAAAAAACAUUGUUUAAAGAAAAAUGCUAAAAUGAUAUUUUUAAAUUUAUUUAUUUAUCAUAUAUAGCAUUUUUUUUUAUUACUUCUUUCAUAGUAAAAGACUUUAAAAAAAAAAAACAAUUCUAUAAAACCAAAACUGAAAAAAGAAAAAAUUGAUCCCGUGCGUGUAUAUUUAUAGCAAUUUUAUUAUUCUUUUAUUACUUCUUUUGUGCAUAUUUAUAUUUUGACCCCUCAAGUAUUAGAAAUUUUUAAAAUUGACUCAAUGCGUGUCGGAAUCACGUGUCGAAAUUCUGGACUGUCGAAGCGUGUCGGAGAGAGUUGAACAUGUGUUGGAUUUUUCAACACUCGUUGACCACGUGUCGGAGCGUGUCGGGACGUGUUGGAGCAUGUCAGACACGUGUCGGAGUGUCGAACACGACAUGAAGGCUUCCGGAGAGUGUCCGUGCUACAUAGGCUAAAAUACGGUCUCGGAAUUAGUAAUGGAUAGCUUUCACAUCAUGACGGAGGAAACCUCUUACAUUUCCCAAAAUUGAUUUUCUUGGCAAAUCAAUCUCUCUUUAUUUUAGUAUCGUAAAAAAGAAUCAGUUUCAAUGUUUUGUACCCUAAACUCAAUCAAAAUCCUUUCAAAUACGGCAUCUGGUGUUCUAUUUUAUUUUCAAGGCCAAUAUUUCGUAAAUGUCAUUUCGUUAAAUUUUGAAGACGGAAAGAAAAAAGAUGAUGUAUUUCAUCGUAUAAGAUUUUUCAUUUUUUGAGAAAAAAUUAGUAACCAAGAAAGAGGAUCAUGUUAAUUAACGGGUACAUAGAUUUUAACUCGUAUAAUGUGGCUUUCCGUAAAUAUAGAAAGGAAAUAAGGAGUCGGCGCUUCUUGCUCAUGGAUGUUGUGAAACUUUAUGAAAGAAAAAAGCAAUAUGGUAAAUUCUCAACUAGCAAUGGGACUGACACAUCUCGAUUAGAAACUCACUUGCAUCAUCGUGGAUCGACACACGCAAGGACUAUAGACACGGCAUUUGAAUUCACAAAAAUAAUGUGAUGUUUACUUAGUCACUAUGCUGAAAUUUUAAAAUCACUCUUUUCCAUAAUUGAACCACUUAAUGAACGAAUAAACUGAUCUCAAUAAAAAAGGCAAUACGAUAAUUUCUCAACCAAUGACCAAUUGAUGCGGGUCUCAAUUAGAAAUUCACUUGCUUCGUCAUUCUCAACACAUGCAAAGACUAUAGGUGUAAUAUUUUUUUUUUUGGUAAAAGACUAUAGGUGUAAUAUUCGCAUGCACAUAAAUCAACUAAUACGUACUUAUUCAUUGUCAAUUGAAAUAUCAUUCUUGUGGAUCAGUCAAUCACUCGCCUAUAAAAUAAUCUCAUCUUUUGCUCGCAAUAAAUCGAACUGACCUAUUACAAUAUCCAAUUGAAACAUGCCACAUCACUUAGUAAGUAAAUUUUUAUACGAUCCCUCAGUAGAGCUAACAUUUAAGAAGAGGAUGAGGAUGAAGAAAGAAACAAAGAAAGAACUGGGAAAGUCAGCUUACGGGAAUCAUGGUGUCUCCACCUCUCCGUUUGGUAUAUGAAACCUAAUUAGCAAAACUCGAAACUUGUUGGUGGCGAGAGUUUAUAAUAGGAGAUAGUGAAUCCCUCGACCGUCAUGUUGUGGGGGUCCUUAUACGGUGAGCUCGCACGAUUAUACCGAUCGUUUUUCCACCUUGGGAUAUAAUGCGGUAUUAAAGCCUCUGUGGUCAUGGUGUAAGUAUCCUUGAUGUCCCCUACUCGGAGAUCAAACCCAUGUACAGCAUAUGAGUACAACUUAAUUUGGGAAAAAAUAGGGGGCAUGUCGGAAGGAUAUGCUCCCUCAAUACAUGGUUCAGUAUUGACUUACGAAGUAGAAGCAAGGGGCUGUGAGCACUUCAUGAAGACCACCGGCACAGCUAACGAACCGUGUGGAUCAUUAUCACUAAAGUUGGAGAGCGCCAAUGAGUAAUGAGGGAGGGUUGAGCAAUUACUUUUUUUUGCAGUCCAUCUUCAACCACAGCGAUUUCGCCGUUGAAUAAACAUUUGCUAAGAUGGGAAUGGUAGUAAAUUGAUUUCACAUAAUAUUGGCUGUCAUAUAGAUAUAGAACAAUGUGAUUAUUUUCACAAGCUACCUUAUGUUCAUAGUGGCCACAUCCUUUUGGGUUGCCUUUCAAUCGAAAGUGAUAGCGUAUGUCAAGAACCUCGCCGCAAGAUGAAGCGGCAGACAAGUGAUUCUUCUAUGUACCGCAACUCAUCCCAAGUAGCAGCAGAACAUACAAUAUGAAAAGCAAAACACUGAACAUGCUUAUGGAGCUCAGAGACUUAAUCGUCUCUCUAUCGUUUGAUCCGAUGCAAUGAAAGUUUUUGCUAAUUGGUAAUGCGAUGGAGGCCCAGUAAUAUUGCGAUUGAGGCCCAGUAAUAUGAAUGAAAAGAGCCUGGAGUCCUCGGUCAUUCAAAUGUCUAAGUCAACCAAUAAAGCAAAGUCUAGUGAAGAAAAACUGGAUAUCACGUGGAAAUUGCAGUCCUUGCGGUCAAGGUAUCAAAACACGGUGGUGGAAUUAUUUAUGCAUAGCUUUCACAUUGAUUAAAAAAAAAACACUUCUCUGCAGUUUCCAGAUUGAAUCAAAAUCAUUUCAAGUGAGGCAAUGACGUUCUAUUUUCUUUUCAAGACUAAUAUUCCAUAAGUGUCCCUUUGUUAAAUUGUGACGACGAAAGGAAAAAGAUGUUGUAUUUCAUCAUCUAAGCUUUUUAUUUCUGACAAAAAUACAGAAAAUGGUAAGAAAAAUAGACUAUGAACAAGAAUAUAACUUGUAUAAUGUCGCUUUUGGCAAAAGUAAAAGAAAAAUAAGAAAUAAGUGCUUCUUGGAUGGUGUAACACGUUAUGAAAGAAAGAAAGCAAUACGAUAAUUUCUAGUGGUGGACCGACGCGCCCUAACUAGAAACUCACUAACUUCGUCGUCACGCAAACACCAUAGAUGCAAAUUUCCAAGUUCACCAUCAACACAAAGUCUAGCGAAAAAAAAAAGUGGGUCUCAUGUGGAAAUUGCAGCCCUUGCGGUCUAGGCAACAAAAACAGAGUGUUGGAAUUAUUUAUGGCGUGGCUUUCACGGUGAUUAGAAAAGAAACUUUUCUGCAGUUUUCAGAUUUAAAUUUUCUUGGCAAAUUGACUCUUUAGGAAUCAAUUUUAGUUCAAUAAAAAAAGAAUCGAUUGGAAUGUUAUGUACUCUAAAUUGAAUCAAAAUCCUUUCAAGUGAGGCAUUGGCAUUCAAUUUUAUUUUCAAGGCCAAUAUUCCACAAGUGUUGGUUCGAUAAAUUGUGAAGACAAAAUGGGAAAAACAAAAUGUCGUAUUUCACUGUAUAAGCUUUUUCAUUAUGGACAAAAAAAAAAAAAACAGAAUUGGUAACAAAGAUAGACUAUUAAAGGGAAUAUUAGCUUGUAUAACAAAAAUAAAAGGAAAAACAUGAGUUAGUGCUUUUUGGAUGGUGUAACAGAUUAUGAAAGAAAGAAAGCAAUUCGAUAAUUUCUAGCGAUGGGACCGACGCGCAUUGACUAGAAUCUCACUAACUUCGUCAUUGCACAAAGACUUUACAUGCAAUAUUCAAGUUCAAAGAAAAGAAAAACAAUGUUUAUUUAUUCACUAUCAACUUCAAUAUUACAAUCACUCUCCCAUACUUGUGUUAGAUCUAUGAACAAUAUUGUCAUCUCUCUGGGAACUCCCUUGCUUGGUUUUAUUUAAAAUCGAACUGAAAUGAUAGCCGAGCGUCGUUUUCCCUAGUCCACGAGCAUGCCCGGUUUGGACGAGCCAUCCUUUUGUCGAGUUUGAGUGUCACUUGCUGUUCUUUUUUGAGUUUGGACAUGAGUUAGAGUCUAGAAUGGAGGACCAUUCUCACGUGGAAUUUCACGACCACUAAAGAGAUUAAAUUUGUUAAUUUUUUCCAUUUUCUAUUUUUUUAGCAUCAAUUUAAAUGCUGCUUUAUUUUGAUAAUAAUAAAACGUAAAAAUUUAUACUUCUCUGUCUGCGAUCUCUGAAUGAAACGCGUUCCUUAUGAACAUCAGUGUCUUGAGGAAUGUUUGCUUAGUAAGAAAACUCAUGUGUAGGGGACAACAGUGAGGAAUAUAAUGCUUGUUCUUAGGAAUGCAAGGCACCAUCUCAUGUCUUAUCAUCGAGUGAAUGCACAAGUGAUGCAGCCCGCAUUGAAGACCAGCUCUCUCAACCAAGAAGAUCGGCCUGCAUUCAAGCUCGACGAAACCGAGAAGCCAUAUCGACAUCUUGAGUCCAUCUCGAAAGCUGGAAAGACACCGGGGGAGCCGUGAAGACAUUAUGCUUUUACUAUUUCUCCUAGUUUCAAUGUUCUGUCUUUAUUUCUCCUAGUGUCAGUGCUCUGUCUUUAUUUCUUUGAUGAUAUAAGACAUCCAAUUUCUUGUAGAAGACAGACGACUUUUGAUGAAUGAAAACUUUGCUUUGAAGCAAGUAUCGUGAACAUUGUAGAGUUCAUAUCCCCUUGAAAACCUAGAAGAGUUUUCACUCCAUCCUUGAAGAGUCGGAGCUUUCGAAAUCUGCAUCCUUGAAGAGUUGCAAUCAUCAAUCUAGAAGAAUCGGUGCCCCCUCAACUUCCUCGGAGGCCUAGAAGAGCAACCAACGGAGUUUCUAUCUUUUCCUGUUCUGUUCAUUAUUUCCAACCCAAAUUCGACCAUCCUACAGUGCUUAUUUCAGAAAACCCAAAACAGAGAAAUUGUAUAUCCAGAAGUCUUUGUUCAUUUGGCUUUGGAAUCAAGUCGAUCCGAUCUGUAUCAACAAUGAUACGACUGUUCUCCUGAGCUCACACAGUGCCGAAAUUUCUGUUUGUCCUGUUUUCCCGCAUGUGAGUCACUCUCCCGAUCCUACUGUUUGAGAAAGCCUACCCUUGGCUUGCAUCAUUUGGUAUCAAAGCUUUGGAGGAGAGGACAAUGCCACCAAGACAAGCUAGAUGUCGUGGUGGUAGAACCAUUCCCCUUGAUGAAUUGCACACACUCGUUGAGAAUAUGCAACAACAAAUUGACGAAUUGACAUAAGAAGUUCAGCGUUUGAGGGCUGAAGCAAAUAAUUCUCCACCCCAUUCCAGGACUGAAGAUUCCCAUGGUGACUCUUCCUCUUCGGAGAGUGUUCAAUCAAUUUACGGUCGGAGGCAUGUUCGACAUUGCUUACAACAUAUUCGUGAGCCAGAUUGGGAAAAGGAAGUCAAGAAAGAUGUUCCAGAAUUUACAGGUACUGAGUCUCCUAAUGAAAUUGUUGAUUGGCUAACACUUGUGAAUGAGUGUCUGAGCAUCGAAAUGUUCUGAAGAAUCAUUGAGUUGGGAUAUGAUAUGCGAUUCUGAGGCAAGCGAGGAUCCCGUGGAGACGUGAAAAACAAACUCGCCAAGCCGUUGGCAAAGCACCAAUCACUUUGUGGAGAAAGAUGGGGAGCAAGAUUCAAAAAUAUUUUCUUCCCAAAGGAUAUAAGAGAGAGCUCUACCAACGGUACCAAAAUCUAAAACAAGGUACGCGAACGAUGGACCAAUACACCAAUGAAUUCAAUGAGUUGGUGAUUUGUAACAAUAUCCAGGACUUGGAGGAGGUGCUUGUGAACAAAUACUUGAAUGGUCUUCAAUUUUACAUUCAAGACGCCUUGGAAGUCCUCAACAUUUGGGACUUAGGAGAUGCACACCAACGAGCACCCAAAAUGGAGUGCUCUCAUUCUCGAAGACAGUAAUCAACUACCAUGGCAAGUUGGGCCACUAAGAGUACCACUAGCGCUGCUAAAGUUGCUGAGGCUACAACACAAUCUGCUAGUAAGCCUUCUACUUAGCCCCAUGUUUCAAAGCAACCUGUUAUGUCCGAAAUACGUUGCUAUUCUUGUGGGGAGUUGGGUCGUCAUGCAAGCAAUUGUUGAAUCAAUAAGAAUCGACCAGCCGGUAAAGCCUUCUUGGUGGAUAAUGAUUCUGACGAGAAUGCUAAGGAUCCAGUUGAAGAGGAGUUGAACAAUGAUGAAGAAGCUAUGGAUGAUGAACAAAUAGUGCAUGCUGACACUAGCGAACUUCUUAUGGUGAGGAAAAUUUUUCUUACUCCUCGAGAUGACACUGGAGAUAGGUGGCUACAUACCAAUAUUUUUCAUUUUGCUUGCACAAUCAUGGGAAAGGUGUGUCAAUUAAUUAUUGACUUUGGUUGUUGUGAGAAUAUAAUUUGUGAAGUAGUGGCAAACAAGCUGAAGUUGGAAUUAAAAAUGCACCCUAUGCCUUAUAAAAUGUCGUGGUUGAAGAAAGGUGCUGAGGUAACUGUUUUAAAAUGAUGCCUUGUUAAUCUGCCCAUUGGUUAUGUUUAUAAUGACAAGAUAUGGUGUGAUGUUCUGCCGAUGGAUGCUAGUCACAUUAUUCUUGGUCGACCAUGGCAAUUUGAUAGGAGGACUAUGCAUGAUGGUUAUCGAAAUACAUAUUCUUUUGAAUUUGGAGGUAAGAAGAUUUGUUGGCACCUAGUAGGGAACCUUUGAAAACUCCUGUAGUUGAGAAUUCCUUCUCCCCUACGUUGUUUACAAUGAAGGAUAUGAAGGAUGCUUUGAAAGGAGUUCAUAUCUUGUAUAUUUUGCUUAAUAAAACAGGUGAGAAGAAUGAAGUACCUCAUCGAGUUUAACCUCUUUUGGAAGAGUUCAAGGAUGUCUUCCUGAUGGACUUACCCAAUGGUCUCCCUCCUAUGAGAGAUAUUCAGCAUCAAAUCGACUUGAUGCCCAGAGCCUCUUUGCCAAAUCUUGUUCAAUACCGAAUGAGUCCGACCGAACAUGAGGAAUUGCACCAACAAGUUAUGGAGCUAUUGAAUAAGGGUUUUAUAAGGGAGAGCCUCAGUCCAUGUGCCAUUCCAGCUCUUUCAGUGCCUAAGAAAAAUGGUACUUUGAGGAUGUGUGUCGACAGUAAAGCGAUCAACAAGAUCACCAUCAAGUAUUGAUUUCCUAUUCCUUGCCUUGAUCAUCUCUUAGAUCAACUUUCUGGUGCAAUUAUAUUCUCGAAGCUGGAUUUGAAGAAUGGAUAUCAUCAAAUUAGAAUCAAACCCGAAGAUGAAUGGAAGACAGCAUUCAAAAUGAAAGAUGGGCUAUAUGAGUGGCUAGUCAUGCCAUCGGAUUGUUGAAUGCACCAUCGACAUUCAUGAGGUUUAUGACUCGGGUGUUGAUGCCUUUUCUGGGAAAGUUUGUUGUUGUUUAUUUUGAUGAUAACUUGAUUUUUAGCAAGUUUACUGAUGAGCACUUGCAGCAUCUUCAAGAAGUAUUAUGUGCGUUGAGGUAGGAACAAUUGUAUGCAGCUCUUGACAAGUGCUAUUUUAUGGUACCACAAAUCCUUUUCUUGGGGUUUCAUAUUUCAAAGAAUGGCACUUCGGUAGAUGAUUCUAAGAUCAAGGUGAUUCGAGAAUGGCCAACUCCAACAAAUGUGCAUGAAGUGUGCAGUUUUCUUGGCCUCGCUUCGUUCUAUCAAUGGUUUAUUGUGCAUUUUAGCACCAUUACGGCCCCACUCACUUCUUGCAUGAAGAAGGGAGUUUUCAAAUGGACGAAUGCAGCUCAGAAAAGUUUUGAAUAGCUCAAAGAAAAAUUGAGCACAGCCCCGGUACUUGCAUUGCCUAAUUUUGAUCUUAUUUUUGAAGUGCAUUGUGAUGCAUCAAGUACUGGCAUAGGAGGAGUUCUAAGUCAAGGAGGUCGACCCAUCGCCUUCUUUAGUGAAAAAUUGAAUGGUGCCAAACUUCAUUAUAGCACCUAUGAUAUGGAAUUCUACGCAUUAUUUCACACACUUGAGUAUUAGCGGCCAUAUCAUAUUCAUCGAGAGUUUAUUUUAUAUACCGAUCAUGAAGCUCUGAAGUAUAUUUUUAGAUAGCAAAAGCUUAACUCUAGGCGUGCAAAAUGGGCUAAAUACAUCCAGUAGUUCACUUUCAUUAUUAAGCAUAAGGCUGGAGCUCAUAAUCAAGUUGCCGAUGCCCUUAGUCGAAAGAAGAGCUUGCUCUCUACAAUACAUCCUAAUGUUCUUGGAUUUGAUUAUUUUUCAAGAGUUAUAUUAAGAAGACCCCUACUUUUCCAAGAUCAUUCCCGAUGCACAUGAAAAGAAGCUUGCUGAUUUUACUGUCUGUGGUGGUUUUCUUUUCAAAGGAAACCGUUUAUGUGUGCCGGACUGUUCUCUUCGGCAAAGGGUGAUCGAUGAAGUUCACCGUGAAGGACAUUUUAGGCGUGACAAAACUGUACAACUCGUCUUAGCUAAAUACUUUUGGCCUCAUUUGAAACGUGAUGUACAUCAACAUGUGAUGAGGUGUCGGCGUUGCCAAAUUGGAAAGGGACAAGCUACUAAUGCUGGCCUUUAUUUGCCCUUGCUGAUUCCACAUGCCCCAUGGGAGGAUAUCUCUAUGGACUUUGUCCUUGGACUACCACGAACAAAUAGAGAUAUGGAUUCGAUCUUUGUUGUUGUCGAUCGAUUUUCAAAAAGUGGCACAUUUUAUUCCAUGUCAAAAAACUAUGGAUGCUUCACGUAUUGCCAACUUAUUUUUCAAGGAAGUCUAUAAGUUGCAUGGUAUUCCAAAGACCAUUACUUCAGAUCGAGAUACAAAAUUUCUUAGUCAUUUUUGGCGACAACUGUGGAAGAACGUUUGCAAUAUAGUACUAUGUUUCAUCCCUAAACGGAUGGACAAACUGAGGUCGUCAAUCAAACAUUGGGAAAUCUAUUAAGGACUUUGAUAAAAUUAAAAAAAAAAAAAGUUAUCCCCGUCCUUGGGAGACGCGGUUGUCACUUGGAUAAUUUGCAUAUAAUUGUGCUGAGAACCAUAGCACUGGAUAUAGCCCAUUUAUGAUCGUAUAUGGUCAACAACCGAACACUGCUCUUGAUCCUGCACCAAUUCCUUUUGCUGAGAAGUCGAGCAGCAAGGUUGACGAUAUUGUUUCUCAAAUGAGGACAAUUCAUGAAGAUGUGUGCCAAAGACUAGAGAGCAAAACUGAAUCCUAUAAAACGAACAUUGACAAGCAGCGGCGUGAAGUUAUCUUUGAACCUGGAGAUUUUGUUUGGGCUUAUUUGCCACCGGAAUGGCAUCCCAUUGGAAGUUAUAACAAGCUUAGUGAUCGAAAGCUUAGACCUCUCAAAGUUCUUGAGCGCAUCAAUCUAAUGCGUAUUGAUUAAAUCUUCCUUCUCAUUUGAAGAUUCACGACGUCUUCAACAUUUGACAUUUAACACCUUAUGUGGGAGAUUCUUCUGAUGAUGAUGGCGAGAAUUCGAGGACAAAUUCUUUUAAAGAUGGGGAGGAUGAUGCAGCCUGCAUUGAAGACCAGCUCUCUCGACCAAGAAUAUCAGCCUGCAUUCAAGCUUGACGAAACCGAGAAGCCAUAUCAACAUCUUGAGUCCAUCCCGGACAUCCCGGAAGCUGGAAAGACACCUUGGGAGCCAUGAAGACGUUAUGCUUUUACUAUUUCCCCUAGUUUCAAUGUUCUGUCUUUAUUUCUCCUAAUUUCAAUGCUCUGUCUUUAUUUCUUUGAUGAUAUAAGCCAUCCAAUUUUUUGUAGAAGACAGACGACUUUUGAUGAAUGAAAACUUUGCUCUGAAGCAAGUAUCGUGAACCUUGUAGAGUUCAUACCCCCUUGAAAACCUAGAAGAGUUUUCACUUCAUCCUUGAAGAGUCGGAGCUUUCGAAAUCUGCAUCCUUGAAGAGUGGCAAUCAUCGAUCUAGAAGAAUCGGUGCCCCCUCAACUUCCUUGGAGGCCUAGAAGAGCAACCAAUGGGAGUUUUUAUCUUUUCCUGUUCUGUUAGUUAUUUCCAACCCAAAUUCGACCAUCCUACAGUGCUUAUUUCAGAAAACCCAAAACAGAGAAAUUGUAGAUCCAGAAGUCUUUGUUCAUUUGGCUUUGGAAUUAGGUCGAUCCGAUCUGUAUUGACAAAGAUACGACUGUUCUCCUGAGCUCGUGCAAUGCUGAAAUUUCUGUUCGUCCAAUUUUCCCAUGUGCGAGUCACUCUCCCGAUCCUACUGUUUGAGAAAGCCUACCCUUAGGGAUUGAGCUUUUGUAAUACAUAAUAUGCUCUAACAUAACAUCACAUGUUCAAUGUCCAUUCAUCAUAAAGGCAAAAUUGUCAGCCUACUCUGUCUUUACUUUUUGACAUGUGCUGGUCAUUCAUCAGUUAGGCUUGGACCCAUCCCAUGACAUGAGGACCAAGUCGGAGAUAGCUUGAGCAAGUAGCUGUCUUUAACGUGGGUGAUCAAACAGAGGUCAACGGGUGGGGAUGAGAGGUUUUGAUGGAAAUGAGAGAGAUUCAUUGCUCAAAAUGCAAACAUUGACAUGAAGAAAAAAUUACCUUGUUAUACCAAGACGAUUCACAUAAAAAAAAAAUUGAAUGAAUGCCAUACAACAUUCAUCAUCAUUUAUAAAAUAUGGACAUAACGAGUCUACCAAAAAACACUAGUGCCAUAUGAAAAACAUGUAAAAGCUUCACAGAUUACAUUUUGAAUGAUGAUAGAUGUUGAUAGUACUAUUUAUAAUUUUUGCAUCUCAUUAUAGGGAAACAAUCACACAAUACAUGAUUUCAUAAACUCAUGGUCAUGGUAAAGGGAACCGCUAGAAAUUGUUGGAGUCCUUAAUGAAGAUGAGACUGUUUCAAGUUCCAUCUCAACGUCAACAUCAUCAGCAAGUGCCUCUCUCGGAUACAAAAGUGGUUUUGGAGGCAGUUGUAGUUUAUCCAUAUCUCCUUCAAGCAUAUCUAGGACUUUCCUCAUCGAUGGCCGAUCAUUAGGACUCAAUUGUAUACACCACAGUGCAAUGUUUAUCAUCUUCCUCGUUGUUUCUCUUUCCUCUUCUAUGACAUCUACCCUUUCAAGUUCCUUUUCUUUGCCGAGUUGAUCAUAAACCCACAAAGGAAAGUAAAUUUGACUCGAACGCUCUGCAUGUGCAUUUAGAUUUCUCCUUCUACCAGCCAUUUCCAUUAAUAGCAUUCCAAAACUAUAAACAUCGACUUUGUAAGAAAUGCCACCAAUGUUUUUAUAGAAUAGCUCAGGAGCCAUAUAACCCAAGGUUCCCCUUGCUGCAGUCAACGAUACUAUAUUGCGAUCAGUGGGAUAAAGUCUUGCAAGUCCAAAGUCAGAAACUUUCGGAGUGAAACUUUGGUCUAGGAGAAUGUUGUGAGGCUUGAUGUCAAAAUGUAGAAUUUGCAUAUCACAUCCCCGAUGUAGAUACUCUAUCCCUCUAGCUAUGCCAAGAGAGAUCUCAUACAUUUUCUUAUAAUCAAGAGGAUCAUCACCAUCCUUAUAGGAAAUGUGUUUAUCCAAAGAUCCAUUCGGCAUGAAAUCAUAGACAAGAGCUUGUUUGGAGUAUUGGAAACAAAAACCAACAAGUUGCACCACAUUAACGUGGUGGAUCCUUCCAAUUGUGGCCACUUCACUUAUAAAAUCAUGGCCAUUAGAUUUUCCUUUCUUCAAAAUCUUAACCGCAACUUCAUUGCCACUUCUAAGUAUUCCUCUGUAUACGGAACCAUAUCCCCCCUCACCUAACUUGCAUUUGAAAUUUUUUGUGAUCCUCUUGAUAUCUGAGUAAGAGUACCUUAUGGGCAAAAAGCUAUUGUGAGCUCGUAGAAAUUCUUCGAUGUUUGCAUCGGUCGCUUGAUGCCUUCUCAUCCACUUCAAGAUUAGAAAUAUCAACACCCACGGAGCUCCGAGUAUGAAUUUUGCUGCUAGGAAGUGGACUGUGGAGAAAUUUGACCAUCAAUUAGCAUAGUGUGAUAAUGUUUUUUAACACAUACAAUUUUCGUUUGUCAAAGUGCUGAAUGAGAGCUUCAUAGGUGUGAAGAGAAAAGGACUUAUCAUACCCAAGACAAAGAAGAGAUUCCAUAUGGCAAUUGGACCAAAAUUGUUCAUGAUAUACCACGUAGAAUCAUCUGUAGAUAGUAAGAGAAUUCAUGAGAGAUUACUAGAUAUGGUUAAUUAGAAUAAACAACCAAUCAAUAAAGAACUAGAUCCAUUGUUUUAGCAGUUAAAUAAUAAAAGCAAUUCAUGUUAAGAUAUACCCCAAGUGAAGGAUAACUUCAUACAAUCACUGCAAAGUGCAAAGACACACUUUUGUUAAUUGAAAUUUGCAAGUAGAGAAGUCUAGAAUAAAAAAAAGAGUGAACGAGUUUCACUUUUCUAGAUAAUGCUUAGAUCCAACCUUAUUCUAUUCACUCAUGAAAUCCAUGUUAUCGUUGCAUGAUCUUUUCUUUUGAAGAAAAACAUUUUCGCUUUUAUUCUCCUAAAUGUACCAAUUGUUCAUAAGUUCCCCAUAACACUAACAUCAAUUCAAGGGACACAAGCUAUGACCAAAUCAAACAAUUUUUCCUAAAAAACCCUCAUUCUAGUCCAAUUUUGGCCCAAACUUUUUUUGUCUCAGAAGAAACCCCAAACUUUAGGUACAGUCCCAUAUUUGCCUCAAACUUUUCUUUUGUUUAAAAAAAUCACCAACUUUUAAUAUAUUCCAAAAUUUACCCCCAUGGUACGGUCCCAUUGACAUGACAUUUCCACAUCGAUAACAACGCCACAUCAGUAAGGUGACAUGGAAAAUUAUUUCCAAAAUGAAACCAUUCUAAGAUAUGAAAAUUAGGGACGACUAAUGGCAAUUUUCGGUCAAAGGGCUAAUGGGGUAGAUUUGCAAUUAGAGUAAAAAUUGGUGUUUUUUAUUUUAGACAAAAAAAAGUUAGAUAUAGAUUUAGGAUUUGGCCUAAAGUUUGAGGGUCUUUAUAGAUAAACAAAAGUUCGAGGCAAAUUUGGACUAGACCUAAACUUUAGGGUUUUUUUUAGACAAAAAAAGUUCGGAGCAAAAUUGGGACUAAACUUAAAGUUGUGGGUUUUUUUAGUGAAUAAGGCCCAAAAAAAUAAAAAUAAAGAAAGAGUGUCAAGUCCAAAAAAGCUCCACAGAUGUAAAAUAAAAGAGCAAUGCAUGCCAAAUCUACUAAAAAAUCUUACUGAGCUUUUUCACUAAAUGGAUGUGGCAAUUUUUUUAUUGGGUAUUAAAGAAAGUAAUGACUCAAUAAAUCGAACCAAUGUAUUACAAUAUCCAAUAGAAGCAUGCUACAUUACUCAGUAAGUAAAUUUUGAUAAGAUCCCUCAGUAGAGCUAACAUUUGAGAAAAGGAUGAGGAUGAAGAAGAGAAAGAAAGAAAGUAAGAGAGUAAAGGAAGAAAAGCUUCAGAGAAAGUCAGCUUAGAGGAGUAAUAUGGUUCACACCACACCUCUGGGUACAUAAUCAUGCAAAGCUGGAAAAUUACCGAAGAUAGCGUAGACGGUGAAGACGAUGCAGAUGGCGGAGAUGGCGAAGAUGAUGCACACGGCAAAGAUGGCGAAGACGAUGCAGACGGCGGAGACGGCGAAGACGGUGGAGGCGGUGGCGGCAGAGACGGCGGAGGCGGUGCAGAUGGCGAAGAGGGCGCAGACAGCGUAGAUGACAGAGAAGGCGAAGACGGCGGAGACAACAGAGAUGGCAGGAGACGACGGAGACAGCGAAGACCGCCAAGACAGCAAAGACAGCGAAGACGGCGAAGACAGCGGAGGCUGCGAAGACAACAAAAAAGAAGGUCCAAGAUAAUAGAGAUUGAAUCCUUCAACCAUCGUGUUGUGGAGGUCCUUAUACGUUGGUCUCCACAUCGGGUUAUAAUCCGAGAAGCAAGUCAUCACGGUUAUGCUGCAAGAAUCCUUGAUGUCCCCUACUUGUAGUACUUUUGUAAAAGACCAAUACACUGCGUAAGAGUACCACUUCAUUUGGGAAAUAUUAGGGGGCGUAUCGGAAGGGUAUGCUCCCUCAAUACAUGGUUCAGCAUUGAUAUACGAAGGAGAAGCAACGGGCUGUGAGCACUUCAUGAAGGCCACCGUCGCAGAAUAUGAAAGAUAACCAUGAUCACUCAAGCUGGAGCUCGCCAAUGAGAAACGAGGGAGGGAUGAGCAAUUACCUUUUUGCAAUCCAUCGUCAACCACUGUGAUAUUACCAGAGAAUUGAUCGUCGAAAUUAUUAUCAUAGUAAAUCGACUUCACAUAAUAUCGACCGGCAUACACAUAUAGAAUGGUGUGAUUAUUUUCACAAGCUAGCUCAUACUCAGAGCGGCCGCAGCCUUUCGGGUCACCUUUCAAUCGAAAAGGAUAGUGUAUGUCACGAACCUCACCACAAGAUGAAGCGGCACACGAGUGAUUCUUCUCCACACCAUAACUCGUCCUCAAUAGCAGUAGAACAUGCAAUAUGAAAAGUAAAACACGGAACAUGCUCAUGGAGCUCAAAGACUUAAUCGUCUCUCUAUCGUUUGAUCUGAUGCAAUGAAAGUUUUUGCUAAUUGGUAAUGCGAUGGAGGCCUAGUUAUAUGAAUGAAAAGUGUCAGGAGUUGUCGGUCAUACAAAUGUCCAAUUCAACCAAUAAAGGCAAGUCUACUGAAGAAAAGAGGACGUGGGUAUCACGUGGAAAUUGCAAUCCUUGCAGUCAAGGUGUCAAAACACGGUGUUGGAAUUAUUUAUGCUUAGCUUUCGCAUUGAUUAAAAAAGAAACUUCUCUAUAGUUUUCAAAUUGAAUCAAAAUCCUUUCGAAUGAGGCAUUGACGUUAUAUUUUCUUUUCAAGAUUAAUAUUCCAUAAGUGUUGCUUCGUUAAAUUAUGAAGAUGAAAAGGGAAAAGAUGUCGUAUUUCAUAAUCUAGGCUUUUUUUUUUUUUUUGACCCAAAAAAAACAGAAAUUGGUAACAAAAAUAGACUAUUAACAAGAAUAUGAAUUUUUAUAAUGUUGCUUUUGGCAAAAGUAAAGGGAAAAUAAAAAGUAAGUGCUUCUUGGAUGAUGUAACACUUUAUGAAAGAAAGAAAACAAUAUGAUAAUUUCUAGUAGUGGGCCAACACGUCUUGAUUAGAACCUCACUAACUUGGUCAUCACGCAAAGACUAUAGAUGCAAAUUUCCAAGUCAACCAUUAACACAAAGUCUAGCGAAGGAAGAGUGGGUCUUACGUAGAAAUUGCAGCCCUUGUAGUCAAGGCGACAAAAACACGGUGUUGGAAUUAUUUAUGGAGAAAAGAAACUUCUCUACAAUUUUCAAAUUUGACUUUUCUUGGCAAAUUGACUCUUUAGGAAUCAAUUUUAGUUCCAUCCAAAAAGAAUUGAUUGGAAUGUUAUGUACUCUAAAUUGAAUCAAAAUCCUUUCAAGUGAGGCAAUGGCGUUCAAUUUUAUUUUCAAGGCCAAUAUUCCGUGAGUGUCACUUCGAUAAAUUGUGAAGAUGAAAAAGGAAAAAAAAUGUCAUGUUUCACCGUAUAAGCUUUUUCAAUAAUGACAAAAAAAUAGAAUUAGUAACAAAAAUAGACUAUUAAAGGGAACAUUAACUUGUAUAAAAUAAUGUCACUGUUUACAAAAAUAAAAAAUAAAAUAGGAGUUAGUUCUUCUUGGAUGAUGUAACAAGUUAUGAAAGAAAGAAAGCAAUUUGAUAAUUUCUGGCGAUGGAAUCGAUGCGCAUUAACUAAAACCUAACCAACUUUGUCAUCGCACAAAGACUAUACAUGCAAUAUUCAAGUUCACCAAAAAAAAAAAAAGACGUUUACUUAUCCACUAUUAACUUCAGUAUUACAAUCUCUCUUCCGUAAUCAUGCUAGAUCUAUGAACAAUAUUGUCAUCUCUUUCCCAGAGUAGAACCACUUAAUAUUGAACUAUCGAUUACUUUUGCUCUAUCAAAUGAAAAAGAAUGUUUUUACCUAUUGUUGACACCUAAAUUCUUCCCUUUUUAUUUGGGACUUAAUUAUAUAGAAAAUUAAGGAUUAGUCUCUAAAAGAAAAAAAAAGUAAAUAUUUUUCAUUAAAUUGCAUCACUUAUAGACAUUAGGAACAUUUACAUUACUAGCACUAAAAAAUUAACAAAAAAUGAAAGCGCAGCCAGGAUUGGCUAAGCCUGUCCCCCCCUUCUUUUCCUUUUUCGUUUUCCCCCCGCGCGGCCCACCUCUCUUGUUCUACGGCCCAGCUCGCUGUUCUUCCUUCUUCCUCCUCCUUCCCUCGCUAGGACGCUAGCUAUAGGACAAAACAGAGAGAUGGUCGCUGGCCGAAGGACGUAAGGACGCGAGGCUGCGCGCGAUGGUCGCCCAGGAAUGUCGUGCGGUACAAAGCCAGCUGGUCUCGUCCUUGAAGAAAGAGAGAGAAACGAGAUAAAUGGGUGAGAAUUGGGUUUGUUCGGCCGAGGAAGAGCAACCAUGAGAGAGAGAGAGAGAGAGAGAGAGAGAGAGAGAGAGAGAGAGAGAGAGAGAGAGAGAGAGAGAGCUGGUGAGAGUGAGAAGGCGAGCUCGAGAGAGAGAGAAGGAGCGAGCCAGAUAAGAGAGGGAGCUCCAGGGUGGCUGCUUCUGGAAGGGUGCGGCUGAAAACCAAGGAGGGCCGGAGCGGCUCGAGAGAGGAGACCGAGAAAGUGGAUAGCGAGGGAGAGCGGGAGAGAGAGGCGACUGCGUUCUUGAGUUCUUCGCGGGAGGCUGGAGAAAACGAGAGCAAUAGAGAGAGUAAGAUCGGAGAGAGUGAGCAAAGGGUGAAGUUGAGAGAGAACCAAGAGUGAGCAGAGGGAUGGACUGAGAGAAAGCGAGACCCAGAAGCCGAACUUCGUCCUCGGCAAGCGUUACCCAACCAUCCCUAACAUAAAUGGGCGAUCUUCAGCCAACACCCUCGAGCCCGUGGCUACCUAUUCCUCACCACCCGAAUUCCCAGUGAGUUCUCUUUAGGUUCGAUCCACUUUUAUCCCGAUGAUCCUAGCUUGGUGCCACAUCGACGCGGCCGACCAUAGCUCGUUUUGCUUUAGGCUCACCUUCUUGCUGUCGUCGCCAAGCCGGGGAGGGAUAUUCCCGGUCGAACACUUCUCUCUGGGAACUCCGUUGCUUGGUUUUUUUAAAACGGAACCAAAACGAUAGCUGGGUUGUUAGACGUAAAAAUUCAUAUGCGGAAGCCAGGAUCAAUUGAAGACAACCCUCCAGUCAUUGUUCUUGUUCGCGUUCGUCAGAAAAACCUGAAAUCAAAGAAAAUUGGGGACACUCUACUACCCCAAUUCACUCUCGUACUGAUGGUGUAUUCUGAAUGAGAGAGUUUGAGUUAGACCUUGUCAUCACCCGUCAGAAAUGAACGUACGUUCCUUUUUAUAUCCCGUCUCCUCUUAAAACGGUUACCAAAUGGGCGGUUGUCACGAAAGGGUACAAAGCGUGGAAAAACUUUAUGUCGAACAGUCGCAACUUUAAAAGAAAAUGUGGAUCUAAAAUAUGGGAUCACAAAAAAUAAAUAACAUUCUUCCACUUGAUCCCAUCAUUUUCAUCAUAUGGAUUAUUCAACUAAUUCCACAAAAACUUUAUGCUAAAAAAAAAAGAAACAAAUACAUGGAUCAUGGCGACAUGUCCUCUAAGAGUGAGUAAUAUCUUCCAUGUAUCACAAUGCACCUUAUUUCUUCAAUGUCAACCUAUAUGUGACAACAAAUCUUAAUGAAUAAACCCCAUGUUUAUUCUAGAACCAAGGAUAAAUGUUAUUCUCAUAAACAACAAAAUGUGUACACAAAAAUUGAGAAUCAACAUUACAACUGAAUAAGAGUUUCAUACAACAAAUAUCGUUCAUAUGACGACAAAUUACAUGAUGGGACUUAUUCCCAUACUAGUUACAUGAUCCUUAUACUUCAUUGGUGGCAUGCCUUUAGUUAAAGGAUCGGCUAUCAUCAAUUCAGUGCUAAUGUGUUCAAUGACCACUUUAUUCUCCUUAACACGUUCCAUUAUGACUAAAUACUUAAUGUCGAUAUGCUUACUUUGACUGCCACUUUUGGCAUUUUUAGCCAUAAAGACCGUAGCUAAAUUGUCACAAUAUAUUCUUAAUGGCCUAGAAAUAAAAUCAACAAUUCUAAGCCCAGCAAUGAAACUCUUCAACCAUACACCAUGCGAGGUAGCCUCAAAACAAGAAACGUACUCAGCCUCCAUAGUGGAAGUAGCAGUCAAAGUCUGCUUGGCACUUAUCCAUGACACGGCUUCGCCAGCUAACAUGAAAAUGUAUCCAGAUGUUGAUUUUCGUGAAUCAACGCAACCCGCGAAGUCCGCAUCCGAAUAACCGACCACUUCCAGGUUGUCAGUCCAUCUAUACAUAAGCAUAUAGUCUUUGGUACCUUGAAGGUAUUUCAACACUUUCUUUGUAGCUCUCCAGUGGUCUAAACCUGAAUUACUCUGAUAUCUUCCCAACAUUCCCACAACAAAAGCGAUGUCAAGUCGAGUGCAAACCUGAGCAUACAUCAAGCUUUCAACAGCAGUAGCAUAUUGAAUGUUGUACAUUUGUUCCCUUUUUAGAUCAUUCUUCGGGCAUUGGUUCAAAUUGAACCUGUCAUCCUUCACAAUGGGUGCUAUACUUUGUGAACAAUCUUUCAUCCGAAAUCUCUCUUGGACCUUAUUGAUAUAGGUUUCUUGAGAUAGUCCUAAAAUUCCUCGAGGUCUAUCUCUAUGAAUCUUAAUGCCAAUGACAUAAGAUGCCUCACCCAUAUCCUUCAUGUCAAAACUCUUAAAGAUGAAUUAUUUCACCUCAUGUAACAACCUCUUAUAAUUAGUUGCAAGUAGUAUAUCAUUCACAUACAGCACAAGGAAACAAAUUUUGCUCCCACUGACCUUCUGGUAUAUACAUUGAUCCAUGACAUUCUCUAUAAAACCAAAUGAAGAGAUGACAUCAUGAAACCUUAAGUACCAUUGGCGGGAUGCUUGUUUCAAGCCAUAUAUAGAUUUCUUAAACUUGCACACCAAAUGCUCACCUUUACUAGAGGAAAAUCCUUCAGGUUGUUUCAUGUAAACCUCCUCCUCUAGUUCUCCAUUGAGGAACACCGUUUUCACAUCCAUCUGAUGUAAUUCCAUAUCAAAAUGGGCAACCAAAACCAAAAUAAUAUGAAGAGAAUCUUUCUUAGAUACAGGAGAAAAAGUCUCCGUGUAAUCGAUUCCUUCCUUUUGAGUGAAUCCUUUGGCAACAAGUCUAGCUUUAUAUCUUUCAAUGUUAUCCAAUGAAUCCUUCUUAGUUUUGAAGACCCAUUUACAACCAAUGGCCGUCACACCAUUAGGUAACUAAACCAAAUCCCAGACUUUAUUAGAUGCCAUAGAAUUCAUAUCUUCAUUCAUGGUAUUGUACCACAAAUUAGAUUUAUCACUAUCAAUGGCUUGUGAAAACAUUUCGGGAUCAUUCUCAGCUCUAAUAUUGUAGUCAGACUCUUGUAAAUACACAAUAUAAUCACUAGGAAUAGCCGAUUUCAUUAUUCUAGCAGAUCUUCUCAAUGUUGGAUCAACAUUCUCUUGAGGAGCAUGUUGCUCAACUGGUUGUUCAACAGUUUCUGGUAAUUGCUGAACAACUGGAUCUACUUAAUCAAUAUCAGCAGGUUGUGGAACUUCAACAAUUGGUUGUUCAAUAGCCGGCUGAACUGAAAGGACAUUAUGAGCAACAACCAACCUUAAACUUGAGGUGGAAGGUUGAGUGUCUGAAUGAUCUUUCUUAGGAACAAGAUCCCUCGGUCAAUCGCUCCCACUAAUCAAGUCAUUUUCAAGAAAUUUAGCAUUUCUUGAUUCCAGAAUCCUAGUGGUAUGAGAUGGACAAUAAAACUUGUAUCCCUUAGACCUUUCGGCAUAUCCAAUGAAAUACCCACUUAUGGUCCUUGGGUCCAACUUCUUUUCUUGUGGAUUAUAAAUUCUCACUUUAGACGGGCAUCCCCAAACGCACACAUGAUGUAAACUCGAUUUCCAACCCUUAAAUAACUCAAAAUGUGUCUUUGGGAUAGCCUUGGUCAGAACUCGGUUUAAUAUGUACACUGCCAUCUUAAGUGCUUCAGUCCAUAAGAAUUUAGGAAGUUUGGAGCUACUAAGCAUACUACGCACCAUGUCUAAUAAUGUCCGAUUUCUUCUUUCCGCUACGCCAUUUUGGUCUGGAGAACCAGGCAUAGUAUAUUGGGCAACUAUCCCAUGCUCUUGAAGAAAUCUUGCAAAUGGACCAAGUGCUUGUCCAUCUUCAGUGUAUCUACCAUAGAAUUCUCCACCUCUAUCUGAUCUCAUGAUCUUAAUUUGCUUAUUGCAUUGUUUCUCUACUUCCACCUUAAAUACCUUAAAGGCAUCUAGUGUUUCAUAUUUAUUAUAAAUCAAGUAGAGAUACAUAUAACGUGAAUAAUCAUCUAUUAAGGAUAUGAAGUAUUUAUGACCACAUGAGUCCAUAUCCGAACUACAAAUAUCCGUGUGUAUGAUUUCUAAUAUUUCUGUACUUCUCUUGGCAUCUUUCUUUGUUUUGUUAGUCUGCUUUCCCUUUAUGCAGUCCACAUAAGUAUCACAAUCAGUAAAAUCUAAAGUACUGAGUACUCCAUCAUUUAUUAAUCACUUAAUUCUUUCAAUGGAGAUAUGUCCCAAUCUCUGGUGCCACAACAUAGAGGAAUGUUCUUUCACAACACAUCGUUUCAUACCAGCUUUAUCAUGAACAUGCAUCGCAUCAUAAUAGGCAUUGUCUUGUAAAUUAAUUCGAAAAAGACCAUCAGACAAAGUAUCACUCCCGCCAAUUUCAGAUUUAAAUGAUAAACAAAAGUUUGAAUCUGAAAAGUUAAAAGAGUAUCCCAAAGGUACAAGUCUUGAAACUGAAAUUAAGUUUCUAGAAAAACUAGGAACAUAAAAGGUCUUUUCCAAAUCUAAAACAAAACCACUAUUGAGAACUAGUCUAUAUGUCCCAAUAGCUUCCACAUGCGAACACAUCUUGUUUCCUGAAUAGAUGCUUUGUUCACUUCCCACUGGCUUCCUGUGGUUUUGAAAACCCUGCAAGGAAUUCGAAAUAUGGAUUGUAGAUCCAGAAUCAAUCCACCAAGUGUUGUGACUUACAUCAAUCAUAUUAGAUUCAUAACAAACACAAGAUAUUGGAUUACCUUUCUUCUCGGGCCAGGCCUUAAAUUUGACACAAUCCUUCCUUAUAUGCCCUUUCUGUUUACAGAAGAAACACUUGGAUUCUUUCUUAAUGUUAGCUUGGGGAGGUAUAUUACAUUUUCCCUUAUACUUGCCAUAGCCCUUAUUCUUUUCUUGUGUUGCCAAAUGAGCACUUACUCCCAAUUCCAUAAUCAAUCUUUCUUCCUCUUGAACACACAUGGUCAUGAGUUCAUUAAUUGACCAUUUAUUCUUAUGUGUGUUAUAAGAGAUCUUGAAAGGUGCAUACUGUUGUGGGAGUGUUCAAAAUAUAAUAUACAAGGAAUAAUUCAGAUAUCUCAACCUCAAGGUUCUUAAGCUAAGCUGCAAUGUUCUUCAUUUGCAUGAUGUGCUCACGCAUACCUCUAACACUAGUGAGCUUCAAUGAUGAAAACUUCAUAAUCAAGGUCAUGGCAUGCGCCUUCUCAGAACUUUCAAACUACGCAUCUAUGGCCUCCAAUAAAGCCUUAGCAUUGCUAUGCUGAGCAAUUGAACCACGAAUACUAUGAGAUAUCUUAGCUCUUAUAAACAUGGCACAAACGCGGUUAGACCGCUCCUAUUGGUUAUAAAGAGCUAUCUCAGCUGGAGUGCUCGAAUCAGUAAAAGCAGGUGGUUCGUCUUUCCUUAUAGCAUAAUCAAUGUCCAUCCACCCCAAUUGAAGAAGAACCGACUCCUUCCAAACUUUAUAGCUCUCACUAUUCAGUAUAGGAACAUCAAACUUAAAUUCAGAGAAAUUCACAGGUUGCGAAACUGCAUAUCAAAUAAUCAUGCUUAUGUCACAAAAUUUGAGGCAAAUAUAAAUAAAUCACGUUUUACCAAUGUAAACAUGUCACAAUAUGAAUCACAUAACAUAAAAACUACUUGUGGGCUAAGUUUUUAAUUUAGAUUCAUAAUUACUUCAUGAAGAAAUUACCAUAUUAUAUGCCUUUUCUUAAUCCCUAUGGGUAAAUUAAGAAAAAUAAUAUGAUAUUUCAUCCUAAUUAAUCAUAUUAAUAUAAUGAAAAUUCUUGUGGGAUAAAAUUCAUCAUAUUAAUAUAACUAAUUACAAUCAAUGUCCUUUUUUAAAUAUGAUUUGGAGGCUUUUAAUAUAGAAUUUAAUUAAUUAAAGAUGCUGUGGCCACUCCCUAAUUAAUUAAAUAUAUGGACCAUUGGACAUUUAAUUUCAUGCACAAAAUAUUCAUAAAAUACAUGAAAUGACAAAAUAGUAAAUAAAAACAUUGAAGGGCAGAAUAGUAAAUAAAUCGGCCAAGGGCACGAUUGCAAAAACUUAAAAUGAAUGGGGCAAAAAGGUAAAAGCAGCCGUGGGUGGGAGACAACAGGCGUGCCGAGCACGUGCACGUCCAGCCCUCAGGCGCGUGCCGAGCAGCGCCAGAAUCUGCGCAGGCGCGUGCUCGCACGCACGCGGUUCAACGCGCAGGCGCUUGCGUUGCACGCGCCUGGCAACUACCGCGCGCAUGGAUCCCACACACGCAAUGGUUGAGCGUGCGCAUGAGGGCGUGUGGCGCAUGGAUUCCACGCGCCUGCAACCGCAGCGCGCGAGUGGGCUCCAUGCACCUUCUUCCUUGUGCGAACAUAAGCUUUUCUUCUCCGUUUUUUGCUGUUCCGCCGCGGUUUCGCCGGCCGUUUCUUCUCCGACAGCCCAUCUCAGACACAAAUUAAUAGUGGGUUUUGAAGAGCAUGCCAACACGACCACAUGGGUUCAAGUUUCGACAAAAAUGAUGAAGAAAUAAGCCCCAAAUCAUACGAAAAUUUCCCAAAAAACACAAAUCCUCAACCACCGCGACUUCCGCCGCUCAAUUAGCCUCCAGCGAACACCGAUAUGCCGAAAUAACUCAUGACUAAUAUUCCUCAUGGCGGUGCGACCGUACGGGUCCGAAUUCGAGGGGUGGAUCGCGCGGAUUUGCCGGGAAUCAACGAAUCUUUCUUGGCCUCAAAACUUCAAGUUACUGUUCAUCCUCCAAAAAAUGGCCAAAAAUACACUGAAAACACACAAAAUACAACAAAACAAGGCAGAGGCUCUUAACAUGCUCUGAUACCAAAUGUUAGAUGUAAAAAUUCAUAUGCGGAAGCCAGGAUCAAUCGAAGACAAACCUCCAACCAUUAUUCUUGUUUGCGUUCGUCAGAAAAACCUGAAAUCAAAGAAAAUUGGGACACUCUACUACCCCAAUUCACUCUCGUACUGAUGGUGUAUUUUGAAUGAGAGAGUUUGAGUUAGACCUUGUCAUCACCCGUCAGAAAUGAAUGUACGUUCCUUUUUAUAUCCCGUCUCUCAUCAAAACGGUUACCAAAUGGGCGAUUGUCACGAAAAGGUAUGAAGCGUGGAAAAAUUUUAUGUCGAGCAGUCGCAACUUUAAAAGAAAAUGUGGGUCUAAAAUAUGGGAUCACAAAAAAUAAAUAACAUGGGUCUCGUUUCCCUGGUCCUCGAGCAUGCUUGGUUUGAACGAGCAGUCCCUUUUGUCGAGUUUGAGUGUCACUUGCUAUUCUCUUUUGAGUCUGGACACAAGCUAGAGUCUAGAAUGGGUUUACGACCUCUCCAUAAUCUGUGCUCAUCGCAUGCCUGAUAUAAUGCCUCAGUUAGUGUUAUUCUAAAAAUGAGACGAGAUUUUGUUUGUCUUCGUGAAAGCAUACCAUGGAUCUGUCUGACAUAUUUUCAUUGACUUGAGAUGUCGUAAGAAGAGCUCGACACCAAAGUAGAGGUUCAUCAGUUUGCCAUGUCACUUUUAGUCAAACGCCUAAGACUUGCUCAAUGAAAUGUUUCUAAGAGAAUUGUUUAAGAAAUGGCUUCUAUUUUUGCUCAAAUGCGAAGGUACCACUUGAUGCAGUUCGUCCGGGGUCAUUAGUUUUUAAGCUCGAUUUUCACGAGCAAUGAAGUCACUGCAUCUCUGCAUUUCGUUCGAGACAUGCUGUGUAUUUUUCAUUGAACUUGAUGAGUGGCGGCGGCGGCCUGCGUGAUGGUAGACGUUGGCAGCGAAUUUGGUUUUGCGGUGGUGAGCCAAGAUGGCUUGGUGAUGGCUGGCGACGUUGGGUGUUGUCGUCGAUCCGUUUAAAGUUCUGCCAUGGGUCCGUCCGGCGAAAUUCCAGGGUGGAGUUCAUCGGUGUGGGAGGCUUCGGUAAAGGACGUAACAGUGGAGUUGGCACGAAGAAGAAGAAGACUUUGAAAGGCUGAGAGAGAAUAAAAGAAAAUCACGAAAAUAGGCCUGGUGCAGACGUUCGUGGAAAGAGGAUGGGAAGAUGGGCUUGAGGUUUUGUUUCAGUAGAUUUAGGUUUGGUUUAAGUUGGGCGGACUUGGGCUGGGCUUAAUUUGUGAAUUUUUGGGCUGAGCUUAAAUUUUCAUGAAGUGGAUCUUUGAGAGUCCAUUACUAAAAUGGAGGUCCGUUUUAAUAGAGCCCAAUUCAUGUUCCCGGUCCAAGCCAGCAAAGCCCAUAGCAACCCAUGUUCUCACUGGACCUUGGGGCCUAGCCCGAGUCCCCAUUUUCGGAAUUAAUUUUGUAAAAAAAUUUAAGAGAAAACUUAUUUUUUUUCUAAAAAUUAGGAAAAAGCUUAAGAGUUAGUUUUUUAGUAAAUACUCUCAAAAUUUGUUAAGGUCCUUGAUAAGAAAAUCGUGCUCAAGAAUUGAAUAAAUCCUUACAGCUUUACCAUAAGAUUCUAAUUGUCCUUAAAAAUAAAGGCCCUUGAUUACGCACUUUCAAUGUUGAUUACGGACUCCCUUUAGCUUAGUUAGAGAUUGCAUGCUCCUUAUUUGGUAAUAUUAGAUCUUUGUGUUCCUAUGCAAUUUAUUUAAUGCUUUCCUUGAUUGUUGAUUGUUAUUUUAAUGAUUGCACACCCACAUGAUUAUCUCAUAUGUUAGUGGAUAGGUUUAAAAUCAAUCCAAGCUGCCUGACAAUUUUUUUUUUUUUUUGUGAAAUGAAAUAGAUUAGAUACCAAAAUGGCAUUUGAUGAAUUAGUGUAAUUAAGUUCCCAACCCUAAAUUCUCUAGUUACGUAGGAAGUAAAGCAUACUCAUAUGUUUUACUUGAUUUUUAGUCAACCCAGUAGGCUAGUAGCAACUCCUCAUUGAAAAAUUCUCAUAGCAUCAAUUUGAAUAACCAAUGUGAUGCGAUGUAUGAGUUUAGGAGAGCUCACAUCUAAAACUAGGGUCGUAGGCCUAUCUUUUAGACAAUACCCCUAAACCUAAUUUCUUUACUAUCGAAGGGUAGGUCAUGACACCUACUUCAUAAUCAUCUUUCAUCUCUGAAUGUGUGGAAUUAGAGAUGUCAUGCAUUUUUAAAUGAGACGAUCAACCGAUUUACCACUAUGAACAUAACAGUGGAAAGUUUAGAAAAUAUAUUCAUAGAAAUUCUUUUCAGCGAUACAAACGCGCUUUCGAAUAAUUGUAAUUAGCACUUACCAUAUUUUUUUUCUCAAGCUAAUGGGUACCAUUAUAUAUAAUUGAAGAGAUUGAAAUGGAUUUUCCAUGUAAUACAACCAAGUUCAUUUUAAUUGACGCAUCCAAUGACGUUUUAACUGCACAUGUUUAAUUUUUUUUAUAGUAAUAUUAUUACUGAUUACAUUUUUCAUAUUCCCCUUUCUAAAAAUUGGUUUGUUGUGUGAGCAUCUCCACACGCGAUGAUACCUUGCUUUCUAUGUCGUCAUUAAAUAUUUAGCAAUGAUUAGUCAAAUUUUUAAGCGGAAAAUCUCUUGGUCAAAGUAUCCUAAAUUAUCUCUUGCACGUAUUCCAAAACAUUUGGACAUACAUUAUGCAAAUUGAUGUAUCAACUAUAGGUCCAUUCAGCGCCAUAUACUACUAUAAAAAAAAUGAUAAUGCAUUUUGCAGUGUAACGUUUUUCAAUUUUGACAAAAAUAAAAUUGGAUAAUGAAAAGAUAAAUAACAGCACCUGAAGACUAUUAUCAUACGUCCUGACCUCCAAAAAAAUAUGGAAGUGUAUGGUGCUAAUUAACGGCAGCAUAAAUUUUAUAGAAUUUGAGGUUGCCUUUCAUGAAAAGAAAAAGAAAAAUAAGGAGUAGGUGCUUCUUGCUGCUUGGGCAAUGCAACACAUUACGGGAAAAGAAAGAGGGCCACAUGAUGAUUUCUCAGUCAGAUAUAGACCGACACAAUUGAAAUAUUAUUCUCACGGACCAAUCAAUCACUCUCCAGUACAAUAAUCUCAUCUCUUUCCCGCAGUAAGAUUGCUCGAUGAAAGAACUGAAAAAUCUUGACAAUAACGUCAUUUUAUUGAACAAAAGAUGCUGUUGCCUGCUUCAAAAUCAUCUUCCAUCUCCGAAUGUGUGGUAUUGGAAGUGUCAUAUAAGCUCAACUGAGACUACAAGGAAAAGCAAUGAGUGAAUAACUUGGAGUGCCACCAUUUUCAUUCUCUGUUGAUGGCUGCUUGAAUGUGCUCAAGACUCCUCCCUUUCGUUUUAGGAACACCAUCCCCGCGGUGUUAAUCGCUGCAUAAAGAAGGAAGGUACCUGUGAAGCAAAGCCAGCAGAGUUAUUGUCUUUUGACAAGUUUUUCGGAUGCAUAUCAACAUUUUUCUCAUGGGAAGAAUGCUCUAUUAUAUACUACCUGUCUAUUAAUCAUUUUGCAGAAAAACGCACUUUUCUUUUCUAAAUGACACUUCAAACAAAUUUCGUGAUAUUCGAAUGUAGGUAGAAGUUGCUGUAAACAUGUUGAUUGCAAUAAAUGGACUGAAUAUGCAUUCGAGAGCGUGAAGAAUGGAGUGAUAACCUAUACCUCCAAAUAGGAUUGAAGAGUUCAGGAAAAGCUAAGUCUCGAGUCUGAAGUUUGGUUGAAUCCGUGCAAAAACUCACGUUCCAAUGUGACAAAAUGUUUAUCGAGCUCAAUUUGGUUAACUCAUAAAUUUCAUGGUAAAAUUUGAUGAAAACUAACGAAGGGUAAAUGUGUUAUGUGUGUACCAGUUUGCAUUUUUGGUGAUUCAAAAACUAAUUUUCAGUAAAUUUGUCACAUAUGUACUAGUUUGUGAUUUUUCAUUGUAUUAACCCUAUGGAUUUCCAUGUAAACUUGCCAUGUUAACUGUCUAUAUCAUUCAACUCAAUAAUUUAAUGAUAAAAUUUCACGGAAUCUAAUGGAGGGUAAAUGUGUCACGUGUGUAUAUGACCCAAAAUUUAGUUAGGGAUAAAUUUGUCACGGUGUAUAAGUUUGGGGUUUUUUCAUGAUAUUAACUCCAUAACCCACCCCGUGGUGAGCAAGUUGGUUAGGGCACACACUGGCCACACGAAAGGCCAGGGUUCGAUUCCCCAACUAGUCAUGUUGCGCAACUUAAGUGGGGUGCCGUGGGUGGUGGGUCCCCGUCCUAGUGCUCCCCCGAGUUUACGUUGCUGGCUGCCAGCUGUACGGCGGUUCCUAGGUUGCCAAAAAAAAACUCCAUAUUAAAAAGAAGAAUUCGUUUUCCCAAACUCCUUUUCCAUGUGCACACUCACACAUAAUGGAGGACCAUUCUCAUGUGGAAUUUCAUGACCACUAAAGAGAUUAGGUUUGUUAAUUUUUUGCAUUUUCUACUUUUUUAGAAUUUUUUUUUGCUUUAUUUUGAUAAUAAUAAAAAUUAAAAUUUAUACUUCUCCGUUUGCAAUCUCUGAAAGAAGUGGAGAUCACGCGUUCCUUAUCAACAUUGGUGUCUCGAGGGAUGUUUGCUUAGUAGAAAAACUCUUGUGCAAGGAACAACAGUGAGGAAUGUAAUGCUUCUUCUAAAUAAUGUAAGGUACCAUCUCAUGUCAUAUCAUCGAGUGAACGCACAAGUUCUUACUGCAUUUAGGUAUUGAGCUUUUGUAAUACAUCAUAUGCUCUAACAUAACAUCACGUGUUCAAUUUCCAUUCAUCGUAAAGGCAAAAUUGUCAGCCUACUCUGUCUUUACUCUUUGACAAGUGCUGAUCACUCAUCGGUUAGGCUUGGACCCAUCCGUGACAUGAGGUCCAAGUCGGAGAUAGCUUGAGCAGGUAGCUAUCUUCAACGUAGGUGAUCAAAUAGAGGUCAAAGGGUGGGGAUGAGAGGUUUUGAUGGAAAUGAGAGAUUUGUUGCUCAAAAUGCAAACAUUGACACGAAUAAAAAAUUACCUUAUUAUACCAAGAGGAUUCACAUGAAACAAAAAUUGAAUGGAUGGCAUACAACAUUCAUCGUCAUUUAUAAAAUAUGGACAUAACUCGACCAAUAAAAAAACUAGUGCCAUAAGAAAAAUAUGUAAAAGUUUUACAAAUUACAUUUUAAAUGAUGAUACAUGUUGAUAGUACUAUUUAUAAUUUUUGCAUCUCAUUAUAAGGUAACAAUCACAAAAACAUCAUUUCGUAAACUCAUGGUUAUACUAAAAUUGGUAACCACUAGAAACUAUUGGAGUACUUGACGAAGAUGAAACUGUUUCAAGUUCUAUCUCAGCAUCAGCAUCAUCAACCGGUGCCUCCAUUGGAUACAAAAGUGUUUUUGGAGGCAGUUGCAGUCUAUCCAUAUCUCCUUCAAGCAUAUCUAGGACUUUCCUCAUCGACGGCCGAUCAUUAGGGCUCAAUUGUAUACACCACAAUGCAACGAUUAUCAUCUUCCUUGUUGUUUCUCUUUCCUCUUCUAUGACAUCUACCCUUUCAAGUUCCUUUUCUUUACCGAGUUGAUCAUAAACCCACAAAGGAAAGUAAAUUUGACUCGAACGCUCUGAUGUGCAUUUAGAUUUCUCCUUCUACUAGCCAUUUCCAUUAAUAACAUCCCAAAACUAUAAACAUCGGUUUUGUAAGAAAUGUCACCAAUGUCUUUAUAGAAUAGCUCAGGAGCCAUAUAACCCAAGGUUCCUCUUGCUGCAGUCAGCGAUAAUAUAUUGCAAUCGGUGGGAUAAAGUCUUGCAAGUCCAAAGUCAGAAACUUUCGGAGUGAAACUUUGGUCUAGGAGAAUGUUGUGAGGCUUGAUGUCAAAAUGUAGAAUUUGCAUAUCACAUCCCCCAUGUAGAUACUCUAUCCCUCUAGCUAUGCCAAGAGAGAUCUCAUACAUUUUCUUAGAAUGAUGAGGAUCAUCACCAUCCUUAUAGGAAAUGUGUUUAUCCAAAGAUCCAUUCGGCAUGAAAUCAUAGACAAGAGCUUGUUUGGAGUAAUCAAAGCAAAAACCAACAAGUUGCACCACAUUAAUGUGGUGGAUCCUUCCAAUUGUGGCCACUUCGCUUAUAAAAUCCUGGCCAUUAGAUUUUGAUUUGUUCAAAAUCUUAACUGCGACUUCAUUGCCACUUCUAAGUAUUCCUCUAUAUACAGAACUAUAUCCCCCUUCACCUAACUUGCAUUUGAAAUUUUUUGUGAUCUUCUUUAUAUCCGAGUAAGAGUACCUUAUGGGCAAAAAGUUGUUGUGAGCUAGUAGGAAUUCUUUGAUAUUUGCAUCGGCCGCCUAAUGCCUUCUCAUCCACUUCAAGAUUAGAAGUAUCAACACACACGGAGCUCCAAAUAUGAAUUUUGCUGCUAGGAAGUGGACUACAGAGAAAUUUGGCCAUUGAUUAGCAUAGUGUCAAAAAAGAAAAAAUUUACACAUACAAUUUUUGUUUGUCAAAGUGCUGAAUGAGAGCUUCAUAGGUGUGAAGAGAAAAAGGACUUAUCAUACCCAAGAAAAAGAAGAGAUUCACUACUGCAACAGGCACAAGACAGAGCGCAAAAAGGCGCAUGCCAUCACCUGUAGAUAGUAAGAGAAUUCGUGAGAAAUUACUAAAAAUGGUUAAUUAGAAUUAAAGACCAAUCAGUGAAGAAGCAAUUCAUGCUAAGAUAUACCCCUAGUGAAAGAUAAAUUCAUGCAAUCACUGCAAAGUGCAAAGCCACACUUUUGUUCAUUGAAAUUUGCAAGUGGAGAACUCUAGAAUAAAAAAAGAGUGAACGAGUCUUUUCUAGAUAGCGCCCAGAUUUGACGUUAUCCUAUUCACUCAUGAAAUCCAUGUUAAUGUUGCAUGAUCUUUUCUUUUGAAGAAACACGCUUUUGCUUUUGUUCUCUUAAAUGUACCAAAUGUUCACAAGUUCCCCGUAACAUUAACAGCAAUUGAAGGGACAUGAGAUAUUAUUAAAUCGAACAAUUUUCCCCAAAAAAAGACCUAAUUCCCUGAAAAACCCUUUAAUUCUAGUCCAAUUUCAGCUUGAACUUUUUUGUCUCAGAAAAAACCCUAAACUUUAGGUACAAUCCCAAAUUUACCUCAAAUUUUGUUUUGUUUUAAAAAAUCAGUAACUUUUAAUAUAUUCCCAAACUUACCCCCACGGUCGGGUCCCAACUUGAUGUGGCAUUUCCACAUCAAUAACAAAUCCACUUCAGUAAGGUGACAUGGAAAAUUACUUUCAAAUGAAGCUAUUCUAAGAUAUGAAAUUUUUGAACAGAGGGCUAAUGGGUAGAUUGGGAUUAGAGUAAAAAUUGGUGUUUUUUCUUUUAGACAAAAUAAGUUUGAGGUAGAUUUGGGAUUAGGCCUAAAGAUUGAGGUUUUUUCUGGACAAAGAAAAGAUUGAGGCAAAUUUGGACUGGACCUAAGUUUAGGUUUUUCUGAUAAAAAAAAGUUCGAAACAUAAUCGGGACUAAAUUUAAAGUUGGGUUUUUUUUAGUGAAUAACGCCCAAAAAAAAAAAAUACAGAAAUAGUGUCACUUCCAGAAAAGCUCCAUAGUUGUAAAAUAAAGGAGCAAUGCACGCCCAAUCUACUAAAAAAAUUUCUAAACUUUUUCACUGAACGAAUGUGGCAAUUUUUUAAAUUGGGUAUUAAAGAAAAGUGAUGACUCAAUAAAUUGAACCAAACGUAUUGCAAUAUCCAAUUGAAACAUGUCACAUCACCAAGUAAAUUUUGAAAAGAUCCUUCAGUAGAGUUAACAUUUAAGAAAAGGAUGAAGAUAAAGAUGAAGAAGAAGAAACAAAGUAAGAGAGUAAAGAAGGAAAAGCUUUAGGGAAAGUCAGCUUACAGGAGUCAUAUGGGUUGCACCGCGCCAUUCGGUAUCUGAAACCUAUCGCGCAAAUCUGGAAUAUUUCCAACGAAUAAGAUUCAGAAUAUAAGAGAUUGAAUCCUUCAGCCAUCAUGUUGUGGAGGUCCGUAUACGGUGGGCUCACACGUUUAUACCGAUCCACUUCCUGGCUUGAUAAGAGAGUGAUCAUGGUUAUGUUGCAAGAAUCCUUGAUGUCCCGUAUUAGUAGAUCAGACCCAUACAAAGCGUAUGAGUAUGCCUUCAUUUGGGAAAAAUUAGGGGGUGUAUCAGAAAGGGAUGCUUCCUCAAUACAUGGUUCAGUAUUGAUAUACAAAGCAGAAGCAACGGGCUGUGAGCACUUCAUGAAGACCACCGGAUCAGCCGAGGGAAAAAGACCACCACAGUAUGGAUCAUGAGCACUAAAGUUGGACCUCGCCAGUGAUUGACGAGGGAGGGAUGAGCAAUUACCUUUCUGCAAUCCAUCGUCAACCACCGUGAUUAUACCGAAAAAUGAAUCAGCUAAAUUAGAAUAGUUAAUUGACUUCACAUAAUAUUGACCGGCAUAUAGAUAUAGAAAAGUACGAUUAUUUUCACAAACUAGCUCAUACUCAUAGCAGCCACAGUAUUUUGGGUCGCUUUUCAAUCGAAAGGGAUAGUGUAUAUCAUGGAUCUCACCGCAAGAUGAAGUAGUGCACAAGUGAUUCUUCUUCGCACCGCAACUCAUCCUCAGUAACAGUAGGACAUGCAAUAUGAAAAGCAAAACACAGAACAUGCUUGUGGAGCUCAAAGACUUAAUGGUCUCUCUAUCGUUUGAUCUGAUGCAAUGGAAGUUUUUGCUAAUUGGCAAUGUGAAGGAGGCCCAGUUAUAUGAAUGAAAAGAGUCGGGAGUCAUCGGUGAUGCAAAUUUCCAAGUCAACCAAUAAAACAAAGUCUAGCGAAGAUUGCGGCCCUUGCAUUUAUGGUGACAAAACACAAAGUUGGAAUUAGUUAUGCAUAGCUUUCACAUUGAUUAAAAAAGAAAGUUCUCUGCAGUUUUCAUACUGACUUUUCUUAGUACUAUUAAAAGAGAAUCGAUUUUAAACCAGAGAGAGAGAGAGAGAGAGAGAGAGAGAGAGAGAGAGAGAGAGAGAGAGAGAGAGAGAAUCGAUUUGUAUGUCAUGUACUCUAGAAUGAACAAAAUCCAUUUGAGUGAGGCUUUGGCAUUCUAGUUUCUUUUCAAGGCUAAUAUCCCAUAAGUGUUGUUGCGACCAAAAUUUCGGGUGAACCACCUAGGUUUGGCUAAUGGAUUGUCAAGCCUAGAUUUUGCUCAGACUCUCCCAAACCCAUUAUCAAUUCAUGACUUAGGUUCAAGUUUCUUAACAUGUAAAAGAUUUUUUAAUCAAGAGUCGCCACUAAUCUAUUUUCGGUGGGUCGAUUAGAAACUCAAGUAAAGUAACAUGAGAUUUACUUUACUCAUACAAACUAAAGAUUUAUAAAUUUUGGGACUUGUUUAUGCUAGAUUUCUCUAACGCCCUUUUGGUAGCUUUCUCUUUUGUUUUGAAAAAAAUGUUUUGAUUUUAACCUACUCCCCUAAACAUGUGAGAUGAUUAUACGGGUGUACAAACCACCAAUUUAACACCCAGAUAAAGUAGUGAAUAAAUUAUCCAGAUAAAGCAGUGAAUAAAUUGCAAGACUUUAUCUCAUGGCAACGAAAACAUCUGCAAUGUUAGAUCAGAAUUCACAUCAACAAUCCUAGAUAUGAUUUCUAAUAAACACGCAAUUACAUUUUUUUUUGUUUUAUUUUCACUGAAGAUCAUGCUUUAUGUAAUGCAUGCCACUAAUCUAACAUGAAAUGAUAUCACAAGAUGACCUAAUUCUAAUGACGAACAAUUCCUAAUUAAAUUGACCUAGCAAUAAACACUAAAUGACGUACAUUUCAUGAACCUAAAUGACACGCGCAUGAUUUUUUGUAUUUUUUUUAUAAAAAUUCAUAAUUAAAAUUGCUAAAAAAUGUUUUAAAAGAAUCUAACUAAAGUGAGAUAUUAUCUAUUUUAAGUUAGGAAAUAGACCAAUAUGAAUCAUAUCUUAACUUAGAAAAAUUUUUACGACAUGCAAUUUAAUUCAAAGAUAUUAUCUAACCUAGAUACCAUCUAAGCUUGCAUUCUAAUAUAAUCAAAAAGGAAUCUAACUAUUAUAUCAUGCAACUAUAUCUAGAAAAUCAAUUCUAAUCUACAUGAUAUGCAAAUGCAAUUUUUUUUUUGUAUUUUUGGGAUAAAUAAAGCGAUUAAAAGAUAAGCAAAUCAUUCACGAUCAUCAAAGAUAUUAUCCAUCGUUCGAAUUUGGAAACGAUAUCUAAUCAAACUUAAUUAUUUUGCUAAUAAAAUCGAUAAAUUGAUCUUAAGCCUUAAAGAUCAAAAUAUCAAUUUCAUUCCCGUUUGAUUAAUUAUUCCAACUAUAAGGCUUUAGAUGGAAUAAAAAUUUGGCAUGCAAUUGCGAAUUAGGCAAUAAACCAUAAUUGAGGGGAUAUGCUUAUCGCUGAAAUAUAUAUUAGGUAAUAAAAUAUCCAAAUCAAAUUUAUAUAAGAUAAUUACCUAAUUUCGCAAGUAAUAUUGCCAAACUUGAACUAAAUGGGAUCGACUCAAGGAUAAUGGUUGGUGGGUGAGAUUCGGCGCAAUGGUGCUCCUCGGUAAAGGAUGAUCGUGGGCUCACGGUCAACGAACCUGCAAAAAUAGGAACUUCGUGGAUCGGCGAUUGUGGGCAAUUGGCAACGACAGGCUCGUGGCCGCUUGAAUCAGGAACGUUGUAUGGGAUGACUUGUAGGCGAGGCAGAACAGGUGGCCUUUGAUGAUGAGUGAACGCGUCGAAUUGCGGGUUGAUCCUUUUUGCCCACACGACUGAAUUUGGAGUUCAAACUUCGCCACGUUGGCUCUGACAUCUUUUGCAAGUCAAAGUGCAUGGAUCUUCUUCAUGCAGCAAGCGGAAUUGCCUUCUUUGACUGGAUAAUAUUCAACGUGAAUACUUCGGCAAAAGAACCUCUCCUNNNNNNNNNNNNNNNNNNNNNNNNNNNNNNNNNNNNNNNNNNNNNNNNNNNNNNNNNNNNNNNNNNNNNNNNNNNNNNNNNNNNNNNNNNNNNNNNNNNNNNNNNNNNNNNNNNNNNNNNNNNNNNNNNNNNNNNNNNNNNNNNNNNNNNGGAGCAGCGACGUCCAUGGGCGGUGGGAUUGCAACAUCGUCAAGGGUCAGCAUCGAGCAAGCAGGGGCAAAUCAGAACAACUUGUCCUUCGGAAGCUGCAGCUCGUCACGAGGCUACUGGUGGUGUCAAUGGGCUUGGCGAACCUGGCUUUUCAUAUGGGACUCCUCAAUCGGCAAUAGGAGGCGUUGCGAUUCCUGGUGCUGUGAAGAAUCGGCAAGUGGGUCAACUUCGCGAGUAUGUGGGGCCCUCUUCCAACCGUGGACUAAGUGUGGCCUUUUUAGCCUCUUUAUUCACUCUCACCUUCACGAGCACUCUGUACAGAAGCUUCCCCUCACGAUUUUUCCCUCAAUUCAGUGUAUGGCCAUGUCUUCAAUUGUGUGUGGCCCCCUCGCUAUCGUGUUUUCUCCCUCCAAAAAAAAAAAAAAAACCGAGAAAAGCCCCUUCUACCAAGUGAUGAAAAGAGAAGCCCCUUUUUUGUCUGUAUGCGGGCCAAUUUAUAAGCGAGGGACUGAAGCUUUUAUCAACAUACCCAAAGAUCUCAUCCUGCCGAUUUUAUCACAUAUUGCUAAAGAUUCAAGAUUGAAAUAUGAUUUUUCUCAAAUUUCAAAUCUUGCAAAGAUGAGCUCAUGAUAUCUCCUCAAGGAUAUUGAAAAAUCCACUGUCAUAUCACCGAAAGUAUCAAAUCUCAAUUUCUCACAAAAUAAUUUUCGGUCAUAAAAUAAAAAGGGGCUCGGGCUAAUUUGCUCUUUUCGUGGGCUUAGUCCUACUCGUCAAAUUAAAGCUCAAAACUACCAAUUCAAACCCAUUUGUCACCAGUCCGAUACAAAUAAAAAAAAUAUCCUAAAACUAUAUACUAUGCAAUUUAAUUAUAAUAUUUUUUUAGGGAUAAAAUUAAUCCCUAUUUUUUAUAUAAUAAAUAAAUGACUGGGUCGUUAAAAUUUAGGUUUUAACAAGUGUCCCUUCGUUAAACUGUGAAGAUGAAAAGGAAAAAGAUGUCAUAUUUCAUCAUCUAAGCUUUUUAUUUUUGACAAAAAAACAGAAAUUGGUAACAAAAAUAGACUAUGAACAAGAAUAUUAACUUGUAUAAUGUCGCUUUUGGCAAAAGUAAAAGGAAAAUAAGAAAUAAGUGCUUCUUGGAUGGUGUAACACAUUAUGAAAGAAAGAAAGCAAUAUGAUAAUUUGUAGUGGCGUACCGACAUGCCUUGACUAGAACCUCACUGGCUUCGUCAUCUCGCAAACAGUAUAGAUGCAGAUUUCCAAGUCAACCAUCAACACAAAGUCUAGUGAAGAAAAAGUGGGUCUCCCGUGGAAAUUGCAGCCCUUGAAGUCAAGGUGACAAGACACGGUGUUGGAAUUAUUUAUGCAUAACUUUCACGUUGAUUAAAAAAUAAACUUCUUUGCAGUUCCAGAUUGACUUUUCUUAGUCCCAUAAAAAAAGAAUCGAUUCAUUCAGCACCAUAUUUUACUAUAAAAAAUGAUAAGCGCCAUAUUUUACUAUAAAAAAUGAUAAUGUAUUUCACAGUUAAGAUUUUUCAUUUUUGACAAAAAUGAAGUUUGUAACUGAAAAGAUUAAUAAUAGCACUGAAGACUAUCGUUGCACAUUAUGAGAAAAGAAUAUAGGCCAUACAAUAAUUUCUCAACCAACAAUAGAUGGAUGCGAGCCUUGAUUUGAAAGUCACUUGCUUUGUCAUUGCCCGACGCACAUGAAGACUAUAGGUGUAAUGUUCGAAUUCACAAAAAUAAAGCAAUACACGCUUUUUCACUAGCAAUUGAAAUAUUAUUCUCAUAGAUCAAUCGAUCACUCUCCUAUAAAAUAACCCUAUCUCUUUCCUGCAAUAAAACCACUCCAUGAAUGAACUGAUAAAUCUCAACAAUAACGUCGUUUUAUGAAGGAUGUUGUUGCCUGCUUCAUAAUCAUUUUCCAUCUUCGAAUGUCUGGUAUUGCGAGUGUCAUGUAAGCUCAAAUGGGACUACAUGGAAGAGUGCAGGCAUUUUUCAUUCUUUGUUGAUAGCUGCUUGAAUCUGCUCAAGACUCCUCCCUUUCGUUUCAGGGACCACCGUGAUCAUGAACACCAUCCCUGCGGCGUUAAUCACUGCAUAAAGAAGGAAGGUACCUGUGAAGCAAGCCGGCAGAGUUGCUUUUGACAAGUUUUGCGGAAGCAUAUUCUUACAUUUUUCUCAUGGGAAGAAUGCUUUGAUAUAUACUACCUGUCUAUUAAUCAUUCUGCAGAAAGACCCAAUUCACUUAUUUUCUUUUCUAAAUCACACGUGGACUCAAUUUUCGUGAUAUUCGAAUCUAGUUUCUUUUCUAAACACAUUGAUUGAAAUAAAUGGACUGAAUAUGCAUUCGAGACCGUGCAGAACAGAGUGGCAGACACCUCCAGCUCCAAAUAGGAUUGAAGUUUUCAGGAAAAGCUAAGUCUCAAGUCUAUAGUUUGAUUGAAUUCUCGCAACAACUCAUGUUCCAAUGUGACAAAUGUUUAUCGAGCUCCUGCCAGAGCAACAGUUCAAAGAGCGUUUUCAGCAGAGUCGUACCAUAGGAGCUCCAGCUCAUUAAGUAGUUGAAAGUGUAGGAAACUGCCCAAGCGCCGCACCAGUUUACUAGUGUUGCAAACCCUCCAGCUACUCCUUUGAUAUUGAUGGGGAAAAUCUGAACACCAGCACCACAUUACAUGAUUGGAAAAUUUUUUAAACACUCGUAACAACACCAGUUACGGAAACGGCCCUUUAAUUUGAUAAGCAUGAAACUUCGGGGGAUGUUUAGGAUUACCUCGGACAUCACGACCCAAGGAACCGCGCCCAUUCCAGCGGAAAAUGCUGCUAUGUAUAGCUGAGCAUUGGAAAAAACAGAACAGAAAAAUUAAUAGUGGAGAGUUGUUGUGGCGGCCAACCAGAUAGAGCCAGAAAGAGAUCAAGGAAGGUGAGAUUAUUACCAGAAUGCCGGUGACGGCAAGUAUCGGGACAGCAUCAGCUGCCAGAUCAUGAACCUGGCUCAGAAGAUUCUCAAAAAGUUACUGGUUGACAAGCAUUGCAAAGCAGAAGGAAGAUACUAGGACGGAUAGUAUUUACCUUUAGAAAGAAUGAAAGGGCAGUUACUAUGCAUCCUAGGACCAAUCCUGUCCCUGAGAUCUGCGAUUGAGAGAGAGAGAGAGAGAGAGAGAGAGAGAGAAGGUUACUGUUCAAGUUGCAGAACUCGCGAAAGGUUAUGAUUUCUUAGCGACUUUCAUCUAUUUUACCAAGAGAAGGGGCUUUCUUCCAGCUCGAUCGACCAGCGCAGCGCCAAUAGCCGUGACAAUGACCUGCAAAAAUUUACUCUUUAAGCGUGACGAGUGUAAAACUAGAUCCCCAGCAAAGAGGAAAGGGCGAGAAUUACAGACCUGGAGGAUUGCAUAGGUUAUGGUUCCAACGCUAGAGGAGAAACCUGAGGAGAGUGUACAAAUGCGAUUAUAAAGGCGAGACUAAUACCUUGCUUGUGAGAUUCAACCCUAAAUUAUGUGUACAGCUCAUUCAGUGACAAUUAAGUAGACCAAAAGCAUUCGACAUUGCGAAUUUUACUAACCCAUUUGAAUAUUAACUGGAUUAUAUAAAUUGGAACCCCUGCUUUGCUCUUUAUUUAGUUAUCCGUUCUGGAAUCAUAAAAUGCAAUGCAUAGUUUCAUUUCUGUGGUGCCCAAGAGCUUCUUGCUAUGACCUUCAUACCUGCUUCCUCGANNNNNNNNNNNNNNNNNNNNNNNNNNNNNNNNNNNNNNNNNNNNNNNNNNNNNNNNNNNNNNNNNNNNNNNNNNNNNNNNNNNNNNNNNNNNNNNNNNNNNNNNNNNNNNNNNNNNNNNNNNNNNNNNNNNNNAGUACAACUACUUAAAGUCUCCCGAUCCACAGGGCAUUCUAAGAAAGCAAGGAAGGAGGGAAUUUAUUGGAUACAUAGCAAUAAAUACAGAAAGAAGAUUACGAUGACGGAGCUCAGAUAUCUUCUCUGAAAUAAAUCAAGCACGGUGGCUUUUGGGAGCCGUUGGAGAGUUUCGAUAUACUCCUGUCAAGAAAAACAAAUUCAAUCAUUCCAUCAGCUGUUCGUACUUAUAAAGUUGAGCUUUAAGAUGAAACAGGUAUAGACUUAAAGCCUUUUACUUGUAUUUCAGCAGCCUCUUCAGAAAUAUCUGCAUCCUUUCCACGGAGUUUCUGCAGCACAGCUUCAAACUACUUUUCGUGGCCCAUUUUCGCCUGCAUUUGGCAGAAUCCUAAAAUUCAUUCCAACACUACAAAUCCCUCUCUUCCAACAAUUCAGAUAAGAAGAGUCUGGUGUUCAUCUUGAUUUGUUACCAGCCAUCUAGGAGACUCUGGAAUGAAAAACAGGCCAAACAGUAGGACUGCACAGGGGACUAGACCUGCAUAAACCGCAGACGUUCAAGGUGGUUUCAGACUUGGACUUUUCGAUGCAAGAUUGGCACUAAACUUGAAUUAUGCUACUUUUUUCUGUUUUACCAAUUAAUGCCAAAACCCUCCAAGCUAAUACUGUCCCGAUUAUGAAGGAAACGGACACUCCAGCAACGAUCAUAAGCUGUGGAGAGAAGAGAACAUGUUAGGCCUAGUAGGUUCUGUAGGAUGUACAUAUAUACACCAUCUUGCACUUGCAAAAGGGAAAAAUUUGCUACAAGCACGCGCUUGGCAGGUGCCGGCUGACGUCUGCGUGACGUUAGCCCGUGCACGCGCGCGGCACGUGCCGUCAAUUCGCUCGAGCCGGCCCCUCCGGCCCAACCGGUUUGACCGGUCCGACCAGUCUGUCCGGUCCGACCGGUACGACGACCAACGACCGUUGACCGUUGACGACCGUUGACCGUUGACCAAAAAAAAAAAAGAGGAAUGUGUUUCUUUUUUCAAUUAAGUCUAUGUGGAUUAUAAUGUGAUCCCUUAUUUGUUCUGCAUUUGUUGCAGGAACAAUGCCUCCCCUGAGGUUGCACACACCUAUUCGCACAAUUACCGAUGAACAAAAGGAUAUGGUGUCUAAGUUGAUAGCUGAACUGACUGAUCAUCGAUGGGAGAGAGGUGACUUAAUUGAUCAUGUCCUUGAAGUCAACGGGAAAAUUCAACAGGUCAUAUGGAAUGGUCGUCCUAUGUCACAGUCAGAGAUGGUGCGAUUUUUCAUAAACACUCUUCCACCUGAAUGGCAAGAUGUGUUGAAUCGCAUAUGGGAUGUCAAUGGAGCUGCUUCCUAUAAGAAAAUUGUGAUGGACUUUGUAAAUGAAUAUUACUGUAUUGUUACAAGGGAAAAGAUCAAGAAAUUGAACAAAAGAGGAUCUUUCCCAGUUCGUGUGCUGACUUGGUGUUAGUUGUAUUGACUGAUAUAUGUUAAGUGUGAUUUGUGGACAUAUUAUGUAAUGAUUACUACCUAAUUGUGUUAAUUUAAAGCAUUAUUGUUUUUUUAAUUGUAUGUCAAUUAUCUGUUGCUUUCUGUUAUUGCUGGUUGCUGUGGGUAAUUAGCUGUGGGUAGUUUUAGAAGUUUUUGUAGCUUCAUAGAAUUGAUUUUGCAUAUGACAAUCAUAUUAAUGAUAGUUUUAAGUUAGGAUUUUGGAGGAUGAUUGGAAACAUAGUGACCUUUUGAUUCUAAAGCCUUACUUGAAAUUAUUCAUUGAUAUGAUGGGUCUAUGUAAAUAGGGAUACAUAAAUGAUAGGCAUUAAUAAUUCGUGCAUAUUUGUCUGAUUUGUUCAGAUCAAUGGCUUCGGCCACAAAGAGCAUAGUUGCCGAGCUGAACAAAGGUGAAAAGCUCAAUGGAGACAACUAUGAAAUUUGGCAAAUGAAAAUCCAGUAUGUGCUGGAAGAACAAGAAGCACUUGAGGCUCUUAUCCUGACCAUGGUAGAACCUGAAGAGGGAACCACUGCAUAGCACAAAAGAGACAAAGAAGCUUUUUCUGCGUGGAAAAGAAAGAACUCUCUAGCUUGCAUCACGUUGCUGAGCAGCAUGGAAAAUGACGUCAUGCGAGAGUUUCGGCGUUUUGACAAUGCCAAGGAAAUGUGGGAGGCAUUGGCAGCUAGAUUUGGUCAUACUUCGGUGACUAGACUGAGGCAGCUCACUAUCAGGUUUGACUCUUAUAAGAAGCCUCAUGGUCAGACCAUGAAGCAACAUCUUAGAAAGAUGUCAAACAUGAUAACUGAGCUGAAAGAUGCUGGCCAUGUCCUCACAGAUGAGCAGCAAGUGCAAGCAGUGAUUCGUUCCUUGCCUCAGAGUUGGGAGCAUAUGAAGGUGCACCUGACUCAUAAUGAAAAUAUCAAAACCUUUGAGGAUGCAAUGCGUCAUCUUGAGCUAGAAGAGGACUGCCUCUUGGCGGCUAAGCCGGAUGCUGAACUUUAUCAUGCUAGUUCUAGCUCACAUGGAGUUUCGAGCUCCAAACGCAAGCGUCCUAACUAGUUUGAUAAAGGGAAAGGCAAGGAAGAAGCAGGUCCUUCAGGGAAGAAACCCAAGUUUAACCAACAUGAUAGAGGAAAGCGUCCUCGCAUGAAGAAGCUUACAAGGGUGAAAUGCUACAAUUGUGACAAGAAGGGUCACUAUGCUCGCGACUGUCGUGAGCCAAAGAAGGUAUGCACCCCUUGUACUUUUCAGAACUUUGCUUUUGUGUCGAGUUCUGUGUUCUUAACUGAGUCUAAUCCUUUGUGGACUGUGGAUUUAGGAGCGACGGACCAUGUAGCGAAGGAUAGAUGAUCCUUCGUGGAAUUCCGACGAGUACCAACUGGAACUAAGUGGAUCUAUGUGGGAAAUAACUCCAGAGCUGAAGUGAAAGGAAUUGGCACAUGCCAAUUGAAUAUGCGUGGUGGACGCACUUUGUUCCUUCAUGAUGUGUUGUAUGCUCCGGAGAUUUGUCAGAAUUUAAUGUCUGUAUUAGUGUUGGUUAAAUUAGGUUUUAAUAUGAACUUCUAUAGUAGAGGUGUGAAUUUGUUUUUGGAUACAAAUUACUAUGCUUGUGGUUAUUUUCUGGAUGGUUUCAUUGUAUUAGAUGUUGAGUAUGUUAAUGCAAAUGUUUGUUAUUCCCUUAUCACGUCUCCUAAUUCAUAUGAUAAUGAUGUGAAUGUGUGGCAUGCUAGACUUGGUCACAUUGGCCAACAGCGUAUGAAUAGACUAGCCAAAGAGGGCUUGUUGGGCAAUAUUGAAAAAGUCGAUUUGUCCAUAUGUAAGCAUUGCAUAGAAGGGAAAACGACAAGGAAACCAUUUGGAAAAGGAAAAAGAGCUGAAUUUCCUCUGCAUUUAAUCCAUUCUGAUGUCUGUGGUCCAAUGAAUGUGAAAGGAAGGCAUGGGGCUGUUUAUUUUAUCACCUUUAUAGACGAUUAUACUCGAUUCGGAUAUGUCUAUUUGAUUUCUCAUAAAUCUGAAGAAAUAAGUUGUUUCAAAAGGUUUAUGAACCUAGUAGAGAAUCAAUUGGACAAGAAAAUAAAAGCAUUGAGAUCCGAUCGAGAUCGAGAAUAUUUAUCUAAUGAGUUCAGAAAAUUAUGUGAUGAAAAAGGAAUAGAAAGACAGUUGUCUAUUCCGUAUACUCCUCAACAAAAUGGUGUUGCGGAAAGAAGAAACAGAACCCUACUGGAAAUGGUUAGGUCCAUGAUGGCGCAUGCUAACUUACCCAUCACCUUUUGGAGUGAUGCAUUGUUAACCACUGCCUAUAUACUUAACCGGGUGCCUUCCAAAUCAGUUACUUCCACUCCAUAUGAGUUAUGGAUAGGUAGAAAACCAGACUUAAGUUUUCUUAAGCCAUGGGGUUGUGCUGCCUAUACCCAUGAGUCUUCUCACAAGUUUGGGAAAUUGGGUCCCAGAGGAAAGAAGAUUAUUUUCAUAAGAUACUCGGAACACUCGAAAGGAUAUGUGUUCAUUGGUGAGCAGGAAAGUGGGAGUAUAACUGAAUUUGAAUCACGAGAUGUCACAUUCUUAGAGGAUGAGUUUCCUAAGAAGGGCGGAAUAGGGGAAGAUCACUCCCUAUUUGAGACCUUGGAUCAAGAUAAUGAUAUUAGUGGAGUUCAUCCAAGUGGGAGCAUAAUAGGGAAUAAUGUGCAAAGUGUACAAUCUCCUAUACGGCGAACAAGUCGCCAAAGUAUUCCCCGUCGACAUUUUGACAUUGAAGGGGAAACUUUUAUGGUUGCUCCACAAGAUGAGGAUGAGCCAAGAAAUAUCAAUGAGGCUUUGAAUUGCCCUAGUAAGAAAAAAUGGAUUCAUGCAAUGGAAGAUGAAAUGGAGUCAAUGAAAUCAAAUCAAGUCUGGGAACUGGUUGAUCUUCCAAAAGGACGCAGAGCUAUUGGGAACAAGUGGGUCCUCAAAAUAAAGCGAAAGGCUGAUGGCUCGAUAGAAAGGCAUAAGGCUCGCCUUGUGGCAAAGGGGUAUAAUCAACAGGAAUGAAUUGAUUAUGAAGAUACGUUUUCUCCUGUAGUAAGAUUUACCUCGAUUCGCAUUAUUCUGGCAAUAGUGACUAGUCUGGAUCUUGAGUUACAUUAGAUGGAUGUAAAGACUACUUUCCUCAAUGGAGAAUUAUAGGAAAAAAUAUAUAUGGAACAACCUGCUGGUUUCAUAGUGAAAGGCCAAGAAGAAAAAGUAUGUCGACUUUUGAGGUCGAUAUAUGGUCUUAAGUAGUCAUCAAGACAAUGGUAUAUACGUUUCAUAAUGCCAUAAUGGCAUAUGAUUUUAAAAUGAUUGAUGAGAAUCAUUGUGUAUAUAUCAAAAGAUCCAAGGAUCAAUUUGUGAUCAUAUCAUUGUAUGUUGAUGAUAUACUGAUUGCCGGAAGCAAUAUGGAGUUGGUUAAUACUGUCAAGAGUUGGUUGUCUUCCAACUUUGAGAUGAAGGAUAUGGGUGAGGCUGUAUACAUUCUUGGAGUUAAGAUUUCAAGAGAUCGUUCGAAGAGAUCGUUGUCUCUUUCGCAAGAAACCUAUAUAAAUAAGGUUCUUAAACGAUUUCGUAUGCAAGACUGUAAACCCAUAGACACUCUUAUUGCAAAAGGUGAAGGAUUGAGCCACAGAUUGUGUCCAGGGACUCCACAAGAGAAGGAACAAAUGAAACAUGUUCCUUAUGCUAGUGCUGUUGGGAGCUUGAUGUACGCUAUGAUGUGUACAAGACUCAACAUAUGUUUUGCAGUUGGAAUGGUGAGUAGAUACCAAUCCAAUCCAGGUCCAGCACAUUAGAAGGCCGUCAAGAGAAUACUGAGGUAUUUGAAGGGAACUGCUGAUUUCAAGUUGAAUUACCAAGGAAAGGAUCUGCGACUUGAAGGCUAUUCAGAUGCUGAUUGGGGAGGAGAUUUAGAUGAAAGGAAAUCUACCUCUGGAUUUGCUUUCUUACUGAACAAUGGCGCCAUAUCAUGGAGCAGUAAGAAGCAAACGUGUAUAGCCUUGUCCACGAUGGAAGCUGAGUUCGUGGCAUUAUCAGCAGCAGUACAAGAAGGAGUUUGGCUUAAGAGAUUUUUGGAUCAUUUAGGUGUUAAUGAGAAAGCUGCAAAUCCAUUGUUGGUUAACUGUGAUAGCCAAGCAGCUAUAGCGUACACCAAAGAUCCAAAGUAUUAUGGCAAGACCAAACAUAUAGAUACCAAGUAUAACUUUGUGAAAGAUAUGAUUGCACGAAAGGAUGUGAACUUACAGUACAUAUCUACGCAUAGAAUGGUAGCAGAUCCUAUGACAAAGCCAAUACCUAGAGAUGUGUUUUGUGGUCAUGUAAAAUCUCUAGGAUUGCGUAGAAUCUGAUGUACUGGAUUGUAAUUUCCCUGAGUUGUUCACAUUUAUGAAAUUUUGUUUUUUUAUUGAUUAAUGCCUAUGAAUCUAUGUAUGAUCUUUAUGCAUCUUAAUGCUCAGUGCAUUAUUUUAAGUUGAGAAGUAUGUCGGACAGAUAUAAGAUUAGCCCACUCACACGGGUAAUCGCCUCCGUUUACUAUGUGAUAAAUAGAGAUGAGACUGUUUUUAAGCUUAUUAUCUAGGUGAUAAUCGAGAGCUCAAGCUUAAAAUACGUAUGUCACCUUAAUUGAGUGUUAAGAUGAUGACAUAAUACUAAAGAUGUCCGAAAGUAAAAUAGCCUACAUAUUUUACUUUAUCUGUCUAUGAUGCUAGAUGUGAGUUCUGAUGAAUUUUGUGAUUGAGUAGAUACUUGAACUCAAGUUAGACAUUAGGUAUGUCUGAACUAUCAUCUGUAUGGUAUUGACAGGUGUAGACAUACGCUCCAUGGGAAAUGAGUUAAUACCGUAAUACGUAUUUCAUACUACGUAUGCAUGAGACGACCAAUAAGAGUGGCAAAAAGUUUGAUCUCAACUUUUAUGACGUGUGAGACUCUUGAGGAAAAGAGUUCCUCAAUUUUUAGUCCCCUCAGGACUCUUACUUAUUCUCAAGAUUUCUAUUUAGUGUUUACUAUCUUAGGGUGUUGCCAAUGGUCAUGAGAUGAUUCGAUCUAAUGGGGCAUUUCUAGAAAAGCAAGCUGGACUGAAAUUGAGAGUUUAAAGGAAAGAGGAAGAUCGUUUUUGGAUAAUCACAUUGUGGUUUUGUAUUCACUGGUCGACCAAUUAUGACUGUCAUUGUGAUAAUUAUAAUUGUGAAUACAAUAUAUAUAUAUAUAUAUAUAUAUAUAUAUAUAUCAUGUUUAAAAGAGAUCAAGAGAGAUAUAAAAUGUGAUCGAUCGAUCUAGGGUACUGCAUACUAAAUCUACUCGAAGUAUGACACCCAUUAUGAGCUGCUAUAUAUUCCUAACAGAUGUAUAGAAACGAGCUCUCAAAGUAUGCUGGUCGCACGGAUUAUUCACCAGUAUGAAUGUUGAAGAGAGGUAAAGAGAAUCCUGUUCAGCCCACCAUGUGCGAGUGGGAGAUGAUGGUUUUAAUUGGUGAUGGGCUUAAGGCCCGUCCGCCCAUGCUGGGCUCAAAAGGCCCGGCCCAUGGGAAUAGGGCCCGUGGAAAGGGAGAUGUAUAAAAGGGAGGAGAGAGAGAGAAAUAAAGAAAAAGUUGGAAAUAACGUACGUACGCUUUCUCUUAUGUGCUCUCUCUCUCUCUCCAAAAAGAAAAGGAAACAGUAACGCACAAGGCGAAUUUUCUCCUUUCUUCCAAGUGAAUUGUCGUCGUCGGAUUGAACAGGGCCAGUUUCUCUUCCUCUAUUGGCGUUGGUGUUUGAUCUGUGGCUAACAAGGUACGCUCGAAUCCGUGGUGUGCUUUACGAUCGGUGAUAUGUGUUAUUCCCAGGCUUCGUCUUCCGCAUUGAUUUAGGAGUUCGAUUUGGUGUCGAAUCCGGUUUUUGGGGAUCCGUUAUUCCCUACACCUUCUUUAUACAAGAAUUCUGGUGAUGACAGAAUAUCUCUUUCAGAUGUGGGGGUGCCCAGGCAGGAAUGUUUCCUGGACAGAAUGACUUUAGUUUGGCCAAGUUCUUGGGUUUCGAGUUAUUUCAGUCAGGCUUUUGGGGUCUAGAAUUGGGUUUAAGGGGGAAAAGUGCUGGUGAUAUCUGCUUGUUCCCUUCAAUACAAUGUCUUCCGUUGAUUGCAAAAAGUACCAACUCACAUUUUUUGCAAAGAUUACACCAAAGAACCUUGCCCUCUGUUUGUAUCAGCAGAAGAAGUGUUUGGGGAUAUUUCUAAUUCAAACGGGGAAAGCAAGCCACCUGCAGAUUCUCUGGCAAUUCCUUGUGAAGCAGAGAGCAUGAGAAACAAUGUCUUCAUCAGCCUCUGGUUUUUCUCAAGCAUCAAAUAAUGUGCCCAGAGCUGGAGGCUCUGGGGGUGGCAGUGCUAGAAAAUAUUCCUUGGGAUAUAUGUGGGGAAGUACCAACGAAAGCCACAAAUGGAACAAGAAAAGGAUUAUCACCAUGACAAGGGAGAGAUUUGAAACGCAGAAGACAAUCUCCAUGGUCUAUAUAAAGUUUUGGAUGGAGAACAUGUUUAAUCUCUUUGGCCUCGAAAUAAACAUGGUGGCCUUGCUCCUUGCCUCCUUUGCUUUGUUAAAUGCCAUUUCAAUGCUAUAUAUUGCACUUCUCGCUGCUUGCAUACUUCUAAAUUGCAAUGUCAUUCAGAAAUUAUGGCCAGCAGCACACUAUCUGCCAAUUCACAAAAAGCAAGGCUGAGUCUGUAUUUCCUUUCGAAUUUCAUGAUUCUCCUGCCAGUUUGAAUGCUGAAAGUCUUCAUGUGAUGAAUUCAGCUGACCACUCAUUUGAGUUUUCCCAUUGUGAGAUCACUAAGGCUGAGAAGGAUGGUGGAGGUUCUUUAUAUGAUUCAGAUAAGAAAGAGAGAGCCAGAGGUCAAGCUGAGGUUAACUCUGUAGUUUCUGCUCUGCAGCUUUUAGGAGAUGGCGGUUAGUUCUCUUGUAACCUUCCCGAAAAUCAAGCCAGAAGACAUGGAUGCCAGGGGCAUACUCAAGCAGUCUCCCCUGCACCCGAUCAACGGCCAGGAUCACCUGACGAAGCAGCAGAAGUUCGCGAGAUCGAAGCUCCGGGUCUCCAUCAACCUGCCGGACAACGAAAUCUCCCUCCUCCGCAGCCGGCGGAACCUGAGCUUCAGCGGAUCGUCCGCCGCCGCCGAACCUCGGACUUCUCCUUCUCCAUCUCCCCACUCGUCGUCCUCGGCCUCGGCGCCGAUCGGUCGAAUCUUCAAAGGGAAGGCUCCGGCGACGGCGAGGGGGAGCCUCGAGAACGGCGGUAGUGGCGGCGACCCCCACGGCGGCCGGCAGGCGUACAGGAGCACGAGGACGGUGGUAGAGGUGCUGCGGGAGCUGGACGCGGCCAUAGUGGCGCUGCAGGACGUGAAGGCGGAGGAGGAGAGGGAGAUGAGGUCGCUGUCGGAGCUGGCGGCGGCGCUGGGGAUGAGCUACGCGUUCGCUGAGAGCUGGGCGCCGGAGUACGGCAACGCCGUCCUCUCCCGGUGGCCGAUCAAGCACUGGAAGGUCCAGAAGAUAUUCGACGACACCGAUUUCAGGUCCGUCAUUUCGUUUUAUUUUAUUUAUUUAUUUAUUUGCAUAUAUUUUCGUAAUUAUGGUGACAUGAUAUGCUCUCUUUCUCGCUGAGCAAGUGGUCUUCCUGGGCGAUUUCGAAUUUUAAAAGAUAUUUUCAUUUAUUUAUUGAGGGUCCACUGUUGAAAGUGAAGUUAAAAUAAUAUGUCAUAAUUAAUAUUCCCUCUGGGCAUAUUAUAUCAUUUUUUCUUACAUUCUUCUAAGUGAAAAAGAUUAAUUUUGGUAGAACCAUCUAUAACGGUGCAAAUCCACUUCGGACAAUCAAAAUUUUCGUUGAAAUUAAGGUAGGGUGGAUGUAAUAAAAAUUUGCAAGACCAAAAAAAAAAAAAGAAAAAAAAAAGCUGUUGUUUAUCCAUCAGAAUUUGCGGAUGAAGAUGAAAAUCUUGCUGUUACUUGGUUUAUAUUUUGUCUUUUUUUUUUCCUUCCCCUUUGUUUAAUUGUUCUAUUUGGAAUUAUCUGAAUGGAGUUGUCCAAGAAUUGAUUUGGGAAGAAUUUAGAAUAUUAUUCACGAGAACCCUACCACCAAAAAUUCAAGAAUUCCCCAAAGCUUUUCUCCUCCAGCCUGUUUGCCUUUGCACAACUUACGGAAAGCUAUCUGCAACAACAAUGGUGGGCCUUUCCAAGGAUCCCAGCGCCAGCUGUGAGCAAUGCCAGUCAGAAUUAAAAUAUAAAUAAAUUUUAAAAAAAAACCUUUUUUUUUCUUUCUAUGAUUUUAGAUAUGGGUUCUCCAGAGAAUUGUCAUUUAAUAAUAAUAAUAAUAAUAAUAAUAAUAUCUUUAGUUAUAACUAUUCGAAAUUCGUGCGAGUGUGUGUGAUGAAAGACUGUCUUGGACUUCUUCCAUUCCUCCUUUUUUCAUUUCUGGUUGCAUUUAGUGGGUUGAUGAGAGUCAGCGUUGAAGAUCAUUCUGUAUUAAUUGCUGAUAUAGUCAAGAGAAUGCUUAGGAACCUGCUAAAUUAUCUAUAUAUAUAUAUAUAUAUAUAUAUAUAUAUAUAUAUAUCUCUUUAGUAUUUAAAUGAGGAGAUAAACGAAGGAUAAGAUCGUACAUUAAAUGAGGGCAGGGUAAGGUGUAUGUAGAUAGGACAAGUAACGUGGGGAGGAUUUUGCUUUUGCUUUAUUUUAUGUAUUUGCCAAAUUAGAUGCUUGACCUGAAGACUAUACAAGGACUCCUCAUCUUCAAGGAAAACUACAUUUCUCUCCAGCGAGACAGGCCAGAUAGAAUCAACUUGUCUGAGAUAGCAUGCAAUUGCUUGUCAUGGAGUCAAUUUCUGAGACUUUGGCGUUCGAUUAAUUAAGCCACUCCUUAGGUAGUGAAGGGGUUAUGUGCUUUCGUUGCACGAAAAUUCAGAAAAAGAAGAAAAGAGUGGAUUGAAAUAUAAUCGAUCGACAUAUUAAAUUGACUAAGAAUCGAAGUGGCUGUGAACUCGAUAUGUUUUAUUACACAGGAAUGUUCUGAAGGCAACAAUAGAAGUGCCCCAUGUUGGGGAAGUGAACUUCCAGCGCACCCACCUGGAUCAUCUCGACGAGAACUGGCGGAUGAAGCAAGUCGGCGCCAUCAUCCACUCGAGCGACUCUCCCCACAUCUUGGCUGGUGGCCUCAACUCUCUCGAUGACACCGAUUACUCGCAAGAGCGGUGGACCGACAUCGUCAAGGUAUGUACAUUUCUGUCAUGUUUGAUGUGAUAUUCGUUAGCACGUCAAACUCGAUUACUAAAUAGCUUAAGCUACGGCGAUUUUGUAAUCAUGGGCAGUGUUUGUUACAGUACUAUGAAGAGAUGGGAAAACCGACCCCGAAGGUUGAAGUCAUGAGGUUUCUAAAGAGCAAGCAGUACAUUGCUGGAGAAUGCGAGUCCGUGGUUGUCAUUGCCAAAGGACAAAGUAAGGACUCACUUGUUCGCUUUCCCAUCUUUCAAUUUUUCUUUUUCGCUCUAUCAAAUGGCUAAUCUAAGGUGCUUUUCGAGCACGAUGCUCCUCUUGCUUGAUGAUCACAUGAUUUGCUUGAAUGGACGGAAAUUCAUAACAUUUGAAGCAUGAUGAUCAUGUUGAAUAAAUACAUCCGUUGUUGUCAUCACUUUGUCGAUAUCAACUUUUGGUGUGAAAAUCCAUGGUAAAAUUGAAGUCCAAAGUCUUUUUUUCGAGUGAUUAUUGUCCGAAUAUGAAUUUGAAACUGUUUAUUCUAUUGCAGGUGUGCAAGGGACGUGCAAAUAUGGAACGAGGGUGGACUACCUACUGGCGUCACCAGAUUGUCCAUACAAGUUCAUUCCGGGGUCGUAUUUGGUCUUGUCAUCGAAAGGGACAUCGGAUCACCACAUCAUAAAGGUCAACGUAACGAAAUGCGAAAACAAUCCUCCCCCAUGAAAGCAAUGGCAACAACAAUAAAAUUACCAAGAAAAGGCGACGACAGUGCAAGCACCAGGCCGUUGUAAAGAUCUCAGGCACAGCUCCUCCUUCAAAGGGUAUAUGGACAACGAACACAUUAAGCAAAGUCGAAUGACAUUACAUUUAUAUCUCCCUUUUCUUUCCACUCUUUUCUCAGCUGCUGCUCCUGUUGCUACUGUUGAGUGAUCUUGGGCAUGCUGGCUUCGUCAAUCUGUGUGUAAAUCUUCGAUUGUUUUGUGCAUCUUGUCUUCUCUGUUUUUUUUCUUCAGUUUAGAGUUGAAGAGGGGAGGGUUCUGGUGUGAUGGCUUCCUCACAUCUGUAUAGAUUUCGACGCGACAGAAAUGAAUUCUUACGUUUCAACUAGGCAUUGGAGCUAAGCGGCUCUGCCAAGUUCUUUUUCAGUAUUUUAUGCCUUUUCUUUCCGCUUGUAAUCUUAACUGCAAGAUUCAGAUUAGUUUUGUCGAGGGCGACAUCUCAAGUUGACUUUGCUGAGAUUGAGGUUAGAGAAUGCGAUCUUGUAUCUUUACAUUUAACUGAAAGUUGAAACGUUUUAGAUUAAAAGUCCUUGGAAUAAAAUUGCAAAUUUCGAAAAUUGGAUUUUUUUUUUGUUAAGUUGGACAUCAAGUGAUUGAUAAAAGACCCAAAGAUUUCAAAUGAAAUACCUUUAAAAAGCAAAUAAGGAAAAAAAAAAAAAAGCUGCGAAGUCUGGUAAUUAUGAAUCCUAAACAUAUGUGACAGUAGUCAAUGUCUUCAUUCUUUUUUCUCCCUUUUGAAAUUAGCAUUGGAAAGAAGAAAAAUGGUAAGUUAGUGCAAUCUACUUCGAGAUCUUAACAAAUACCUUAUGUGAUCUCUAAAUGGAGCCUUAAUGAGCAUUAUAAGUAAAAGUGUAAUGAAAAGAGAAAGAAAUAAAUUUUCUAUAUAAUAGACAUUGUUGGCUGAUGUAUCAUGCUAAUUAGCUUAUGAAUAAAAAACCGCCUCUCCCUUAUAAUGGUUAGCAAACCGCGCCCCUUGCAUCAGCAUCGUAGAGGACUCAAGUAUCUCUCAAUUGGUGUAUACUCUUCAAUUGAUCCUCCUUGAUGUUAUUUAUAUCAAUUGACUUAUUAAUUUCGAUUUUGCUUGGGAUCUCAAUUUAGAAAGUCAUGGGAUCUAAAGCUCAGAUAAAAAGAGGAAUUAAAAAAAAAAAACACUAAAGACAUUGCGUCAAUAUCGUUGACCGGUAAGAAUCCUGGUACUUGCGACCUUGUAGGUCUGCUACUCGGGACCUCACUAAUAUAUGACAUUAAAAAUAAUUUUUUUUUUUUAAUGAGAUAGAAAGAUAGUUAAUUAUUAAUAUUUGAUACUUCUACCCUUUGUUUAAGGGCAAUGCUAGUAGGUCACAUGACACAUCCAAUGAUGUUUUCACUGCACAUGUCCAUUUUUUUUUCUAUAGUGAUAUAGUCAGUUAUUAAAAUGUUUUUUUUUUCCUUUUUGUUGCGAAUUUCCCCUUCUAUAAAUCACGAACACGAACACGAGCACAAAAUUUUUUCGUCGAAAUAAUUGAUCUAUUCAGCACAUGCUGAUACCUUUAAUUGUUUUCUAUAUCGUGAAUAAAUUAUUAAGUGAUGAUUGGACAAAUCAUUAAACAGAAAAAUCUCUUGACGAAAAGUAUCCUAGAUUAUCUCGCGCGUGUAUGCUGAAGAUCUAGAUAUACAUUAUUGUAUUUUAGGGUACAAGAUUGGCUCUCUUUGUCACUGAUUUUGUAAGUGUCCUAUUGCCUUUGGAUGGUAAUUCUUUUUGUAACUGUUCGACUUCGAAAUCGGCAAUGACCAGGAGUAACCAUCAUCGAUCAAGCCCUCUUAAGUGAACACUUAAAAAGAAUUAGUCUCUUAAUCACUUGAAUUGUGUUAAAUCAGAGGUAUUGUUUGUAGAUAUCAUGAAUAAUGGGAAAAUUUCCAAAAAGGUCCUAAAUCUAUUGCACUUUAGCCAAUUAAGUCAUAAAUCUUUUAAUUACGUCAAUUGAAUUCUAAAUCUUUUCACAUUUUGCCAACUGAGUUUAUUGGGCCAAUUUUAAGAAAAAAUCACCGAUGUGAAUGCCAGCCGUCUUACGUAAGAUGGUUGAUACUAAUGUUGGCAAAUUCUUAUAAUUUUUUUUAAAUGGAAUUUUUUAAUUCUUUUAAUUUUUUUUAAUUUUACCAUGGCUUGUGAGAGUCGUCGGGUCCUUGUAGCUACUAGCGAAGACUCAGUGACCCUUGCCAGACAUGGCGAAAAAAAGUAAAGGAGGAAAAUAGAAGAAAAGAAAAAAAUGGAAAAAUAAGAGAAAAAGGUCCAUAAAAAUUCAAAAAAAAAUGUUUAAAAUAUUUUAAAAAUUCUCCACAUUAGCGUUGCUUGUGCCACGUAACAUAACCGGUAUCCGCAUUAGCGAUUUCCUAACAAAAUUGAUCAGAUGAACUCAACUGACAAAAUGUGAAAAUGUUUAAAAUUCAACUGGCAUGACUAAAAGAUUAAUUACUGAAUUUGUAAAAGUACAAUGAGUUUUUUCUGGUAAUUUUCCCAUGACUAACUAGCAUCUCUCUUCCAUCCUGAUUCUGAUCAUAGUUUAAACAUGAUAUCAUAAACAAACCACUAAGAAGGUUAGUUAGUAACCUUUUUUUUUAUCGUUUGCCAAGCAUGUCGUUCCAUCAUCUUUCAAUAAAUUGUCAAGUGGCAUUUGUAGAGAAAAGUUUUCAUCUCGGCUCACUGGCAAACUGAAAAUUGUAAUGGUCAUGAGUAAACGGUCAGGAUGAUAACGAUAUUUAAAAGUACUUGUGUAGUUCUUCGCCUGUUAGUAUGCUAAACUUGGAAAAUGUCGAAUCAACAUCAAUUUAACACUGUCUUUACUCGAAUAGCUACAGAACUAUGUAAGAAAACACAAAGAACAAGAAGAGAAUCCCGAAGCUCUAGACAUGGCAUGACCAUGAAAACUCCACCGAGAGCUGGUUUUUGUCCUCAGAGUAGAUGUGAAAAUGUUGCAGAAUUAAAGAAUAAGCAAAGAUUCUUCGUAUCUAGCACUGUAAGCUUGCUCGAUAUAGAGUGAAACAAAGGGACAUUGCAUAGAGUUUGCACCUAUAUGAAGUUCACGAUGGCCGGGAGCAAUCCGUGCCACAUGACCUCAACUUAAGUGCAUCGCCGUAUCAAUAAUCAGUUCUUCCACAAGUAGAAUCGAUACGCAAUUUAUGCUCGAAUUGUCCUCUAUUCACCUUUCACUUGGGGAUGGUUUUCCAUGAAUCUCUUCCAGCUCCUCGAACCUGUUAUCGAGGGCUCUUCUAAGUGAGGCCAUCUAUAUAUGAUCGUUUGCUUCUGGAAGUCGGUUUAUGGAGACCUUGAAGUUCAGCCUAUGAAUUUUGCUGUACACUAGACGGGUCCUGUUGUCGUACUUCGAACACCUAUGUGAGGUUUCAAUUGUUCUCGCCUUCCUCUCAUGGUGCAGCAGAGCAACAAAUGUCAAAGGAAUUGGAAGAGACAGUUCCACAGCCUCCUGUCACAAUGAAUGGUCUUUCUCAUCAGGAUGAUUCUCCAAUGAGCGUAAUGAACUGCAGGAAUAAGUAAGAAACUCGAUUCUUGAGAUGUUUCUGUCUCAUAUCGUUUACUUUUUUCUCCAUUGCGUCGAAUAUAGUACCUACUCUAGUGAUUAGCUUAACUUUUCAUUUCAAUCUGAAAGCUACUCACCUACAUUUAUAGGACUCUUAAUAUAAAUUACCUGCUUGUGCACACUAUCUUACUUGGCGAAUUCUGUCAUCUGCACUAGUUUAAAUACAUGCAUCAUUCGAGAGCGCAAGUGCCUUUGAUGGCUUAUGGCCUGAGGCAUGGCGUAAUUGUUUUUUUGCCUUGUCAAAAGUGUUGCGCAGAGGACCUGAAUAUUCUUUUGAUAGGAAUUGUCUGUUUAGAUGAUCAUAAUUGCUACCAUUGCUAGAACAUACUACCAAUAACAACAUGAUAGUCGCGGUGUGCAUUCUAGUUGAACAUAGUUUCAACUUCGAGUUGUGAUGCUAACUGUUCUCGCACUUGUGGUUCUAAAGUGUUGAUGGACAGAGCUGAAUCUGACAAGCUACUAGCCAUUCCUGUCGGUUUUGUUGGAUCAGAAGAGGUGGUAAGGUCUGUUCCACAUCUUGUACCUGGCAGUAAUCUUGCUUGUCCUUCAUUGGAAGAACAAGGAAUGAGAAUAAAUGCUGCAUUAGACGCUGCCCUUGCACCAAUUUCUCAUCUCUCGAACCUCAUUGCCGACGGCCACCGGGCUGCAAACUUCAGGGGACCUUUCCAACCAUCAGACUUUUAAUGGCUCGAAGCUGGAGCCACUUGGAUUCAUACCCUAUCCCUUACUUUCUCUGAAGGUAUUUAUGAUAUUUAACACUUAGCUCGACAUUCUGCGUCGUCGAUCUUACUUGGUUUGGACUACCUACUGGCGAAUCUCUUCAUGUAAAGGUUUGGCUUGGAAUAUUACUUGUCAGCAUAGUUGCAUAGACCCGGCGGUUCUGUUCUUUUACCCAUCAGUCCAUUCGACUCGUGGUGCAACAAAUCUGAAAAAUGCUUUUAAUAUGCUAUUUUAGAGUUAGCUUUCAGCAGUGAUCUCGAACAAUUUCUUGUUCUCCAAACCGAGACUCGUUCAGAGUCAUUGAAAGCCUUCAAUUUCUGACCUUGUACUAGGAAGGUCCUUCCUGCUUUAUCUGUUUCUAGAUACUUCAAAAACCAUCUAAAGUAAUUGAAAAGACCAUGCGGAAAAAGUUAAUUGCUGUUGUACUUGGCGAGGCAACCCAAGUUUAAGUAGCAGCGUGCACUUUUGCUACUUCUCUAUGUAUUCUUACUCCUGAUGAGUGGCGUUGUUUGUAGCUUCCAUUCAGGAGUACCUUGCUAAUUCGGCAUCAGGUCAGGGUUCUCUGUCUGCAAUAUCCGAGUGAAGUGGAUAUCGCGCGUUCCUUCUCAACAUCGGUGUCUGGUGGAAUGUUUGCCAAGCAAGAAAACUCAUGUGCAGGGGACAACAGUGAGGAAUAUAGUACUUGUUUGGAAGAAUGUAAGGCACCAUCUCAUGACUUAUCAUCGAGUGAAUGCACAAAUUCUUACUGCAUUGAGAUAUUGUGCUUUUGUAAUACAUCACAUCCUCUAACAUGACAUCACGUGUUCAAUUUCUAUUCAUCGUAAAGGCAAAAAUUGAUAGCCACAAUCGUUCAUCGGUUAGGCUAGGACCCAUCUAGAAACAAGAGGUCGAAGUCAGAGAUUGCUUGAACAGGUAGCUGAUGUCGAGCUGGUUGAUCGAGCGGGGGUUGAAGGGUGGGGGUGAGAACUUUUGAUGGAAACGAGAGAGAUUCGUUGCUCAAAAUGCAAACAUUAACAUGAAGAAAAAAUUACAUUGUUAUGCCAAGAGGAUUCACACGAAACAAAAAUUAUAAUGAAUGCCAUACGACAUUCAUUGUGAUUUAUAAAACAUGGACAGAAUGAGUCUAAUAGAAAACACCAAUGCUAUUACAUUAUCAAUGACAGUACAUGCUGAUAGGGUUAAUUAUAUUUCGCAUCUCUUUUCUACAAGAGGAGAACAAUCACACAAUACAUGAUUUCGUAAACUCAUUGUCGUGGUCAAAUUGAUAACUACUAGAAAUUAUCGGAGCACUUGACGACAAUGAGACCAUUUCAAGUUCUAUCUCAUUGUUGUCAUCAUCAAUUGGUGCCUCUAUCGGAUACAAAAGCGGUUUUGGAGGUAGUUGCAGUUUAUCAAUAUCUCCUUCAAGCAUAUCUAGAACUUUCCUCAUUGAUGGCCGAUCAUUAGGGCUCAGCUGUAUGCACCAUAGCGCAACGAUUAUCAUCUUCCUUGUUUCUCUUUCCUCUUCUAUGACUUCUACCCUCUCAACCUCCUUUUCUUUGCUGAGUUGAUCAUAAACCCACAAAGGAAAGUAAAUUUGACUUGAAUGCCCUGCAUGUGCAUUUAUAUUUCUCCUUCUACCGGCCAUUUCCAUUAACAGCAUCCCAAAACUGUAAACAUCGGCUUUAUAAGAAAUGCCACCAAUGUCUUUGUAGAAUAGCUCUGGUGCCAUAUAACCCAAGGUUCCUCUUACUGCAGUCAACGAUACUAUACUAUGACCGAUGGGAUAAAGUCUUGCAAGUCCAAAGUCAGAAAUUUUCGGAGUGAAACUUUGGUCUAGGAGAAUGUUGUGCGGCUUGAUAUCAAAGUGUAGAAUUUGCAUAUCACAUCCCCGAUGUAGAUACUCUAUCCCUCUAGCUAUGCCAAGAGAGAUCUCAUGCAUUUUCUUAUAAUCAAGAGGAUCAUCACCAUCCUUAUUCGAAAUGUGUUUAUCCAAAGAGCCAUUCGGCAUGAAAUCGUAGACCAGAGCUUGUUUGGAGUAAUUGAAGCAAAAACCAACAAGUUGCACCACAUUGAUGUGGUGGAUCCUUCCAAUUGUGGCCACUUCACUAAUAAAAUCUUGGCCAUUAGAUUCUGAUUUGUUCAAAAUCUUAACCGCAACUUCAUUGCCACUUCUAAGGAUUCCUCUAUACACAAAGCCAUAUCCCCCCUCACCUAAUUUGCAUUUGAAAUUUUUUGUAAUCUUCUUGAUAUCCGAGUAAGAGUACCUUAUGGGCAAAAAGUUGUUGUGAACUUGUAGGAAUUCUUCGAUGUUUGCGUCAAUCGCCCGGUGCCUUCUCAUCCACUUAUAGAUUAGAAGUAUCAACACACACGGAGCUCCGAGUAUGAAUUUUGCUGCGACGUAGUUGGCUACAUAGAAAUUGUCCAUAGAUUAGCGCAGUGCAAUAAAUUUUUGGUAAACAUAAUCGUUUUAAAUCAGAGUGCUUCUUGAGAUCAUCAUAGUUGUGAGGAGAAUAGGCCCAGCAGUCAUACCCAAGAAAAAGGCGAGGCGCCAACCUACAAUUUCCGCGUACCGAUGCUUGGUCCACGUAGAACUAGGGGUGUCUGCAACAGAUUAAUUAGAGUCGGUGAUCAAUCAAUGAAGAAUUAAAUUUAUCAUUUUAGCAGUUAAACCUAAAUAUAAUUUACUCUCCUUGACAGCGCUUAGAUCACAGUUAAUUCAAGUCACCUAGCGAAUCCAUGUCAUCGUAGCAUGACAUUUUCUCUUGAAGAAAAGCGAUUUUGCUUUUGUUCACCUAUAUGUACCAAAUGAUUCAUAAGUUCACGUCUCGUUGCGCGUAAUUCUAAUUUUCAAACGUCAUUCAAUACGCGUGCAGUUUUUUCAGCCGCAUAACAAUAACAGCCGUGCAAGGGACACGAACAACAAUUAAAUCAACCAUUUUUCCCCAAACAAAAAUGAAGUAACAAUGUCAAAUCCAGAAAAGCUCCAAGACUCGUAAAAUAAACGAGAGCAGUGCAUGCCGACCCUACUAAGAAAUCUAUUUAAACUUUUCUACUUAAGUGAUGUGGCAAUUUUUCUAUUAUGUUUUUAAAGAAACUAGUGUCUUAAUGUGUGGAUUUUAUUAAAAAUACCCAAUUAAAACCUGCCACGUCACUUGGUAAGUAAAUUUUGAUCAGAUCUCUUAGUGAAGCUAGCAUUUAUGGCAAGGAGGAGGAGGAGGGAGAGAAAAAGAAAGAACAGCUUAAGGGAACGUCGCUUACGAGCACGAUAGCCGCAAUGCCCCCUUCGGUUAAUAAAACUUAAGAAGUGACAUCGAAAGAAUACUCUCACGGCACUAAAGCGCGGAUAGGAGAGAGUGAAUCCCUCGACCAUCUUGUUGUGGAGGUCCUUGUAUGGUAAGCUACCAUACUGAUCCCUUUUCCAACCUAAGAUUUGAUCCGAUGGGAAUACCAUCAUGGUUACGGUGCAAGAGUCCUUGAUAUCCCUUGCUCGUAGAUCUCCAUAUACAGCGUAUGAGUAUACCUUCAUUUGGGAAAAAUAAGGAGUUGUGUCGGCAGAGUAUGCGCCCUCAAUACAUGGUUUGGCAUCAAUAUAAGAAGUAGAAGUAACAGGUUGUGAGCACUUCAUGAAGGCCACAGUGACAUUGUCAUAUGGAAAUUCAUAUAGAUCACCAAAUGGACUAGACUUAGUAAAGUUGGAGUACUCCAAUGGGUAACGAGGAAGGGAUGAGCAAUUACCCUUCUGCAGUCCAUCAUCAACCACCGUGAUAUUACCAGAGAAGUCAUUUUGGUCAAUAUAGAAAUCGUAAUGAAUCGACUUCACAUAAUAUCGGCCAGCAUUUAAAUAUAGAACAGUGCGGUUAUUUUCACAAGCUAGCUCAUACUGAGAGCUACCGCAGUCUUUUGGAUCGCCUUUCAAUCGAAAAGGAUAACUUAUGUUACGAAUCUCACCGCAAGACGAAGGGGCACACAAGUGAUUCUUCUUCGCAUCGCAGCUCAUCCCUAACAAUAGCAGAACAUGCAAUAUGAGAAGUAAAACAUGGAGCAUAAAUAUCGAGCUGCGAGAAAUAAUCAUCUCUUUAUCGUUUGGUCUGAUGCAAUGGAAGUUUUAGCUCACUUGGUAAUGCGAGGGAUGCUUAAUAAAGGGUUGGGAGUCAUCGGUCAUCGAAAUGUCCAAGUCAACCCUAAAACAAAGUCUAGCGAAGAAAAACUUAAAAAGUAUGGCCCUGCAAAAACACGAUCUUGAGUGAAGAAAAAGUGGGUCGCAUGUGGAAAUUGCAGCCCUUGCAGUCAAGGCGACAAAAACACAGUGUUGGAAUUAUUUAUGGUGUGGCUUUCACAUUGAUUCGAAAAGAAACUUCUCUGCAGUUUUCAGAUUUAAUUUUCUUGGCAAAUUGACUCUUUAGGAAUCAAUUUUACUUCAGUAAAAAAAGAAUCGAUUGGAAUGUUAUGUACCCUAAAUUGAAUCAAAAUCCUUUCAAGUGAGGCAUUGGCAUUCAAUUUUAUUUUCAAGGCCAAUAUUCUCACGGUGGUGGGUUCACACGAUUAUACCUAUCCAUUUCCCGCAUCAGGUCAUCAUCCGAUAAGAAAGUCAUCAUGGUUAUGUUGCAAGAAUCCUCGAUGUCCUUUACUUGUAAACCUAACCCAUAAAUAGCGUAAGAGUACACCUUCAUUUGGGAAAUAUUAGGGGGCGCAUUGGAAGGGUAUGCUCCCUCAAUACAUGGUUCAGUAUUGAUAUACAAAGGAUAAGCAACGGGCUGUGAGCACUUCAUGAAGACUGCCGCAGAGGAUGAAGCAUUUUGAUAGUACGGAUACCGAUCACUCAAGUUGGAGCUCGCCAAUGAGAAACGAGGGAGGGAUGAGCAAUUACUUUUUUGCAAUCCAUCGUCAACCACCAUGAUUGCGCCCAAUAUUUUAUCCCCGAAAUUAUUGUAAUUGUCAAUCGACUUCACAUGAUAUCGACCAGCAUAUAAAUAUAGAACGGUGUGAUUAUUUUCACAAGCUAGCUCAUACUUAGAGCAGCCGCAGCUUUACGGGUCACCUUUCAAUCGAAAAGGACAGCGUAUGUCAUGAACAUCACCACAAGAUGAAGCAGUGCACAAGCGAUUAUUCUUCACACAGCAACUCAUCCCUAGUAGCAGUAGAACAUGCAAUAUGAAAAGCAAAACAUGAAACAUGCUCAUGGAGCUUAGAGACUUCUUUGUCUCUCUAUCGUUUGAUCUGAUGCAAUGAAAGUUUUUGCUAAUUGGUAAAUAUGAAUGAAAAGCGUUGGGUCGUCGGUCAUACAAAUGUCCAAGUCAACCAAUAAAGGCAAGUCUAGUGAAGAAAAAGUGUAUAUCCCGUGGAAAUUGUGACCCUUGCAAUCUACGUGACAAAACACAGUGUUGGAAUUAUUUAUGUAUGGCUUUCACAUUGAUUAGAAAAGAAACUUCUCUGCAGUUUCCAAAUUGACUUUUCUUGGUACCAUAAAUAAGAAUUGAUUUGAAUGUUUCGUAUUCUAAAAUGAAUCAAAAAUCCUUUCGAGUGAGGCAUUGGCAUUCUAUUUUCUUUUCAAGGCUAAUACUUCAUGUAUGUCGCUUAUUAAAUUGUGAAGACAGAAAGGAAAUACAUAUCGUAUUUUAUUAUAUGAGCUUUUUCAUUUUUAACAAAGAACAAAAAUUGGUAACAAAAAUAGCUUAUUGAUGGGAAUAUUAACUUGUAUAAUGUCGCUUUUGGCAUAAGUAAAAGGAAAACAUGGAGUAAGUGCUUCUUGGAUUGUGGAAUAGAUUAUGAAAGAAAGAAAGCAAUGCAAUAAUUGCUAUGGAGGGACCGACGCACCUAGAAAGCAGUACAAUAAUUGCUAUGGAGGGACCGACGCACAUAGAAAGCAAUACAAUAAUUGCUAUGGAGGGACCGACGCACCUAGAAAGCAAUACAAUAAUUGCUAUCGAGAGACCGACGCGCCUUGACUAGAACCUCGCUAACUUUGUCUUCACACAAAGACUAUAGAUGCAAAAUUUGACUUCAAAAACAUAAAGCAAUGUUUAUUUAUUUACUUUCGACUUUAAUAUUUCAAUCACUCUCCCACAAUUUUGCUAGAUCUAUGAACAAUACAAUCAUCUCUUUCCUAUAACAUAACCACUUAAUGAUUGAAUUGAUCAAUUUCAAUAAAACUGUCAUUUUGUCAAAUGAAAGAAAUGUUGUUGCCUACUUCAUCAUCAUCUUCCAUAUCUCUGAAUGUGUGAUAUUGAAGGUGUCAUGUAAGUUCAAAUGAGACUAUCGGUCAAUUUGCUUUUGUGAACAUAACAUCAAAGAGUUUCGCAUAGAAAUUCUUCUCAGUGAAACAGACACGCCUUCAAAUAGUUGUAAUUAGCAUUUACCAUAUAUUUUUCAAGCUAAUGCGUACACCUAAGUAUAAUUGAAGAGACUGAAAUGGAUUUUCCAUAUAAUACAGCAAAGUUUAUUUUAACUGACGCAUCCAAUGACGUUUUAACUGCACAUGUUCAAUUUUUUGUAGUAAUAUUAUUACUGAUUACGUUUUUAGUUUUCUUUUUAUUGCAUAUUACCCUUUCUGGAAAUUGGUUUGUUCUGCGAGCAGUUCCACACGCAAUGAUACCUUAGUUGCUUUCUAUAUCAUCAUUAAAUAUUCGGCAAUGAUUAGUCAAAUUUUUAAGUAAAAAAUCUCUUGUUGAAAGUAUCCGAUAUUAUCUCUUGCACGUACACCAAAAGAUUUUGGACAUAAAUAUGCAAAUUGAUGUAUCAACUAUCAAUUCAUUCAGUGCCAUAUAAUACUAUAGAAAAAUAAUAAUCUGUUUCGUAGUGUAGGAUCUUUCAUUUUUGACAAAACUGAAAUUUGUAACUGAAAAGAUUAAUAACGGCACUAAAGACUAUCGUUGUAAGUUAUAAGAAAAGAAUAAAGACCACACAAUAAUUUCUCACCCAGCAAUAGAUGAACGCGAGCCUCAAUUUGAAAGUCACUUGCUUCAUCAUUGCCUGACAUGCACGAAGACUAUAAGUGCAAUAUUCGCAUUCAUAAAAAUAAAGCAAUACGUGCUUCUUCACUAGCAAUUGAGAGUAUUAUUCUUGUAAAUCAAUCACUCACUCUACUCACUCUCCUGUAAAAUAACCCCAUCUCUUUCCCGCAAUAAAACCGAAUGAACUGACAGAUCUCAACAAUAACGUCGUUUUAUCAAACAAAAGAUGCUUUUACCUGCUUCAUAAUCAUUUUCCAUCUCCAAAUGUGUGGUAUUGCAAGUGUCAUGUAAGCUCAAAUGGGACUACAAGGAAGAGUGCUGCCAUUUUCAUUCUCUAUUGAUAGCUGCUUGAAUCUGCUCAAGACUCCUCCCUUUCGUUUCAGGGACCACCGUGAUCACGAACACCAUCCCAGCGGCGUUAAUCACCGCAUAAAGAAGGAAGGUACCUGUGAAGCAAGCGAGCAGAGUUAUUUGCUUUCGACAAGUUUUUCGGAAAGCAUAUUCUGACAUUUUUCUCAUGGAAAGAAUGCUUUAGUAUGUACUACAUGUCUAUUAAUCAUUAUGCAGAAAAACCCACUUAAUUUUUUUCUUUUUUAAAUGAUAUGUCGGCUCAAUUUUCAUGAUAUUCGAAUCUAGGCAGAAGUUGCCGUAAACGCGUUGAUUUGAAAUAAAUGGUCUGAAUAUGCAUUCGAGAGCAUGAAGAACGGAGCGACAGACACCUCUAGCUCCAAAUAGGAUUGAAAUGUUCAGGAAAAGCUUAAGUCUCAAGUCUGUAGUUUAGUCGAAUUUGCGCAACAACUCAUGUUCCAAUGUGAAAAAUGUUUAUCGAGCUCCUGCCAGAGUAACAGUUCAAAGAGUGUUUUCAGCAGAGUCGUACCGUAGGAGCUCCAGCUCAUUAAGUAGUUGAAAGUGUAGGAAACUGCCCAAGCGCCGAACCAGUUCACUAGUGUUGCGAAACCUCCAGCAACUCCUUUGAUAUUAAUGGGGAAAAUCUGAACUCCAGCACACAUUACAUGAUUGGCAAAAGAAUUUUGAAACUCUUGUACUAAUAACACCAGUUACGAAAACAACCCUUUAAUUUGAUAAGCAUGAAACUUCGGGGGAUGUUUAGGAUUACCUCGGACAUCACGACCCAAGGAACUGCGCCCAUUCCAGCUGAAAAUGCUGCUAUGUAUAGCUGAGCAUUGGAAAAAACAGAACAGAAAAAUUUAUACUAGGGAGUUGUUGCGGGGGCCAACUGGGUAGAGCCAGAAAGAGAUCAAGGCAGUUGAGAUUAUUACCAGAAUGCCGGUGACGGCAAGUAUUGGGACAGCAUCAGCCGCCAGAUCAUGAACCUGGCUCGGAAGAUUCUCAAAAAAUUACUGGUUGACAAGCAUUGCAAAGCAGAAGGAAGACACCAGGACUGAUAGUAUUUACCUUUAGAAAGAAUGAAAGGGCAGUUACUAUGCAUCCCAGGACCAAUCCUGUCCCCGAGAUCUGCGAUUGAGAGAGAGAGAGAGAGAGAGAGAGAGAGAGAGAGAGAGAGAGAGAAGGUUAUGGGUCAAGUUGCAGAACUUGCGAAAGGGGCAGAACCAGAAAAGCUUUGUUACUAUAGACAUGAUUUCUUAGCUUUCAUCUAUUUUACCAAGAGAAGGGGCUUUCUUCCAGCUCUAUCGACCAGUGCAGCGCCAAUAGCCGUGACAAUAACCUGCAAAAAUUUACUCUUUAAGCGUGACGAGUAUAAAACUAGAUCCCCAGCAAGAGGAAAGGGCAAGAAUUACAGACCUGGAGGAUUGCAUAAGUUAUGGUUCCAACGCUGGAGGAGAAACCUGAGGAGAUUGUACAAAUGCGAUUAUAAAGGCGAGACUAAUACCUUGCUUGUGAGAUUCAACGCUAAAUUAUGUGAACAGCUCAUUCAGUGAUAAUUAAGUAGACCAAAAGCAUUCGACAUAAUACCUUGCUUGUGAGAUUCAACACUAAAUUAUGUGAACAGCUCAUUCAGUGAUAAUUAAGUAGACCAAAGCAUUCGACAUUGAAAAUUUUACUAACCCAUUUGAAUAUUAACUGGAUUAUAUAAAUUGGAACCCCUGCUUUGCUUUUUAUUUAGCUUUUCAUUCUGGAAUCUAAAAUGCAAAGCAUACUUUCAUUUUUGUGGUGCCCAAGAGCUUCUUGCUAUGAACUGCAUACCUGCUUCCUCAAAAAUAUUGCUUGUAUAGAAACAGACACCAUUUAUCCCUCCGAACUGCUGGACGACCAUCAAUCCAACACCAAUCUGGCCAAAAUUUAACAAAUUUGUCAGCAAAAAGAACAACAAUGGGAAAUAUCACCAAAAGUACAACUACUGCACAUUCCCGAUUCACAGGAUAUUCCUAGAAAGCAACGAAGGAGGGACUUUAUUGGAUACAUAGCAGUAAAUACAGAGAGAAGAUUACAAUGACAGAGCUCAGAUAUCUUCUCUGAAAUAAAUCGAGAAUGCUGGCUUUCGGGAGCAGUUGAAGAGUUUCGAUGUAGUCCUGUCAAGAAAAACAAAUUCGAUCAUUCUGUCAGUUAUUUGUACUUAUAAAGCUGAGGCACUACGAUGAAACGAGUAUAGACUUAAAGCCUUUUACUUGUAUUUCAGCAGCCUCUUCAGAAAUGUCCGCAUCCUUUCCACGGAGUUUCUGCAGCGCAGCUUCAAACUCCUUUUCGCGGCCUGUUUUUGCCUGCAUUUGGCAGAAUCCUAAAAUUCAUUCCAACACUACAAAUCCCUCUCUUCCAACAAUUCAGGUAAGAAGAGUCUGGUGUUCAUCUUGAUUUGUUACCAGCCAUCUAGGAGACUCUGGAAUGAAAAACAGGCCGAACAGUAGGACUGCACAGGGGAUUAGACCUGCAUAAACAGCAGAUGUUCAAGGUGGUUUCAGACUUGGACUUUUCAAUACAACAUUGGCACUAAACUUGAAUUAUGCUACUUUUUUCUGUUUUACCAAUUAAUGCCAAAACCCUCCAAGCUAAUACUGUCCCAAUUAUGAAGGAAACGGACACUCCAGCAACGAUCAUAAGCUGUUGAGAGAAGAGAACAUGUUAGGCCUAGUAGGUUCUGUAGGAUGUACAUAUAUACACCAUCUUGCACUUGCAAGAGGGCAAAAUUUGCUACAAGCUAAGGCCUUUUGCCAAUAGCUCCAUGCUUGCAAUUUUAACCGAGAAUGUUCAUACAAAAUCUUUGCCUGAUUGACAGCAGUCAAAGCUCCACGGAGAUUUUUGGGUGUAAUUUCAGCUAUAAAUAUCGGUACCUGGACAUAAAUUAGAAAAAGAUUAACCAAUCUAAACCGAAGAGAGAGCCUCAUGUUGUCACUGUGAAUCGAGUCCAGCAUGUUGUCGUAGAACAACUUGCUACAUCAAAUUUGUGUGGUACGAAGUGAGGAAUUACCACAUAGGAAAAGACUCCCAUUCCAUAUCCCGUGGCCAAUCUUCCAAUAUCCAGAGCCAGUGCUCCCUAAUUUACUCAAAAUUAAACAGAACAGAGAGUUGAUGAGACUUGAAGUUCUUAUGAAACUAAUCGAUCUUCAUGUUUGAUUAGGCUUGUAAAUAGGAUAUGGACACACCUCAGCAAAGUAAAUAGCAAGCCAUCCUGCUACACAAAGAGCGCUCGCUAUUCUCAUUGUCUGUAUUUUGAGGCAAAUGUUUAUGCUGUCACAUCCUCCGUCCAUGAUAUGACUAAAUCCCAAAGCUAAAACUCUCAGAGAGUCUUGAACAACACUGUUCUGUUUUACAUUGUGAAAGACGCACUCAUUUGCUGCUUACCCAUUUACGGCCAACAAAAUCAGCUAUUGGUCCUCCGGUAAUUGCACCAAUCAUUGCACCGAAUGUCAGUAUGGAUCCAAAGACUGAAUACUGUUGAAAGACACAUAAAGAGUAACUGCAAAUCAGCUUGAGUUCAGUGAGAUUAAGAACUUCAGUUACCAUCUAGCUAACGAUGCUAUAAGUCACCGAAUGUCCGAGAAUCUCAGUGGAAAGCUAUUCUGAACAAACCUAUUACUUCGAUCAGAAACCUGAAUGAUAUGCAGUCGCAAUUUUCAGCUGACGAUACCCAAUCUAAAUCUCUUCAUUUUUUGGUUUUGUUGUCCUGAGGUGUCCAACAAUGGAACUCGAUGUGAAAAUUCGGUAUGCAUUUCACUCGUUACAAUGCAGAAAGAAUAAGAUGUCUAGAGAAAGAAGUAUCUCUACCUCAAAGCCAACAUCCUUAUUUUUGAGAGAGUCUUGUUUACAAAGUUUUUGAUCAUAUAACUCGUCCAUAUUAUGGAGCCAUAAUAUGAGCAGAUCGUUACUUUGAUUUCUUGUAUAUGGGCGCCUUCAGUGACAAGUCCGAUAGAAGCAACGGACAAAGACAACAUGACAUGUGCUUCUCAACACUCGCAGGUAAAUUCGACAUACCUCAGCUGUAGAGAGACUAAGUUCCUCCACUAUAGCAUCCUGAGUAGGUGAUGAAUAACCUGCCUGAAGAUCCAAUGGAACAAUUUCUCAUAAGAUUCAAUUAAUCACAUCCUUUUCAUUUUCACCAUUACUAUUGGACCUGGACUUUUCAAAAAAAAAUUGCAUUUCCUACUUACGCAGGUCCCGAAUUCAUAUGAACCGCAAACUGCAACAAAUGUGGUGAAAUAGACCAUCCACGGACGACCCUUAUCAAUUCCUUCAUCUUUGCCAGCUCGGUCCUUCUCUUGCGGCACGAGGAGCCGCUCUCUUAUUCCUUCUCUGUCCCCGGUUUCUUGAUUUUCAAUGUCCUCGUUAAUCGCCAUGCUUGCUCGCCUUCCAAAAAUGCUCCUUCGUUCCCUAUCUGACUAUGUACAAGGAACUAGCAAAUCUAUAAGCUCCAGAGAAGAUAAGUUCUCUUUCCACCGUGGCCAGUCUGCUUGCUUUAUAUGGAUGACUCGAAAUGAGAAACCCCAAGUGCUAAUAUGGAAACCCCAUCUCAGAUCGGUUUAUACUAGUGGUUUCUAGGAAUUCCUCGCUGACCUCAGUCUUGCAAACUGGCAAGCAACUCCUUGCUUUUCUGACUCGCCCCCGUUAAUGGUAUUGGAAUCACUAAUGGAACAGAGUCUCCGAAUACAGCAGGAUCACAGAUGUAAAGGGCUGCAUCGCUCUUUAUGGGCAAGGAGUAAGUGAAAACAUGGAACUGGACUUUCUCAAUGAUACGGCUCUGGAUAAAGACAAAGUAAAAACCACGGACAAAGUUCUAUCUUUUUCAGCCAACCACCGGCUAGGAAAACCAGAGUGUUUUUCUAACCUGGAAAGUAAUUAAGUUCUGUCCAUUUUUCCAUGGAGGCAUUGUUAUCUUCAACUUUAACCCACGUUUAUCGUGUAAGAAAGAUAAGAUCUCAAUUAAUAGUUUCUUAUCUCUUUGGUGCAAUAAGAAACUAUCAAGAAAAAGAACUGUUCUGCUAGAAUAUUACUUUUCUUUUGGGAAUUUUCUUAACCAAAACCCUUUUUUUUUCCCGAUUGGACGAUGAGCAGAAGAUAAUUUCUGCCGGACCUUCUUCUGGGGACACAUUAUCUUCCUUUUCUAUUAUUUAAAAGAAUCACUACAUAUGCGAACAAAAAGCAUGCAUAUAGCCUCCUUUGUGGUCAGUGACGCUUUUGAUGUCUGCUCAAAUGGUAAAGACUAGAUAGCAGGAAUUUCAAAAAGAGAUGUUUUUCAUCUUUCCUUAGUGGCCAAUUUUGCGGAAAAUGGCAAUUUAUAGAGGCAAGAGGUGGACAGAAUUACUUUCUACUAAGGACGUCAUGUACUGCCGAGGCCCACGAAUCUAAAGAAUUUAGCCACCAUGAAGCCAGCCGACGGGAAAGAAUUCGCAGGCACAACGCAAUGGACCAUAAAGUUGCAGAGGACAUUAGCCAAAAAUGUCCAACCACCAUUCUCCAACUACUUUAUUGGUCCACAUUUGCUGCAUCUCCCUCUUCUCUCACUUCACGAUUCGGAAUAGGCCAACAAAAUCCAGCAAGAAUAUAUGGCUGUGGCCUGCUUGAGAAAGGGAAAAUAUCAAAAUAUAUCUUACUCUUGAUCUAAUAGCCACUCACAUAUUUUCGUUUUGAUAAAUAUCAUUCAUAUACUUCCAAGAAAAUCCCCACAUUGAGAACAUUAAUUUGCCCCUCCAUGUAAACUCAUUUUAGCAUAUUCCUUACGGUUUAAGUAGACUGAAAAAGUGAAUUUUGAAUGGUAGAAUUCGUGUAGAUAUUUGUUAUUUUCAAAAGAAGAGGUAAAUGGUCAUGGGAUGAGAAAUAAUGUGUAUUUCGUUAUAUUUUUCUCAAAAAACUUAGACAAAACAAAUAUGCUAAUCUUAUAAGCACAUAGUGAGAUUUGUAUUUCAAGUGUAUUAGAAGAAAAAAGACCCUGCAAAUGUCAUAACUUUUGUAUAACGACCACUUAAAUACCAUAACUUUUUUUUCAAUCACUUAAAUGUCAUAAUGAAUCACUUAAGCAUUGUAAUUUUUCAUUAAUAAGGAAAUCCGAUGUGACAUGGCACUUAUGGUAAACAUUCUUUAAAAAUUACAACACUCAAAUGAUCAAUUAAAAGUUAUGGCACUCAAGUAAAGAUUUUUUUUUUUUUUAAAGUCAUGAUACUCAAGUAAUAAAAAAAAUAAAAUGUUAUGGCACUUAGGCGAGCACUGCACGAAAAUUAUGAUACUUGUGGUGUCAUUAUCUCAAUAUCUUAAUAUCCUUCUUCCAUUCAUGACACCAAAUCCCAUAAAAUAUAAUAAAAAGCACACAGAAACAAAAUUAUUUUAGCUAAUGUAAGCAUCUAAUUAAGUAGAGAUUAAUCAAGCUGAUUUAGGUUUUAGAGGUUGCCAGUCAUUUUUGCUCAACCCCUACUAAACAAAGCUACGAACAACAAGCGAUUGUUUUAAGCUAGUGGCUCCGUUUAAGCAUCCAAUUAAAAUCAGCAAGAUUAUUUAGCACAACCCUUUCAAUAUAAGAAGUUUUAGGAACCCUUAUCAUCACCUUGAAGAAGGGCAGCUGCGCAAUUGUGAUUAAAACACCUAGGACAAAGACAAAGCAGCCUUCCCUAAUUUAAAGGGAAAAUAGGUGGACGCCAUACAACUUGCCUCACCUCAUAUAUAUAACCCCAAGGCAUGGACUAAAAUUAGUCAUUUGUGGGUCCCUCUUUUGAAAGGUCAACCCACUUGUUGGAAUGGAAUGAAUUUGAUUGAUAGAGAAGGUCUGGAUUACUUGAGGGAGCGGAUAUAUCCUAAUUGCAUAAAUAAUAUAUUAAAUGUAAUAGAGCAUAUGCCACUUUCAUUUUGCAUGAUUGCAUCUAAUCUUAGAGAUUUGGACUCCUUCCUUCCUUCCUUCCUUCCUUUCUUUCUUUCUUUCUUUCUUUCUUUCUUUCUUAUUUUCCCUCCAAUCUUCCAAUUUGUGUAGAAAAAUAUGAUCCUUUUAGCAUGAGGAACUUGAAAAAUCGUUCUGCUGGGCUCGCACUGAUGAAACAAAAAUAAUAAAGCUGAGAGGUUAGGUGAGGUGAGCUGUGAAAGAAAUUUAUGUAUGAGUUAGAUUGUAAAAUAACCUUGGUCUAAAUUCUCAAUAUUUCUUUUGCUAUACGUUCUGAAAUGAAAAAUCUCUAUUUGGACAAGAAAUAUUUCUUUUCUUGAUGACUGUGGAUUAUAAUUAUACAAUUAUGCAUUACUAUAAGUUUUCACCAACCUGUUCAAUGAACAUGGCUUCAUCCAUAAGGAUACAUCCACGGAUGCACAAGAAUCGGAUUUCGACCAAGUCCAGAGAACUAAACAAGGCCUGGUUUUCCUCUCUUUAGGUAGACAUCCUGAUCGUGUUGACAAUCUUAUCCACCAAGACAUGUAAAUUCCCUAUUUUUAAGAGUACAAUGCCUAAGGAAACGAACAUUCGGUACUCUUCUUUCAUCCCGCUCUUAUAUUUUACUAGACAAGACAGAUUGCCAUACGUAUAAAGAUGUAUAAUUAGAGAAGAUCCAAGAGAAUAUAAUAUUAAAGGAUCGACUUAUUAAGACAUGACAAAUGCAACUUGAGUUCAUUAUUUGACCUACACCUUUUAAAUAAAAAUACAAAUAUAUUUUCGUUACUUAUAAAUUCCUAUGUAGGCUUGAUAUGAAAAAAAAAAAAAUUGUCCUAACCAUUACUAUUUUAAUACGAAACUAGAAAAAAGAAAGUCACCCAACACUUUUUAUGCCCAACAAAAGAAACAAAGAAAAGAUUUGCAUAUAUUUUGAGAAAGAAAAUCUAAAGAUUUCGACUUUGCCUGUAUGGAUGAAACAAUAUUUUUUAUUAAAUUUUAGAGAUUUUUGUUCUUAUCUUAUUAACCAACAUCUUUGCUAGUGAAUACAACAUAUUAUUACAACUUUCUUUUUUCUUGGACAUAAAAAAGAGUUUGGGCUCCAAACUAAAGAUAGUAUUACUUUUUAUGUAAUAUAGAUUAUAAAUUCUUUAUUUUAAGGAAGGGCAGGGGUGAAUCACCUAUAAUUAAUUUUUUUCCCCUAGAUAUCAACAUAGAGUACAUAAAACAACUACUUGCCCCCUCUAGACUUUUCUAGUUCUGCACAGCGUAUAUAAAUUCAAUUUGUUUAUGGCAACAUGGAAUAUUCUCUGAGCAACGAACUGUUGCUUUGAACUCACUUCCUCCUUCCUCCUCCCUUCCCUCGCUUGGACGUUAGCUCCAGGACAAAACAGAGAGCGGGUCGCUGGCCGAAGGACGCAAGGACGCGAGGCUGCGCCCGACGUUCGCCCGCGAAUGUCGUGCGGUACGAAGCCAGCUGGUCUCGUCCUUGAAGAAAGGGACAUAAACGAGAUAAAUGGGAGAGAAAGGCGGCAAAGGGAAGGGGAAGUCUCUCCCGUCUUUUUGGGUUUGUUCGGCCGAGGUAGAGCAACCGAGAGAGAGAGAGAGAGAGAGAGAGAGAGCUAGAGCUCGUGAGGGUGAGAAGGUGAGCUCGAGAGAGAGAGAAGGAGCGAGCCAGAGAAGAGAGGGAGCUCGAGGGUGGCUGCUUCUGGAAGGGUGCGGCUGAAAACCAAGGAGACGCUAGAGCCGCUCGAGAGGGGAGACCGAGAAGGUGGAGAGCGAGGGAGAGCGGGAGAGAGAGGCGACUGUGUUCUCGAGUUCUUCGGGGGAGGCUGGAGACAGCGAGAGCAACAGAGAGAGUGAGAUCCGAGAGAGUGAGCAAAGGGUGAAGCGGAGAGAGAACCGAGAGUGAGCGGAGGGAUGGACCGAGAGAAAGCAGAGACCCAGGAGCCGAACUUCGUUCUCGGACAAGCGUUACGCAGCCAUCCCCAACAUAAACCAGCGAUCUCCAGCCAACACCCUCGAGCACGUGGUGAGUUUUCUUUGGGUUCGAUCCACUUUUAUCUCGAUGAUCCUGGCUCGGUGCAACGUCGAGGCGGCCGACCAUAGCUCGUUUCGCUUCAGGCUCACCUACUGGCCGUCGCCGCCGAGCCGGGUAGGGAGUGGUCAAACACUUCUCUCUGGAAACUUCAUUGCUUGGUUUCAUUCAAGACGGAACCAAAACGAUAGCUGGGUCUCGUUUUCCCUAGUCCACCAGCAUGCUCGAUUUGAACGAGCCGUCCCUUUUGUCGAGUUUGAGUCGUCACUUGCUGCUUUCUUUUGAGUAAAUGACUUGGAGUGCUGCCAUUUUCAUUCUCUGUUGAUGGCUGCUUGAAUAUGCUCAAGACUCCUCCCUUUCGUUUCAGGAACACACCCUUUAAAUUCCCCCCUGGAGUUUCUGCAUGAAAAUUGAUUAUUCACUGGUUUAAUAGCAUGCGAGUAAUGACUGGACUUUAUCUAUUUAGAUAUGGUGGCGACUUUUGACUAGUUAUGCACUGUUCAGAAUGCCAGAUUCAUUUGUAGAGGUUUCUAGAGGAAGGAUUUUGUUUACCAUUUUUCUAAAUUAUACAGCAGGUAUUUAUAAUUUGCAUUUCUAAAAUGUAAUUUCCUUUCAAUUUCCAGAGAGAAGGAUCACAUUGUUUCUUGGUGCAACUGGGCAGAAGUUUCUAUCUAUGCUCGUGUGGCACGUAUAUUGAUUUUUUGACAGUCCUCCUAACGGUUUACUUGGUGACACCCAAUCACAUAUCGUUUGGCUACAUUUUGCUCCUCCUAUGUUGGAUCAUAGGAAGACAACUCUUUGAAAGGAAGAGAAGACACCGUUGGUUUCCAUUGAAAGUAUAUGCAAUCACUGUGUUUAUCUUAAUAUACAGCUUGAGCAAUUUCUCCGCCUUUGAGAUGUGGUUGUCAGGAUUGAUUGAUCUUCAUUUUUACUUGGCCUACAACUCAGAAGCUUUGCUAUUUGCAGAAUAUUUGGCAGUCUAAUGCAAUAUGGAUUGUGAUGCAGCUUUACAGCUACGAGAGGAGACAGAGCAAGUAUAUCCAGUCUGAUGACUCCAAACUUAUGGAAUUUGGAGUACUUGGAUUUAUGGAGAGCUUCCUCAUUUGGCACAGCGACAAGAUAGUGUGUGUAGCAAAGUUCUAUGCAUCAUUGUCACCAAUUAGUCUCUGCUCGGUCUUGUCAUUUGUUCCCUUUCACCUAAAGCAUCUUGAAUCCCAUCAAAGUUAUUCCUUCUUCAUACAGGAAUUCUGGUGAUGACAGAAUAUCUCUUUCAGAUGUGGGGUGCCCAGGCAGGAAUGUUUCCUGGACAAAAUGACUUUAGUUUAGCAAAGUUCUUGGGUUUUGAGUUAUUUCAGUCAGGCUUUUGGGGUCUAGAAUUGGGUUUAAGGGGGAAAAGUGUUGGUGAUAUCUGCUUGUAUCCUUCAAUACAAUGUCUUCCGUUUGGUUGCAAAAAUUACCAACUCACAUUUUGAGCAAAUAUUACACCAAAGAACCUUGCCCUCUGUUUGUAUCAGCAGCAGAAGUGUUUAGGGAUUUUUCUAAUUCAAACGGGGAAAGCAAACCACCUGCAGAUUCUCUUGCAAUUCCUUGUGAAGCAGAGGCCGUGAGAAACAAUUUGUCUUCCUCAGCCUCUGGUUUUUGUCAAGCAUCAAAUAAUGUACCCAAAGCUGGAGGCUCUGGGGGUGGUAGUGCUAGAAAUAUUCCUUUGGAUAUAUUUGGGGAAGCACCAACAAAAGCCAGAAAUGGAACAAGAAAAGGAUUAUCACCAUGAGAAGGGAGAGAUUUGAAACGCAGAAGACAAUCUUCAUAGUCUAUAUAAAUUUUUGGAUGGAGAAAACAUGUUUAAUCUCUUUGGCCUCAAAAUAAACACGGUGGCCUUGCUCCUUGCCUCCUUUGCUUUGUUAAAUGCCAUUCCAAUGCUAUAUAUUGCACUUCUUGCUGCCUGCAUACUUCUAAAUCGCAAUGUCAUUCGGAAAUUAUGGCCAGCACUUGUCUUUUUGCUUGCUUCCAUUCUCGUCCUACAAUACUUUGUCAUUUGGAAGAGCACACCAUCUGCCAAUACACAAACAUCAAGCAAGGCUGAGUCUGUAUUUCCUUUCGAAUUUUAUGAUUCUCCUGCCAGUAUGAAUGCUGAAAGUCUUCAUGUGAUGAAUUCAGCUGAUCAUUCAUUUGAGUUUUCCCAUUGCGAGAUCACUGAGGCUGAGAAGGAUGGUGGAGGUUCUUUAUAUGAUUCAGAUAAGAAAGAGAAGGUAAGCAUGUGAUAUCUAUGACUUUGCCUUUGACUGUCUACUCAUGCUAUUUUCAGUUCUCUGUGACAUCUAAAUUCUAUUGACCCUUCUUUGCAACAGGUUAUAUUUGUUGAUGCAGAGCAGGUGGUGCGAGCAGACAUGGGAGAACUUUAUGACAUGGAUCUGAAAGGAAGACCGCUUGCAUAUACUCCUUUUUGUGACAACAACAAGGAGAUGGAUGGAUAUUGCUUUUGGAGACAAGUACAUAUUGAAUCAAUUUAUUCUUGUGUUCUAUUUCAAGCAAUAGAAUGCCUUUGCCUUUUCCAAUCAAUCUAUUCGUGUUUUAUUACAAGCAAUAGAAGGCUCUUGCCCUUUCAGAUCAUUGCUGUCUACAUCCCUAAGUAAGCUCUUUUAUUUUCUCACAAAAACAGGGUUUCUGGAAGGAGCACUUACGCGGAAGACCAUAUCAUAUGAGGUAGAUUUUUUAGACGGUUCCAUUCUGUUUUGGCGCCAUUGGUAUCAUAUAUGGGUUUUAAUUAUGAUAUCGUUCUGCAGUGCACUGUACGUUGUUGAUUUGGAGAAAUUUCGAGAGACUGGGCAGGAGAUAACCUGAGAGUGUUCUAUGAAUCUCUCAGCAAGGAUCCAAACAGUCUGUCCAAUCUUGAUUAGGUCAGUUCUUGGAUAAUAAACUGCAAAUUCUUCAGCAUGAGAUAUUCUUUGCAAGCUUAUAGCUGUGACUUUCUAAAAAGAUUCUCGCAAGGUGUUAAUUUGUAAAAGCACUGCUUAAAUAUCCGUGAGCAUAAACAUAGCAGUUGUUUGUCUAAGUGCCCUCUCUCAUGCUUCAGGACCUCCCGAAUUAUGCUCAGCACACCGUGCCUAUCUUCUCAUUACCCCAAGAAUGGUUGUGGUGUGAGUCGUGGUGUGGUACAGCCACUAAAUCCAAGGCAAAGACUAUUGAUCUUUGCAACAAUCCUAUGACGAAGGAAACCAAGCUUCAGGUAAGUUCAUUAGGUUGGGUUCUUUUCCUACUGCCAAAAUGAUUCGUAUAGUUGUGAUGUAAUUUUGUUUUUGUUGUCCUCUCAGGGUGCGAAGAGAAUAGUUUCUGAAUGGCCUGAUCUUCACUUAGAGGCAAGAACGUUUACUGCGAAAAUUCUCAGAGAUGAAUCUGAGCUUCAAGAAGCAGUGGCUUCAGAUAAGUCGCAGGAUUCACAGGGUGAUGAGUCAUCGGUAGAGGAGCUUGGCCUUGAAUCCAAGUCAGAGCUGUAAGGCACGGUUUCAUUCAGCCAUGACAUGAUUGAUCCCAAAGUGUAAUCCUGAUCGAGGAUGGAAGGGUAACUAUCAGCAAAGAACGUUUUGGAGUUGCAUCAACUAAGCAAAAACAAGUGGUUAUGGUGUACGUAUGCUGUCGAGAUUGGGGAUGGAGAUGCACACCAUCAAGAAAAUGAGGUCAUGGGGAGGCUGUGAGAAAGGCAAGGUAGCGCCGGUAGAGAUUUAAAAUUUUCUCGAGAAUUUUAGAGAGAAGCGAGCUAUUCAUUUUGCUUAGUUUUUGUUAAUCAGCCGGGUAAUCUUAUUUUAAUUGGGCUAUUUGCAAAUGCGUGAAAUAACGCGCUUGAUUGUGGAAUUUCUUCCUCGAUGAUAAAAUCACAGGUGAAAGGUCAACGUUUCGAUUUUGUUAGAAUGCCCUAGUACACACACUUGGUUAUGUAGUCAAAUAGGGAAAACUUGUAAAAUUUUUUGAUGGAUGAACUUUUUAUCGUGAUGCUUUCGGAGACUACCGAAAGUUACGUACUAGCCAUAAGUGCUAUGUUCGAUUAUUUUAAUGGAGGCAUGGAGUGGGCCUGUGUGUUUUGCUUAAACCUGAUCUCGGGUCUCGGCCCGGCCUAGUUUAAUGACCUCAACCGGUCAUUGCCCCUCGUGCCUUAAGAUGUCCACACCUUGCAGCGCUGGACGUUUGGGCCUUCCUCUACCCACUUCUUAGGCGUUUGUCGUAUGGCCCGGCCCAUUAUUUGGCCUAAUACUUAUUGGUCCGGCCCAUUAUUGGGCUUAACUUGGGUCCUCUUAGCCUUUGCUGCCGAUGUCACCACCUUCGGAUCUCUACCCUCGGAGCCGAAUUGAUAUCUCUGAAAACUCGGCGCGAAUCUGAGCCUCGUGCCACAAGUUCCUCGAUCAGCAGCUGCUCCGUCUUCUAGGGUUCGAGAGGGUCCGGAGGAGGUAGAGAUCGAGAGAGAACGAAAUCGAUCCCCCCUCGUGAUUCCCAACCGCUGGCGCUCAAUCUCCAAUCUCCCGCCAAUGGAGGAAAACCCUGUUGGGAAUAACGGAUCCCCGAAAAACGGAUUCGACACUAAAUCGAACCCCUAAAUCAAUGCGGAAGACGAAGCCAGGGAAAACACGCAUCACCGAUUGUAAAGUACACCACGGAUUCGAGCGUACCUUGUUAGCAACAGAUUAAACACCAAUGCUGAAGAUUGAGGAAGAAAUUCUGAUUCAAUGAUGUCAAUUUGCCUUGAAAAGGGAAACGACGUUGCCUUGAGCGUUUUGGAAGAAAAGAGAGCGUUUUUCUUUUCUUUUUCUUGGAGGGAGAGAGGGAGAGGAACGUACGUACGUUCUGAUUUCCCAAGAGUUGUCUUCUCUCUCUCUCUCCUCCCUUUUAUACCUUCCCCCAUUCACGGGCCCUAUUCCCGUGGACCGGGCCUUUUUGGGCCCAACUUGAGCGGAUGGGCCUUAAGCCCAUCUCAUAAAUCCAUCAUCUCCCACUCGCACAUGGUGGUCCAAAACCAACAUGGGCGGAUAGGCCCUACUCAACCCCAUCAGAGAAAAAUCCAUCAUAGACUCUCACUUAACAUGGUGGGCCGAACAGAAUCCUCUUUUCCUCUCUUCAACAUUCAUACCGGUGAAUAAUCCGUGUGACCAGCAUACUUUGAGAGCUCGUUGCCAUACAUCUGUUAGGAAUGUAUAGCAGCUCAUAAUGGGCAUCACACUUCGAGUACAUUUAGUAUGCAGUACCCUAGAUCGAUCGAUCACAUUUAUAUCUCUCUUGAUCUCUUUCAAACAAUGAUAUAUAUAUUGUAUUCACAAUUAUGAUUAUCACAGACAAUCAUAAUUGGUUAACCGGUGAAUACAAAACUACAAUGUGAUUCUCCAAAAUCGAUCUUCCUCUUUCCUUCAAACUCUCAAUUUCAGUCCAGCUUGCUUUUCUAGAAAUGCCCCAUUAGAUCGAAUUACUCAUGACCAUUGGCAACAUCCUAAGAUAGCAAACACUAAAUAGAAAUCUUGAGAAUAAGUAAGAGUCAUGAGGAGACUAAGAAAUUGAGGAACUCUCUUCCUCAAGAGUCUCACACGACAUAAAAGUUGAGAUCAAACUUUUGCCACUCUUAUCGGUCGUCUCAUGCAUACGUAGUAUGAAAUACGUAUUAUGGUAUUAAUUCAUUUCCCAUGGAGCGUAUGUCUAUACAUUUCAAUACCGUACAAAUGAUAGUUCAGACAUACCCAAUGUCUAACUUGAGUUCACGUAUCUACUCAUUCACAAAAUUCAUCAGAACUCACAUUUGGCAUCUUAGACAGAUAAAGUAAAAUAUGUGGGGUAUUUUACUUUCGGACAUAGUAAGUAUUAUAUCCUCAUCUUAACACUUAGUUAAGGCGACAUACAUGUUUUAAGCUUGAGCUCUCGAUUAUCACCCAGAUAAUAAACUUUAAAACAGUCUCAUCUCUAUUUAUCACACAGUAAAUAGAGGCGAUUACCCGUGUGAGUGGGCUAAUCUUAUAUCUGUCCGACAUACUUUUCAACUUAAAGUAAUGCACUAAGCAUUAAGAUGCAUAAAGAUCAAACAAAGAUUCAUAGGCAUUAAUGAUGAAAACACAAAUUCAUCAAAUGUGAACAUUUAUGGAAAAUACAAUAUUUAGUACAUCAGCCUCUACGCAAUUCUAGAGAUUUCAUAUGGCCACAAAACACAUCUCUAGGUAUUGGCUUUAUCAUAGGAUCUGCUACCAUUCUAUGCGUAGUAUGUACUCUAAGUUCACAUCUUUUCGUGCAACCAUAUCCUUGACAAGAUUAUACUUGGUAUCUAUAUGUUUAGUCUUGCUAUGAUAUUUUGGAUCUUUGGUAUAGCUUUUUGCUGCUUGGCUAUUACAGUUAACCAACAACAAAUCUGCAGCACUUCCAAUAACACCUAAAUGAUCCAAAAAAUCUCUUAAGCCAAACACUUUCUUACACUGCUGCUGAUAAUGCAACGAACUCAACUUACAUCGUGGACAAGGCUAUACACUUUUGUUUCUUACUGCUCCAACAUAUGGUGCCAUUAUUCGGUAAGAAAACAAACCUAGAGAUAGAUUUUCUUUUAUCUAAAUCUCCUCCCCAAUCAAUAUCACAAUAGCCUUUGAGUUGCAGAUUCUUUCCUUAAUAACUCAACGUAUAAUCAGCAGUCCCCUUUAGAUACCUUAGUAUUCUCUUAACGGCUUAAUGUGCUUGACCUGGAUUGGAUUGGUAUCUGCUCACCAUUCCAACUGCAAAGCAUAUGUCGGGUGUUGUACACAUCAUAGCAUACAUCAAACUCCCAACAGCACUAGCAUAAGGAACAUGUUUCAUUUGUUCCUUCUCUUGUGGAGUCCCUAGACACAAUUUAUGGCUCAAUCAUUCACCUUUUGCAAUAGGAGUGUCUAUGGGUUUACAAUCCCAUAUCAUUCAACUCAAAGUUAGAAGACAACCAUCUCUUGACAGUAUUAACCAACUCCAUAUUGCUUCCAGCAAUUAGUAUAUCAUCAACAUAUAAUGAUAUGAUCACAAAUUGAUCCUUGGAUCUUUUGAUAUAUACACAAUGAUCCCCAUCUAUCAUUGUAAACUCAUAUGCCAUUAUGGCACUAUGAAAAACGUAUAUACCAUUAUCUCGAUGACUGCUUAUGGCCAUAUAUCGACCUCAAAAAUCGAUACAACUUUUCUUCUUGGCCUUUCAUUAUGAAACCAGCAAGUUAUUCCAUAUAUUUCUUCCUCUAAUUCUCCAUUGAGGAAAGCAGUCUUUACAUCCAUUUGAUGUAACUCAAGAUCCAUACUUGCCAUUAUUGCCAGAAUAAUGCGAAUCAAGGUAAAUCUCACUACAGGAGAAAAUGUAUCUUGAUAAUCAAUUCCUUCCUGUUGAUUAUACCUCUUCGCCACAAGGCGAGCCUUAUGCCUUUCUAUUGAGCCAUCAGUCUUUCGCUUUAUUUUGAGAACCUACUUGUUCCCAAUAGCUUUGUGUCCUUUUGGAAGAUUAACCAGUUCCCAGACUUGGUUUAAUUUCAUUGACUCCAUUUCCUCUUUCAUUACAUGAAAUCAUUUUUCCUUAUUAGGGCAAUUCAGAGCCUCAUUAAUAUUUCUUGGCUCAUCCUCAUCUUGUGGAGCAACCAUAAAAGUUUCCCUUUCAAUGUCAAAACAUCGACGAGGAAUACUUUGGCGACUUGUUCACCGUAUGGGAGAUUGUACACUUAGCACAUCAUUCCCCAUCAUGCUCCCACUUGGAUUAGGUAAUGAUGAUGUCGUUACAUCAGGUGGUUGCAAUUGAGAAUGAGUUGAAUUCAAUUCAUCACAUCUCAUAUUACUCCCACUUGGACGAACUCCACUGACAUCAUUAUCUUGAUCCAAGGUUUCAAAUAGGGAGUAAUUUUCCCUUAUUUCGCCCCUUUUAGAAAAUUCAUCCACUAAGGAUGUGACAUCCCGUGAUUCAAAUUCAGUUAUACUCCCACUUUCCUGCUCACUUAUGAACACAUACCCUUUUGAGUGUUCGCAGUAUCUCAUGAAAAUACUCUUAUUUUCUUUCGGGACCCAAUUUUCCAAACUUGUGAGAGGACUCAUGAGCAUAGGCAGCACAACCCCAUGACUUAAGAAAACUUAAGUCCGAUUUUCUAACUGUCCAUAACUCAUAUGAAGUGGAAAUAACUGAUUUGGAAGGCACCCGGUUAAGUAUAUAGGCAGCAGUUAAUAACACAUCACUCCAAAAAGUGAUAGGUAAGUUAGCAUGCGCCAUCAUGGACCUAACCAUUUCAGUAGGGUUCUGUUUCUUCUCUCCGCAACACCAUUUUGUUGAGGAGUAUAUGGAGUAGAUAGCUAUCUUUCUAUUUCUUUUUCAUCACAUAAUUUUCUGAACUUAUCAGAUAAAUAUUCUCAACCUCGAUCGGAUCUUAAUACCUUUAUUUUCUUGUCUAAUUGAUUUUCUGCCAGGUUCAUAAACCUUCUGAAACAAUUUAUGCUUCAAAUUCAUGAGAAAUCAAAUAGACAUAUCCGACUCGAGUAUAAUCAUCUAUAAAAAGUGAUGAAAUAAACAGCCCAUUGCCUUCCUCUCACAUUCAUUGAACCACAGACGCCCAAAUGGAUUAAAUGCAGAGAAAAUUCAGCUCUUUUACCUUUUCCAAAUGGUUUCCUUGUCAUUUUCCCUAUUAGGCAAUGCUCACAUAUGGACAAAUCGACUUUUUCAAUAUUGCCCAACAAGCCCUUUUUGGCUAGUCUUUUUAUAUGUUGUUGGCCUAUAUGACCAAGUCUAGCAUGCCACCAUAUUCACAUCAUUAUCAUAUAAGGUAGAAGACGUAAAACAAGGGAAUAACAUAUUGACAUCAUCACAGUCAACAUUUAGUACAAUAAAACCAUUCAGUAAGUGACCACAACUAUAGUAGUUUGUAUCUAAACACAAAUCUACACCUUUAUUAUGGAAGUUCAUACCAAAACCAAGCUUAACCAACACUAAGACAGACACUAAAUUUCGACGAAUCUCCAGAGCAUAUAGAACAUCAAGAUGCGUCCACCUUGCAUGUUCAAUUGGCAGGUGCCAAUCCCUUUAACUUCAGCUCUAGAGUUAUUUCCAAUAUAGAUCCACUUAGUUCCAGUUGGUAUCGUCGGAAUUCCACGAAGGAUCCUCUAUCCUUCGCUACAUGGUCUAUCGCUCCUGAAUCUACAGUCUACAAAGGAUUAUACUCAGUCAAGAAUACAGAACUCGACACAAAAGUAAAGUUCUGAAAAGUACAAGGGGUGUUUACUUUAUUUGGCUCACGACAGUUGCGAGCAUAGUGACCCUUCUUGUCACAAUUAUAACAUUUCACCCAUGACAUUUUCUUCACUUGAGGAUGUUUUCCUCUCUUGUGUUGGUUAACUCUUGAUUUCUUGCAAUAAGGACUUGAUCCUUUGCAUUCCCACAUAUUGAACGAAUCAAUACGUUUGCGCUUAGAGCACAAAGCCCUUUCUGAGCUAGAACCAGCAUUGAAAAUAUCUAUUUUCGGCUCAAAUACCGUUAGGCGGUCCUCUACUAGCUCAAGGUGGCGCAUGGCAUCCUUAAGAUCUUCCAUAACAUGGUUAAGAGCUUCUAGUGCUUCUUGCUUUUCCAGCACAUAUUGAAUCUUCUUAUUUAAUAUUUCACAAUUGUUACCGUUCAUAUCAGCAAUCACGUUCUUAGUUACUGAAACCAUCGAUCUGAACACAUCAGACAUAUAUGCACGAAUAAUUAAUGCCUAUCAUUUAUGCAUCCCUACUUGCAUAGACCCAUCAUAUUAAUGAAUAAUUUCAAGUAAGGCUUUAGAAUCAAAAGGUCACUAUGUUUCCAAUCAUCCUCCAAAAAUCCUAACUCAAAAUUACUAUUAAUAUAAUUGUCUUAUGCAAAUAAAUUCUAUGAAGUUACAUUAAACUUCUAUUACUACCCACAGUUAAUUACCCACAGCAACCAGCAAUAGCAGAAAGCAUAUAAAAUCUUAACAUCCAAUAAAAUAACAAUACUUUCACAUGAUACAACUAACAUAUCGGUUGCUAUAUCAACAACAAUCAGGUAGUAAACAUUACAUAAUUAAUCAAAGAAAUAAAUAGGGAAUGUCCCUUCUAAUCUAUCAGCCAUAAUAUCUGAGAAAUUUGAAGGCACAUUAGCUAACCAUGGAAAAAAUUUUGGAGAGCAUUCAUGUCGCCUCCAAGGCGCAUUCACUCGGCGCCAUGUGGCGCUCAAUCUAAGGGUUGAAGUUUUGGCCAACUCAAUCCUAUAGUGCUUUCUUACAAAAGCUUCCACCAGCCUCCUAUAACCAGGGACCACGUUGACCUCCCAUAGCCGAUCCAACACUGCUUGCCAUUCAGGUGGAAGAGUGUUCAUCAAAGCCCGAACCUUCUCAAAAUCCGGCAUAAGAUAAUCAUUCCAGAUGAUUUCCUGUAUCAUCUGGUUGACCUUGACCACAUGUGAUACUAAAUCACCAUCAUGCCACUGAUAAUUAGCUAAUUCUGACAUCAGCCUUUUAAGUCUUGCAUUUCCCUCGCUCGUUCUCGGGAUUGCAGGUAUCCUUGCAUAACGCAUCAUAGUUCCUGCAACAAAUGCAGAAUUAAAAAUGGAUCACUUAUUAUCCAUAAUUAAUAUAAGGGAAAAUACAUAAUUUUCCAAAAUUCAUGCAACAAAUGCAGAAUUAAAAAUGGAUUACUUAUAAUCCACAUAGGCAUGACUGAAAAAGAAAACAAAUUCCUUUUUUUUUUGGGUCAACGGUCAACGCUCGGUCAACGGUCAACUGGUCAACGGACGGUCAACAGUCAACGGUCUUCGGUCAACGGUCAACGGGUCGGGUCAACGGGAGUGCGGGUCGGACCGCUCGCGCGGACCGACCGCACGUGCCUCGCGCGUGCGGGGAAUGACGUCACGCAUAUGUCAUCCGGCACGUGCCGGGCGCGUGCCUGCGUCCGCGAGUCGGGUUGGGUCGCCGGUCGGGUCGGGUCGCCGGUCGGUGACCGCCCGGCGAAACGUCGUCGGCGAUGACGUCAUCGGUGACGUCAUCCGAGCGGUUACCGACGUUGGAUGACGUCAUCGUGUGACGUUAGCACGCGUCGGUCCGCGGACCGACGCGUGCCGGUUCGCCCGCCGGCGGCGUGCACGUGUCGGUUCGCCGACCGGCGCGUGUGCCGCACACGCUGGGCGAGCUGACUCUUUCGGGCGCGUCGCGCCCACGCGCAGCUCCUUCCGGUCGCGCGUGUGGGCGCGUGCGGCGUCGCCCGACGGCGUUCGACCUAUCCCCGGACUCGUCUCGACGUCGCCUUUCACCCAGUGCCUUCAAAAUUUGAUUUUGACUUACGAAAACUUAGAAAAAUGGCCGAACGACGCUCGGGUGUCGGGAUUUCUCGCCCCGAUCCGUACGGCCGAAAGUUUUUUCGCGAAAAAUCAAUCAAAAAACAUCAAAUUGAUCGGGAAAACGUGAACUAGGGCUCUGAUAUCAAUGUUGGGAAUAACGGAUCCCCGAAAAACGGAUUCGACACUAAAUCGAACCCCUAAAUCAAUGCGGAAGACGAAGCCCGGGAAAACACGUAUCAUCGAUCGUAAAGCACACCACGGAUUGGAGCGUACCUUGUUAGCCACAGAUUAAACACCAAUGCCGAAGAUUGAGGAAGAAAUUCUGAUUCGAUGAUGUCAAUUUGCCUUGAAAAGGGAAACGGCGUUGCCUUGAGCGUUUUGGAAGAAAAGAGAGCGUUUUUCUUUUCUUUUUCUUGGAGGGAGAGAGGGAGAGGAACGUACGUACGUUCUGAAUUCCCAAGAGUUGUCUUCUCUCUCUCUCUCCUCCCUUUUAUACCUUCCCCCAUUCACGGGCCCUAUUCCCGUGGGCCGAGCCUUUUUGGGCCCAACUUGAGUGGAUGAGCCUUAAGCCCAUCUCAUAAAUCCAUCAAACCCUUGCGGCGAGAUCAGCUCCGGCGAUGAUAGCGUCGCCGAUCAAAAACCGCGCUUCGUCAUGGAUGAAUUCGCUCCGGUAGGACGCCAGAUCGAAGCUCCGGGUCCCCAUCAACCUGCCGGACAAUGAAAUCUCCCUCCUCCGCAGCCGGCGGAACCUGAGCUUCAGCGAAUCGUCCGCCACCGAAUUCCCGACUUCUCCUUCUCCAUCUCCCCACUCCUCGUCCUUGGCCUCAGCGUCAAUCGGUCGAAUCUGCAAAGGGAAGGCUCCGGCGACGGCGAGGGUGAGCCUCGAGAACAGCGCUAGCGGUGGCGACCCCCGUGGCGGCCGGCAGGCGUACAAGAGCAUGAGGACGGUGGUGGAGGUGCUGCGGGAGCUGGACGUGGACAUAGUGGCGCUGCAGGACGUGAAGGCGGAGGAGGAGAGGGAGAUGAAGCCGCUGUCGGAGCUGGCGGCGGCGUUGGGGAUGAGCUACGUGUUCGCCGAGAGCUGGGCGCUGGAGUACGGCAACGCCGUCCUCUCCCGGUGGCCGAUCAAGCACUUGAAGGUCCAGAAGAUAUUCGACGUCACCGAUUUCAAGUCCGUCAUUUCGUUUUAUUUUAUUUUAUUUAUUAAUUUAAUAAUUUCCACAUAUUUUUUACCUGUUAUUCUUGCUAUCAUUUUCGUAAUUAUGGUGACGAUGAUAUGCUCUCUUUUUCAUUGAGCAAGUGGUCUUCCUAGGCGAUUUCGGAAUUUAAAAGAUAUUUUCAUUUAUUUAUUGAGGCGUCCACUGUUGAAAGCAAAGUUUGAUAAUAUAUCAUAAAUUAAUACUCCCACUGGACAUAUUAUAUAAUUUUUUUUUUAUAUUUUCCAAGUGGAAAGAUUAAUUUCGCAGACCAUCUACAACAGUGCAAAUCCACUUCGGACAGUUGAAAAUUCGUUGAAAUUAAGGUAAGGUGGAUGUAAUAAAAAUUCACAAGACCAAAAAAUAAAAGCAAAAACAUAAGCUUUUGCCUAGCCAUCAGAGUUUGUGGAUGAAAAUCUUGCUGUCACUUGGUUUAUAUUUUGUCUUUUUUUUUCCCUCCCCUUUUUAAAACUGUUCUAUUUGGAAUUAUAUGAAUGGAGUUGUCCAGGAACUGAUCUGGGAAGAAUUUGGAAUAUUAUUCACGAGAACCCUACCACCAAAAAUUCAAGAAUUCCCCAAGGCUUUUCUCCCACAGCCUGUUUGCCUUUGUACAACUUACGGAAAGCUAUCUACAACAACUAUGGUGGGCCUUUCCAAGGAUCCCAGCACCAGCUGUGAGCAAUGCCAGUCAGAAGUAAAAUAUAAAUUAAAUUUUUAAAAAAACCCAUUUUUUUCUUUCUAUGAUUUUAGAUAUGGGUUCUCCAGAGAAUUGUCAUUUAUCAAUAAUAAUAAUAAUAAUAAUAAUAAUAAUAAUAAUAAUAAUAAUAAUAACAAUAUCUUCGGUUAUAACUAUUCGAAAUUCGUGCGAGUGUGUGUGAUGAAAGACUGUCUUGGACCUCUUUCAUUCCUCUUUUUUUUUUUUUUUUCAUUUCUGGUUGCAUUUAGUGGGUUGAUAUAGUCAAGAGAAUGCUUAGGAACCUGCUAAAUUACAUAUAUAUUUUUUGCUCUUUAGUAUUUAAAUAAGGAGUUGGGAAGAUAAACGAAGGAUAAGAUCUAUGGCGUACAUUAAAUGAGGGCAGGGUAAGGUGUAUGUAGGUAGGACAGUAACGUGGGGAGGAUUUUGCUUUUGCUUUAUUUUAUGUAUUUGCCAAAUCAGAUGCUUGACCCGAAGACUGUACAAGGACUACUCAUCUGCAAGGAAAACUACAUUUCUCUCAAGUGAGACAGACCAGAUAGAAUCAACUUGUUUGAGACACCACUCAAUUGCUCGUCAUGGAGUCAAUUUCUGAGACUUUUGCGUUCGAUUAAUUGAGCCACGCCUUAGAUAGUGAAGGGAUUAUGUGCUUCGUUGCGCGAAAAUUCAUAAAAAGAAGAAAAUGGUGGAUUGAAAUAUAAUUGAUUGACAUAUUAAAUUGACCAGGAAUGGAAGUGGCUGUGAACUCGAUAUGUUUUAUUACACAGGAAUGUUCUGAAGGCAACAAUAGAAGUGCCCCAUGUUGGGGAAGUGAACUUCCAGUGCACCCACCUGGAUCAUCUCGACGAGAACUGGCGGAUGAAGCAAGUCGGCGCCAUCAUCCAGUCGAGCGACUCUCCCCACAUCUUGGCUGGUGGCCUCAACUCUCUGGACAAAACCGAUUACUCGCAAG
Molecule: long non-coding RNA, 206473 nt
Filed under: Eucalyptus grandis
Lineage: Eukaryota; Viridiplantae; Streptophyta; Magnoliopsida; Myrtales; Myrtaceae
Description: long non-coding RNA (EGRA_LNC004697)
Source: RNAcentral